CAAAACAACCUAUUCACAACCUUCAUGCGGAGGUUGAAAUCGUUACUUCUUGGCUGAGUGAAUUUGAAGAUGAUAUCUCCUGCCUUCGGAUGCAAAAGAUGGGACACAGAGAAAUUGAAAACCCAAAUCUGGCGACCGUUAUGGACGAAAUCAAUUGCUUUACGUAUGAAUCUGAGAAGGUGAUUGACACAUUCAUCAACAGCAUCAGUGAACAGAAGAGUCAAAGCAGCUGCAGCGAGGAUAUUUUUGAUGCUCUGCAAGGACUCCAAAGCAGAAUCACUGAUAUUAAGCAACGGAUGCAACAACUUAAGCACAUGGAUUCCGAAAUCAUUGAUCGCAUCAAAACUUUUGAAGCUGAAGCCGCUAUAUCUUCAUCUUCUAAAAGUAGGGACACCGUGGGUCUAGAUGAUAGAAUGGAGGAGUUGUUAGAUCUAUUGAUCGAGGGACCACCUCAGCUUUCAGUGGUGGCCAUACUUGAUAGCAUUGGGUUGGACAAGGCGGCUUUCGCCGGAGAGGCUUACACCAGCAGUUAUGCGAAGCAUUAUUUUGAUUGUCACGCUUGGGUUCCAGGGACUUAUCCGUAUGAUGCUGACCAAAUGUUAGAUAUCGUUAUUAAGUUUCUGAUGCCUUCAUCUAGGUUGAGUGAAAUAAUGGAUAAAAAUUAUGAAAUGAAAAAAAUAAUUCUUAAUGAAUAUCUAAUGACUAAGCGGUAUUUGAUUGUGCUUGAUGAUGUGUGGAGCACAGAUGAAUUGGAUGCUAUUCGAGAAACCCUUCCGGAUAAUCAGAAUGGAAGUAGAGUAUUAAUAACACUCACUGAAAUUAAGCUGGUCACCUCAUUUCAGCUCGAAGACGGAGAGAACAUUCGGCUUGAUUUAGUGCCCACUGGAGGACCAUUGAGAGCUACAUACCAAGAAUGGCCUUUCCUCAUCUUAUAUCAUGGAAGCAUCUCAUUAGAAGAAAAUAUAACGGAAGCAGUGGAGAUACCCCUUGUGCUUCGGUACUUCAAAUGUUGCAGUUUACCUUUUUGCUUGAAACUUUGUUUUCUCUACUUAUCUGUGUUUGCCGCACACCUAGAGAUAUCCACCAGGCAGUUAUAUCAGUUGUGGAUAGCUGAAGGUUUCAUUCCAGACAAUAGUGAGGCAACUGCUGAGAGUUACUUAGAACAACUAAUCAAGGAAGGCUUUGUUGAAGCAAAGAAGAGAAAAGCCGGAGGCACUAUCAACACAUGCUCUAUUCCUGGCUGUUGGCGUCCCGUAUUGCUCUUAGUUCCUCCUGAGGUGGAAUUCAUCUUUUCCCCUUCUAUCGAUAGAGAAUCAGGAAAAAAAGCCAAACGGUUAAACGCUGUUGAAAGAGAGGGUGAUUUUGCUUGCUUAGAUGAUUAUGACUCGCAACUGCAUUCUUUGUUGUGCUGCUCUCGAGAAAGCUGCCACUUUGACCCCGUAGAUUGGGAGAAAAUUUGUGGAAUGUUCAAACUUCUCAGAGUAUUGGAUUUGGGAUCUCUUGUUCUCAUCCAAUAUCCAUCCGGAAUUGAAAAUUUAUUUCUUUUGAGAUAUUUGAAGUUGAAUAUCCCUUCCCUCAAAAGCCUGCCUUCCUCAUUAUUAAGCAAUCUUCUGAACCUCUACACCCUAGACAUGCCCUUUAGCUAUAUAGAUCAUACGGCAGAUGAAUUUUGGAAGAUGAACAAACUCAGACAUCUAAAUUUUGGGUCAAUCACACUUCCUGCGCAUCCAGGAAAAUACUGUGGCUCUCUGGAAAAUCUAAAUUUCAUUUCAGCCUUGCAUCCUUGCUGCUGUACUGAAGAUAUAUUGGGCAGGCUACCUAAUCUUCGAAAUCUCCGAAUACAGGGAGAUUUAAGUUAUAAUCAAUCUUUGUUGUCCAAAAGUCUCUGCAGAUUGAGCUGUCUCGAGUCGUUGAAGCUUGCGAAUGAAAGCAAGAUGCCACGGCUCUCCAAAAUCGCUCUUGCUGAAUACCUAUUUCCUCAUAGUCUAACCCACUUGAGUUUUUCUAAUACUGUCCUAAUGGAUGAUCCCAUGCCGACACUAGAAAAGCUGCCGCUUCUUCAAGUGCUCAAACUGAAGCAAAACUCGUAUUCAGGUAGAAAGCUGACUUGUGGCUCUUAUGGUUUUCCGAACCUCAAGGUGUUGCACCUGAAAUCAAUGCUAUGGCUAGAGGAGUGGACUAUGGGGAAUGCAGCCAUGCCAAAACUAGAAUGCUUGAUUAUCAACCCUUGUGCUUACUUGAAAAAGAUGCCUGAACAGCUCUGGUGCAUAAAGAGCUUAAACAAGUUCGAUUGCUGGUGGCCUCAGCCAGAGCUGAGACAAAAGCUACGGGAAUUUGAGUAUAAGGAGCAGUAUGGCGUUCAGCUUUAUCCUUACGGAAUUUGAUUAGCCCCUAUUGAAUUUGAUGUAUGUUUCUCGUUUAACCCAAUUUCUUCAAAUUUUAAUUAUUUAUCAAAUUUCAUAUACUUUUUUUUCCCUCUUCUCUUCAAUAUAAAGAUGGUUAUACAAAGUGUUUUCUUCUGAUUUGUCUCAACAUUAAGUACCCUUUAGAGUUUCCGAUACUCACCCUAAUCAUCAAGCCCUCUUUAGCGGCAGCGGAGACUUAAAUACUCUUCCACAUUCAACCAUGAGCCUAGCAGACCUCGGCGUUCAUUUGUUUUAAUAGUUAAGAAAAGAAAUUUAAUUUAAAAUUCUUAUUUUUCACAAUUUCUUUAAUGGCUUGUGCAGGUGAAAUCAGAGCAGAAAACAUCAUGACUGCAGCACGAGCUUCAAUUUCAACCAGAAUCCUUUCCGUCUUCACUUCUGCUGCCUACACAAAUAAAUCCUGAUCCUACGGUGGUGGACUUUUUUUUGGAUUCUUUGUUUCCGCUGUCUAUCCAUAAAUAAGAUAUUUCGUUUCGGAUUUUCAGUUGAGAGUUCAUUGAUUUGUGCUUCAGCCUUGGUUCGUUAAUUGUGUACAAAAAAUAAAUAAUAUCCGUGAUGCUUUCUAGUGUUGGGUUCAGUUGAAUGUAUUUUCUGUCUUUGUUCUGUUGCUAGCUCUGAAAUCCUGUUUCAGAGGCUGGGCAAGUUUGGCACUCAAUGUGUUUCGUUUAUUUCCAGAAAAGAUUAAUUAUUGAUGAACUUCAUACUUGGCUGAAUCAGUGGCGGACCUGCAGCAAGGCUAGACCGGGCUGUAGCCCGGUCAAACUUAGGAAAAAAUCAUUCAUACCCCUUAUUUUACUAUCAAUUAUAGACAAUAAUAGAGAUUUUAUUUUGUUUUCAUACAUGUCCCUAAUAUAAUUAUCCUUAUAUUUUCAUUAAUUUUAUACUAUAAUGGAGUUUUUAUUUUAUUUUUAAAUAUGUCCUUAAUUCAAUUAUAUUUUUUUCCAAUUGAAAUUAUUGACUUAUUUUAUAAAAUGAGUAAAUUAUAUAUUUACUAGAUAGAUAAAAAACAUUAGGGGGUAAAAUGUUAUUACUUUAAUUUAUUUUUAAAAAUUCUAAUUGAAAAAAAGUAUGUCAAUCUAAUAUAAAAUUGUCACUAGUAUUAAACUACUUAAAAAAAACAUGUAGUAACAAUUAUCAGCAUUUUCAUAAACUUUUUAUGUAAAUUUUGAGAUUUUAUUUAUUAGUUAUAUUAACUAAGAUAAAAUUUGAAUAUUUUGAGGAGCUUUAAUUUGAUAGAAAAAUCAUCAAGAACUGGUUCUUUAAAGAGACUCAGAGCGUUUGGCAAAGAAACAACAACACCCAAAUAUAUUUUUGUUAGGUUGAAUUUAGUUUAUAAUUGAAACUUUUGACUAAUAAUAUUUUUAUAAUUUAAAAAGAGGAAUAAAUUUGAAUUGUUUAAUUUAUUGAAACCUGGUAAUUAAGUACUUGACUUCAAACAUUAAAGUUUUCCUUCAAUUUUUAAUUGAUUGUAAUUACAUGUAUUCAUUUAUUUCAACUUAAAAUCCUUAAUUAAUAUAUUAAACCUUAUAUAAUCCUUGUAUAAUUACAUUUUAUUAGAGUCAGAUUUCAUAAUUGUAAAAUAGUGUUUUAUUUUUUUAAUUGCUUUUGUUUUCUACUCUUUUUAUAUAACUAUUUUUGUUUAUAACUUAUAGCGAUAAAAUUUUUCGUGCCCCCCUUAUUUGAUGCAGUUUUUUCUACUUAUAAAUUUUUAUGUUCACUUUAAAAUAUAAAUUUUUUAAUUUAGCCCGGAGUAAUACAAAUUCCUGGAUCCGCCCCUGGGCUGAAUGUCUUAGUAAACGUUCUCGUGGAAAAAUCCUAAUACCCGCUUAGGCACUACAGUAAGGCAGAGAUACUAAUACUACUUUGCAUGUGUUGAUUGAUUAACAGCUUUGUUCUCUGCUGCUCUUUCUUUAUCUGAUACAGAAAAUUCCUUCAAUAUGAUUGCUAGUUGCUACUAACUAUAGAAGUAUUCCUCCUUUGGCUCGUUCUAUGGAGUAUGAGAGACAUAUUACUGAGAUUGAGCCACGCUUCAUUACCUUCCCGGAGAAAGUUGAAGUUUGGGCUGUGCUUUUGGAACUGGGAUGAAGAGCGGCAGCAAAAUGAUUACAAGAAUUGCCAUUUAGAGGGGCAUUUUUGUGACUACUGAUGUGUCCCUCUAAUGGAUCAAUAAAUUGAAACCACGUCAAGGCUAGAAAAAGGCCGUGUUAUAGUAAGCAGUGACUUUCAAUAAUAGAACUUUGUGUGCAAGUGUGUGCAUUCGAGAAACUAAGUGUUAGUUUUUAUACAGCCAUAGCCUGCAGUAUAUGCGCGAGCCUCCAAGAUAUAUUUUGCAUUGAGCAUUGACACGAUAUGGAUACAUCAAACAUUUUUAGUAGAGCAUGCAUGAAACCAUCUAUAAAAUUCAAGAAGGUAUAAUUGCAAUCCCUCGUUCAAAUUUAUAACGAAUCAAUUAUGAAAAUAUUCAGAGCGAAAUUCAAGGAGUAUACUCUAUUAAAUUAUGUUGUAUAUUAGAUCACAUGUUAAAAUAGUUAUCAAGAUAUGCAUGUAUAUACGUAUUUGCAUGAAUAAAAUGUACUGCGACAUUAUGUAAUGCAUUUGAGUGGGCAAAGGAGGAACUUUAUCACUUGCAACUUGCAAGGCUUUUUUGUUUGUGGUUACCCUAACCAAUUUGCUUGAAUAUAUGCUGCAAGAGCCUUUUUUAUUGCUACCAUAUUAUUGCGGACCGCCCAAUUCGCUAGCCCAAUUGCCCACAAUUUCGGGCUAGAGAGCCAACACAAGGCCAAGAGUGCUAGCUUGGCCCAAUUCCGGAAACUUCUAGGCAACUCUAGCACACGAGCUUGUAAAUACUCUAGAAUUCUCCUUAUGAUUCCAGCACAUGUAAAUAGCUAGGAAGUGGUAGAAUUCUCUAGAAUCUCUAGAGCUUGGCAAGCCUCCCCUAUAAAUAUGGGUGGCAUUAGGCAUUUGUAUCCAACAAACACUACAACAAGCAUUGUAAGCAACUCAAGCAUUGUGAUCUCUCUUUGUGCAAUACAAGUUUCUUCUUUGGCUCAAUUGCUCUCUUCUCUAGUUCGAGAAGCUCUAGGCUUACUUAGCAACAUUCGGCAAAGUUGUCUAAGUGCCGCACGGGUUAGCUGCGCAAAAUACUCAUCCCGUGACAAGUGGUAUCAGAGCUAAGGUUUGCACGCACGCAAGUUAGCUCACGAAGCAAUGGCCAACCCUUCGAAUGUAGCACAAGAGGGUGUUGUUGGUGUGGAUGCUCCACCGGAACCAAGCCACGGUCGUGAGGGAGAACGCGCCCAAGGCAAGACUCGUGGCAAGUCCAAGGCACCAUCCGUGGAUGCGUUGGAGCCUCGUGUGACUACUCUCGAAAUCGCAUUGUCCGCUGCUCAAGAUAGCCUCGAGGGAUUGGAGGAACGAGUGGAUGGUCUCGAGGGGGAAUAUGCUGAGUUCACGGUGGCAGCAAAGGCACUCAUCCAAGAGCAAGCGAACACUCUCCGAGGUGAGUUUCGUUCUUUUCAUGAUGAGUUGCUCAAACUUCGUAGUUUUGUUCAGGACGAACUACGCGCUGUCCGUGCGGAAGUGGAUGAAGUCCGCUCGGAUUGGGCAUGGCACAAGCGCACACUCUCCGCUAGUCCAGCUUCCGCAAACUCGAGUGAUGCGCACUGCAUUGACGUGCCAAAGCCCGACACCUACGAUGGCACACGCAACGCCACAAUCGUGGACAACUUCCUAUUUGGGCUUGAUCAAUACUUCGAUGCCAUGGGCGUCCGAGACGAGGCAUCGAAAGUGGGCACUGCACCCACCUAUCUUAGAGGCGCCGCACAACUAUGGUGGCGUCGCAAGCAUGGCGAGAUGGGCAAGGGCAUUUGCACCAUCGACACUUGGGCUGACUUCAAGCAAGAACUCCGAAAGCAGUUCACCCCAAGCAAUGCGGAGAAGGAAGCGCGAGCGUACUUACGUCGCCUCAAGUAAUCGGGUAGCAUUCGGGACUACAUCAACGAGUUCACUACCCUUAUGUUGGAGAUAAGCGACAUGUCCGACAAGGAUUCACUCUUCUACUUUCAAGAUGGCCUCAAGGAUUGGGCCAAGACCGAGCUUGAUAGGCAUGGUGUUCUAACACUUGAUGACCCCAUUGCAGUUGCGGAGUCGCUCACCGAAUACUCUACCCAAUCCAAAGACAAAAAGGCCAAUCAAGGCAAAGGUGGGGGAGAGAGUCGCAAGGACAAGGGCAACAACCGCAAAGAUUGGGGGCAGAAAAAGCCGCCUAGCAACAAGAGCGGGCAAGGAAAAUCGGAGGGUAAGAAGGAGGCGCCAAAGCCGCGAAGCCCAUGCUUCAUAUGCAAUGGUCCUCAUUAGGUACGCGACUGUCUGGAGAAGAGGUCGCUAAACGCUCUUGUUGCCCAACUCAAGAGCAACCCCACAAUGUCCACGGAGGAACCCCAACUCAGCAUGGGUUCUCUCCAACGCCUCGGUGCAUUCAAUCACCAACAGCCCGCACUCGUUAAGAAAGGGCUCAUGUAUGUUAGCGCAAAGGUAAACGGCCAGUCCGUUGGCGCUCUGCUAGAUACGGGAGCAACGCACAAUUUCGUGUCAGUAGACGAGGCCAAGCACUUAGGCCUCAAGGCCACCAAGGAAGGAGGCACAAUGAAGGCAGUAAACUCACCCGCCAAGACAAUUACGGGAAUUGCACAAGGCGUGCACAUCACGCUCGGUACGUGGAGCGGAAAGCUUGACUUCUCCAUUGUGCCCAUGGACGACUUCAAGAUGGUCCUCGACAUGGAAUUCUUCGACCAAGUCCAUGCCUUCCCGCUGCCCGCAACAAACUCCCUAAGCAUCCUCGACGGGAGCAAAGCAUGCAUGGUACCCACAGAGCGAGGCAAGUCCAAGGAGAAGACACUCUCCGCCAUGCAAUUCAAAAGGGCUUUCAAGAAGGACCCAAGCUUCUUGGUCUCCAUUCAGGAACUAAACGAGGAAGGAAAUAGCGAACAUCGCCAAGCCAAGUCCCUCUGCGAAUUCAAGCCGUCCUCGAUGAGUACAAGGACGUGAUGCCUCCAGAACUUUCGAAGAAGCUCCCACCUUGACGAGAGGUAGAUCAUGCGAUCGAGCUAGAACAAAGCGCGAAGCCACCAGCCUUGGCGCCCUACCGCAUGGCGCCACCCGAAUUAGAGGAGUUGCGGAGACAACUCAAAGACUUGUUGGACGCAGGCUGCAUUCCCCCCUCAAAGGCCCCAUUCGGUGCACCCGUGCUCUUCCAAAAGAAAAAGGAUGGAUCGCUGCGGAUGUGCAUCGACUAUAGAGUGCUCAACAAGAUCACCAUCAAGAACAAGUAUCUGAUUCCAUUGAUUGCGGACUUGUUCGACCAGCUUGGGAAAGCGCGGUACUUCACCAAACUUGACUUGCGCUCUAGGUACUACCAAGUGCGCAUCGCCAAGGAAGACGAACCGAAGACAGCGUGCUCAACAAGGUACGGGUCUUUCGAGUUCCUUGUGAUGCCUUUUGGCCUUACUAAUGCACCCGCCACAUUUUGCACACUCAUGAACAAGGUGCUCCAACCAUUCCUCGACCGCUUCGUGGUCGUGUACUUGGAUGACAUAGUGGUGUAUAACACCACGCUCGAGGAUCAUGCCCAAUACUUGCAACAAGUCCUCCAAGUACUCCGAGACAACGAGCUCUUCCUCAAGUUAGAGAAAUGCUCGUUUGCACAACAAGAAGUGGAGUUCCUUGGCCAUAAGAUUGCGGGCGGGAAGAUUAUGAUGGAGAACGCCAAAGUAAAGGCCAUCCUCGAUUGGGAGCCUCCCUCGAAAGUGCCCGAGCUUCGCUCAUUCCUUGGGCUGGUGAAUUACUACCACCGCUUCAUCAAGGGCUAUUCGGCCAAGGCGGCACCCUUGACGGAUAUGCUCAAGAAAAACAGAACGUGGCAUUGGUCCGAAGAAUGACAACGCGCAUUCGAGGAAUUGAAGAAGGCAAUUUCGGAGGAACCCGUCCUCGCUCUUCCGGAUCACACAAAGCCCUUCGAAGUUCAAACGGAUGCCUCGGAUUUCGCCAUAGGUGGAGUCCUCAUGCAAGAAGGUGACCCCAUAGCACUCGAGAGUUGAAAGCUAAACGAUACGAAACGCCGCUACACAGUGCAAGAGAAAGAGAUAACAGCCAUCAUCCAUUGUCUAAGAGUGUGGCGACAUUACUUGCUUGGCUCACACUUCACAAUCAUGACGGACAACGUAGCGACGAGCUACUUCCAAACUCAAAAGAAGUUGAGUCCGAAGCAAGCACGGUGGCAAGAUUUCCUAGCGGAAUUCGAUUAUCGGCUCGAGUAUAAACCGGGCAAGGCCAAUGUCGUUGCGGAUGCUCUAAGCCGCAAGGCAGAAUUGGCAACACUUAACAUGAGCCAACCGAAGUCCGACCUUGUCUCACGCAUCAAGGAAGGCCUCCAACGAGAUCCGCUAGCAAAUGACUUGCUGGAGAAGGUGCUUGAGGGAAAGACAAGGCGCUUUUGGCAAGAGGAAGGCAUCCUCCUCACCAAGGGAGAUCGGCUGUUCGUGCCAAGGUGGGGAAACCUACGGAAGGAAGUAAUCAAGGAGUGCCACGACUCUAAGUGGGCUGGUCACCCAGGAAUCGAGCGCACCACCGCACUAGUCCAAGCCUCGUAUUUUUGGCCGCACACGAGGGACGAUAUCGAGGCCUAUGUGCGAACUUGUCUUGUGUGCCAGCAAGACAAAGUGGAUCAUCAACUUCCAGUGGGAUUAUUGGAACUGCUACCAAUAGCAACAAGGCCAUGGGAAAGUGUCUCCAUGGACUUCAUCACAUCACUGCCCAAGUCCGAAGGUUGCGAUAGUAUCAUAGUUGUUGUCGACUGAUACAGCAAGUAUGCCACAUUCAUUGCCGCACCAAUCGAUUGCAAAGCGGAUGAGGCAGCCCGCUUAUUCGUCAAACAUAUUGUGAAGCUUUGGGGAGUUCCAAAGAGCAUUGUGAGCGAUCGAGACCCUCGAUUCACUGGGCGUUUUUGGACGGAGCUCUUUAAGAUAUUGGGGACCGAUCUCAAGUUCUCGACAAGUUUCCACCCACAAACGGAUGGGCAAACCGAGUGCAUUAAUGGCCUCCUUGAGAUGUACUUGAGGCAUUAUAUGAGCGCUCACCAGCGGGAUUGGGCGAAGCUACUCGACAUCGCCCAAUUUUCUUAUAACUUGCAACGAAGCGAGGCUACGGGCAAGAGUCCGUUCGGGAUCAUCAUGGGAUUCCAGCCCAUGACCCCCAAUGCCAUAGCCUCGACUUACGGAGGGAAAAGCCCCGCGACAUACAAGCUCGCCCGCGAAUGGCAUGAGGAAGCAGACAUCACGCGAACCUGCCUCGACAAAGCCGCGAGGAAAAUGAAGAAAUGGGCGGAUACAAGGAGACAACAUGUUGAGUACAAGGAAGGUGAUCAAGUCAUGAUCAAGCUCCUACCCCAAUAAUUCAAGACUUUGCGGAAAGUUCACAAGGGGUUAGUGAGGCACUACGAGGGACCCUUCCGAGUUGUUCGACGUGUGGGCAACGUCUCGUAUCAACUCCAACUUCCGCCAAGACUCAAGAUCCAUCCGGUUUUCCAUGUGAGCAUUCUCAAGCCAUAUCAUGAAGACAUGGGAGAACCAAGUCGCGGAGAAUCGAGGCGCGCGCUAACUGCCGUUGUCACCGCAUUCGACAAAGAUGUGGACUACAUCAUUACGGACCGCACGGUUUCGAGGAGGGGCAUGCCAGCACAUAGCGAGUACUUGGUGAAGUGGAAAAACCUCCCCGAGAGCGAAGCCACUUGGGAACGUGAAGAUGAUUUGUGGCAAUUCGCUGAGCACAUUCAACGCUUCAAGCACGAGAAUGCGACGAGGAAGCCGCGAGCUUAGGUGGGGGAGGAUGUUGCGGACCGCCCAAUUCGCUAGCCCAAUUGUCCACAAUUUCGGGCUAGAGAGCCAACACAAGGCCAAGAGUGCUAGCUUGGCCCAAUUCCGGAAACUUCUAGGCAACUCUAGCACAUGAGCUUGUAAAUACUCUAGAAUUCUCCUUAUAAUUCCAGCACAUGUAAAUAGCUAGGAAGUGGUAGAAUUCUCUAGAAUCUCUAGAGCUUGGCAAGCCUGCCUUAUAAAUAUGGGAUGGCAUUAGGCAUUUGUAUCCAACAAACACUACAACAAGCAUUGUAAGCAACUCAAGCAUUGUAAUCUCUCUUUGUGCAAUACAAGUUUCUUCUUUGGCUCAAUUGCUCUCUUCUCUAGUUCGAGAAGCUUUAGGCUUACUUAGCAACAUUCGGCAAAGUUGUCUAAGUGCCGCACGGGUUAGCUGCGCAAAAUACUCAUCCCGUGACAAUAUGCCAUGGUUGUGAACUAAAAGUUUAUUAAAGACAAGAUUUAUGUUAAAAGAUUUUUCAUAACAAGUCUUUUAACACCAUUUAUAUCCACAUCUGUUUAAUAACUGGUCUGUAAUAACCAGUCUUUAUUGCUCUACUCGGAUGUAAAUAGUAAGCAGUCAUAAUGUAUUUGUUGUAUUUAAUUAAAUUAGGUGAUGCAAUUUGGUACAUGCCAAAGAAAAAAAAAAUAAAUGCAGAAAUUUAAUUUGGUUUGUUAGCAUUCCAUUGCUUGGCCAAUUUCCUUAACAUUGAAUGAUUGAAUAAAUUUUUAAUUUUUCAUUUUCAGGAGGUUAUUAGAUUUAUUUGGAGGUAAAUUUGGAAGGAUAUUUAUGAACUAGUUGAAAGCUGACAUGUGAUAUAAGAAAUAAUAAAUAAGAAGUUUAUCGUUGAAAAAAGUGAUACUUUUACUGUUCCCUAUGAACCAAUUAAGGAAUAAAAUUAGCUUACUUAGAUGGACAAAUCUGAAAUAAGAUACGAGAUAACAAGAAAAAGUUAUUUGUCUUCCAACCUAAGGAUAAGGAAACAAUAGGGAAUCAUAUCAGCAGAUACAUCUAGUCAGUAAAAAAUUCCUCGGCAUCUCUAUAAGGGUAAUUUCUACUUUCCUUCCCUAAGGUUUGGUGUAUCUCCACUUUCCUCCCUUACUGUUAGUAUACUGUUUAAAUACCCGUUAGUUGAUUGAAUAAAAGACUUAAAUAUCCUUGAACUAGUAUAAUCAAAGCUAACAAAGAUCUGAUAGGUGAUAGCUUCUUCUGAAAAAUGGCGCCAAGUGUAUAAACAAGACAAAAUGACCAUAUUAUCCCUACCAAAAACUCAAAUUUCUUUGUUGUUUUAGAAAUCAAAGUUUAACAAAAAAGAAAUUUUUUUUAGAAAUAUUAAAGAACACUAACAAUAUUACCCUUGAAUCCAAACAACUAUAUUGGCAGUGAUGUUUUCUAUAUAUUCAUCAUCUCAAUAUCACCAUUUACAAGUGGUUUUCUUGGCAUUUGCAUCACAACCAAAAUAUAAAACAAAACUCAUUCACUGCAAAAAUCAUCCCACUAUUUUGAUUCAUCAUCCAACUCAAUUUCGAAAGAACCAUCAACCAUAAUUUCCUAAAAUAUGGAUGGUUUCUACACUUCUCCUAUAUUUAUAGAUAAGGUAGUUGUUAAAAUCACCAAGAAUUUUUUGAAUAUUCCAAUUCCCUAAUAUGCAGGCGGGGUUAGUUGAGUUUUUCUUCAUUUGUUUUUCAAAAAAUUGGUACUUAUUUAGACAUGAAGGAAAUUUUAAUGAUUCAUAAAUGUUCGUUACAGGUUUCUCUUAUCUUGGGUAUUUGGGGAGCCAAAAGUCAAGGAAAGACAUUCCAAUGUAAAUUCAAAGACAGUUAACUAAAACACCAAUUUGAGUUAACUGAAGCACCAAUUCGUGUCAUCUAUUUUCAUACUUUAAAGGAAAAAAAAAUAUAAAAAUCAUCCCCACAAACCCACAUCACUAUUAACAACAACAUCUCAACUGCAUUUUAACUGAUCCCAUCACCAUUAUAAGCAAAAAAAAAAAAAACAUAAGCAGGGGAAAGUUGUAGUUUUCUAGUUCUUGGCUCUAAUGCAAGUGGAUGAUCUAUAGGUCAUUGACAAUAUUCGCUAAUGGCAGUCCAUUCAGGUAGAUUCAUCAAAUCCGUCCCAGGUGUUAUCGAUUGAGAUUGGUUCUUUUUCAUUUUGUUAACAACAGCUUCUAAUUUCUUGAAAUGAUUUGAGAACAAUUGAAAUAGGUUAUUAGUUUUUUAUGACUUCGAUUCCAGUAGAUGAAAGAGAAAAGCUUAUGAGCUUUUUUGUGACUUCGAUUCCAAAUCCAAUAGAUGAAAGAGAAAAGCAUGUUGUGAGUUAAAACAUAAUGUAUAAAAGGUUGCAUAUGUUGUUACUCUCUCGAUAUUAAUAUGUUUCUAUGACUACACUAUUCUCAAAGCAAAAACUUUUAAAUUUGCCUGAAUAUAUAAUUAAUGAAGUAUGCAAUUACAAAAUUGUCAUUAGUGACUAACCAAAUACGAAGUAGUAUACUAACAGUAAGGGAGGAAAGUGGAAAUACAACAAUAUUUGGGUUGAGUUAAAUGUAUUUUCUGUCUUUGUUCUGUUGCUUGCUCCGAAAUCCUGUUUCAAAGGCUGGGCAAGUUUGGCACUCCAUAUUAGGGGUGGGCAAAAAAACCGUAGUCUUAAAAAAACAAAACCGAACCGACGGUUUUUUCUAAUUCGGUUCGGUUUUUUUUUUUUUAAAAAAAAACCAAACGGUACAAUUUAUAAAAAAAUCGAAAUAUCGGUUCGGUAUUCAGUUCAUUUAACUGAACCGAAAAACUGAAUUAUUUUUAAAUUUUAUUAAAUUAAAUAUGUGUUAAUUUUUAACUGAUUAUGUAAGAUAGCUAACAUAAACUUGCAUAGACACAAUCAGAGUAUAUAUAUAUGUUAGUGUUAUAAUUUCGUAAAUUUUUAUUUCCCAAAAUAAACCCUAAAAUCAAAUAUUCAAAAUCAAAACCCAAUCCAAAUCACCCACCCCAAUCCACUGCAAUCACGGCCGAUGCUGCUCACCGGCGUGACAGCUUCUUCUCCGCUCGCCAGCCACCGCGCGCCAGCCACUUCUCCACUCGAGCCACCGCGUGACAGUUUAUGCUUUGUUCGACGGUUUCUGCUUUGCGCGACAACUUCUUCUCUACUAGCCAGCCACGACGAGUGGAGAAGUGGCUGGCGUGCGGUGGCUGGCUAGUAGAGAAGAAACUGUCGCGCAAAGUAGAAACCGUCGAGCAAAGCAUAAACUGUCACGCGGUGGCUCGAGCGGAGAAGUGGCUGGCGCGCGGUGGCUGGCGAGCGGAGAAGAAGCUGUCGCGACGUGGCUGGCUAGUAGAGAAGAAGCUGUCGCGCCGGUGAGUAGCAUCGGCCGUGAUUGCAGUAGAUUGGGGUGGGUGAUUUAGAUUGGGUUUUGAUUUUGAAUAUUUGAUUUUAGGGUUUAUUUUGGGAAAUAAAAAUUUACGAAAUUGUAACACUAACAUAUAUAUAUACUCUGAUUGUGUGUAUGCAAGUUUAUGUUAGCUAUCUUACAUAAUCAGUUAAAAAUUAACACAUAUUUAAUUUAAUAAAAUUUAAAAAUAAUUUGGUUUUUUGGUUAAGUUAAAUGAACCGAAUACCGAACCGACAUUUCAGUUUUUUUUAUAAAUUGUACCGUUCGGUUUUUUAAAAAAAACCGAACCGAAUUAGAAAAAACCGUCGGUUCGGUUCGGUUUUUUUAAGACUACAGUUUUUUUGCCCACCCCUAAUAAUCAUGUAUAAACUUUAUAAAUCCAAGCAUAGAUUUAAUCGAAUAUUAAUCCUAACAAUCAAUAAUGCAUGACAGAAUUGAUGAAAAGAUUUUAAUAACAUCCAAUUAAUCAUGUAAAAUAAAAAUCAUAAUCAUUAAAGAACAUAUAUAGGGAAUUAAAUAAAUAAAAAGAUAAUUAUUUCAUUGAAUAGAGUUUCAUCCUUAACCUCAGUAUAAGAAAAUUAGCUCGACAUACUUGAAUUAAGAGUAAUAAAAGAGAUAAAACCAGCCAUGGAAGUCGAACUACUGCAGAUUUUCUUCUCUUUGUCUCGCGUUUCCCUCCUCUGGCGGCUCCUCCUUCUUGCAAAAGCCAAAGUUCGACUUUUAUGUUGUAACACCCUCCAAAAUCCUCAAAUCAAAAGGUUUUCAAACAAGCAAAGCACAACCGACUUUGAGCCCAUGCACGUGAAGCCCACUUGGAAUUUUCAUUCUUUUUUUAAUGCCAUGCAAUUGCUUCUCACGUGCCGGCCACUUUAGCUUUAAAUUUCUUCUUUGUUUGCACUAGCAUGGAGAGUUCAAUUUAUUGGCUUCGGCUUCUUCGGAUUGAAUUUCAUACACAUUUGCUUAACUGCUUCUACAAAUUGACUUGAUCUUCAAUGUUGUCCAAUUGUUAUUCUUUAUGCACUUUUCAUCCAUAAUCUCCAAUUAAUUCCCUAUUCAAUAAAAUAAUUCAAUUAAUUAAAAAUGACCAAUGAAAAUAGCUAGUAAUUAUAUAAUUAAGGGUAAAAUAUGUAUAUAAAUUAUGCUCAUCAACUACCCUGCGGUACCCAACCUAAAUAUAUUCACUUAAAAGGGAUAAGAGAAGGACUCCAUUUUUCUUUUUCUUUCUCUUCAACUCUCUUGAGCUCAAGUCACAACUUUUAAUUGAUUCAAUUCAAAUCAGAAAAUUCUGUGAAAAAAACAACCAACCAAAAGUUAAAGUAUUGGAUAUGCCUUUCCAGAAAAAAAAAAAAAAGGCUCUGAACAUCCAUUAACAUUUCACCUUCUUCUUUCGCCAGAAAAUCAGCUCUAUGAGUUCGUUUUCCGACGAAACCUUCUUUUUUCAUUCCUUUUUUAUUUUCUUUACUUAUUUUCUCCACUCAGAUCCUCAGAUCUGUGGUGGUUUUGUUCUUCCACUCAUAUUUUCAAAUCUGUGGUGGUAUGUUCUUCCACUCAGAUCUAGAGAUUUGUGGUGGUUUAUUAUUGUUUGUCUACCCAGAUUUACAAAUCUGGGGUUCAUUUGAUUUUGCUUGGUUUUGUAUUUUAUGAUGCAGAAUUUUGAGAAGAAAAGUUUCUACUUUGUGGAAAGUGUUGCAAAGGCAGAUCCGAUGGAUGCCUUUAAGAAACUUAAGAAAUUUAGGCAAAGUUUUUGCAGAGAAGAAACUAUCUAUGAUGCAUCAAAAGUGGAGUCCCCUCCCUGCUCAUGUUGUAAAGGCUCAACUUUUCAAAGAGUAAGAAAGACAAAGCCUUCUCAUAUUGCCCACCCCAGAGGAGAGAAACAACAAAAGUGGUUCCCUCCCCCUGAAAAUAUUUUCAAAAUUAAUGUGGAUGUUGCCAUCAAUACUAAGAAUCAGAUUGCAGGCGUGGGAGCAGUGAUUAGAGAUUCUAAUGGAAAGAUAAUUACAGCCGGUAUUAAUCAGAUUCAUCUUAAGGGACCAGUCAGUUUGGCUGAGGCAGAGACUGUGCAAUGGGGGCUUCAGUUGGCAAAAGAAGCAGAUUUAACCUCCUUGAUCAUUAAGUCAGAUUGCUUAGAGGUGGUUCAACUGUAAACAACACCAAGGGCAGCGAAAUAGAAAUUUUUUGGACAAUUCUGGAGAUCCGAAAUCAGUUGAAAGGUUUUCAAAAAGUUGUUGUUCAUCACAUUCCAAGACAAUGUAAUGUUUAUGCCCAUUCCCUAGCUAAGUUAGCUUUGGGAAGAAAUUCUUCUUCUAUGUGGCUAGGAACUAUUCCAGCCGAGAUUCAAGUUUUAUUUGAGGUGUUGUGAUUUAUGAAAGGUUUACUUUUUUUUUUUAAAAAAAGAGUAUUGGAUAUGCCUAUUUAUCCUCUAAUAAUUACUUUAAAUACUUUAUUGUUCUACACACUCAUCUAUUAAAUUUAAAAAAUUAAGUUAUACUUUGUAUGGUCUUUAAAAUACUAAAAAUCCUUAAGCAUGUUAAAUUAAUUACAUUUAUUUACUCAAAACAAUACUCAAAGAAAAUUCUUUAAAAAAAUUAAGCAUAUAAUACUGAAGUUUUUAUUGACAAAUCGACAAAUCCUAAUAUAAUUUAUUUCUAUCCCCUACCUCUUCCAAAUUUAAACUUGGAGUGAUUAAGAGAAUAAUAAUAAUAAUAAAUUGUUUAGAAAACCACUAACCAAGGCCUAUAUCAUCAUAUCAUAUCAUAUGAAUUUUGUUACAAAUUAGUUAUUAAUAUUUUGAUAAUUUAGUGACCCUCAUUCAACCGAAAUUGGAUUGCUUUUUGUAAUGGGGAAGGUAUUCGCAUCAAACCCGUUAUCUCUAAACGUACCCGACCCAGCAUUCGAGUCAUGGCUACGCGACUCCGGCUACCUCGAAAUCCUCGACACCGCCACCACCACGUCGGCCACCGCCGUCACAACAGCCUCCACCAAAGAAACAGCCACAGCCACGACCAUAACUCACAGCCUUUUACAUUAUUUAUACACCUUUAAGAGAAGGGAGGUAUGGGAGCCAGCACUAAUGUUUGAAUUGAGAGGUUAAAGCAUAUUUUCUUUUCCCCCCCUCUUUUUAACUAUUUCUUUGCAUGCUAUAGGACUGAUUUCAGGGUGAAUCUGAGAGAGGAGGAGAUAUGGACAUCAGCUUCAGACUAUUUUCAGAGAGGCUGAGAAGGGUGUUAGCUGGUGAAGAAGUCACGUUGCCUGAUGCUGCAAAACUACCUAUUCAGAACCUUCAUGCCGAGACUGAAAUCGUUACUUCUUGGCUGAGUGAAUUUCAAGAUGAUAUCUCCUGCCUUCUGCUGCAAAAGAUGGGACACAGAGAAAUUAAAAACCCAGAUCUGACGACCGUUAUGGAUGAAAUCAAUUGCUUUACGUAUGAAUCUGAGAAGGUGAUUGACACAUUCAUCAACAACAUCAGUGAACAGAAGAGUCAAAGCAGCUGCAGCGAGGAUAUUUUUGAUGCUCUGCAAGGACUCCAAAGCAGAAUCACUGAUAUUAAGCAACGGAUGCAACAACUUAAGCACAUGGAUUCCGAAAUCAUUGAUCGCAUCAAAACUUUUGAAGCUGAAGCCGGUAUAUCUUCAUCUUCUAAAAGUAGGGACACCGUGGGUCUAGAUGAUAGAAUGGAGGAGUUGUUAGAUCUAUUGAUCGAGGGACCACCUCAGCUUUCAGUGGUGGCCAUACUUGAUAGCAUUGGGUUGGACAAGGCGGCUUUCGCCGGAGAGGCUUACAACAGCAGUUAUGUGAAGCAUUAUUUUGAUUGUCACGCUUGGGUUCCAGGGACUUAUCCGUAUGAUGCUGACCAAAUGUUAGAUAUCGUUAUUAAGUUUCUGAUGCCUUCAUCUAGGUUGAGUGAAAUAAUGGAUAAAAAUUAUGAAAUGAAAAAAAUAAUUCUUCAUGAAUAUCUAAUGACCAAGCGGUAUUUGAUUGUGAUUGAUGAUGUGUGGAACAUUGAAGUAUGCGAUAUUAUUCGAGAAAUACUCCCGGAUAAUCAGAAUAGAAGUAGAGUAUUAAUAACACUCACUGAAAUUAAGAUGGUCACCUCAUUUCAGCUCGAAGACAGAGAGAACAUUCGGCUUGAUUUAGUGCCUACUGGAGGACCAUUGAGAGCUACAUAUAAAGGAUGGCCUUUCCUCAUCUUAUAUCAUGGAAGCAUCUCAUUUGAAGAAAAUAUAGAGGAAGCAGUGGAGAUACCCCUUGUGUUUCGGUACUUCAAAUGUUGCAGUUUACCUUUUUGCUUGAAACUUUGUUUUCUCUACUUAUCUGUGUUUCCCGCACACCUAGAGAUAUCCACCAGGCAGUUAUAUCAGUUGUGGAUAGCUGAAGGUUUCAUCCCAGACAAUAGUGAGGCAACUGCUGAGAAUUACUUAGAACAACUAAUCAAGGGAGGCUUUGUUGAAGCAAAUAAGAGAAAAGCCGGAGGCACUAUCAACACAUGCUCUAUUCCUGGUCGUUGGCGUCCCAUGUUGUUCACGGUUCCUUCUGAUGUGGAAUUCAUCUUUUCCCCUUUCGUGGAUGGUAAAUCAGGAAAAAAAGCCAAACGGUUAAACGCUGUUGAAAGAUGGGAUGAUUUUGUUUGCUUAGAUGAUUAUGACUCGCAACUGCAUUCUUUCUUGUGCUGCUCUCCAGAAAGCCGCCACAUUGACCCCAUAGAUUGGGAGAAAAUUUGUGGAAUGUUCAAACUUCUCAGAGUGUUGGACUUGGGAUCUCUUGUUCUCAUCCAGUAUCCAUCCGGAAUUGAAAAUUUAUUUCUUUUGAGAUAUUUGAAGUUGAAUAUCCCUUCCCUCAAAAGCCUGCCUUCCUCAUUAUUAAGCAAUCUUCUGAACCUCUACACCCUAGACAUGCCCUUUAGCUAUAUAGAUCAUACGGCAGAUGAAUUUUGGAAGAUGAACAAACUCAGACAUCUAAAUUUUGGGUCAAUCACACUUCCUGCGCAUCCAGGAAAAUACUGUGGCUCUCUGGAAAAUCUAAAUUUCAUUUCACCCUUGCACCCUUGCUGCUGUACUGAAGAUAUAUUGGGCAGGCUACCUAAUCUUCAAAAUCUCCGAAUACAGGGAGAUUUAAGUUAUGAUCAAUCUUUGCUGUCGAAAAGUCUCUGCAGAUUGAGCUGUCUCGAGUCAUUGAAGCUGGCGAAUGAAAGCAAGAUGCCACGGCUCUCCAAAAUCGUCCUUGCUGAAUACCUAUUUCCUCAUAGUCUAACCCACUUGAGUUUUUCUAAUACUGACCUAAUGGAUGAUCCCAUGCCGACACUAGAAAAGCUGCCGCUUCUUCAAGUGCUCAAACUGAAGCAAAAUUCGUAUUCAGGUGGUAAGCUGACUUGUGGCUCUGAUGGUUUUCCAAAUCUCAAGGUAUUGCACCUGAAAUCAAUGUUAUGGCUAGGGGAGUGGACUAUUGGGAUUGGAGCCAUGCCAAAACUGGAAUGCUUGAUUAUCAACCCUUGUGCUUACUUGAAAAAGAUGCCUGAACAGCUCUGGGGCAUAAAGAGCUUAAACAAGUUCGAUUGCUGGUGGCCUCAGCCAGAGCUAAGACAAAAGCUACGGGAAUUUGAGGAUAAGGAACAGUGCGGCAUUCAACUAUAUCCUUGCGGAAUUUGAUUAGCCCCUAUUGAAUUUGAUGUAUGUUUCUCGUUUUACCCAAUUUCUUCAAAUUUUAAUUAUUUAUCCAAUUGCAUAUACUUUUUUUUUCCCCUUCUCUUCAAUACAAAAAAGGUUUUACAAAUUGUUUUCUUCUAAUUUGUCUCAACAUUAAGUACCCUUUAGAGUUUCCAAUGCUCACCCCAAUCAUCAAGCCCUCUUUAGCAGCAGUGGAGACAUAAGUAUAUUCAACCAUGAGCCUAGAAGACUUCGGCGUUCAUUUGUUUUAAUAGUUAAGGAAAAAAAUGUAAUUUAAAAUUCUUAUUUUUCACAAUUUCUUCAAUGAUUUGUGUAGGUGAAAUCAGAGCAGAAAACAUCAUAACUGCAGCCCGAGCUUCAAUUUCAACCAGAAUCCUUUCUGUCUUCACUUCUGCUGUCUACACAAAUAAAUAAGAAGUUUCGUUUCGGAUUUUUCAGUUGAGAGUUCAUUGAUUUGUGCUUCAGCCUCGGUUCGUUAAUUGUGUACAAAAAAUAAAUAAUAUUUGUGAUGCUUUCUAGUGUUUGGGUUGAGUUGAAUGUGUUUUCUGUCUUUUGUUCUGUUGCUUGCUCUGAAAUCCUGUUUCAGAGGCUGGGCAAGUCUGGCACUCAAUAUGUUUCGUUUAUUUCGAGAAAAGAUUGAUUAUUGAUGAACUUCACACUUGGCUGAAUAUCUUAGUAAACGUUCUUGUGGAGAAAUCCUAAUACCCGCUUAGGCACUACAAUAAGGCAGAAAUACUAAUACUGCUUUACAUUUGUUGAUUGAUUAACAGCUUUGUUCUCUGCUGCUCUUUCUUUAUCUGAUACAGAAAAUUCCUUCAAUAUGAUUGCUAGUUGCUACUAACUAUCGAAGUAUUCCUCCUUUGGCUCAUUCAAUGGAAUAUGAGGGACAUAUUACUGAGACUGAGCCACGCUUCAUUGCCUUCCCGGAGAAAGUUGAAGUUUGGGCCGUGUACUUGGGACUGGAAUGAAGAGCGGCAGCGAAAUGAUUACAAGAAUUGCCAUUUAGAGGGGCUUUUUUGUGACUACUGAUGUGUCCCUCUAAUGGUUCAAUAAAUUGAAACCACGUCUAAUAAAAGGCUAGAAAAAAGCCGUGUAUAGUAAGCAGCGACUUUCAAUAAUAGAAUUUUGCGUGCAAGUGUGUGCAUUCGAGAAAGCAAAGUAUAAGUUUUUGUAUAGCUAUAGCCUACGGUAUAUGUGCGAGCACCUAAGAUAUAUUUUGCAGUGAGCAUUGACACGACAUCAAAUAUUUUUUCCUAGAGCAUGCAUGAAAACAUCUAUAAAAUUCAAGAAGGUAUAACUGCAAUCCCUCGUUCAAAUUUAUAACAAAUCAAUUAUAAAAAUAUUCGGAGCGAAAUUAUGUUUUAUAUUAGAUCACAUGUUAAAAUAGUUAUCAAGAUAUGCAUGUAUAUACUAUUUGCAUAAAUAAAAUGUACUGCGACAUUAUGUAAUGCAUUUGAGUGGGCAAAGGAGGAACUUUAUCACUUGCAAGGCUUUUUUGUUUGUCGUUACCCAAACCAAUUUGCUUGAAUAUAUCCUGCAAGAGCCUUUUUCAUUGCUACCAUAUGCCAUGGUUGUGAACUAAAAGUUUCUUAAACGCAAGAUUUAUGUUAAAAGAUUUUUCAUAACCAGUCUUUUAACACCAUUUUCAUCCACAUCUGUUUAACAACCGGUCUUAAUAACCUGUCUUUAUUGCUUUACCCGUACGUAAAUAGAAAGCAGUUAUAAUGUAUUUGCUGUAUUUAAUUAAAUCAAUUGUAUUAAAUUAAAUCAAGUGAUGAAAUUUGGUACAGGCCAAAGAAAAAAAAAUAAAUGUAGAAAUUUAAUUUGGUUUGUUAGCAUUCCAUUACUUGGCCAAUUUCCUUAACACUGAAUGAUUGAAUAAAUUUUUAAUUUUUCGUUUUCAAGAGUUUAUUGGAUUUGUUUGGAGGUAAAUUUGGAAGGAUAUUUAUGGACUAAUUGAAAGCUGACAUGUGGUAUAAGAGUAAUAAAUAACAAGUUUGAACGGUGAAACAAAAAAAAGACACCUCGACUGUCCUACACAAGCUAAUCAAGGAAAAGAAUAAAGUUUGGUAAAAUUAGCGUGAAAAGCAAGCUCAUUUGAUAUUUGAGUAAAGAGGUGCCAUGCAGUAGAAAAGAUUAAACUACCCUGUGGUACCCAAUCUAAAUAUAUUCACUUAAAAGGGGCAAGAGAAGGACUCAAUUUUUCUUUUUCUUUCUCUGCGACUCUCUUGAGCUCGAAUCACAACUAGAAAUUGAUUCAAUUCAAAUAAAAAAAUCAAUGAAAAAAACAACCAACCAUUAGUUAAAGUAUUGGAUAUGACUAUUUGCACUCAUCUAUUAAAUUUAAAAAAUUAAGUUAUACUUUGUACAAUCUUUAAAAUACUAAAAAUUUUUAAGCAUAUUAAAUUAAUUACAUUUAUUUACUCAAAACAAUACUCAAAGAAAAUUCUUUAAAAAAAUUUAGCAUAUCAUACUGAAGUUUUUAUUGACAAAUCGGCAAAUCCUAAUUGUGCAUAAAUAUGUAGCGUGCUUAUUACGUGUCUUGUAGCAUGCUUAUUACGUGUCUUUUCGCGUGCCAUGCUUUGGCCCAUCUCUAAUUGUACCGUGCUUUUAAGGCCCGCGUGCCUAAAAUUUUAGGCCCGACACGACCCACAUGCGUGCUGUGCCGUACCGCGUGCUCUACCGAAACAUGCUCGUGUCAUGCCGUGCUAUACAGACAUGUGCCGUGCCUCGUGCUGCCCAACCCAUUGGCCAUCACUAAACACACCCUCCACCACAAAUUACAGAUCCUCAGAAAAUAGAUUCUCCAAUAGAGGUGGUGAUGAACUUAUAGGUGCAAGCCAUGUAGCGGAGCGGAGCAGCGCUUCGGCUGAUCUUUCAAUAAAUAAUGACAAGAUUCCUAUCAGAAAUGAUAAUGGCAAUAAUAAUGAUAAGGAAACUAAAAACUCUGAAUAGCGAUUUGGCAAUGGCAAUCAAUCAGAGCAUAGGUUGCUUACUUAAAUAGGUGAGAACUUUGUACCACUCACGGAUCUCCAAUCAUCCAUCUCUGACACUAAUAUGUCUUCUAAGAACUCUGAAUAGCGAUUAAUGAUACGUGGAAGCUGCGUAAAAGUUAUGACAACAACAAAAUCAGCUUCAUGUUGCCUAAAAUACAAUUAAAUAUAACUAUAAAGAACUUUGUUGGGAAAUAUAAAUAGCAGCUACUUCAUCGUGAUCUUGGAAAUAAUAUUUUGAAUAAUAACAUUUUCCAGAAAAAGACAAGGAACAAUAGAAAAUAUUGAAGAAGCAAAAAAUACUGUACACUGUAGAGACCUCUCCUCAAAACUUUACUGUAAUUACCAAUUGUGACCGAGGAACUCAUUGCCACUCAUCAUCUAUAGUAUACAUAUAACUUUUAACACCUUAGCAAGGAAGUUACCUGCUCAGAUAGAAUACCGGAGAUGCCCACAACUGCUCCUGGCUUAGCAUAAGAAACAAUAUGAUCUGCUAAUUGCGGCAGAGGAUUAAGAAGAAUAUUUGCAAUAACUACAUCAUACUCCUCUGUCUCAGAAAUCCCUCUAAUUUCGUGUGAGCUCAAAUAUUCCACUACUCCGUCUACCCUUUCAUUCAUGGAGGCCGUGAAGGUUCUGUCUGGAACCAAGUGUAGUUUUAUUUUCUUAGGUCCUAUGUUGUUUAAAGCAGCAUUUUGAUGGGCAGAUUUGAUUACCUGGGGAUCUAUAUCAACUCCAACAAACAUGGCAGCACCGAACUAAAUUCACAAAAGAAUUGACUUUGUUUCACAUUGUACAACAGAAAGAAAAUUAUGCUACAGUAAUGGGUCGAUAUUUAUAGCUGCAGUAGCAAAGUUAAUAGUUGAUUACCUUGAUUGCUGCAAUUCCAAGAAUUCCUGAACCCGUGCCAUAGUCCAAGAAGAGUUCUCCUCCUUUUAUCAAGCUUCGUAACAACAAAAGACACAACUUAGUGGUGGCGUGCUCGCAAGUUCCAAAUGCCAAUCCAGGAUUCAAAAUUAUAUUUGUUGCUUGAACAUCCUGUAGCGAGCAAAAAAAUAAAAUUAUUGAUAAGAUGUGUUAACCAUUGCUCAAAGCUAAAAUUUUUCUUUGUAAAGAAUUAAAAGAAGUAAAAAUGCAAGGGAGACUAUUCCAGCAGUCAAACGGAUUUGCAAUGAGAAUGCCAAGUCGGUGUGUUUGGAUUACUCUUCCUAAUUUUAGAAUUUCCGCGUAAACUAUCAGGCAAAUUCACUAGAACCUUAGGUCAUUAGGCAGAGGGGCCCAAUAAUAAAUAAGCAGCUAUAUUGAAGACUUAACUAAUGUGGGAUUAAAUCAACAUUAUGAUUUUGCAAAUGAAAGUUCCUCAUUGAUGAAAUUUAAAGACUUGGAAGCAAUUAGCUCAUAAGACUUCUGCAGAAGCAAUGAAGAAGAGGGUACCCUAUAAAAGAUGAGAAAUUACUGCAACAAAACCUCCAAAGAGAGUGAGAUAAUCAUACUGGUGGUGUACUCCACUCGGGCACAAUCCAUAGUCCUUUUGUCACCUCAACGGGAUGAAAUGAUUCCUGCAACAUGUAAGAAAAUAGAAUCAAAUUAACAUAACAUAAUUCCAUUUAUACCAUUGUGAUAGAGAGAAAAAGGAGAGCAAACAAACCUGAGCUUUCUUUAUCCAGUUGCAUUGCUCUCCCAUUUUAACUUCAUAACGUGGUAUCUCUUUCAAGCCUAUGGAAUUAGCAGCAUUUAAUAUGCACUCAUCCACGUCUUUGCAUUCAGGAAAUAUGGAAUCAAUAUAGAUCUGCAUAAAACAAAUCUGUAAGUAAUAUUUAAAACAACUGUAGUUUUUAUUCAGAAGCCACUCUACAUUCAACAAAAUCUAAGACCAACUAGUAACAUUAUAAUGGCGUCUUAGAGGCACUCUUUUAACACAGAAAGAAGCCAAUUUUCAAUUCCAUACCAAACAUUGAAAAUUUUGUACUUAUUUAGUAUUAUUAUUAUUAAUUUUUUCCUCUGGCUACCUUUCUAGCAAGUGAGCCAACAAAGUCAACAAAAAUCUAAGGCCAACUGGUAACAUUACAUUGGAAUUUACAUUUGCAAAUGGGAUAUGAGUUUCAUUUCUUGUUUAUUGUUACUCUCAACAUCCUUUACAAGAUAUGAAUCAAUAAUAUAAAAAAAAAAGAAAAGAAAAAAAAGAAGGCAGAAAUUAAAAUACAAAGUUUCAACCUUAUCAGAAUUCUCAUCAGCAUCAUUAUCAUGUUCAUCCACGCUUGUAGAACUUGCACCGAAACAUAGAAGAGCUUCAGAAAACAUAUCCUGACAACACAAGUUAAGGCACCUCAAUUUUAAUGCCAAAUAAUUACUAAUUCAAAAUGCUUAAAAACACAGACAAGUGAAAAAAGUGAAACAAACUAAGGCAAGUUUUUGACAGCAAAUGCGAACUGAGAGAUAAGGAGAUUCCGCUAACGGAGGGUAGAUAGAGGAUAAGGAUGUGCAUGGAGAAGAAGAAGAAGAAGAAGAACAGGCUGAAACUUUUAUGAGAACGGAAGAGAGUGUUGUUGACUGGGUUCUGGGUUUUUGUUUUAUGAGCGUAAAUAGAUUCUGAUGGCGGGUGAGCUGUUUGUACGGAAGACGUUUGAAGAAAUGACCCAAUGAGAAGAAUGACAUCGCCGCCCUGCUUUAUUAAGAUAGUUGUUUAUCUCAAGGUGCGUCUUCGAUUCGCAGAGGACUCAAAUAAUUUAUUUUCUAUCACAAUUUAUUUCCGCUCCCUUCUGAGUAGGAAGUAGUGCUGAUUUCCGAGCUAUCUUCUCAAUAAAACUUUCAACUAUUAUAACAAUUCAAAGAAAAUAUAAUUAUAUACUAACAUAAAGUGGAAAGUCAAUUAAAUUGGAUUGUUUGAUUAGAUUGGAUCAAAUACGGGACGGUUAACUUCUAAAUUCUGUAAGAUAUCCCUUUCAAAAUAAGUAAAAUAGAGGUGGUCCUAAGUGGACCACACUCCAUUCUCAUUAAAGGGUUGUAUUUAUAGAAAUUGUACAUAAAAGAAAGCUAUCGACACCCUCUAAGACUUUCAUAGAACCCUGCGCCUAGAACAAUAGAACUUACAAAAAGAGAAUAGAGCGGAGCUAUUGGCACCUCUAAAAGAAUUCUUAUAUCUUAAAUUUAUAUUUUUAACUUUAAUCAAAUCACAUUUGACAAUUCAUCUCUCUUCCGCUAACCCCACAUGGGUUUUAUUUUUAUUAAAUAAGAAAUAAUUUUGUUGUUAUAGUGAAAUUAUUUUUUAUUUUUAUUCUUAAAUUAGUGGUUUCUGUUGGACUAAAAUUUUUAGUUCAUUAUUUUCAAAUUAUGAAAGACUUAUUGUCUUUUACUAUUUUGGCUACUUGUUCUCUUGAUUUUAUCGAUUUAUGUGUUCAUAUAAAAACAUGUGAAUUGUCCCAUUCAGAGUAUAAAAUGAUAUUGGAUUAGUUUCUAGCAAUCUUUUUUAGCAUAAAAGAAAUAUUUAUUUAAUUCUUUUUUUUCUCUCUCGUAUAGUAAAGUUAGUGAGAAAGAAGUGUACAAGGACGUUUGUGGAAUUAAAAUAGCUCCACUUAAGAGGAUGGCCUUGAGUAUUUCUUAUCUAGUUUUUAGAUUCUAUUUUCUACUAGUUCAACUUACUUCAUAGUAAUAUUUUGAUAUAUUUUCCCAUGGAAUGAUAAAAUUAAGUUAAGUAAUAAUAUAAAUUCUAUAUUAUAAGAAUCUUAUACACAUAUAAGAAUAAGAAUAAAAAGUUGGAAAAAGAAGUUCAAAGAAUUUUAAAUUGAAAAGUUGAUUCUCAUGUGCCGAACAAGGGCUUCAGAUUAAAUUGUUGAAAAAGUUUUGUAAUAAAAGAUUUUUGUUUUCAUAUGAUUUUUUAACAAAAAAGAAUAUAUAAGGUUAUUUGCGGAAUUAACAUAGGUGUUGUUAAAAGUAGUGUGAUUUACAUAUGUCAUUAACGGAGUAAUUUUAGAAGAGAUGUUUUAUGAAGAGUUUAAAGUGGUGCUAAUAGUUUCAUUUAUUGACAAAUGGGUCAAAAAAACAUCCAAAAGCUUCAAAGGCCUUUCAUAAUACUCAUAAUGGAACACAAAAUAGUUAAUUAUACUUUACAACUCAAAUUUUUUUUUAACAUUUUACAACUCAAAACACGCUAGAAGAUUUUUAAUAUUUCUUAGUUAACUAUAAGAUACUAUAUAAGUAUAUAUAACAAAACAAGAAUAUAUUGAUUGAUACCAUAUAUUUGAUACAAAUGAAUAGAAAAUCUCUCACUUGAUAGAAUAUAUAUAACAUAUGACAAGUUACAUACAUCUAAUUUGUCAAAAAAAUGGGCUAUCUAGAUGGUCAACACCAUCUUUCGUUGGAAAAGAAAACAAAAGAAGAAUGGAGAAUGAGGAGCCGCAAUCUAGAAGCUGUAAAUGUUUGAAGAAGAAAUAAGAGGCACACGGCUUUGACAAAAGAAAGAAGGAAAAUAUAUAUAUAUAUAAUUGAUGAAUAGUGCCAAAGCUUUCUCUAUAAAUAGAAACGAAGAGAAUGAGCAAAUUAAUUUCAUUCAGAAAGCAAUUUAGGGAGUUGAGAGAGAGUUUAAGAGCUUGCAUUUAUAAGCUCUUGUUACAGUGAUUGAGAGAGUUUGGGUGUAUUGGGGUUUUAGGUAGUGAGCUAAAAUACUACAAUACUUGUAACUCCUUUUCACUAGUAAAAUAUUUCCUUCUGUCUUCACCCGUGGAUGUAGGCUAAAAGCCGAACCACGUAAUUUCUGGUGUCCUCUAUUGUGCUUGUUCUUUAUUUUAUUUCCAAUUUCAUUUUAGCUGCGGUCCUGCUUCACCCACCAAUUUCCUAACAUAAUUUUCUGCAUGCAUAUGGAAAAAAAAUUAAUUGUUUAAAUUUCUAAUUUGUCAAAUCGAGGUUUGAUUUCUGAAUUUUUUUAGUUGUCAAGUGGAUUAAAUUCCCCCCCAUAUACACUGUCUAGAGAAACUCAUGAAUCUAAACAAACCAAACCUAUAUUAAAUUUAAUAAUAUCAUUAUCCUCAGACUCUUAGUUUUGCACUUUUGCUUGCAUAAACAUUAUGGAAUUUAAACUUAAAUCCACAUUAAGAUAAUAACAAUUAACAUGUGAAACAAUUUAUUGCUGCUCUGCUAUAUUAAGAUAGUUGUUUAUCUAAGGGUGCGUCUUCGAUUCGCAGAGGACUCAAACAAUUUAUUUUCGAUUACAAUUUAUUUCCCCUCCCAUCUGUAGGAAUUAGUGCCGAUUUUCGAGCAAUCUUCUCGAUAAUAACAAUUAACAUUUCAAAGAAAAUAUAAUUAUAUAUGAACAUAAAGCGGUGAGUCAUUGGAUUAGAUCAAAUAAGGAGAUGGUUACCUUAUAAAUUCUUUAAGGUACACCCAUCUAAAAUAAGUAAAAUAGAGAUGGUCGACAUGUAAAAUAUAUAAGGUGGCGAGGUCCAUCUAAUAAUUCGAUAUUGUUUAACCUACACGCAUAUUAAUGAAAGUUAUUGACACCCUCUAAGACUCUCAGCCUAAAACUUGCAGAACUACAAAAAGAGACUAGAGUGGAACUAUUGGCACAUCAAAAAGAAUUCUUAUAUAUUAAAUUUAUAUUUUUAACUUUAAUCAAAUCACGUUUGACAAUCCAUGUCUCUUCUUCUAACCCCACAUGGGUUUUAUUUUUAUUAAAUAAAAUAUAGUUUUGUUGUUGUAUGGAAAAUGUUUUUUAUUUUAUUUUUAUUCUUAAAUUAGUGGUUUCUGUUGGAUUGAAAAUUUUAGUUCAUUAUUUUCAAAUUAUGAAAGGCUUACCAUUUUGGCUUCUUGUUCUCUUGAUUUUUUUCAAUUUAUGCGUUCAUAUAAAAGCACGUGAAUUGUCACAUUCAGCGUGUAAAAUGAUAUUGGAUUAGCUUCUAGCAAUCUUUUUUAGUAUAAAAGAAAUAUAUAUUUAAUUCUUUUUUCUCUCUCUCAUAGUAAAGUUAAUGAGAAAGAAGUGUACAAGGACGUUUGUGGAAUUAAAAUAGCUCCACUCAAGAGGAUGGCCUACAGUAUUUCUUACCUAGUUUUUAGAUUUUAUUUUCUACUAGUUUAACUUACUUCAUAGUAAUAUUUUGAUAUCUUUUCCCAUGGAAUGAUAAAAAAAACUAAUAAUAUGAAUUCUUUAUUAUAAAAUUCGUAUAUACAUAUAAUAAUAAGAAUAAAAAGUUGGAAAACAAAGCUCAAAAAAUUUUAAAUUGAAAAGUUGAUUCUCAUGUGCCGAACAAGGGCUUCAAAUUAAAUUGGUGAAAAAGUUUCGUAAUAAAAGAUUUUUGUUUUCAUAUGAUUUUUUAAGAAAAAAGAAUAUAUAAAGUUAUUUCUGAAAUUAACAUAGGUGUUGUUAAAAGUAGAAUAUAUAUAGCAUAUGACAAGUUACAUACAUCUAAUUUUCUGCAUGCAUAUGGAACAAAUUCAAUUGUUUAAAUUUCUAAUUUGUCAAAUCAAGGUUUGAUUUCUGAAAUUUUUAGCUGUCAAAUGGAUUAAAUUUCCCCCCAUACAUACUGUCUAGAGAAACUCAUGAAUCUAAACGAACCAAACCCAUAUUAAAUUUAAUAAUAUCACUUUCCUCAGACUCUCAGUUUUGCACUUCUGUUUACAUAAACAUUAUGGAACUUAAACUUAAAUCCACAUUUUUCAUCACUCUCUUCGUGGCCUCAUGUGUGUUCCAUAAUGUUCUCUUCCUCAUCUUUUUGGUGCAUGCAUAAUUAACUAUAAUAUGACAACCAAUUGGUUGGCAUUUAUAUACGCAGGUGUGUUGUUUUAUAUUUCCAUGCCGGCAGUUGAUGCUCAACCGGAAUCAAAAGCAGUCACUUGUAAAAGCAAUGCCGACUGUGACAAUCCCUGUCAGCAACCGGAAUCAAAAGCAGUCACUUGUAAAAGCAAUGCCGACUGCGACAAUCCCUGUCAGUCGUUUCGAAUGCGAUCUUGAUACCCAUCUCUGCAUUUGUGUUCCUGCCCGCAAUUCGAUGACGUGUUGUUGAGGAGAUUAAAGCUUGUAUUGCAAGUUCUAGUGAUAUUUUGGAUGCUGAAUUGCAAAGUUUGUAACGUUACAAUCUUUGUUUCAUUUCUUACAUCACAUGUCAAAUAAAAGUAUCAACUAACUAAGAAUUGCUGCCUCUCUUCUGAUAUGCAUAUUAAAAUUGUGGUAAAAAAUUUACAAAUCAUCUCCAUGUGAUUGGUCCUAUUAUACAAUGUUGUACCAUACAUUUGUUGAAGUCUUUAAGGCUUGGAAUUAUACAAUUUUUAAAAUUUUCAGUAUUUUUUUGACUUUCGAGCUGGGUUCGGACUUUUUAGCCGGAGCCCAAGACCAGCCAGAAUACUUAGAAAACUUGCUCUAGCUAGACUUGAUUUUUCUGCCAUUCCUACUUAGAAUUCUAUUAUCAUUGAUUUCAUUGAUGGAUUGUUAUAUUUUUAACACUAAGGGCUCAAAUGAAAAUAAUUAUAAAUAGUGUCUUAUGAUGUAAUACUUUCAAAAAGGUGAGAGCUCAUAUAAUACUGAUAUUUGAAUCAAAAAAUGAUACAGUAGUGAGAAAACAACUAUAGAUUUUAUUUAUAAUGUUAAAUAAAAAAUUAUAACUAUUUUUCAAUUAACAUUAUAACAUUGCACAAUUUACUAUUAUUUUUGUCAUCCGUUGUUAGAACUCUUUAUCAUUUUUCAUUUCUUAAAAAAGAAUGCUAAAAAGAAAAUUGAACAUAUAUUAACUAUAAAAUUUUACAAACUAUUUAGUACUUGCUCUAAAUCUGGUCGAAGAAAUAAGACAGCAUCACACAUGAUUAAGAAUGCAUAUUUAUUUGAGUAAUUUUACAUUUAUAACCCUGGGAUACAAAUUUUAUUUGUGAUAUAAAUACAUGCAAGUCUCGCAAAAAAUUUAACAACGAACACCCGACAAUAUAUCUUCUUUUUAGACAAGCUUUUACAGGCCCAGUGGAAUUGUUUUUACCCUUUCUUUCUUUCUUUCUUUCUUAAAAGUGGAUGUAUAAAACAAAUUGGUCUUGAUCGAUACUUGACGAUGUCCUGUUUAUUUUUCUCUGAUUUAUUCUUUUUUCAUCAUAUGGAAGACGAGAUUAUUGUAAGAUUCUGCCUUGAUCUGUUCUAAUUUUAGAGUCAACGAUCUUGAUUCAACUUCUUGACUGGAGAACUAGCUAAGAGAAGGGAGGUAUGGGAGCCAGCACUACUGUUUGAAUUGAGAGCUUUAAAGCAUAGUUUCUUUUCAACUCUCUGUCUACUUACUUUAAAGCAUGCCACAGGACUGAUUACAGGGUGGUACCGAGAGAGGAGGAGAUAUGGACAUCAACUUCAGACUAUUUUCAGAGAGGCUGAGAAGGGUGUUAGCUGGUGAAGAAGUCACGUUGCCUGAUGCUGCAAAACAACCUAUUCACAACUUUCAUGCCGAGAUUGAAAUCGUUACUUCUUUGCUGAGGGACUUUGAAGAUGAUAUCUCCUGCCUUCUGGUGCAAAAAAUAGGAGACCUUGAAAUUGACAACCCAGAUCUGGCGACCGUUAUGGACGAAAUCAACUGUUUUACGUAUGAAUCUGAGAAGGUGAUUGACACAUUCAUCAACAGCAUCAGUGAACAGAAGAGUCAAAGCAGCUGCAGCGAGGAUAUUUUUGAUGCUCUGCAAGGACUCCAAAGCAGAAUCACUGAUAUUAAGCAACGGAUGCAACAACUUAAGCACAUGGAUUCCGAAAUCAUUGAUCGCAUCAAAACUUUUGAAGCUGAAGCCGCUAUAUCUUCAUCUUCUAAAAGUAGGGACACCGUGGGUCUAGAUGAUAGAAUGGAGGAGUUGUUAGAUCUAUUGAUCGAGGGACCACCUCAGCUUUCAGUGGUGGCCAUACUUGAUAGCAUUGGGUUGGACAAGGCGGCUUUCGCCGGAGAGGCUUACACCAGCAGUUAUGCGAAGCAUUAUUUUGAUUGUCACGCUUGGGUUCCAGGGACUUAUCCGUAUGAUGCUGACCAAAUGUUAGAUAUCGUUAUUAAGUUUCUGAUGCCUUCAUCUAGGUUGAGUGAAAUAAUGGAUAAAAAUUAUGAAAUGAAAAAAAUAAUUCUUAAUGAAUAUCUAAUGACUAAGCGGUAUUUGAUUGUGCUUGAUGAUGUGUGGAGCACAGAUGAAUUGGAUGCUAUUCGAGAAACCCUUCCGGAUAAUCAGAAUGGAAGUAGAGUAUUAAUAACACUCACUGAAAUUAAGCUGGUCACCUCAUUUCAGCUCGAAGACGGAGAGAACAUUCGGCUUGAUUUAGUGCCCACUGGAGGACCAUUGAGAGCUACAUACCAAGAAUGGCCUUUCCUCAUCUUAUAUCAUGGAAGCAUCUCAUUAGAAGAAAAUAUAACGGAAGCAGUGGAGAUACCCCUUGUGCUUCGGUACUUCAAAUGUUGCAGUUUACCUUUUUGCUUGAAACUUUGUUUUCUCUACUUAUCUGUGUUUGCCGCACACCUAGAGAUAUCCACCAGGCAGUUAUAUCAGUUGUGGAUAGCUGAAGGUUUCAUUCCAGACAAUAGUGAGGCAACUGCUGAGAGUUACUUAGAACAACUAAUCAAGGAAGGCUUUGUUGAAGCUACUAUAAGUAUAUAUAACAAAACAAGAAUUUAUUGAUCGAUAACAUACAUUUGAUACAAAUGAAGUAGAAAAUCUUCCACCUAAUAGAAUAUAUAUAGUAUAUGAGAAGUUACAUGCACCUAAUUUUCUGCAUGCAUAUGGAAAAAAAAAAUUAAUUGUUUAAAUUUCUAAUUUGUCAAAUCGAGGUUUGAUUUCUGAAAUUUUUAGCUGUCAAAUGGAUUAAAUUUCCCCCCAUAUAUACUGUCUAGAGAAACUCAUGAAUCUAAACGAACCAAACCAAUAUUAAAUUUAAUAAUAUCACUAUCCUCAGAUUGCACUUCUGUUUACGUAAACAUUAUGGAACUUAAACUUAAACCCACAUUUUUCAUCACUCUCUUGGUGGGCUCAUGUUUGUUCCUUAAUCUUCUCUUCCUCAUCUUUUUAAUGCAUGCAUAAUUAGCUAUAAUAUGACAACUAAUUGGUUGGCAUUUAUAUUUGCAGUUGUGUUAUUAGCAUUAGGCUAAUUAAUUGUUUGGCAGGUGAAUUGUUUUAUAUUUCCACGCCGGCAGUUGAUGCUCAACUGGAAUCAAAAGCAGUCACUUGUAAAAGCAAUGCUGACUGUGACAAUCCCUGUCAUUCGUUCGAAUAUGAUCUUAAUACCCAUCUCUGCGUUUGUGUUCCUGGCCGCAAUUCGACGUGUUGUUGAAGAGAUUAAAGCUUGUAUUGCAAGUUCUAGUGAUAUUUGGGAUGCUGAAUUGCAAAGUUUGUAACGUUACAAUCUUUGUUUCAUUUCUUACAUCAUAUGUCAAAUAAAAGUAUCAACUAAGAAUUGCUGCCUCUCUUCUAUUAUGCAUAUUAAAAUCGUGUACAAAAAUUUACAAAUCAUCUCCAUGUACUAUACAUUUGGAGAAGUCAUUGAGUUUUUUUUUUUUUGGUUAAAGCCAAGCCAAAAAGCCUGAAGUAUGCAUUCUAUAUUUUUUUAAAAACUUUUUUCAUUAUAUUUUACAAAUUUAUAGUUUAUAAAAUUUAGUUUUUUCUUUGUUAGAUUAGGCUUUAAAAGUUGGGCGACUUAAAACUUUAAAUAUAUGCUGUGAGUGGAUUAAAUAUAUGUUAAAAGUUAUGUUUUAAUUACAAUAAUAUAUAUUUUCAAAAUUUUUAAUAUUUUUUGGGCUUUCGAGCUGGAUUUGGGCUUUUUAGCCGAAGCCCAAGUCUAACCAGAAUACUUAGAAAACAUGCUCUAGCUGGAUCGGAUUUUUCUGCUACUCCUACUUAGAAUUCAAUUACCAUUGAUUUCAUUGAUGGAUUGUUAUUAUAAAUAGUGUCUUAAGAUUUAAUCCUUUAAAAAAGGUGAGGGUUCAUAUAAUACUGAUAUUUGAAUCAUUGAAUGAUACAAUGAUGACAAAAGAGCUAUAAAUUUUAUUUAUAGUGUUAAAUAAAUAUUAUAAUUAUUUUUCAAUUAACUUUGUAACAUUACAAAAUUUACUAUUAUUUUUGUCACCCUUAUGUCGCUGUUAGAACUCUUUAUUGUUUUUAGUUUCUUAAAAAAGAAUGCUAAAAAGAUCUCCAAAUUUCUACGGGAUAUGUAUGUAGUUUUAAAAUAAACAUGUAUUAAAUAUAAAAUUUUACAAACGAUUUAGUACUUUCUCCGAAUCUCGUUGAAGAAAUAAGGCAGCAUCGUACAUGAUUAAGAAUGCAUAUUUAUUUGAGUAAUUUUACAUUUUUAACCAUGGGAUACAAAUUUUAUUUGUGAUAUACAUACAUGCAAGUCUCGCAAUAAAUUUAACACACCAUACAUGAUUUUGCAUUUUUCCACAGCAUAAAUUAUUAAAUAAUUGAUGUCCUGUUUAUUUUUCUCUGCUUUAUUCUUUUUACAACAUAUGGAAGACGAGAGUAUUGUAAGAUUAUGCCUUGAUCUAUUCUAAUUUGAGAGUCAACGAUCUUGAUUCAACUUCUUGACUGGAGAACUAGCUAAGAGAAGGGAGGUAUUGGAGCCAGCACUAAUGUUUGAAUUGAGAGCUUUAAAGCAUAUUUUCCUUUUAAUUAUUUCUUUGCAUGCUCUUGGACAGAUUUCAGGGUGGAUCUGAGGGAGGAGGAGAUAUGGACAUCAACUUUAGACUAUUUUCAGAGAGGCUGAGAAGGGUGUUAGCUGGUGAAGAAGUCACGUUGCUUAAUGCUGCGAAACAACCUAUUCAGAACCUUCAUGCCCAGACCGAAAUCGUUACUUCUUGGCUGAGGGAAUUUGAAUAUGAUAUCUCCUGCCUUCUGUUCGAAAAAAUGGCGGAGGAGGAAAUUGAAAACCCAGAUCUGGCGACCGUGAAUCUGAGAAGGUGAUUGACACAUUCAUCAACAGCAUCACUCAACAAAAGAGUCAAAGCAGAUACAGCAAGGACAUUUGUGAUGCUCUGCAAGGACUCCAAAGCAGAAUCACUGAGAUUAAGCAACGAGUUUAACAACUUAAGCACAUCGAUUCCGAAAUGAUUGAUGAGUUCAGAAGUGUUGAAGCUGAAUCAUGUUAUUUUCCUGCAUCUUCAUCUUAUAAGAAUAGGAAUACGGUGGGCCUAGAUGAUAGAAUGGAGGAGUUGUUAGAUCUAUUGAUCGAGGGACCAACUCAGCUUUCGGUGGUGGCCAUACUCGAUAGCAUUGGGUUGGACAAGACGGCUUUCACUGCGGAGGCAUACAAUAGCAGUUAUAUGAAGCAUUAUUUUGAUUAUCUCGCUUGGAUUCCAGCGCCUUAUCACUAUGACCCUGACCAAAUAUUAGAUAUCGUUGCUGUGAUUCUUUUGCCUUUUUCUAUGUUUAGUAAAAUAAAGGAUAAAGAUUACGAAAUGAAAAAAAUUAUUCUUGGUGAAUAUCUAAUGACUAAGCGGUAUUUGAUUGUGCUUGAUGAUGUGUGGAGCACAAAUGUAUUGGAUGUUGUUCAAGAAAUCCUUCCGGAUAAUCAGAAUGGAAGUAGAGUAUUAAUAACACUCACUCAAAUUAAGAUGAUCACCUCAUUUCAGCUCGAAGACAGAGAGAACAUUCGGCUUGAUUUAGUGCCCACUGGAGGACCAUUGAGAGCUACAUACCAAGGAUGGCCUUUCCUCAUCUUAUAUCAUGGAAGCAUCUCAUUAGAAGAAAAUAUAGAGGAAGUAUUCAAUAUACCCACUGGGAAUCUAACCUUCGUAUGUUGCAAGCUACCUUUUCACUUGAAACUUUGUUUUCUCUACUUAUCAUUGUUUCCCGCACACCUAGAGAUAUCCACCAGGCAGUUAUAUCAGUUGUGGAUAGCUGAAGGUUUUGUUUGUGGGAUAUGCUUCGACGAAGACCAGCAGUGAUGAGCAGACAUCUGAUAACAGGGUUCCUCGAGCAGGUAUAUCUUGUAAGAGUCUGGUAUCCGGGGGAGCAGGAGCAGGAAAAUCCUGCUCAUCCACGAGCACGUCAUCCACGAGGCCAAUCUCUUGUUGGAAGCAUAGAGCCAUUCCUGCUUCAUUCCUGCUAAAGGUUGAGUCGAGGAGACCCGGUCAACGACAGUUGGCGAGGCGUGCUCUCCAGUCCGAGAAUCAAGGCACGGAGGUCACGCAACCACCCACGACUACGGAAAUAGGGCAUCCACUUUCGAGAGGUGGGAGGAUAACGAGCGCGAAUGGAGGGAAGGCCCGAGUUCAGAAGUGGCCUAUAAAAAGGUAGCCAACGAAGGUAAAAUGGUUAGAUUUUUUGAGAUUGCAACUAAGAAAAGAGAGCUUUAAGAAUUGAAACUAAAGAGAAGCCAUAAGAUUCGUGGCAAACAUUCCUAGAACCUUCAUAUCUGAUUUGAGCGUCGGAGGGUUUACGCCGGGAAAACAACCGGCGUACUCUGACCUGCUUCUGUGUACGCAGGAACUUUUAGAGAAGAAACCUUACGAGGAGAGAUCCUGGUCGUGGUAGAGUUGGUCGAGCAGAGGUCCUGGUCUUGGUAGAGAAGACAACCAGAAUCUCGCAUCAACAUUUUGGCGCCGUCUGUGGGGAGCUGAUAAAAAAGCUUCUGUUAAUAACAAGAAGAGGAGUGAAGCAAGUGGAAAGGCAAUGGAGACAGGAGGAAGUAGUGCACAAGGGGGUGAUAUGAGUAUUAAUGAUUUCGUGACGCUGAGGGAGAUAGCUAGUGAAGCACGGGAAAAAGCCAUGUUCGACCGGAUGGAACGAAUGGAAAAGCAGAUGGAGACCCUGACAACCAUCCUACAUGAGUUGCGGAGUGAACGAAGGGGAACCCAGGAGGAAAGGGUGAGAGGUGGUGGAGUGACACCAGGUCCCGGUAGUACGAGGAGAAGUCAAACCACCGGAAGAUUUGGUGGUGAGAGAGGUAACAUACCUCUGCGGGGGGAAUUUCAUAAAGAGGAAGAGCAAUCCCCGGCAAGACAGAUUUUUGACGAGGACGACGGGGUGACGAAUGCAGAGGAAACUGAGUUGAGGCGACACGUGCAUGAUGUAGAGCAAGAGCGGGAUCAAGUUGCAGCAUGUGACCCUGGGCGUGCAGUGCAGCUGGAGGAGGAAGUGCGCAGACUAGCGCAGAUAAUUGACGACAUGCAAGGAAGGAGCAGAGCUCCUGGUUGGAGGAUAAUGCUGGACGGAGAAUCACCACUCGCAGCAGAGAUCAUGAGGCCAGUUAUUCCGAGAGAUUUCCGCCUCCCAGACCUUAGAUAUUCGGGACGAAUUGAUCCGCUGGUGCACAUAGAGCGCUUCAACGACAUAACCGGGGUACAAGGAUUAUCUCAAUCCCAAAGGUGCAGGGUGUUCCCACUAUCCCUUGAGGGAGGUGCACGCGAGUGGUACAGGAAACUUCCUCGGGGGAGCAUUAAAACCUUCGAGCAGAUGUGCCAGGAAUUUGCAGAGCAGUUUCGUGGGGCAAUGGCACCAGAAGAUGACAUGAUGAAGUUGAAAAACAUGAAGCAGGGGGAACAAGAAACCCUUCGGGAAUUCAUCAAGAGGUUUCAUCGUGUUGUCCUCGAUUUGGGAGCCUUCAACCAUCCUCAGGCAUUAAAGGGACUGAAAGAAAGGGUGAAGAUAGGAAGACUGUGGUACAAUUUGAGAAGCCCAGUUAUUCAGACGUAUGCAGCCGCAUACGAGCAGGCUAAGAAGGACAUUGAGAUUGAAGAGGAAAAGGCAGCACGGAUCAAGACAGACCAGUUAUAAGGGUUAGGAAAGAAAGAGAAGAAAGCAUUACCAGGGAAUGAGCCGAUAAGGAGGAGGGACCACCAUGCCUCAGGUAGUGGAGCAGAAGGUCGGGUAACUGCUUACCAGCCUCAUCAGAGGCCACCACAGUAUCAACGCAGUAGGGUGCAACCUCCUCGUUCCCCAGCUAGGGAGCCUUGGAGAAGGCAUGACUCGGCAUAUGGUGGUCUUCAUCAACACCCCCACGGUAAUAGAGGGAGUAGACCAGAAGUGCUGCCACCGCCUCCAGCUCAGAACGGAGCAAAUAGAGAAAUGGCAGUGCACCUGAUCGACCAGAACCAGGACUAUGGGCGGUAUACUUCCUUGAAGAUGUCCCUGGACGAGGUGUACGAGGCCAUAAAGGACCGAGGGUUGCUGUAUCUCCGUGUCCCAAUAAUAAAACUACGCAGCAGGAGAGAUAGGGGACGCUAUUGUAAGUUCCAUGGCACUCAUGACCAUACCACAGCAGAAUGCCGAGAUCUCAAGACCCAGGUUGAAGAUUUGGUGAGAAAUCGGUACCUGGAUGAGUUUAUAGAUGGGACCUUCCCAAUGGUAGCCUCGACAAGUGAAGGGGAGCAGAGUGACAUGAACUUGAGGCGUGAGCAGCCUACAGUAAGGGUGAUAGCUGGGGGCCCAACAUUGGCCGGAGAUUCCAACAGAUUGAGGAAGAAUUAUGCUAGAUACGCCAUGACCAGUAAAGAGGUAUUCUUUAACAUCCCAGCAGCCAAACGAGCAAGGGUCAGGCAAGUGCCAAUCAUGUGGACGGAUGAAGAUGAGGAAGGGAUUCUAUACCCCCACGAGGAUGCUUUAGUCAUCAAGGCUACUGUCGCUAGCAAGAAGUUUGACCGAAUAUUGAUUGAUACAGGGAGCUCAGUUGAUGUGUUAUUUAAGUCAACUUUGGAGGAGAUGGGAAUAGCAGACCAGAAGUUGGAGUACACCAAUACCUCCUUGAAGGGGUUCGGAGGAGGAAAACUAGUCCCUCUGGGCGUGGUCGAGCUGCCUAUCACGAUUGGGAGCUCCCCGACAGAAAGGACAAUGAUACUGGACUUUGUGGUGGUGGAUGAAGAAGGUCCUUACCAGAUGAUCCUAGGUCGGCCAUUUCUAAGGAUGAGCAAAGCGGUACUGUCCAACCAUUAUUUGGGUCUCAAGUACCGGGUGAAUGGGGUAGUUGGAGUGGUACGAGGAGACCAGAGAAUCGCAAGAAGCUGCUACUCCUCGGCAGCAAGGGAAACAAUGCAGAUAACAUCCCUGGAUACCUGAGUGGAAAACAAGAAUAGCAGACAAGAACCUGUAGAGGAGCUGGAGACAGUAAGCUUGGGACUAGAGAAUCCGGGAAAGAUGAUCAGAAUCGGGUCGAGACUUAAGGAAGAGCUGAAGCAGGAGUUGGUGAAAUGCUUACAGGCUCAUGCAGAUGUGUUUGCUUGGACACAUGAAGACAUGCCAGGGAUUGAUCCUGAGGUAGCAUGCCAUAAGCUGGCAAUAAAGAAAGGUGCUCGAGCAGUAAGGCAGAAAAGGAGGUGCUUCAACCAGGAGAGAUAUGAGGCUAUAAAUGGCGAGGUGGAGAAGCUCUUGAGAGCAGGGUUCAUUCGGGAAGUCAAUUACCCUGAGUGGAUAUCGAAUGUGGUGUUGGUAAAGAAGGCAAAUGGCAAGUGGAGGAUGUGUGUAGAUUUCACAGAUUUUAAUAAGGCGUGCCCAAAAGACAGCUUUCCUUUACCAAAGAUCGAUCAGCUAGUAGAUUCAACUGCUGGACACGGCCUGCUUAGCUUCAUGGAUGCAUUCUCGAGAUAUAACCAGAUCCCCAUGUACGAGCAGGAUCAGGAGACCACGACUUUCAUUACUAACCAGGGCUUGUUCUGUUACAGGGUAAUGCCAUUUGGUCUUAAAAAUGCUGGGGCCACAUGCCAGAGGCUGGUGAACAAAGUCUUUAAGCCAUUGAUCGGGAGAACCAUGGAGGUGUACGUGGACGACAUGAUAACCAAGUCGAAAAUCCCGAAGGAACAUGUCGGACACCUCGAGGAGACAUUCGGGCUUUUGAGGAAGUAUAAGAUGAAGCUCAACCCGGAAAAGUGUGCUUUUGGGGUCGAGUCAGGGAAAUUCCUUGGAUUCAUGGUGAGCCAUAGGGGGAUUGAAGCAAAUCCCGAGAAGAUCCAGGCGAUCGUGCAGAUGAGGUCUCCUCGUAGCCUGAAGAAGGUGCAAAGCCUCACGGGGAGGUUGGCGGUGUUGAGCAGAUUCAUAUCCAAGGCUACAGAUAAGUGUCAACCAUUCUUUCAAGUGAUAAGGAGGGGAAAGAAAACAGAGUGGACCCCAGAAUGCGAGGACGCCUUCCAGAACUUGAAGCAGUACUUGCAGCUAGCACCUCUGCUGUCCACACCGAGGGAUGGGGAUAAGUUAUUUUGUAUUUGGCGAUAUCAGAUCGGGCCACAAGUUCUGUUCUGGCGAGAGAGGAAGAAGGGGUUUAGUAUCCAAUAUACUACACCAGCAAGGCCCUGCUCGACGCUGAGACCAGAUACCCACCGUUGGAAAAAUGGGCGCUUGCCCUUGUGGUUGCUGCUCGGAAGCUGAGGCCAUACUUUCAAGCAUUCCCAGUCUCGGUAAUAACAAACCAGCCAUUGCGUCAAACUUUGCACAAGCCAGAUGCUUCUGGUCAGCUCGUCUAGUGGGCUAUAGAGCUGAGUGAGUUCGACAUAGACUACAAACCUCGAGCAGCGAUAAAGGCUCAGGCAAUGGACGAUUUCGUAGCAGAAUUCACAGAGCCCGAAGUAUGUUUGGACCAACGAGAUGUAGUUACAGACAGUAGCGAAGCUCAAGUAUGGCAAAGGUCUGUAGAUGGGUCAUCAAGGGAGUAGGGAUCAGGAACAGGGAUUGUCUUAGAAGGCCCAAGGGGGAGGAGAUCUCUUAUGCUGUAAAGUUAGAAUUCACAGCCACAAAUAACCAGGCAGAGUAUGAAGCCUUGAUAGCAGGUUUGGAAUUGGCUAAGGUCGUGAAAGCAGAUAGAGUGAAGAUCAGAACUGAUUCCCAGCUGGUUGCGAAUCAUGUCAGUGAAAAAUUUCAACUGAGAGAGGAGAAGAUGAAGCAGUACCUGAAGAUAGUCAGGCAGAUGAUGGGGAAAUUUGAAGUUGUGGAGGUGGUACAAAUCCCCAAGGAGCAGAAUAGUCGAGCAAAUAUUUUGGCCAGGAUGGCAGCGGUAGCAGACCCAAAAAUGCCAAAGUCGAUCCCUCUGGAGGUGAAGUCCAGCCCGAGUAUCGAGCAGAAUUUGGGGGUGCUGCGGAUAGAAAAAAAAUGCUCGUGGAUGGACCCGAUAAUUUCAUACCUUAAAGACGGGGUAUUGCCACCAGAUAAGCUGCGAGCUCAGAAGAUUAGAGCCCAUGCCUCGAGAUACACGAUGAUUGAUGGGGUAUUGUAUCGGCAAAGAUAUACACUACCUUUCCUUCGAUGUUUGGAUGAGGACGACGCGGAUUACGUACUGAGAGAAGUACAUGAAGGAAUUUACGGAAAUCAUUCUGGUGGGAGAUUCUUGGCCCAUAAGGUUCUAAGGCAGGGAUAUUUCUAGCCGAAAAUGCACCAGGAUGCGCAAGGGAAGACCAGGAGCUGUGUAAGCUGCCAGAGUUUUGCAAGUUUCUCCAACCAACCAUCAGAGAAGCUCACCUCCAUGGCCUCCCCUUGGCCAUUUGCUCAAUGGGGAAUUGAUCUGAUCGGCCCGUUGCCAAAGGGACGAGGAGCAGCAACACAUGCAAUAGUUGCUAUAGACUACUUCACGAAGUGGAUAGAGGUAGAAGCCUUUAGCAGGAUCACAGAGAAGAAAACAACAGACUUUGUGUGGAGAAACCUGGUCUGUUGAUAUGGGAUCCCAUAUGCCUUGGUAACGGAUAAUGGCAGGCAGUUCGAUAAUCACAGCUUCAGGGAUUUCUGCCAGAACCUAGGGAUAGAGCUGAAGUAUUGCUCGCCUGCUCACACUCAAUCGAAUGGACAAGUAGAAGCAGCCAAUAAGACCAUCAAGAGGCUUUUGAAAACCAGGCUUGGGGCAAAAAAGGGUGCAUGGGUUGAUGAGCUGUCAGGUGUUCUAUGGGCAUACAGGACAACCCAUAAGACAGCAACUGGGGAGACACCGUUUGCCUUGGCCUUCGGACAUGAAGCGGUCGUACCAGCCGAGAUAUUAACGACCACGAACCGGACAGAACAUUUCAAUGAACAGGAGAACAACGAGCAGAUGUGCCUGAAUCUAGAUAUGCUAAUGGAAAAGAGGGAGCAAGCAGCAGAACGAUCAGCCAUUUACCAGCAAAGGGUUGCUCGUUAUUAUAACCAGAAAGUGAAUGUACGGCAAUUUCAGGUCGGAGACGGGUACUGAGAAGAGUGAAUCAGAGCACCAAAGACUCGACUCAAGGAGUUCUGGGACCGAACUGGGAAGGGCCAUAUAGGGUCAAGCAGAUAGUGGGACCCGGAGCUUACAAGCUGGUUCACACGGACGGCCACGAGGUGAAACGCCCAUGGAACGCAGUACACCUCCAAAAAUACUUCCAGUAAGACUUAUUCACAUAUUAAAGCUAUUUCUGCCCGUGCUCGUUGUCUUUUAUUUUUUAUGUCAAAACAAUUUCAUGUAAGAUUUAAUCCUGCAAUUAAUGGAACGUUGAGGAAUUUCAUUCACUUGAAACUGUGAAAAAUUCUAAGGCAUGCAAAGGCUCACCAAGUCUCAAAGCUUGUUUUAUGGCGAGACAGAAGCCAAGCGUGCCAGGAUCUGCUCGACCGCACGAAGGCGAGCAGAAUCCCAAGCAUUGAAGAAUUUUCUAAGGCAUGCAAAGGCUUACCAAGUCUCAAAGCCUGUUUUAUGGCGAGACAGAAGCCAAGCGUGCCAGGAUCUGCUCGACCGCACGAAGGCGAGCAGAAUCCCAAGCAUCGAAAUAUUUUCUAAGGCAUGCAAAGGCUCACCAAGUCUCAAAGCCUGUUUUAUGGCGAGACAGAAGCCAAGCGUGCCAGGAUCUGCUCGACCGCACGAAGGCGAGCAGAAUCCCCAAGCAUCGAAAUAUUUUCUAAGGCAUGCGAAGGCUCACCAAGUCUCAAAGCCUGUUUUAUGGCGAGACAGAAGCCAAGCGUACCAGGAUCUGCUCGACCGCGCGAAGGCGAGCAGAAUCCCCAAGCAUCGAAAUAUUUUCUAAGGCAUGCAAAGGCUCACCGAGUCUUAAAGCCUAUUUAUGGCGAGACCAGAAGCCAAGCAUGCCAAGAUCUGCUCGACCACGCGAAGGCGAGCAGAAUCCCCAAGCAUCGAAAUAUUUUCAAAGGCAUGUGAAGGCUCACUAAGUCUCAAAGCCUGUUUAUGGCGAGACCGGAAGCCAAGCAUGCCAGGAUUUACUCGACCGAGCAAAGGCGAGCAGAAUCCCAAGUCAUGUAGCAAGACCAUAUGCUAAGCCAGAGCCUGUUCGACCAAGCGAAGGCGAGCAGACUCUCAAACGUAAAAAUAACUUGUGAAUACAAAUGCAAGAAAGUAAUCAAAAAUAGUUUUCAUUAAUUUAUCAAUAGCCAACAAAGCUGUCCAUUACAACACAAGAAACAUGUUCAAGAAGAUGGCAGAUCAGUUAGCCGAGCAGCAUCGGUUGACUGGACCUCCUCAGGUGCAGGGGGGUAUCACCAGUGUGUCUGGGGGGGUGCUCGCCUCGCCAACAUCAGCAGGGAUUGCACGAGGAUGAGAGUUUUCCUCAUCAAUCACGAUUGGCUCUACCCCUUCGGCAUCUUCCUUGGCCGCCUCCUCGUCCAUGUGUUGAGCAACACCAGCUGCAAGGUCAUCCAUCUUUAGAUCAGGAUGCUGCUUCCCGAGGACGGCCAUGAUGCAACGAUAGGAAUGCCGAAGUCCCUGGUCGUACUGGUUGUCGGCUUAAUUCUCUAAGUUCUCGACCUGAACUCGGUGGGAAUCGCGGAGAGAUUCGAGCUGAGCCUCAUACAUAGCCUUCUGCCUUUGAAGAUCCUCCUUGACCUUGGUCAGCUCUUCCUCGAAGGUAAUGGCUUUUGCUUGAGUAAGAGAUUCUUGCUCUAUCAGCUUCAGGUUCUCGACAUUCAGCUCCCCUGCUUUCUUCUCGGCAUCGUCAGCUCUGGUCAUCGCCGACUGAAUGUCCUCCUUCAUCUUCCUGUCAUAACGGCCAACCUUGGCCUUAUAGUAGGUGGUCAUACAGCUGAGAUGGAAAGCGCUAUACUGCAUGGCUCCCACCAGCUCGCCUAAGGUGCAGCCAUCAAAGUCCUCCAGGUCCUUCUUGCUCACGAGUUUGGAAAGCUCGUUGAGAUAUGGGGCCAAGUGUUCUGCUUGGCUGUCAGAUAAACGAGAUCUAGGCCCGACAGGAGGAGAAGAGGAAGCAGGAUCAGUGGCUGCUCCACUAGUUUCUCCGACUUUGGCAGGAAGAGGAGGUAGAGUCUUCAAGGGAGGAACUUGUUGCACAAUGUUAACCCGCUUCGCAGUGGGAGCGUCCUUGCUCUGGUCCCUCUUCGCAGUUUGAGGUCGAGGACGCUUCCGAGUCAGAGCCUCAAUCACAACAUCCUCCAUCUUAUGGCCGGGGGACACCAAACAAGACUCGAGUAGGUUAUAAGUAGUUAUCAGCUCUCGGCUCGAGCAAGAAUUGACUAGUACAGCCUCGAUCCGUUUGAGCUGGUCAGGUUUGAGCGGAAAGUGAACACCCCAAGAACUUGCAACACAAACAGACACUUGGUUAGAGACAAAUCAGUAAAGCGAGAACAAUUUUGGAUACAAGACAUCUAAAGCGAGCAGGCAACCUGGGACCGUGAAACGGGGUGGGACGCGAUAGUCCUUUCCGUCUAUUUGUGCAACUUGACCCCAAGUACCCCCAACAAAAAAGAAUUUCCUCUUCCAAGUCCCACUUCCACCAGUUGGAAGAUCAGUUAUGGGUUUUCUGCUCUUGGUACUAGAUUGGAAGUAGUACCAGCCGGCAUCUUUGGGGCUGCUCUUUAGCUGGUACAGGUGCUUCACCUCAUCAACCGUGGGCUCGCUUUGGCAACAUCUGUCCCACAAUAUGAACAGACUAGAGAGCACUCUCCACCCGUUGGGAUUCAGCUGACCAGGAGCCAGAUUUAGCCCGUUAAGUAUAUGGGCAAAGUAGGGUUGCAAGGGACACCUCAGCCCAUACUUAAAGCUCUCCAGAAACAAGGUAACGUAUCCCCUAGGAGGCCGGCUAGGUGUAUCCUUUUUUCCUGGGAUCUUAAGAGAUAUUUCACCAGGAAUACUAUACCUAAGUCGGAGGUCAUUGAGCUCGUCAAAUGUGGUCGUGCACGUCAUGUAAUCAAUGGCAUAAUCCCGCGACAAGGCUCUACCUCCUACUGUACUCCGCCCUUCUGGUUGUAAUGUUCCUGAUGGGGACGCCUCACCAAAAUCACCUUCCCCAUCCCCACUCAAGGUGUUUUCUGAAUCGGAAGAUCCCUCCUCACCACUAUUUCCGCUUGAGGAGGUUGUUUGGGGGGACAUCCUCCUAGCGCUAGUACCAACACCAGACCUAAUGGGUUCUAAGGGGAUCGGUGAGCAGAUUAGGUAAGAAAUCUAGCCCGUCGUCAUCAAUCUCAACGACUUUCUCUUUACCUUUCGACAUUCCCUAAGCAAUAACCAGAACACCACCAAUUACUACCUAAGCAAAGCAAAGAGAAAAGAAAUUAUCUACAGCUAUCCGAGAUCGAUGAGAUAGAAGUAAUACCUGAAGUAGUGGUUCAGUCGGAGAAGGACAGGGAUGGAGGCUUUUAUGCCGGAGCUUCUUUGCCAGAGAGAGACAGGGAACGAGAUGGAGAAAACGACAAAUUUUCCUUUAAGAGAAGGUUGUGGGUUUUCCUAAUGGAGAGUGAACUCUUGGGUUGCCGGCAUUUAACAGCACCGAAUCCCAAGGGUCUCGUAAUUGUUGGUUUGAAAUUCAAAUAGAGGGGUAGAUUUCCGCCACAUCAACUCGUCCGUAAUUAAAUACGACACGACUCUUGGCAGCCUUUUUCCUAUCCCGCGCAAGCAAGGACUGUCAAGUUUCUACUGUCGACUUACUGCGUUACCCAACACCAGAAACUGGGGGACCGGUGUUUGUGGGAUAUGCUUCGACGAAGACCAGCAGUGAUGAGCAGACAUCUGAUAACAGGGUUCCUCGAGCAGGUAUAUCUUGUAAGAGUUUGGUAUCCGGGGGAGCAGGAGCAGGAAUAUCUUGCUCAUCCACGAGCACGUCAUCCACGAGGCCAAUCUCCUAUUGGAAGCAUAGAGCCAUUCCUGCUUCAUUCCUGCUAAGGGUUGAGUCGAGGAGACCCGGUCAACGACAGUUGGCGAGGCGUGCUCUCCAGUCCGAGAAUCAAGGCACGAAGGCCACACAACCACCCACGACUGCGGAAAUGGGGCAUCCAAUUUCGAGAGGUGGGCGGAUAACGAGUGCGAAUGGAGGGAAGGCCCGAGUUCAGAAGUGGCCUAUAAAAAGGUAGCCAACGAAGGUAAAAGGGUUAGAUUUUUUGAGAUUGCAACUAAGAAAAGAGAGCUUUAAGAACUGAAACUAAAGAGAAGCCAUAAGAUUCGUGGCAAACAUUCCCAGAACCUUCAUAUCUAACUUGAGCGUCGGAGAGUUUAUGCCGGGAAAACAACCGGCGUACUCUGACCUGCUUCUGUGUACGCAGGAACUUUUGGAGAAAAAACCUUACAAGGAGAGAUCCUGGUCGUGGUAGAGUUGGUCGAGUAGAGGUCUUGGUCUUGGUAGAGAAGGCAACCAGAAUCUCGCAUCAACAGGUUUCAUUCCAGACAACAGUGAGGCAACUGCUGGGAAGUACGUAGAGCAACUAAUCAAUAGAGGCUUUGUUGAUGCAAGGAAGAGAAGAGCUGGAGGCACUAUCAACACAUGCUCUGUUCGUGGUCGUUGCCGUCCUGUGUUGUUAGCAGUGGCUUUCAAGGCAGAAUUUAUCUUUUUCUCAUUCAUGGAUCCAGAAGGUAAAUCACGAAAGAAUGUCAAACCGAUCAACGUUUUUGAAAAACAGAGUAAUUUUGCUUGCUUAGAUGAUUAUGACUCGCACAUGCAUUCUUUGUUGUACUUCACUUCAAAAAGAGACCACCUUGACCCAAUAGAUUGGGAGAAAAUUUGCAGAAUGUUCAAACUUCUCAGAGUAUUGGACUUGGGAUCUCUUGUUCUCAUCCAAUAUCCAUCCGGAAUUGAAAAUUUAUUUCUUUUGAGAUAUUUAAAGUUGAAUAUCCCUUCCCUCAAAAUCCUGCCUUCAUCAUUAUUAAGCAAUCUUCUGAACCUUUACACCCUAGACAUGCUCUUUAGCUAUAUAGAUCAUACAACAGAUGAAUUUUGGAAGAUGAACAAACUCAGGCAUCUAAAUUUUGGGUCAAUCACACUUCCUGCGCAUCCAGGAAAAUAUUGCGGCUCUCUGGAAAAUCUCAAUUUCAUUUCAGCCUUGCAUCCUUGCUGCUGUACUGAAGAUAUAUUGGGCAGACUACCUAAUCUCCGAAAUCUCCGGAUUCGGGGAGAUUUAAGUUAUUAUCAAUUUUUGUUGUCCCAAAAUAUUUGCAGAUUGAGUUGCCUCGAGUCAUUGAAGUUGGUGAAUGAAAGCAAGAUGCCACGGAUCUCCAAAAUCAUCCUUGCUGAAUACCUAUUUCCUCAUAGUCUAACCCACUUGAGUUUUUCUAAUACUAACCUAAUGGAUGAUCCCAUGUCGACACUAGAAAAGCUGCCGCUUCUUCAAGUGCUCAAAUUGAAGCAAAACUCGUAUUCAGGUAGAAAACUGACUUGUGGUUCUGAUGCUUUUCCAAGGCUUAAGGUAUUGCACAUGAAAUCAAUACUAUGGCUAGAGGAGUGGACUAUGGGGACUGGGGCCAUGCCAAAACUAGAAUGCUUGCUUAUCAACCCUUGUGCUUACUUGAAAAGGGUUCCUGAACAGCUCUAGUGCAUAAAGAGCUUAAACAAAUUCGAUUGCUGGUGGCCUCAGCCAGAGCUGAGACAAAAGCUACGGGAAUUCAAGGAUAAGGAGCAGUAUGGCGUUCAACUUUAUCCUUACAGAAUUUGAUUAGCCCUGAUUGAGUUUGAUGUAAGUUUUUUCUUCUUCCCCAAUAACUUCAACCUUUAAUUAUUGAUCUAAUUUCAUAUAAAAGUUUUUUUUUCCUCCACAAUAGAUUUGAUAGUAUGCAGCUGCCUAAACUAUAAUCAUAAUAUAAAGUGUUUUCUACAUUCUAAUUGUGGUUGCUUCUAAUUUUUGUCUCAAAAUAAACUUGAAGUGUCCAUCACAGUUCCUGAUGCUGACACCAUUCAUUAAAAAAUGUAUGAUAAAAUCUUCAAUCAGUUGUAUGUGCAGGUAAAAGCAGAGCGGAAAAUAUCUUAACUGUACUGCAGCCAAAGUUUCAAUUUCAACCAGAAUCCAGCCUUCAUCCUUUCAGUGUUCACUUCUGCUGAGUUGUCUACACGUUGUUUGGUUUCUUUGUUUUCAAGGAUUUGCAUGCUAAAAGUAAUAAUGUCAUGUUCAGAUUAAUAUAUUGUACAAAAGUCUGAUUAAUUGUUUUACUUUCUAUUUUCAGUUUCACUGGUGUGUAUUCAAUUUGUCAACAUUCAAAUUGAUAUAUGUUAUGUUUUUAUUUUUAUUUUAUUUCUUUCUCUAGUUUUUAAGUAGCGGUACAGUUCAACUUCAAGCUUAGUACUUCAGUUAGAAGAAUAGUAUUUGUGCUUUGAUCUCAUCUCAUCAUCUCAACACAGGCAGAACGACAUUGUUGUUCGGUUUUUUGGAAUUUCACCGACGUGUCGGUCAUUAUAAGGGCGAGAAUGCUGGUCAAACGUCAGUUGGGGUUAGUUAAAAAGGUGCAGGAAAAUUCUGGGAUUGUUAUAGAUGGCCUUUAUCAUAGUUUAUAAGGCUGGUUGAUGGGUCAUCUUCUCAUAUCUCAUCAAAGCUAUGGAGAGAGAGAGAGAGAGAGAGAGAGAGAGAGAGAGAGAGAGUUAAAGUAGAAAGUUGUAUAUUCUUGUUCUCUGUAACAAGCUCUACAUCCUGGUAACCUUGAUUUGUGAAAUAGUGAAAGCUUGAAAGCUUGUAUCCUUGUCUUCACUGGAUUUAGGCACUUUGAUUCAAUUUUUAGUUCGGAUUUCUGAGAACGAGUCUUCAUACAUCAAAUCAAAGAUGGUCUAAGGUGUUUGAUCUUGGUACUGUCAGAGGAUUAAACACAACAAAAAGAAACUGGGGCAUAUUGCCUAAUCUUCAUAGUCUUCAGAUAUAUGGAGAUUAAGCCCUUGUAAAAUCAAAAACCAGCACUAAUCCUUGGUGAUUUGGAGCAGAAGAUUUAACGAGUAAAGUUCUGAAAGUGGAAGAUUUAAUCUAUAGUGCUGCUCGUUUUGGAAGCUUUGCUAGAAUUGAUGACUGAAUUCUUUCUCUAUUGAUUGAUUAGCAGCCCCACAGCAUGCUAAUGGUUUUCACAUUUUUCCCUCCCACAGCAUGCAGAGGGUGCCUGUAGUGCAAAGAAGUUGAUGGCACGCAGGAUGUGCUGCUCACUCUCAAUUCCUUACAAUCACACCAAAGCCGUCUUUUGCAGCAGAGAAAUACCCGUUUGCGUUAAAAAUGAUCCUUGUAGCCAUUGAGAUUAAUUGAUUAAAUGGAGUUGACAAAUGAAACAAAAACGGAAAAAAAAAAAAUUCAAUUCUACCAAAAUCAUUCAUCCAUUAAUACCCACGUUGAAUAAAACUCAACAUCCUUUUUUUCUAUUCCUUUCAAUAAAAAAAUAUUAAUUUAAUAUAUAUAUAUAUAUAUAGAGAGAGAGAGAGAGAGAGAGCUUCUUAAGUGCAUAUACUUAACAUUAUAUGGUGUUAUAGCGAAUCUACACAUAAUCUGCAUUUAGUGCAUCCACAUUUGAGAAUUUCUAUAUAUCAAAGCUUUCAAAGGCAGAAGUUUAAAUAUGAAUUUUGUGCGGAUUCACUACAAAAUCAUAUGAUGUUAACAUGCUUUUACAAUUGACUAUAAUACCACAUGAUGUUAUAGAAAAUCCACACGAAAUCUUUAUUAUAUAAAGAGAGAGAUCUUGCUUUGCUUUAUAAUUGAAUAUAGGGCAGUGAUAUUCCCACCCCUCAAAUUUUGUAAACCUACCUCGCCUUAAAAAAUUAAAUCAUAAAAAAUUCACAUUAUUUUUAACGAUUUCAAAUUAUUAAGAAUAAAAUUAAGCAAUUGACUAAUUAAAUCCUCAUUAAAUAAUUAAAAUACAUUUAUGAUAUGAUAUUCCAAAACAUUUAUGCUAUUUUUCUCAUAAAAUUUAUUAAUUAUAAGAAGGAUCUGAUUGAUUAAUUGUUUAAAAUUUUAUUUAUUUUAAAUUAAAAAAGCGUGAAUUAUUUUUUAAAUAAUUCUUUGAAAUGAUUUAAAUGCGGCACGUGUCCCAUCAAGUUAAAACCUGAAGUUGAUUUAAAUUUUAUUUUAUUUUAUUUUGGAACAGAAACCAAGUAGCGAGGCCCCGUUCUUCAGGAAAUUCCGAGCUAAGUUAAUCAACAUUUCCACUAAUUAUUUUUAUUUUCUUCCAAAGUUAAUUUAAUUAGAUCAAUUUCUGGCUUCCUACUUAAAUUGCAUAUCCAAUUUGGGGGUUGAUUUUUGGAGAUGGAGAUAAACUGAAACAUUAAUUGAAAUCGAUUGAGAAAAAAAAAAUCGAUUGAGAUUGAAAGUUCUUUAUUACCCAACAUACAGAAUACAUAUGCAAUUAAUUCAAAUUUCUAAAAUUACUGUAAUUGUUGGCAAUGUGGGGUUUUUUUUUCGUUGGGGGGGGGGGUGUCUGAAAUUUGCAUGCAUGCCUUAAUUGAGUUUUAUCACUUUAAAUCCUAAUUACUAAUGUUUUUUCUGUUAAUGGUUGAAAAUAAGAUAAGAAGAGAGAAGGUGAACUUGAAGAAGUAUAAGAAGACAAGACAUGUGAUGAUGUUGAUGUGUUUAUGUGAAUAAAGACAUAAAAAUACAUGUAAUGAUGUUGAUGUGUUUUUUCUUUGUCCAAGUUUUUCCGUUGAUGUUCUAAAGUUUGCAUAUAUAUGUUUCAAGAAACAAAUGGAAAUUAAAUAGUACAUAAAGGUGAACUCACAUCGUCAACUAAAGGUUACACUACCAUUUGCCCAAUGGUUCCAUUUCUAUUAUCAUUUUCUUUAGUCACAGAAAUAUCAUCGGACUCAAAUUCAUCAGUAUAAGAAGAGGGACAAGGACAAGGACAGGGUGAGUCUAUUGUAUGACAACAGCAAGUCUACAAUUUAGUUUUAUUUCUGCUGCUGCACUGAGGAAUCACUAGCAUCAACCACCUACUUUAUUACCGUUGCUUCGUUUUUCUCUUGAAGACGGUUGACUUGAUGAAAUAACACUUCUAAUGAGGCUGCCUUAAAGAAAGCAUAUAUGUUAAUCACCUGUUGUAAUCUCAUGCCAAAAUCAUUUCAGUUCCUGCUCAUAAAAUUAGUUACUUCAACCUUUGUCAUAUGUAUUCUCCACUGCUUCAAGAUACUUAGAUAGUGAAUGUGUCUAAAUUCCAACUCAAAAGAUUCAUUUGAGAAAAAAUUCUUUAGAUGGUCAUGUAGAGUUCUAAUUUAUCUCCGUAUCAUACACAAAAUACUUGAAACCUACACAUCAAUGAUCAAUGUUCAUCUUUUAUUGACAAUCCCAAUUCUCAUAUGUGUUUGGAAAGAAAUUAGAUUCACAGGCAUUCUAGAAAUAUCUGGUGUAUUUCAAUGACAAUGAUGCCAAGUCAUGUCUCAUGGCGUCCAAAAAAAUAAAAAUGGUGAUGUAUGUGGAGGAAGAUCGUUAGCUCAAUUAAAACUACACCUCGAUCAUUUCUGGACUCAUCAACAAGAGGUAAUUUCUUACUUUGUGAACAAAUUUUGUGUCUUAUAAUUUUUUUCUGUAUUUAUAUACUUACAUGCUGUUUUGUAAUUAUAUAGCCACCAAAGCCUGGACAUGGAGAUGUGUGUUUUGUUAUGUUUAGUCCAUUUAUAAGAUCAUGUGUCAUGUGAUCUAUAAGUCUACUUAAUGGUUGCAAUCAAAUGAGUUCAUGUCCAGAUUGUGAAGUUAGUUAAUUUCAACAUAUAGCAAUGAUUGUAUCCAUUGCUUUUAUGACGUUGCUAUGUUAUUGCUUCUUUAAUAAGUGGCAGACAUGAUUUUCUAGUUUUCCACAGCUUAAAUUGUUAAAUAAUUGAUAAUGCUCUUGUGCUUACUCUGUUCUUUUCUUUUUAGAUAAGCUUUAUGGUCCCAGUGGAAUUGUUUUCACCCUUUCUUUAUUGACAGUGGAUGUAUAAAAAAAAUUGGUCUUGAUUGAUACUUGAUGAUGUUGUAGUUAUUUCUCCCUGCUUUAUUCUUUUUGCAACAUAUGUGUUGUGCCAAAUACCAGUAAAGAAAUGAUAAUGGCUCCCCAAGACUCACUCAAGAAUGGUUCUUGAGUCUAAAACUAAUCAAUCUGUACUCAGUUUAAAGGAUGUUGUAACAGCCCAGUCAAUAAAAACUAAUCAAUGAAAGGAUUAAAAGAAUCAGAAAGAACAAUACACAUAAAGCUUAUAGUGGUUCGGCUAUGGAAGCCUACGUCCACUGUGAAAAAAUGAAUCCAAGUUUUAUUGAAUUGAUUGUCUACAGAGAACAAGCUUUUACAGAGAAUAUAACAACUAACAACCACUGGCGUUAUUCCUGAGUAUCCAGCUAUAUAUACAAGCUCUUUCUCGAUCAAACACCAGCAAGUUUCCCCUAUGUUUAGUGACGAAGAGCAGCAGCUUCCCGCGCUAAUUAACGGCUUUACAGACUUCUGAUAAGCCUUCAUUACACGUGUCUUCAUCUCUAUUAUACUAAGUAACAAAACGACAGUUCAAGCAGCCGUUUUGGUUAAGUGAAUCAUGUGCAAAUCACAUGCCUUCUUUGUAUACACAGAUGACACGGUAUCCUUGUCAUAUAGCUAUCUCAGGAUUGUCAACCGACAUGUCAUGGUGUUGACAAAUCUUCAACCGACUUGUUGCACUUGACUAUAAACUGAUUUGCAGUUCAUAUUCAACAUUCUCCACAUUGAGCUCAAAUCAUCCAUUCCUCAGGUUCACCCUUCCACUUCUUUCCUUCAGUCUAUACCCUGCAGAUGCCAGCUGAGUUCAAGCAGAACUCAAACUUAGCUCCUGGUACAGCUUUGGUAAGCAUGUCAGCAAUGUUGGUAUCAGUGUGUGUUUUAGCCAGCUUAAUCACACCCUUUGAUAUUUCCAAUCUGACAAAGUGAAGCUUGAUAUCAAUAUGCUUGGUCUUUUCGUGGUGAAUCUGGUUCUUACUCAGACAUAUAGCACUUUGGCUGUCACAAUGAAUUGUGAUUUAUUUUUGUUCAAAUCCCAGUUCUGUUACCAUCCCUCUAAGCCAGAUGGCUUCUUUGAUUGCCUCUGCAGCUGCUGUGUAUUCUGCCUCAGUUGUUGAUAGAGCAACAAUACUCUGCAGUGAAGCCUUUCAGUUUAUGGUGCAGCCAUUAAGCAUGAACAGAAAGCCUGUUAAGGACCUUCUUUUAUCCAGAUCUCCAGCAUAAUCUGAAUCUACAUAACCCUCCACACUAACCUCUGUAUAUUUCUCAGCUCCAUAGAUCAAACCAUAACCAGUUGUACCAGCAAGGUAUCUUAAGAUCCACACAACAGCCCUCCAAUGAUCCUUCCCUGGGUUUGCCAUAUACCUGCUUACCACACUCACUGCAUUAGAGAGAUCAGGCCUAGUCAGGACCAUUGCGUACAUUAAACAUCCAACAGCACUUGAGUAUGGAAAUUUAUUCAUUUAAGCCUUCUCAGCAUCAGAGUUUGGACACUGUUGGCAGGACAGUCUGAAAUGAGAGGGCAGUGGUGUUUGUACUGGUUUACAUUUAUCCAUAUUGAGCUUCUCAAGUACUUUCCUAAUGUAUUUUUGCUGUGUUAGGCUUAGGAUACCAUUCUUCCUGUCUCUCUUUAGCUAAACUCCAAGGAUCUUCUUUGCAGCACCUAGAUCCUUCAUCUCAAAUGUAUUGCUCAGCUGCUGCUUCAGUUCAUUGAUGAACUCCAUCUCCUUACAAGCUAUUAACAUGUCGUCUACAUAGAGUAGCAGGUAGAUCUUAUCACCACCUUCUAUGGUUUUAAAGUAAACACAGCAGUCAAAACUGCUCCUUUGAAAACCAUGAUAUGACAUAAACCUGUCAAACCUUAGAUACCACAGUCUUGGAGAUUGUUUUAAUCCAUACAGUGACUUCCUUAAAUGACAUACAUGAUCAGCCUUUUCUGGAUCCUCAUACCCUUCAGGUUGUGACAUCACUAUCAUCUCAUCUAUUUCACCAUGCAGGAAGGCAGUCUUCACAUCCAUCUGUUCAAGAUGCAUGUCUUGUACAGCCACUAGAGAUAACAGGAUCCUCAGGGAAGCAUGUCUCACCACAGGGGAGAAAACUUCUGUAAAGUCAACACCCUCUUUCUGAGUGAAACCUUUUGCAACCAACCUGGCUUUGUAUCUUUGUGGCUCAACAUCUGGAAUUCCCUCCUUAAUCCUGUAAAUCCAUUUGCAUCCUACUAUCCUCUUGUUUGCUGGUCUUUCAAUGAGAUUCCAGGUGUGAUUCUUUUUUAAAGACAUCAUUUCCUCAUCCAUAGCCUUGAUCCAUUCUUCUGCCUUAUCACUGUUAAUAGCUUCUGAGUAUGGUCUAGGUUCAUUUGUUGCUAUUUCAUGUGCUGCUGUUAAUGCAAAUGCAAUUAGAUCUGCAUAUGCAUAUCUUCUAGGAGGUCUUAUCACUCUCUUUUCUCUGUCCCUCACUAACUGAUAAUCUUCACAUCUCUCUUGAUCACUUGUUGUUUCAUUCUCAGUGUCAUGUAUUUCCAUGUCUGUUAUGUCUCCAGCCUCUGAUCUUGAUUUCUGUUUCUGGUUUGAGUUUGACAGCUCCACUUCAAGAUAAGAUCUCUCAUCUUUAUCUUUCAGUUCUGCAUUUGUAGUUUUUAAGGAUACUGAUUGUUGGAGCAUCUCAGCUUCAUUAAAUACCACAUCUCUGCUUAUGAUUGCUUUUGGUGGCUUCAUGUCUGUGCACCAUAGUUUAUACCCUUUUACCCCUUCAGGGUAACCAAGAAAUACACACUUCAAUGCCCUGGGUUCUAAUUUGCCUUAUUUGAUGUGAGCAUAUGCUGGACAACCAAAGAUCUUCAAACUAGAGUAAUCUACUGGUUUACCAUACCAAAGUUCAUAUGGUGUCUUGAAGUUAAUUCCUGUAAAAGAGCUUCUGUUCGCAAUAUGACAAGCUGUUGACAGAGCCUCAGCCCACAAGGACAUAGGUAGCUUAGAGUGAAUGAGCAUACACCUCACUUUGUCAACUAAGGUUCUGUUCAUCCUCUCAGCUAAUCCAUUUUGCUGAGGUGCAUAUCUUACUGUUCUGUGCCUCAUGAUUCCAUGCUUGCUGCAAAAUUCUUCAAACUUCUUAUUGCAGAAUUCUAAUCCAUUAUCAGUUCUGAGCUUCUUAACCUUCCUAUUAGUCUGAGUUUCAAUUAGUGUUUUCCAGUUCUUGAAUUGUUCAAACACUUCAUCUUUGUUCUUCAGCACAUACACCCAAACCAUUCUAGAAUGGUCAUCAAUUAGAGAUAGAAAGUACCUUGCCCCUCCUAAGGAUGCUGUCUGUGUAGGUCCCCACAGAUCAGCAUGUACGUAUUCUAGAGUUCCUCUUGAAACAUGUGCACCAGUGCUGAAUUUGACUCUUGAGGAUUUACCUAGGACACACUCCUCACAAAAUUCCAAGGGCUCUAUUUUAUCUUCACCUAAGACUCCUGUUUUGAUAGUUCUCUCAAGCUUCUCUCACUCAUAUGGCCUAAUUUAAAGUGCCACAAUAAAGUUUUGUUUAGAUUCUGGUUUGAAACUCCAACAUCUCCUGUGACUACAGACCCCUAGAGCACAUACAGGCCAUUGUCUAAGUUUCCUUUCAUCAACACCAUAGACCCUUUCAACACCUUCAAAGUGCCUGACUCAAGCUUGAUAACACACCCCAUUUUGUCAAGCAUGCCAAGAGAAAUUAAGUUCCUCUUUAAAUCAGGGAUAUGUCUGACAUUUGGUAAUUCUCUUAUUGUGCCAUCAAGCAUUUUCAGUUUAAUGGUGCCCCUGCCAAUUACUCUACAACUAGCAUCAUUUCCCAUUACAACUAUCCCACCAUCAUAGGUUUCAUAGUUCUUAAAGAAAUUUCUAUUAGGGCACAUAUGGAAUGAACAACCAGAAUCUAAAACCCAGUUACCUCUAGAUGCACCAUCAGAGACUAUGAGAACUCCAGCAGAGUCAUAACCAUCAGAUUCUUGUCCUUCUGAUGCAACAGUAGCAUCUCUAGUCUUCUCUUUUGUUUCUUUGCUUUUAUAUUUCCUCUCUGGACAAUCCUUUUUGAAGUGGCCUUCCUUGUGGCAAUUAAAGCACUUCAUAUUCUUGGGUCUGGACUUGGAUCUUUUCUUCUUUCCUUGACCACCUUCUCUCUUUUAUGGUCUCCCUCUAACUGUUAAUCCUUCCCCAUGACUUGCUUCUUUCUUGGUUGCAGCCUUGGAGCUCAAUGUCUCUUUUACAUCCACCAUCGAAAGAGACUGUCUUCCAUACAUGAGAGUGUCAACUAGAUGCUCAUAAGAGCUUGGUAAAGAGCACAACAGAAUCAUGGCUUUAUCUUCAUCAUCAAUCUUUACAUUAAUGUCUUUAAGAUCCAAAAUGAUCUUGUUAAAGGCAUCAAUGUGAUCAGAGAUUGAUGAACCCCCUUCUAUCUGCAAUGUGUAAAGCUUCUUUUUAGUGGCUAACCUCUUAGCCAUGGACUUUUUGGCAUACAAGUCUUCAAGCUUCUUCCACAAUCCAGCAGCAGUUGUCUCUCCUCCCACUUCUCUAAGUACACCAUAUCCGAGGCUUAAGAUAAUUGCACUAUGUGCCCUAUCAAGCACAUCUGGAAGAUCAUCCUCUGAUAUCUUCCUUGGUUUCUUGGGUGAUGUGAUUUCGGCAAGGGCUUCAUCCAGGCCUUGAUGUACCAGUAGUGCUUUCAUCUUGAGUCUCCAUAGGUGAAAGUCAUUUUCACCAGUAAACUUUUCUAUUUCAAGUUUAGGACCAGUCAUCUUUAGAUCAAGAAUUUCAGAGAGAGGCUCUAAUACUAAUUUAUUGUGCCAAAUACUAGUAAAGAACUGAUAAUGGCUCCCCAAGACUCACUCAAGAAUGGUUCUUGAAUCUAAAACUAAUCAAUCUGUACUCAGUUUAAAGGAUGUUGUAACAGCCCAGUCAACAAAAACUAAUCAAUGAAAGGAUUAAAAGAAUCAGAAAGAACAAUACAUAAAAAGCUUAUAGUGGUUCGGCUAUGGAAGCCUACGUCCACCGUGAAAGAAUGAAUCCAAGUUUUAUUGAAUCGAUUGUCUACAGAGAACAAGCUUUUACAGAGAAUAUAACAACUAACAACCACUGACGUUAUUCCUGAGUAUCCAGCUAUAUAUACAAGCUCUAGCUCGAUCAAACACCAGCAAGUUUCCCCUGUGUUUAGUGAUGAAGAGCAGCAGCUUCCCGCGCUAAUUAACGGCUUAACAGACUUCUGAUAAGCCUUCAUUACACUUGUCUUCAUCUCUGUUAUACUAAGUAACAAAACGACAGUUCAAGCAGCUGUUUUGGUUAAGUGAAUCACGUGCAAACCACAUGCCUUCUUUGCAUACACAGAUGACACAGUAUCCUUGUCAUAUAGCUAUCUCAGGACUGUCAACUGACAUGUCAUGGUGUUGACAAAUCUUCAACCGACUUGUCGCACUUGACUAUAAAUUGAUUUGUAGUUCAUAUUUAACAAUAUGGAAGACUGAGUAUUGUAAGAUUCAUUUCCCGCACUGCUCUGCCUUGAUCUGUUCUAAUUUGAGAGUCAGCAAUCUUGAUUCAACUUCUUGGGUGGAGUACUAGCUAAGAGAAGGGAGGCAUGGGAGCCAGCACUAAUUUUUGAAUUGAAGAGAUAUGGGCAUCAACUUCAGACUAUUUUCAGAGAGGCUGAGAAGGGUGUUAGCUGGCGAAGAAGUCACAUUGCCUGAUGCUGCAAAAUAACCUAUUCAGAAUCUUUGUACCGAGGUUGAAAUCGUUACUUCUUGGCUGAGGGACUUUGAAUAUGAUAUGUCCUGGCUUCUGCUGCAAAAAAAUAGGAGAAGAUGAAAUUGACAACCCAGACCUUGGGACCAUUAAUUGCUUUACAUAUGAAUAUGAGAAGGUCAUUGACAUAUUCUCAACAGCAUCACCCAACAUAAGAGUCAAAGCAGGUGCAACAACUUCAGUACAUCGAUUCCGGAAUCAUUGAUGAUUUCAAAAGUAUUGAAGAUGAAGCCGAUUAUUUUCCUGCAUCAUCAUCUUCUAAGAAUAGGGGCACGGUGGGUCUAGAAGACAGAAUGGAGGAGUUGUUAGAUAUAUUAAGAGAGGGACCACCUCAGCUUUCAGUGGUGGCCAUCUUGAUAGCAUUGGGUUGGGCAAGGUGGCUUUCACUGCAGAGGCUUACAGCAGCAGUGAUGUGAAGCAUUAUUUUAAUUGUCACGCUUGGGUUCCAAAGCCUUACAGCUAUGAUGCUGAUGGUGACCAAAUAUUAGAUAUCAUUAUUAAGUUUCUAAUGCCUUCAUCUAGGUUGAGUGUAAUAAAGGAUAAAAAUUAUGAAAUGAAAAAAAAAAUUCUUCAUGAAUAUCUAAUGAUCAAGUGGUAUUUGAUUGUGAUUGAUGAUGUGUGGAGCAUUGAAGUGUGGGAUGUUAUUCGAGAAAUACUUCCGGAUAAUCAGAAUGGAAGUGGAGUACUAAUAACACUCACUGAAAUUCAUAUCGUCACCUCAUUUCAGUUAAAAAGUGGACAUAAUAUUUGGCUUGAUUUAGUGCCCACUAAAGGACCAUUGAGAGUUGUUUACCUUUUUGCUUGAAACUUUGUUUUCCUUACUUAUCUGUGUUUCCUGUACACCUAGAGACAUCCACCAAGCAGUUAUAUCAGUUGUGGAUAUCUGAAGGUUUCAUUCCAGACAAUAGCGAGGCAACUGCCGAGAAGUACUUGGAACCACUAAUGAAUAGAGUCUUUGUUGAUGCAAAGAAGAGAAGCGAUGGAGGCAGAAUCAACGCAUGCCCUAUUCGUAGUCGUUGAUGGGCUUCAUUAUUGCAAAUGGCUCUCAAAACGAAAUUUAUCUUUUCCCCUAUCCUGGAUCAAAAAGGUAAAUCACGAAAAAAUGUCAAACAUGUCUACGUUUUUUACAUUUUGCUUACUUAGAUGAUUGUGACUCGCACCUGCAUUCUUUGUUGCACUUCUAAAAGCGACCACCUUGACCCCAUAGAUUGGGUGAAAAUCGAUUGAGUAAUGGACUUGGGAUCUCUUGUUCUCAGCCAAUUUCCAUCCAAAAUUGAAACCUUAUUACUUUUGAUAUUUGAAGCUGAAUAUCCCUUCCCUCAAAAGCCUGGCUUCAUCACUAUUAAGAAAUCUCUGAAUCUGUACACCAUAGCCAUGCUAUUUAGCUACAUAAAUCAUACAACAGAUGAAUUUUGGAAGAUGAACAAACUCAGGCAUCUAAAGUUUGGCUCGAUCAUACUUCCUGAACAUCUAAGAAAAUAUUGCGGCUCUCUGGAAAAUCUCAAUUUCAUUACAGCCAUGUAUCCUUGCUGCUGUACUGAAGAUAUAUUGAACAGACCACCUAAUCCUCAAAAUCUCCAGAUAUGAUAUGAGGAGAUUUUUAUUUUUAUCAAUUUUUGAUGUCCCAAAGUCUUUGUAGAUUGAGAUGCCUCAAGUCAUUGAAGAUGGUGAAUGAAAGCAAGAUGCCAAGGCUCUCCAAAAUCGUCCUUGCCAAAUACCUACUUCCUCAAAGUCUAAUCCACUUGAGUUUCUCUAAUACUGAAAAAAUGGAUGAUCCCAUGCCUGCACUUGAACACUAGAAAAGUUGCCAGUUCUUCAAGUGCUCAAACUGAAGCAAAACUCAUAUUCAGGUCGAUAGCUGAUUUGUAGGUCUGAUGGUUUCCCAAAGCUCAAGAUAGUGCACCUGAAUUCAAUGCCAUGGCUAGAGGAGUGGACCAUGAGGCUUGGAGCCAGGCCAAAACUAGAAUGCUUGAUUCUCAAUUCUUGUGCUUACUGGAAAAAGAUUCCUGAACAGCUCUGGUGCAAAAAGAGCUUAAACAAAUUCGAGUGUUGGUGGCCUCAACCGGAGCUGAGACAAAAGCUACGGGACUUCGAGGAUAAGGCGCAGUAAGACAAUCAAGUAUAUCCUUAUGGAAUUUGAUUUGCAUGGAUUUAAUUAGAUGUAAGUUUUUCAUUUUAUGCAAUAUCAUAAACCUUUAAUUAUUAAUCUAAUUUCAUACAUAUGUUUUUUCUUUUCCUCAAUAUAUUUGAUAGUACGCAAAACAAAGAAACCCAACAAUGCCCUCCAUCAAUCCUAAGGACUCAUUAAUGAAAUACAAGUGUGCAACCUAAGAGGGGGGGUGAAUUGGAUUUUUAAAAUCUAUCCUAACAAAUCCACACAACAAGCAAUCUAAUGUCUUAACAAUAAUUGAAAACAAUAAGUUCAAUAAUAGCACAAUAAUUAAAGAGUAAGGGAGAAGAGAAACAAACACACGAAUUUUUACGUGGUUCGGCAAUCCCCGCCUACGUCCACGCCUACAAGCGAUCCAAGCUCGAGGAUUUCACUAUCCAAGCCUUUCCAAGGCUUCAACAAUUACAAUUGACUUCGAGGUGUCAAUAAACCUUUACAACAAAGAGAUUAUCUCCCAAUCUCUUCACUCAAGUGUCUCACACACUCAAAUUCUUACAAAUGAGAUGAACAAAUGAUGAUUACAAUGAAACUCACUCAAUGAGUAGAUAUACAAUGAUGAAGAACAAGAAAAGAUUCAAUGUUUGUAUUUCGCAAGUUUGAACACUCAAGAUAUCACGUGUGCCUUUUGUUUUUGCUUGUUGGAGAGCUUCAAAAUGAGUUGGAUUUGAGUUCUUAUAGCUUGAGCUCGAAAACUAGCCAUUACUCACAUUUUGGGCUAUCCGGUUUGCCGUUUAAUGGAAUCCGGUAAGCCGGAUUUAUGUUACCGUUAAGGCAAAAUUCAAAAUUUUGCCUAACCGGCUUGCCGGAUUCGAAAUCCGGUAAGCAGUUUUUGUUCUGGUGCUUACUGCCUGAAUUCGGCCUGCCGUUUAUCAGUAUCCGGUAAGCCACUUGCUACAGUAACCUGCUACAGUGAAAUUUUUCCCAUAUUUUCAGUUUGACCCCAAAACUUUAUAAAAACUGUAGUAUGGCCCAAAACGUUAUGAAAUUUUACAAAUAUGUCCAAUUUCAGAAUUUUUAAGUAAUACUUCGUUAAUCCCAAAACUUUUUGAAAUUAUGAUAUAGCCCAAACUUUGUGAAAUUAUAUAAUGACCCCAAAAACAUUUAAAUAAUUUCAAAUAAGUCCAAAUCCGAAAACUUUAAAAACAUUAUCAAAGCUUUUAAAAUACAUGUGGUUUGUUAUCAUCAAAAUCAAUAUUUAUAGCCAUAUAGGCUAACAAUGUCAUACAGGUUAUUAACUUUUUCUCAUUGUUAAGAUUAGUUGUUAAUAUUUUUUUGGUAAUUUUCUCAUUUUAAUGGCGUGGAUGGAUAUCUUUAGUAUUUUCUUUUACCUGUUGGGGCUGCCAGAACUCUGUUUUUUGAAAUUAACAUUUUGGAAUCUGUUUUACUUUCCCCGCCCCUAGAAUGUUCAAUUUUAAGGUGAUCUUUAAAAUUUUCGCAGAAGCAUGGUUAUACCAAUUUCUCUUCGAAAUGAUUGAGUUAAAUAUGACAUGGAGAAUCGCCAAUAUAGACAACUUAUUUUGAAACUUCUAGCAAAUUGAAAGUUUGGAAUUCAUUAGUGAAGUUCAUAAUGGUGAAAUGUUUGGUUUCAAUUGAUGGGAAUAGGCCCCAUGAACUGAUGUAGUGAUGGAUACUGAAUUGGGACAUGGUGUUUCUGGUUCAUGGAAUAUCUUGAAAGAAGUAUGAAAAGUGAUGCAAGACAACAAAAGAGACGUCUUCCUAAAAAAAUUGAAUGGCCUCGGCUUGAUUUCUAGGUGUGAUUCUUUUUUUUUCCUAUUUUAGGUAGAUAGCUCAUGGCUCAUUGAUGUGGUAAUGGAUUGGUUUGUUACCAAUAUUGGUAGUGUCGUUAAGGUGCACCAAAUUUAAAACCUUACCACUAAUAUAAAUAAUUAGUACAGAGCGAGUAAGGAUCGAUCCCACAGAGACUAUGCUAGUUAUAUUUAUUAUUAACUCCAAAGUAAGAUUUAAAAUAAAAUAAUAGUAAUAAUAAUAAUAAUAGUAAUAGUAAUAAUAAUAUAAAUUAAUCUAACUAAAGAAAAUGCCAAUUAAAAAUAAAAGGGGGAUUUAUGAAUUUUUAACUAAAUAGUAAGAAAUAAAGAAAUUAAAAUUACGAACAAGAAUUUAAUAAAAACUCUAAUUAAAGGAGAAAGAAAUAAUAAUGAUGAAAACUUUGGUUAAAGGAUCAUUCGCCACCACCAAACAUGCACAUAAUAUAUUAAUUCUAUCAUCAAUUUAUAUUGAAACUAUCAACUGUAGACAACAAUAAGCUCUGUUAGUCUCAAUUUUUCCUUAGUGUGUCGUUAGGCAAAAUAAGCUCUUCACCUAAUCUCUAACCAUUAAAUAAUUUAAAACAAGCUCUUUAAAUUUAAGAUAAUGGAAGCAUUAAACAAAGAAAGAUAUUAGGUUGAUUUAGGCAAUAAACACACAAGCUCGGAUUAUUUAACCUAGGUUAUGUUCUUCAAUUGAAAUCAUUGAUUCCAACCUACUACUAAUGAUUAAAAUAUCAAGACAAUUACGGAUCAAGAAUUUUAAUCUAGCAAUAAAAUUUAUUCAAGUCCUAUCUAAUUGGCCACUCAAACAAAACAAGAAUAAACCAUGAACAUUAAUUAUAGAAGAACAUAAACAAUCUCAAUUAAAUAAAUUGCUGAAGCUCAGUCUGCCUCACCAAAAGUGUCUGAACCUCAUCCAUAAGCUGCUGAAGAGUGACAUCUCCAGAGGUAGGAGGCCGUGGAGGUGAUGAAGCGGAUGCAGAUGCACUAGGAGCCGAAGCAACCGUAGAAGAAACUCGGCGUCUACGCUGCCCUCGAAAUGAUAGUGAGAAUAUUGGAAGCUGAUCAGCGGGAAUCACGGCAUUAAGUGGCCGAUCAUCACUUGGGGCUAGAAAGAUAAACUUGUUAUCGCUAUAUUUGACCCAAGUGUCAUUCUUCCACUCAAAGCCUAACCCAACAAUAACCUCAUCCCCAAUACCCUUGGAUGGCCUACAAGAAGGUUCUAGAAUCGGCACUUCAAAGAAUUUAAGAAUACGAGUAAUGAAGUGACCAUAGGGGAGAGAGCGGGUAAUCAAGGCUGGAAUGCUCAACAUGGUGCGAACAAUGGAAUAGCCCAAGUCAACCGGGCGACCUCUAAAAAUACAGUCAAUCAUGGCGACAUCCAUGUGAUACACCUCAUCCAAAUGUCCUGAUCUAGGAAGUACAAUAGACUGGAUGAUACGAAGCAAAAAACGAGUUUGAAGACAAAGACACUGAGUACGGAAAUGAAUGGUACAGUCUUCAACAGAGAGAUCAUUACGCCGACAAAUAUUACGAACGGCAUCAACAUGAACAUAAUCAUCAAUUUCAGGAGGUUUCCUAAGAGAAAAAAUGUCCAAGCCUUCAUCGGAAGAUCAUAGGAUGUUGUUCAAGUCCGAAUCAUCAAAUUCAAUCAAAACUCCUCCAACUUUGGUGAUUACUCGAUUCUCUUUCUCCGCGGAACAAUCCAUAUUCGAGUAAAAUACUUUCACCAAGUCGGGAUACACAUUCUCCUCAAUCAACAAUGCAUCAAUCCAACCAACAUCUCCCAACAAUUGAAAUAAAGUUCUAUGACUAAUCUGGAGAGAAUGUAAAACAUCCGGUAAAACAAAGAAAGUGUUGAGUACUUCACGAGUCCGAAAGUUUUGAUGAAACCUUUUGAUCAAGUGUUGCGUGUUCUGAAAGUGAAUGGACUCAAAGGUGGAUUGAUUGGAGGUGCCCCUUGCUUCCCGUGGCCGUGUGGAUGGUUGAACCGGUUCCUUGCCUUUUCUUCGAACCGGCCGAGAGCUUGACAUAUUGAUUUUGAUUGAUUUGAAGAUAAAAACACUAAAGAGAAUGAAGAAGAUGAAGAUUGGAGGUGAUUUGGUAAAACAAAAUUGAUCAAAAACGACUUGAGAGUGAGAAAUCUAGAGAGAGAAAAUUCGGCUCAAAACCUAGGUUGGAAUUGGGAUCUAAGGAUUUAGAUGUUGAAAACAGGUUUCAAGGAUGGUUUUGUGAUCUUAAUGAGAUGGGGAAUGAUUUUAUUGAUUCAAUUUGAUGUGAAAAUGGAAGAAAAAGAAGGAUGUUGGAGUGAGAAAGAGAGAAAAUGGAAACGAGUUUUAGAGAGAUGAAGAACCGGUAUGCCGAAUGCUUGAGGAAGAUGAAUAGUGCUUAAGAGAUCACGAAUCCGGUUUGCCGGAUUUUCUAACCGGUAGGCCGGUUGUGAACCCGAGAACAGCCAUCUUCAGCAAAUUUAAAAGGCACGAAUCCGGCUUGCCGGAUUUCCUAACCGGUAAGCCGGUUAGCAUGCAGAAAAGGAGAAAGCCGAAACCGGCUUUCCGAAAUUGAAAUCCGGUAAACCGGAUAUGGACCGAGAGAUGCAAGAGGCAAUUCGGCUUGCCGGUUUCCUUAACCGGCUGGCCGGUUUCGAGAGCCUCCAAAAAUAAUCGGUUUUCCGGAUGUCUUGAAGCGGAAAUCCGGUUUUGCUCCAGCAAAGCAUGCAUGCGAAUUCGGUUUUCCGGUUAUUGAUAACCGGUUGACCGGUUAUGAGGCAGUAAAUAUCCUUCCAAAUUCGGUUUUCCGGAUUGAAAAUCCGGUUUUCCGGAAUUUGUCCCGACAGGGAUCAAUAAGGAGAAAUAAUUUUCCGGAAGAAUGAAAAGGGAAUAUUUGCUAGCUCUUGUACUUGUAUUACACACCAUUUUAUUUCCGGCUUUAAAAAUUGAUUAAUUUUAAAUCAUUUCGAGAUUUAAAACUUUUCAAUAAGCCAUCUAAUGCAUGUAAUAUAAAAUCAUAAAAUCAUAAAUUUACAAGCACAUCAAGUUAUCUAAUUCAUGUAGCAUAAAACCAUAUGAUAACAAUCAUAUCAAGCCAUGAAUUAAAACAUGAAUUAAGAUUCAACAUUCAUCAUUCCAAGCUCAUGCCUAAUCUUUAUAAAAUGCUCUUCGCUAAGAGGUUUUGUAAAGAUAUCCGCAAGUUGAUUUUCAGUGGAAACAAAUUUAAUUACAACAUCCCCUUUUUGAACAUGAUCUCUAAGGAAAUGAUGUCUAAUCUCUAUAUGCUUAGUCCUAGAAUGUUGAAUGGGAUUCUUGGAAAGAUUUAUAGCACUAGUAUUGUCACAUAAGAUAGGAAUUUGAUCAAGUAUAAUGCCAUAGUCUCUAAGGGUUUGUUUCAUCCAAAGAAUUUGUGCACAACAACUACCUGCGGCAAUAUAUUCUGCCUCGGUGGUUGAAAGCGCAACUGAGUUUUGUUUCUUACUAAACCAAGAGACAAGAGAAUGACCUAGGAAGUGACAUGUUCCACUAGUACUUUUUCUAUCAACCUUAUACCCAGCAAAAUCAGCAUCCGAAUAACAAGUUAAAUCAAUGUGAGUUCCUCUAGGAUACCAAAGGCCAAGAUUAAUAGUACCAAUUAAAUACCGAAAAAUGCGUUUGACAGCAAGCAUGUGAGACUCUUUAGGACAAGAUUGAAAUCUAGCACACAAGCAAACACUAAACAUAAUAUCAGGCCUAUUAGCAGUCAAGUAGAGUAAGGAUCCGAUCAUACCUCGAUAAGUCUUGAUAUCAACUUCCUUACCUUUCUCAUAGGAGUGCUUGAUGGUAGUGCUCAUAGGAGUGCUUUUUGCCGUUCCAUUUUCAUAGCUAAAUCUUUUGAGUAGAUCUUUCACGUACUUGGCUUGGUUUAUGAAAAUUCCUUCCUCGUUUUGUUUGAUUUGAAGACCAAGGAAGUACUUCAACUCUCCCAUCAUACUCAUCUCAAACUCUUGGCUCAUACAUGAUGAAAAAUCUUUACACAACAACUCAUUAGUAGAACCAAAAAUAAUAUCAUCAACAUAUAUUUGAACAAUAAGUAUGUCUUGGUUCUUAUGCUUAACAAAAAGAGUUGUGUCCGCUUUUCCCAUUGGAAAAUCGUUAUCCAACAAGAAAUUUUUAAGCCUAUCAUACCAAGCUCUAGGUGCUUGUUUUAAACCAUACAAAGCCUUGGAUAACUUAUACACAUGAUCUGGAAACUUUUCAUUUUCAAAACCAGGAGGUUGUUUCACAUAAACUUCCUCCAUAAUGUAUCCAUUUAAGAAAGCACUCUUGAUAUCCAUUUGAUACAAAAUAAAAUUCUUAUGACAUGCAUAUGCUAACAACAUCCUGAUGGAUUCUAAUCUUGCUACAGGUGCAAAAGUUUCAUCAAAAUCAAUUCUUUCUUCUUGGUUGUAACCUUGAGCCACUAAUCUAGCUUUAUCUCUUACAACCACACCAGAUUCAUCCAUUUUGUUUCUAAAUACCCAUUUAGUACCUAUAAUGGAUUGAUGUUCCGGAUUAGGAACUAACUCCCACACAUUAUUUCUCUCAAAUUGAUUCAACUCCUCUUGCAUUGCCAUAAUCCAAGAUUCAUCAUUUUCCACAUCCGCAAAGGAUUUUAGUUCAAUUUGAGAAAUAAAUGCAGCAUGCUCACAUGUGUUUCUAAGAGAUGAUCUAGUGGUAACACCUCGUGAGGGAUCUCCUAAAAUUACAUCCUUAGGAUGAGAGGACACAUACCUCCACUCCUUGGGGAGUGUUUGUGAAGUACCUUCAUUUUGCUCUGCAUUUGUUUCUUCAUGAUGUUCCUCUUGAAUUCCAGGUGGUGUGUUUUCUUGGUUGCGAUUUGAUGCUUCUUCUUGUUGUUCUUCUUCUGCAUUAUCAUCAACAACAACUUUCUCCGUAGAGGAGGGGUUAGACUCAUCAAAUGUAACAUGCAUAGAUUCUUCCACAACUAAAGUUCUUUUAUUAUAAACUCUAUAAGCUUUGCUUGAAUUUGAAUAACCAAGAAAGAUACCAACAUCAGAUUUUGGAUCAAAUUUACCAAGAUUAUCUUUUGUGUUUAAAACAAAACAUUUGCAUCCAAAAACUUUAAAAUAACCAAUGUUGGGUUUUCUAUCUUUCCAAAGCUCAUAUGGAGUUUUAUUGAGAUUAGGUCUAAUCAACACCCGAUUUAAAACAUAACAAGCGGUGUUGACGGCUUCGGCCCAAAAAUACUUAGGCAAAGAAUUUUCAUUCAAAUGGUCCUAGCCAUUUCUUGAAUAGACCUAUUCUUUCUCUCUACUACUCCAUUUUGUUGUGGAGUCAUAGGUGAUGAAAAUUGAUGUUCAAUGCCAAGGUCAUUACAGAAAUUUUCAAAUGCAUGAUUUUCAAAUUCUCCACCAUGAUCACUUUUAAUACAAGUGAUGGAGUAACCUUUUUCAUUUUGAACCUUUUUACAGAAAAUUCGAAAUGCAUCAAUGGCAUCAUCCUUAUUAGCUAAGAACAAUACCCAUGUGUAUCUCGAAUAAUCAUCCACAAUUACAAAUGCAUAAAACUUGCCACUUAAACUAGCAUAUCUAGAAGGACCAAAUAAAUCUAUAUGAAGCAAUUGAAGUGGAAACAUGAUUUUUACUUUUGAAUGAAGUUUUGAUUUGUUUUCCAAAUUGGCAUGCUUCACAAGUUCUAUCUUUUUGAAAAUUGAUUUUUGGAAGACCUUUUACUAAAUCAUUUUUCACGAUUUUUGAAAUCAAAUCCAUGCUUGCAUGACCUAAUCUUCUAUGCCAUAACCAACCAUCAUCAUGCAAUGCGGAAAGACAUUUCUCAUUUGUUGAUGCACAAUCUAUAUUAAUGGUAUAGACAUUAACACAUCUAUUUCCUACAAACAAGACUUUCCCAUCACAUGCAUUCUCAAUAACACACUUUGAUUCAUCAAAGAUAACUCUAUAUCCUUUAUCACAUAAUUGACUAAUACUAAGCAAAUUGUGUUUCAAGUUUUCAACCAAACACACAUUUUCAAUGAGAGUAGAGGAUACAUUACCGACAUUUCCAAUCCCAAUGAUUUUUCCUUUUGAAUUAUCCCCAAAUGAAACAUCUCCACCAUUUUCGAUCUUGGUAAAGCUUGAAAACCAAGAAUAAUUCCCUGUCAUGUGUCUUGAACAGCCACUGUCCAAGUACCACUUAUUCUUCUUCUUCUUUGAGCCCUGUGGAGAAAAUCUCAAGCUUUAGGUACCCAAACCUUUUUGGGUCCUUGAGAGUUAGCAAUGGUUCCUUUCGGAACCCAAACACAUUUCAUACCAUAAUAUGCAUUUCUCUUCACCGCACAUCUAUUUUUCAUAUGGCCAUCUUGAUUGCAAUAAUGACAUACAAUUUUAUUGUUAAUAGAUGUAUUCUUCACAAAAUAACUCUUGUAAAAUUUUUGUUUCAAAUUCGGUUUAUAACCUAUGCCACUUUUGUCAAAUACACAUUUUUGUGAGUUUAGCAAAUUGUCCAACAUCUUUUGCCCAUUUGUAAAUUUUAGCACAAUUUCAUUUAAUUCAUUACUCUUCUUUCUAAGCAUUUCAUUCUCAUUUUUCAAGUCAUUCAUGUGUGACUCUAAGUGCUCAUGUGAAGUGCUAGAGUUCUCAAAUAAUGCAAUACUAUCAUGUAAUGUUUUGUUUUCUAAUUCUAGGCAUGUAAUCUUUGCACUAAAUGAAUCAUUUUCAUUCUUAAGCUCUAUCAUCUUCUUUUUAAGACUUAUAUUCUUUUUACAAAUCUUCAUUAGCUCAUCAUGCAAAUCAUUAAAAGUAUCAUGCAGUUCAUCAUAUGUAGGAGGAACACUUACCUCAUCAAGUUCAUCACAUGAUUCUUCCCCAAUGGCCAUGAGAGCUAAGUUUGUCAUUUCUUGUUGCUCAUCAUCGUCACUUGUUUCCUCAUCACUAUCAUCCCAUGUGGCCACCAUAGCCUUCUUCUUGAAUUUGUUGAGAAGAGGACAUUUCGGUCGUAUGUGUCCGGGCUUCUUGCAUUCAUAACAAGUGAUUGGCUCCUUCUUCUCCUUCUUAUUCUUGUAGCCUCUGAACUUUCUCUGCUCAUUAUUCUUCUUAUAAAAUUUUCUGAAUCUUCUAGCUAACAUAGCCAGCUCCUCAUCAUCCAUUUCGCUUUCCUCAUCACUCUCACGUUUUGAAGCCUUGAGAGCAAUGUUCUUCUUCUUUUCCUCAUGCCCUUUUUCAGCUGCCAAAUCUUCUUCAUAUGAAAUAAGAGAGCCAAUUAAAUCAUCAAUAGGUAACACAUUUAAAUCCUUGGCUUCCUCAAUGGUAGUCCUUUUUGGUCUCCAUUCCUUAGGUAGAGACCUAAUGAUUUUCUUGACUUUUUCGCUAUUUGAAAAAGUCUUUCCUAGGGCUCCUAGAGUGUUCACUAUGUCCGUGAAUCUAGUAUACAUAGAGUACACAUUUUCAUUUUGUUCCAUUUAGAACAAUUCAUAUUGUCGAGUGUACCUACUUAUUUUAUAUUCUUUCACUUGGUUCGUGCCUUCAUAGACAACCUCAAGUUUGUGCCAAAUCUCAUUAGCACUUUCGCAACUAGACACUCUAUGAAACUCUUUCUUAUCUAGUGCACAAAAUAAGGCAUUCAUGGCCUUGGAAUUUAGAGAAGCUUUUCUCUUUUCGAAUUCAUUCCAAUCCCGUGAAGGUUUUGGAAUAUCUUCUCCGACUUCAUUUUUAGUCAAAGGCAUGAAAGGACCAUCAUUAACGAUUUCCCAAAUCUCAUAAUCUAAGGCUUGCAAGUAAAUUCUCAUCCUAGUUUUCCAAUAUGGGUAAUCGUUUCCAUCAAAGUAAGGUGGUCUAGUGGUGGACUGCCCUUCCCUAAAUGUGGAAUCAUUUUGAGUUGCCAUUGAUCUUUAGUUCUAGAUGGUUAAAUCUAAAUAAGAGCACCUUGCUCUGAUACCAAUUGAAAUACAAGUGUGCAACCCAAGAGGGGGGUGAAUUGGAUUUUUAAAAUCUAUCCUAACAAAUCCACACAACAAGCAAUCUAAUGUCUUAACAAUAAUUGAAAACAAUAAGUUCAAUAAUAGCACAAUAAUUAAAGAGUAAGGGAGAAGAGAAACAAACACACGGAUUUUUACGUGGUUCGGCAAUCCCCGCCUACGUCCACGCCUCCAAGCGAUCCAAGCUCGAGGAUUUCACUAUCCAAGCCUUUCCAAGGCUUCAACAAUUACAAUUGACUUCGAGGUGUCAAUAAACCUUUACAACAAAGAGAUUAUCUCCCAAUCUCUUCACUCAAGUGUCUCACACACUCAAAUUCUUACAAAUGAGAUGAACAAAUGAUGAUUACAAUGAAACUCACUCAAUGAGUAGAUAUACAAUGAUGAAGAACAAGAAAAGAUUCAAUGUUUGUAUUUCGCAAGUUUGAACACUCAAGAUAUCACGUGUGCCUUUUGUUUUUGCUUGUUGGAGAGCUUCAAAAUGAGUUGGAUUUGAGUUCUUAUAGCUUGAGCUCGAAAACUAGCCGUUACUCACAUUUUGGGCUAUCCGGUUUGCCGUUUAAUGAAAUCCGGUAAGCCGGAUUUAUGUUACCGUUAAGGCAAAAUUCAAAAUUUUGCCUAACCGGCUUGCCGGAUUCGAAAUCCGGUAAGCCGUUUUCGUUCUGGUGCUUACUGCCCGAAUUCGGCCUGCCGUUUAUCAGUAUCCGGUAAGCCGCUUGCUACAGUAACCUGCUACAGUGAAAUUUUUCCCAUAUUUUUAGUUUGACCCCAAAACUUUAUAAAAACUGUAGUAUGGCCCAAAACGUUAUGAAACUUUGCAAAUAGGUCCAAUUUCAGAAUUUUUAAGUAAUGCUUCGUUAAUCCCAAAACUUCAUGAAAUUAUGACUUUGCCCAAACUUUGUGAAAUUAUAUAAUGACCCCAAAAACAUUUAAAUAAUUUCAAAUAAGUCCAAAUCUGAAAACUUUGAAAACAUUAUCAAAGCUUUUAAAAUACAUGUGGUUUGUUAUCAUCAAAAUCAAUAUUUAUAGCCAUAUAGGCUAACAAUUAAUGUGUAGACAACAGAAGUGAAUACUGAAAGGAUCAAGGCUGGAUUCUGGUUGAAAUUGAAACUUUUGCUGCACUACAGUUGACAAAUUUCCCGCCCUGAUUUCACCUGCGCAAGUAAUUUAAGAUCUGAAAUUAUAGUUUUUCCUCACUGUUCAACGAUCAAUACACAAGGGUUCUGAAAUUAUAGUUUUUCCUGACUGUUCAACAAUCAAUACACAAGGGAAAAUGGUCGGGGUCAGCAUCAGGAUCUGUGAUGAACACUUCAUCUCUAAUGUUGAGACAAAAAUUAGAAGCAACCACAAUUAGAAAACACUUUAUAGCAUUAGGAAGCAAGGAUCGGCUACAAGCAAUAGUGUCAAGUUUUUGGAUUCACUGUGUAUAUUCUAUUCGUGUGUCUUCAUUCUCGUAAUGUGCUUGAAACUCCAGCUCAGUGUGGACGUGUGUGGUUUGGUCGUACCAUGUGUAAUACAUGUUAAUGGUCAUAAUUAUCUUAAGGGAAUUCUGCAUCACUUCCAUUAGAAGAGAAGUUUGGAUGUAGGCAUCAUCGCUGCUGAAUCUACUGUUGAUUUGCUCUAUGUUUUCUAUAUUUUUUUAUUUCAAUUUCGGGGAUUGGGUUUCUAGCAUUGAUUGUUGAUACAUUAGAGGACUAAAUACAAGAAAUAGAAACUGGGGAAUAUUGCCUAAUCUUCAGAAUCUCCAAUUUUAUGGAGAUUUAAGCCCUUAUCAUUCAUAAAUAAAUUGAAUGCUGGAUUGUUAUUAUCUUAGAUUCUCUAAAUAAUAAUCCGAAUAAUAAUUAUAAAUGCUUGUUUUGAACAAAUACUACCUAUUAUUUUAAACUUUGGACUUAGAAAUUAUAAAUAGUAUUAGCAUGUGAAUUUUAAGGAAUUAGCUGAUUCUGUCCAAUUUUAAAGGUUGAUGCCUCAUGCUCACCUUAUAGUCAUUGGUUUUUGCUGAACAAAUGAAUGUGUAUCAUUUUUUUUCUUUUAUUUUCUGUUAUACUUUGAUUCCCCUGCUUCUAGCUGAUUAUGUUCUCCUUUAUAACGAGAAAGAAGUUAUUUUUUGUGCUCUUAUAUAUACAUGUUAAGCUUGGAUAUGUGUGGUUUGGUUUGUUUUAAUAAUAUGAUUGUGUGGUGUCAUCUGCAAUACUUUUUAAGGAUGCAAUCAAAUGAGUUUAUACCUUACAGUGAAUUUGGUUAAUUUCAAGAUAUCAUUUGUUGGGAUCUUCGGCUUUGGUUGCUAAUACAAAAUUCCUCAAAUCUCGAUUGGAAUUUGGGAAUCCGUCCUAAAUGAUACAAGAUUUGAUAAAAAUUUCUCAUUCUGAUUUAUUAUUCGAGUUGAGAUUCAAGAUCUAAUUUUCUUCCAACUUAAUAUUCAAGACGGGAUUUGAGAUGUCUGAAAAUCUCAUUUGAGAUCCCUUAGGCAAUCAAAUGAGUUCAUUUCCUUAUAAUGAAUAUGGUUAAUUUCAAGAUACCCUUUUUUGGAAUCUUCCGCUCUAACUGCUAAUACGUGAACGUAGGCUGGCAAAAUUAUCCAGAUACUAAUCGAGAUAGAAACCCUAUACAAGAUUUGUUACAAAUUUCUUAUCCCAAUUUUGAAUGUGGGUUAGGAUUUGAGACCCAUUUUAUACCGAUUCAUAAAUUUUUUUAUUUAGACAGUAACUGAUGACAUAUUAUUAGUUCAAAGCUCACGGAGUAAAGGUUGAAUUAUUGGUGCAAUCAUCCGUAAUUUUCUGCAAGCAUGCAACAUAUUAAGCAAGAGAAUAUUUAAUUAUUUUUUGGGUUCUGUUAUUAACAAUAAUGAUUUUGAAGAUAUUAGUGGGAGAAAAAUGGUUUUUUAAAAUCAUUUUCAAUCUUGAGAAAAAGUUUUCUUGCUGGCGUACACUGUCCUUCAUCUAUAUUCCAGUCUUCCAUUAUGUUAAAAAAAACAAAUAUGAAAAUAAAAAGAAAAUAGGACAUCAUCAAGUAUCAAUCAAAGAUCAAUUUGUUUUAUCCACUUUCAGGAAAGAAAAGGUAAAAACAAUCCCACUGGAGACCAUAAAGUUUAUCUCAAAAGAAAAAGCACUACAAUAGUCGAACACAAAGAAGAGUAAUAAUGAGAAAGGAGUUAAUUAUAAAUUAAAGAAUUGGUGUUUUUUUUUAAGGGUUCGGCAUCAUGUUUGCCUUCAUUUAGCAAAGGAUAUAUGAAAAAGAGAUGAAUAUUGCACUUUAGAUUUGAAUAAUUCCGAUUGGAUUUUGAAUUGUUUGGAUUAGGAAAAAAAAAUCAUUCGAAUCCAACCUGAAUCUCAAAUACAAUCAAUUCGAUUAAAAAUAAAUCGAUAUUUCAGAUGAAUUUGGUUUUAGAUUGUUCCGUAUUUAAAUGAUAUUUUAAAUUCAAAUGAUAUUUUAAAUUUGGAUUGAAUUCAGAUUUAGGUCUUUUUGACCAUUUUUACAAAAAAUCCAUGAAUUCUAUAUAUAUACAUACAUAUAUAUAUAUAUAUAGAUACAAUUGGAUUGUUUAGAUUAAAACAUCCAAAUUCAAAUCAGAUCUAUUCAAAUCCAAUCCAAUGCACACCUUUAGCCCUAUUGGAAUGAUCAUCUAACCAUUCAAAUUUCAAACUAUAACGUAUUCUGUUGUAGUUUGUAGAGCGCUUGAAAAGAAAAUCUCUAAACAAUAGCGACUAUUAUGCAUUUGAUGCAUCAAUGAAUCAGAUUCUAAGGUGAUGCUUUUUCUCUCUAAACAAGCUUUAUGGUCCUAGCGGAAUUAUUUUUAAUCUUUCAGUCUUUUGAGAGGGCCAAAAAGAAACUAGUCUUGAUAGCAUAUUUUACUUUCUUCAUACAUAUAUAUAUAUAUAAAACACAAAUUAUAAGACACCCUUUUAUCUUCUUGCAUAAAGAAUAUUUUAUAUACACGUACAUUAUACCUCAGGUUUUGUGCAGAAAAUCAUUAUUGUACAUCAAUAAUUUCUCAAUAUAAUUCCUCUUAUCAAUCAGUAUCCCCACGAUACCUGCAGCAUCUAGGUUUAAGAUUCAUUUUCCAGUACUGCUCUGCCUUGAUCUGUUCUACUUUGACAGCCACUUGAACUUGAUUCAACUUCUUGAGAGAAGGAGGUAUUGGUGCCAUCCUUAGUUGAUUAUGUUGACUAAUGUUGAAGUAAAAGGAGAGCUUUUAACCAUUUUUUUUAUAAUUAUUUUCUUUGCAUGCUAGGGCUGCUGGCUACUGACUACCGAGAGUGAAGGAGAUAUGGACAUCAACCUUGGACUAUUUUUAGAGAGACUGAGAAGGGUGCUAGCUGGUGAAGAAUUCACGGUGCCCGAUACCGCUGAACAACCUAUUCAGAACCUUUACACUGAGACCGAAAUCGUUGCUUCUUGGCUGAGGGACUCUGGAUACAACACUGCUUGGUUUAUGUAGCAAGUCAAUGCAGAAGACGGUCAAACUCUUGCAGAAUUAGAAGAUUUUAAGGCUAUCAUUGACAAAAUUCGUUGCUUUUCAUACGUAUAUGAGAAUGUGAUUGACACAUUUGCUAUCAGCAUCACUCAACAGAAGAGUCAAAGCGGAUGCAGCAAGGACAUUUGUGAUGCUCUGCUAGGACUCCAAAGCAAAAUCAUUGAUAUAAAACAACGGAUGCAGCAAGUUCAGCACAUCCACUCUGGAAUCGUUGAUGAGCUCAAAUCGAUUGAAGCAAAAGCCAGUAAUUUUCCUGCAUCCUCAUCUUUUAAGAAUAGGGACACGAUGGGUCUAGAUAAUAGAAUGGAGGAGUUAUUAGAUCUACUGAUAGAGGGACCGCCUCAACUUUCAGCAGUGGCCGUACUUGAUAGCAUUGGAUUGGACCAGACGGCUUUCGCUGCAGAGGCUUACAGAAGCAACUAUGUGAAGCAUUAUUUUGAUUGUCACGCUUGGGUUCAAGAGUCUUUACCAUAUGAUGCUGACCAAAUAUUAUACGACAUUAUUAAGUUUGUGAUGCCUUCACGUAGGUUGAGUGAAAUUAUGGAAGAAAGUUCGGAAAUGAAAAAAAUUAUUCUUCAUGAAUAUCUAAUGACCAAGCGUUAUUUGAUUGUGCUUGAUAAUGUGUGGAGAAUAUCAGUAUAGGAUGUUAUUCGAGAAAUACUUCCCGAUAAUAAGAAUGGAAGUAGAGUAUUGAUAACACUCAGUCGAAUUGAGAUCGUCGCCUCAUUUCAGUUCGAAAAUGGAGAGAACAUUGGGCUUGAUUUUGUGCCCAUUGGAGGACUAUUGAGAGUUACAUACCAAGGAUGGCCUUUCCACAUCUUAUAUCAUGGAAUCAUCUCACUGAACGAAAAUAUAGAGGAAGCACUUGAUGAACCCCGAGGGCUUCAACUCGUUGCAUAUUGUAUGUUACCUUUUUACUUGAAACUUUGUUGUCUCUACUUAUCUGUGUUUCCCAUACAUUUUGAGAUAUGCACCAAGCAAUUAUAUCAGUUGUGGAUAGCUGAAGGUUUCAUUCCAAACAACAACAAGGCAAUUGCUAAGAAGUACUUGGAACAACUAAUCAAUGGAGGCUUUGUUGAUGCAGAGAAGAGAAGUGAUAUAGGCAGAAUCAACACAUGCUCUAUUCUCGGGCGUUACAGCCCUGCGUUGUUGACUGUGGCUUUCGAGGGGGAAUUUAUCAUUUCCCCAAUCAUGGUUCAGGAAGUUAUAUUACGGGAAAAUGUGAAACGCUUCACCGCUCACGAAAAAUUGAAUGAUUUUGCAUUUUUAGAUGAUUUUGACUCGUUCCUCCAUUCUUUGUUGUACCUCACUUCAGGAAGCCAAUACCUUGACCCCAAUUAUUGCGAGAAAAUCUGUAAAAUGUUCAAAUUUCUCAGAGUAUUGGACUUGGGAUCUCUUGUUCUCAUUCGAUAUCUUUCCGGAAUCCAAAAUUUAUUUCUUUUGAGAUAUCUGAAGUUGAAUAUCCCUUCCCUCAAAACCCUAGCUUCGUCGUUAUUUAGCAGUUUAUUGAACCUGUACACCGUAGAAAUGCCCUUUAGCUGCAAAGAUCAUACAACAGAUGAAUUUUGGAAGAUGAGCAAACUGAGGUAUCUAAAUUUUGGCUCAAUCAUACUUCCUGCACAUCCAGGAAAAUAUUGCGGCUCUCUGGAAAAUCUCAAUUUCAUUUCAGCCUUGCAUCCUUGCCGCUAUACUGAGGAUUUAUUGGGCUGACUACCUAAUCUUUGAAAUCUCCAGAUAUGGGGAGACUUAAGUUAUUAUCAAUCUUUGUUGUCCAAAAGUCUCUGUAGAUUGAGCUGCCUCGAGUCAUUGAAGUUGGCGAAUGAAAGCAAGAUGCCACGAUGAUCCAAUAUUAUCCUUGCUGAAUACCAAUUUCCUCCAAUUUUAACCCACUUGAGUUUUUUGAAUAUUGAGCUAAUGGAUGAUCCCAUGCCCGCACUAGAAAAGCUGCCGGUUCUUCAGGUGCUCAAACUGAAGCAAAACGCGUAUUCAGGUAGAAAGCUAGCUUGUAGCCCUGAUGGCUUUCCAAAACUCAAGGUACUGCACCUUAAAUCAAUGCUAUGGCUAGAGGAAUAGACUAUGGGGAUUAGAGCCAUGUCGAAACUAGAAUGCUUGACAUCAACCCUUGUGCUCACUUAAAAAGGAUUCCUGAACAGCUCUGGUGCCUAAACAACUUUAACAAAUUAGAGUUAUGGUGGCCUGAGCCGGAGCUGAGACAAUAGCUACGGGAAUUUAAGGAUAAGGAGCAGUAUGGCAUUCAACUAUAUCCAUAUGGAAUUUGAUUAGCAUGGAUCGACUUUGAUGAAGUUUUUUUCUUUUCUAUCCAAUAACUUCAACCUCUAAUUAUUUAUCUAAUUUCAUGUAAACAUCUAUUUUCUAUGAUUGAUUCGAUAGUACGCAGUUGCCUAAAUAAUAAUUAUACCAUUAAGUGUUUUUUACAUUCUAAUUGUGGUUGCUUCUAAUUUUUGUCUCAACAAACACUUGGAAGUGUCCAUCACAUUUCCUAAUAUUGACACUAAUCAUUAAUCCCUCAUUUAUAGAAGAGGAAGAACCCGUAUGUAUUGGUUGUUGAAAUAAUCAAGAAAAACUGUAAAAUAAGAUCUUCAUUACUUGUAUGUGCAGGUCAAAGCAGAGCGGAAAAUAUCUCAGCAGCCAAAGUUUCAAUUUCAAUAAGAAUCCCGCUGUUUGGGGGAUAUACUUCGACAAGACCAGCCAUGAUGAGCAGAUAUCUGGUAGCAGGAUUCCACAAACAGGAAUAUUCUGUAGAAGUCUGGUAGCAGGUGAACACGAACAGGAAUAUUCUGCUCGUUCACAAAUGCACCAUCCACGGGGCCACAGCGGGAGCCAGCCUCCUACUAGUAGCAUAAGGCCAUUCCUGUUAGAGGUUGAGGUGGAGAGACUCGGUCAAUGACGGUUGCUAAGACGUGCACUCCUGCCCGAGAAUCAAGGCACGAAGUCCACUCAGCCACAACUACGAUAAUGAAGCAUCCACUUCCAAGAGUUGAGGGAGGUGAUAGACUUGGAUUGUAGGAAGGCCCGGAUUCAAAGGAAGGCUAUAAAAAGGUAACCAACGAAGGUAAACAGGUUAGACUUUUUGAGAUUAGAAUUGAGAAAAAGAGCUUUCUAUUGAGAGAUUAUAAAAAAGCCAUAAUAUUAGUGGCCGUGUUUCCCAGAAAGACAAAACCUACGUUUCUGACUUGAGCGUCGGAGGGUUUACGCUGGAAAAACACCCGGCGUGCUCUAACCUGUCUCUGUGUACACAUGAGUCUGCGGAGAGGAAGUCUUACGAGGAGAGAUUCUGGUCGUGGACGAGCAGAAAACCAGAAUCUCGCAUCAACAUUUUGGCGCCGUCUGUGGGGAGCUGAGCAAAAAGCUUAUGUUAAUAGAGAGAAGAAGAGGAAAGGAAGUGAGGGAACAAUCGAUGUAAGAGGAAGUAGUGUACAAGGAGGUGACUUGAGGUUUAACGAGUUCGUGAUGCUAAAAGAGAUAGCCAAUGAAGCACGGGAAAAAGUAAUGUAUGAGCGGAUGGAACGGAUGGAGAAACAGAUGGAGACCCUGACAACCAUCCUACACCAGCUGAGAAGUGAACGAAGGGGAGUUCAAGAGGAGGGGGUGAGAAGUGGCAGAAUGAUACCAGGGCACGAUAAUAUGAUGAGGUCGGACCACCAGAAGAUUUGGUGGUGAGGAAAUCCUUCGGGAAUUCAUCAAAAGGUUCCAUCGCGCUAUCCUCGAUUUGAGAGCCUUUAACCAUCCUCAGGCAUUAAGGGGAUUGAAAGAAGGGGUGAAGAUAGGACGGUUGUGGUACAAUUUGAGGAGUCCAACUAUUCAGACAUAUUCAGCCGCUUAUGAGCAGGCCAAGAAGGACAUUGAGAUUGAAGAGGAAAAGACAGCACGAAUUAAGACAGACCAGCUAGAAGGGUUGAGGAGGAAAAAGAAGAGAGCCCUACCAGGAAAUAAGGUCGAUUAAGAGGAAGGACCACCAUGCCUCAAGUAGUGGUGCAGGACGCCGGGUCACCUCUUACCAGCCUCAUCAGAGGCCACCCCAAUUUCAACGCAGCAGGGCGCAACCUCUUCGUUUACCAGCCAGGGAUUUAUGGAGAAAGCAUGACCCGACAUAUAGUCAUCCUUAUCCACACCCACACGGUGGUAGAUGAAGCAGACCAGAAGCAUCGUUACCCCCUCCAGUUCAGAACGGCACCAACAGGGAAAGGGCGGUACACAUGAUCGACUAGAGCCAAGAUUAUGGGCGAUAUACUUCCUUGAAGAUGCCCCUGGACGAGGUGUAUGAGGCCAUAAAGGAACGAGGAUUACUGUACCUCUCUACCCCAAUAACAAAGUUACCCAGCAGGAGAGAUAGGGGACGCUAUUGCAUGUUCCAUGGCACCCACGGUCAUACCACAGCUGAAUACAGAGAUCUCAAAACUCAGGUUGAAGAUUUGGUGAGAAAUCGAUACCUGGACGAGUUUGUAGAUGGGAUCUUCCCGAUGGUGGCCUCGUCAUGUGAAUGAGAGCAGAGUGAUAGGAACAUGAGCCACGAGCAGCCUAUAGUAAGAGUAAUUGCUGAGGGCCCAACAUUGGCGGGAGAUUCCAACAGAUUGAGGAAGAACUACGCUAGAUAUGCCAUGACUAGCAAAGAAGUGUUCUUCAACACCCCAGAAGUUCCGAUCAUGUGGACAUAUGAGGAUAAAGAAGGGAUUCUAUAUCCACAUGAGGAUGCCUUGGUCAUUAAAGCCACCACUACUAGCAAGAAGUUUGACCGGAUUCUGGUAGACACGGGAAGCUCGGUCGAUGUUUUGUUCAAGUCAACUCUAGAGGAGAUGGGAAUAGCAGACCUGAGGUUAGAGCAUACUAAUACCUCCUUGAAAGGAUUUGGUGGACGAAAGCUGGUUCCUCUAGGCGUGGUCGAACUGCCCAUCACAAUUGGCAGCUCCCCGAUAGAAAAGACUAUAAUCCUAGAUUUUGUGGUUGUCGAUGAAGAGGGUCCUUACCAGAUGAUUAUAGGCCGCCCCUUUUUGAGGAUGAGCAAAGCGAUGCUUUCCAACCAUUAUCUAGCUCUCAAGUAUUGGGUGAAUGGAGUGGUUGGGGUGGUACGAGGAGACCAGAGAAUUGCCCGAAGCUGUUACUCCACAGUAGUAAGGGAAGCAAUGCAGAUUACAUCACUUGAUACUCGAGUGGGAGCCAAGAAUGGCAUAUAAGAGCUUGUAGAGGAGCUGGAAAUAGUAAGCUUGGAACAAGGUGAUUCAGGAAAAACAAUAUGAAUUGGGUCGGGGCUUAAAGAAGAGCAGAAGCGGGAGCUGGUGCAUUGCUUGUGAGCUCACGCAGAUGUGUUUGCUUGGACACAUGAAGACAUGCCGGGAAUCGAUCCUGAGGUCGCCUGCCAUAAGUUGACAAUAAGGAAGGGUGCUCGGACGGUAAGGCAAAAAAGAAGGUGCUUCAACCAAGAGAGGUAUGAGGCUAUAAAUGGCGAGGUGGAGAAGCUCUUGAAGGCAGGGUUCGUUCGGGAAGUUAACUACCUUGAGUGGAUAUCGAAUGUGGUUUUAGUGAAAAAGACUAAUGGUAAAUGGAGGAUGUGUGUAGAUUUCAUAGACCUUAAUAAGGCGUGCCCGAAAGAUAGCUUUCCCCUACCCAAGAUCGACUAGCUGGUUGACUCAACAGCCGGGCAUGGCCUGCUUAGCUUCAUGGAUGUAUUUUCGGGAUACAACCAAAUCCCAGUGUUUGAGCAGGAUGAGGAGAGCACGGUAUUUAUCAGUAACCAGGGUUUGUUCUGUUAUAGGGUAAUGCCGUUCGGUCUUAAAAAUUCGGGUGCCACGUACCAGAGGUUGGUGAACAAAAUCUUUAAGCCGUUGAUUGGGAGAACAAUGGAGGUGUGUGUGGACAACAUGAUAACCAAAUCAAAAAACCCGAAGGAACAUGUCGAGUACCUCGAGGAGACAUUUGGAUUUUUGAGGAAGUACAAGAUAAAGCUCAACCCAGAGAAGUGUGCCUUUGGGGUCAAGUCGGGCAAAUUCCUUGGGUUCAUGGUGAGUCAUCGGGGGAUCGAGGUGAAUCCCGAUAAAAUCCAGGCAAUCGUGUAGAUGAGAUCUCCUCGUAACCUGAAGGAGAUACAGAGCCUUACAGGGAGGUUGACGGCAUUGAGUCGGUUCAUAUCCAAGGCGCAUAUAAGUGCCAGGCAUUCUUUCAAGUGAUAAGGAGAGGAAAGAAAAUAGAGUGGACCCCUGAAUGCGAAGAAGCCUUCCAGAAAUUAAAGCAAUAUUUGCAGCAAGCACCUUUGUUGUCCACACCGUGGGAUGGAGACAUGUUGUUCCUAUAUAUGGUGGUAUCGGAUCAUGCCACGAGUUCUGUUCUAGUGAGAGAGGAAGAAAGGGUUCAAUAUCCGAUAUAUUACACAAGCAAGGCCUUGCUCGAUGCUGAGACUAGAUACCCACAGUUAGAGAAAUGGGAACUUGCUCUUGUGGUUGCUGCUCGGAAGCUGAGGCCAUACUUCAAGCAUUCCCCAUCUCGGUAAUAACAAACCAAUUGUUACGAUAGACUCUACACAAGCCGGAUGCUUCUGGUCGGUUAGUGAAGUGGGUCAUAAAGUUGAGUGAGUUCGACAUAAGUUAUAAAUCCUGAGCAGCAAUAAAGGCCUAAGCAAUGGCCGAUUUCGUGGCAGAAUUCGCAGAGCCCGAAGUAGGUUUCAACCAGUUGGAUGCUGCUACAGUCAACAACGAAGAUCGGGUAUGGCAAGUGUCAGUGGAUGGAUUCUCAGGGGAGCAGGGGUCUAGAGCAGGGAUUGUUUUGGAAGGCCCAAAAGGGGAGGAGAUCUCUUAUGCUGUAAGGUUGGAGUUCACAACCACAAAUAACCAGGCAGAAUACGAAGCUCUAAUAACGGGCUUGAAAUUGGCUAAGACAGUGAAAGUGGAUAGGGUGGAAAUCUGAACUGAUUCCCAACUGGUUGCAAAUUAUGUCAGUGAAAGGUUUCAGCCGAGAGAUAGGAAGAUGGAACAAUAUUUGAAGAAAGUCAAGCAGAUGAUUGGGAAGUUUGAGGUGGUUGAGGUGAUACAAAUCCUAAGGGAGGAGAAUAGUCGAGCAUAUAUUUUGGCCAGGAUGACAGCUGUAAGAGAUCAAAAAAUGCCUAAGUCGGUCCCUUCGGAGGUGAAGUCCAGCCCUAACAUCGAGCAGAAUUUAGAGGUGCUGCGGAUAGAACAAAAAAGCUCGUGGAUGGACCCAAUGAUCUCGUACAUUAGGGAUGGGGUAUUAGCACCAGAUAAGUUACGAGUUCGGAAGAUCAAAGCUCAGGCGUCGAGGUACACAAUGAUUGAUGGGGUAUUAUAUCGGCGGGGAUAUACCCUACCGUUCCUUCGGUGUUUGGAUGAGGACGACGCAGAUUACGUACUGAGAGAAGUACAUGAAGGAGUUUGCGGAAACCAUUCUGGCACGAGGUCCCUUGCCCACAAGGCUCUAAGGCAGGGAUAUUUCUGGCCGACGAUGCACCAGGAUGUGCAGGAGAAAACCAGGAGUUGCAUGAGUUGCCAGAGUUUUACAAAUUUCUCUACCCAGCCACUAGAGAAGCUCACUUCUAUGGCCUUGCCAUGGCCAUUUGCUCAAUGGGGAAUUGAUUUGAUUGGGCCGUUGCCAAAGAGAUGAGGGGCAGCAACACAUGCAAUAAUAGCGAUAGACUAUUUCACGAAGUGGAUAGAGGUAGAAGCCCUCUGCAGGAUCACAGAGAAAAAGACGACUGACUUCGUAUAGAGAAACCUGGUCUGUCGGUACGGGAUGCCUUAUGCCCUGAUAGCAGACAAUGGGAGACAAAUUGACAACCAUAACUUCAGGGACUUCUGCCAGACCUCGGGAUAGAGCUGAAGUAUUGCUCGCCUGCUCACCCUCAGUCUAACGGACAAGUAGAAGCAGCUAAUAAGAUAAUCAAGAGGCUUUUGAAAACCAGGCUUGGAGCAAAAAAUGGAGCAUGGGUUGAUGAGCUACCAGGUGUAUUAUGGGCAUACAUGACAACCCACAAAACAGCAACCGGCGAAACUCCGUUCGCUUUGGCCUUCAGACAUGAAGCUGUUGUACCGAUCGAGAUAGGGGCGACCACGCACCUGACAGAUCACUUCGAUGAGUAGGAAAACAACGACCAGAUGUUCUUGAAUCUGGAUUUGCUGACCGAGAAGAGAGAGCAAGUAUUGAAGCGAUUAGCCGUCUACCAGCAGAGGGUUGCUCGGUAUUACAACCAGAAGGUGUGUAUACGACAGUUCAAGGUCGGCGAUUAGGUACUAAGGAGGGUGAAUCAGAACACGAAAGACUCGACACAAGGAGUACUUGGACCAAACUAGGAGGGGCCAUAUAGGGUCAAGCAGGUAGCUAGACCCGGAGCCUAUAAGCUUGUUCGCGCGGAUGGCCAUGAGGUGAAACGCCCCUGGAACGUAGCACACCUCAGGAAAUAUUUCCAGUAAGACCCGAUCAUACUUUAAAGUUAUUUAUAUUCGUCCUUGUUGUUAUUCGUUUUAUGUUAAAUCAAUCUCAUGUUAGCCGAAUUCAGUAAUUAAUGAAACAUUGAGGAAUUUCAAUCAGUUGUAAUGUUGUAAAGAUUUCUAAAGCAUGCAAAGGCUCACUAAGUCUCAAAGCCUGUUUUAUGGUGAGACAAGAAGCCAAGGAUGCUAAGGAUCUGCUCGACCGAGCGAGGACGAGCAGACUCUCAAAUGUUAUAAGAAUUUCUAAGGCAUGCAAAGGCUCACUAAGUCUCAAAGCCUGUUUUAUAGCGAGACCAAAAGCCAAGCAUGCCAAGGAUCUGCUCGACCGAGCGAAGGCGAGUAGACUCUCAAAUCUUAUAAGAAUUUCUAAGGCAUGCAAAGGCACCUUUAAGUCUCAAAGCCUGUUUUAUGGCGAGACCAGAAGCCAAGCAUGCCUAGAUCUGCUCAACCAAGUGAAGGCGAGCAGACUCUCAAAUGUUAUAAGAAUUUCUAAGGCAUGCAAAGGCUCACUAAGUCUUAAAGCCUGUUUUAUGGCAAGACCAAAAGCCAAAGCAUGCCAGGAUCUGCUCAACCAAGCGAAGACGAGCAAACAAUCAAACGUAAGGCAACGGGAAGCCGAACUUUUCGACACCUGCUCGACGACAAUGUAAGCGAACGAAAAAAUAAAAUAAUCUGCCAAGAGCUCGAAGCGGAGAAAGCAAAUAAGAGAAUUCUUAUUAAUCUGCCAAUAAUUAUGAAAAGCUGCUAGUCUUAACAUACAAUGUUCUAAAAAAGAAACCUACAACACAAGGUACAUUCAAGAGGACGGCAGGUCAGUAAGUUAGGCCGUCUUUACUGGCUGGUCCACCUCAGGAGCAGGGGGGUCUCACCAGUUGCUCCCGGGGGGGUACUUGCCUCGGCAACAUCAGCAGGGACUGCACGAGGAGGGGAGGGAACCUCUCCAGCUGCAUUUGGCUCCAACUCUUCGACAUCUUCUUUGGCUGCCUCCUCAUCCAUAUAUUGAGCAACACUAGCAGCAAGCUCAUCCAUCUUUAGAUCAGGAUGCUGCUUCCUUAAGACGACCAUGAUGUAGCGAUAAGAAUGCCGAAGCCCCUGGUCAUAUUGGUUGUUAGCUUCCUUCUCUAGGUUCUCGACCUGAACCUGGUGGGAAUCUUUGAGAGAUUCGAGCUGAGCCUCGUAAGUAGCCUUUUGUCUCUGCAGGUCCUUCUUGACCUUAGUCAGCUCCUCAUCAAGAGUGAUUAACUUUGCCUGCGCGAGAGACUCUAGCUCUAUCAACUUCAGAUUCUCAAGGUUGAGAUCUCUGACUUUCUUCUCGGCAGCGUUAGAUUUGGUUUUGGCCGACUAAACGUCUUUUCUCAUCUUUCGAUCAUAGCGGCUGACCUUCGCUUUAUAGUAAGUGGCCAUGUAGCCGAGAUGAAAAGCACUAUACUGCAUAGCCCCCACCAGCUCGCCCAGAGUGCUGCCAUCAAAGUCCUCUAAGUCCUUUUUUCUCACGAGCCUAGAAUACUCACUGAUAUAGGGGACCAGAUGCUCUGCUCGAUUGUCGGGCAAACGAGGUUUCGACCCCGCUGGUGGAGGAAGAGAAGUGGGAUCAGUGGCUGUUCCACUAGUUUCGCCGACUUUGGUAGGAGGAGGUGGUAGAAUCCUCAAGGGGGGACCUGCUCCGCGAUGUUCACCUGUUUCGUAGAAAAAGCAUCCUUAUUCUAGUCCUGCUUAGCAGCAGGAGGUUGAUGACGUUUUCGAUUCAAAGCCCCGAUCACAGUAUCCUCCAUCUUAAGAUCAGUGGACACCGGACGAGAUUCGAACAAGUUGUAAGUAGAUAGCAACUCUCGGCUCGAGGAGGAAUUGGCUAACACAGCCUUGACCUACUUGAGCGGCUCAGGUUUAAGCUUGUAGUGGACACCCCAAGAACCAGCAGUUCGAACAAAUAUUGGGUUAGAGAUAAAUAAAAAACGAGGACAACUAGGGAUACAAGACAUCUAAAGCGAGUAGGCAACCUAGGACUACGAAAUGGGAUGGGACGCGAUAGUUCUUCCUGUCAAUCUAUGCAACUUGACCCCAGGGACCCCCAGCAAAAAAUAAUUUUUUCUUCCAAUUCCCACCACCACCUGUUGGAAGAUCAGUUAUGUGUUUUCUAGUCUUGGUACUUGACAUGAAGUAAUACCAGCAGGUGUCUUUGGGGCUACUCUUUAGCUGGUACAAGUGCUUUACCUCAUUAAUUGUGGGCUCGCUCUGGCAGCAUCUAUCCCACAAUAUGAACAGACCAGAAAGCACCCUCCACCCAUUUGGGUUAAGUUGACCAGGAGCUAAGUUUAACCCACUAAGCAUUCGGGUAAAAUAGGGUUGUAGGGGGCACCUCAUCCCGAAUUUAAAACUUUCCAGAAACAGAGUAACGUUUCCCCUGGGAGGCCGGCUGGGAGUAUCUUUUUUUCAUAGGAUCCUAAGGGGUAUAUCAUCAGGAAUGUCAUACCUAGUCCGGAGGUCAACGAGGUCGUCUACUGUGGUCGUGCACGUGAUGAAGUCAAUAGCGUAAUGGAAUUCAAAUGGAGGGAUAGAUUUCUGCCAUAUCACUUCGCCCGCAAUUAAAUGCGACAUGACUCCUCAAAGGCUUUUCCUAUCAUGCGCAAGCCAGAACUGUUGAAUUUCUAUUGUUGGUCCACUAUGUUACCCAACACCAGAAACUGGGGGACCAAUGUUUGGGGGAUAUACUUCUACAAGACUAGCCAUGAUGAGUAGAUAUCUGGUAGCAGGAUUCCACGAACAGGAAUAUUUUCACAAGUCUGGUAGCAGGUGAACACGAAUAGGAAUAUUCUGCUCGUUCACGAAUGCACCAUCCACGGGGCCACAGUGGGAGCCGGCCUCCUGCUAGGAGCACAAGGCCAUUCCUACUAGAGGUUGAGGUGGGGAGACUCGGUCAAUGACGGUUGGCAAGACGUGCACUCCUGCCCGAGAAUCAAGGCACGAAGUCCACUAAGCCACAACUACGAUAAUAAAGCAUCCACUUCCGGGAGUUGAGGGAGGUGAUGGACGUGGAUUGUAGGAAGGCUCAGAUUUAAAGGAAGGCUAUAAAAAGGUAACCAACGAUGAUAAACGGGUUAGACUUUUUGAGAUUAGAACUGAGAAAAAGAGCUUUCUAUUGAAAGAUCAUAAAAGAGCCAUAAUAUUGGUGGCCGUAUUUCCCAAGAAGACAAAGCAUGCUUUUCUGACUUGAGCGUCAGAGGGUUUACGACGGAAAAACACCCGGCAUGCUCUGACCUGUCUUUGUGUACGCAGGAGUCUGUAGAGAGGAAGUCUGACGAGGAGAGAUCCUGGUUGUGGACGAGUUAGUUGAGGAGAGAUCCUGGUCGUGGACGAGUUAGUUGAGGAGAGAUCCUGGUUGUGGACGAGCAUAAAACUAGAAUCUCGCAUCAACACCAGCCUUCACUGAAAUUGUUUGGUUUCUUUGUUUUCAAGGAUAAUGUUAUAUUCGGAUUAAUAUUUUGUACAAAAGUUUGAUUGAUUGUUUUACUUUCUAUUUUCACAUUCAUUGGUGUGUAUUCAAUUUGUCAACAUUCAAGUUGCAUAUAUGUGAUUGUUUUUUAUUUUAUUUUUAUCUUGUUUCUAGUUUUUGAGUAGUGGUACACUUCAACUUCAAUUUCAUUACUUCAGUUUGACGAAAAGUGUUUGUGCUAUGAUCACUUCUCAUCAUCUUAAAACUGACUGAAUGAUAUUGUUAUUCGGUUUUUCAGAAUUUCACCGAUGUGUAGUUCAUUAUAAGGGUGACAAUGCUGGUCAAAAGUCAAACGGGGUUAGUUAAAAAAGUGCAGGGAAAUUUCGGGUUUGUUAGAAAUAGCCUUUGUUGUAGUUUAUAAGGCUGGUUGUUGGGUCAUCUUCACAGGUCUCAUCAAAGCCAUAGAAAGAGAGAGAGUUAAAGAGAAAAAGUUGUAUAUUCUUGGAAUGAUUGUGAAAUGGUCCUUGUUCUUCUGUGGAUGUAGGCACUUUGAUUCAAUUUUGAGUUUGGGUUUCUAGGAAUGAUUCUUGAUACGUCAAAGAGGGUCUUAGGUGUGUGAUCUUGGUACUAACAGAGGAUUAAACACAACAAAAAGAAACUGGGGCAUAUUGUCUAAUCUUUAUAGACUCCAAAUAUAUGGAGAUUUUAGCCCUAGUCAAUGUCCAACAGCCCUUGUAAAAUAAAAAACCAUCACUAAUCCUUGGUGACUUUAGGGAUCUAGUAAGGACUAGGUAGAAUUGAAGAGGAGAUUUAACGAGUGAAGUUCUGAAAGUGGAAGAUUUAAUCUAUAGCACGGAAGCUUAGUUAGAAUUGAUGACUGGAUUCUUUCUCUAUUGAUUGAUUUGCAGCCCAACUGCAUUAAGGGAAUAAAGAGGAGCUGUAGUCGUUCGCACAUUUUCUGUUCACAGCAUCCAGCGGGUGCCUUGUAAUGCAGUGCAAUGAAGUUGAUGGCACACAGGAUGUGCUGCUGCUCUCUCUCAAUUCCUUAUAAUCACAUCAAGGCCCUUGUUUGUAGCAGAGGAAUUCCCUUUUGUAUUAAAAUUGAUUCUGCUGCUCUGGUUGUCAUUGGAUUCUUAUGGUUUCUUCACUCAUUAGCCAGUAACAUAAUGUUGAGUUUAUUGAUUUUGUUAUCUUAAAAAUGUCCAAGACAUCUUGUGAUCAUGAUAUAUUGUCAUUUUAUUUUUAGACAAAAAGAUUGUUUUUCCAGUUAGCAAAUGUAUAUUGCGUUCAUUUUUGGAUUGGAAAAACAAAAAUUUGAAGAAGAAAAAUGAAAAUUAAUAAAAAAGAUUACAGGACAUCUGCAUCAUGUUCUUUUAUUUGAACUAAGUCUUUGUUUAACUUUUCUCCUUUUCCAUUUUGCAAAUUUAGUAUCUCUUUCUUUUCUUGAACCAAGAUAGUUUCCUUUACUUACAAGUAAAGUUUAAAUGACCUUGAUCUUCUAUUUUUCUCUUACCUUAUUUUUCUUUCACAAGCACGAUCAUUUUCAACGCUAUCAAAAUCAUCCAUCUAUCAAUACCCAAUUUGAAUAAAAUUCAGCAUCUUUUUUCCUUAUUCUUUCUAUGUAAUAAUUUGGUUGUGUUGCUUUUAAUCAAAAUAAAAUAUAUAUCGUCGGGAUUUCAAAGUUUGUGAUCACUUUAAGAAAAAAGCAGGUACUUUAUUAUUUGAAUUAUCCACAAAAUAACUCUAUUUUAUUAUUUUCAUCUUAUGAAUGUUAGAUGUACUAUAUAUCUGUGUUUGAUUCUUAUUUACAACCUAUGUUUUUGCUCACACGUUUCAUAUGUUGACAAGUCAGAUUAAAAAAAGAUAAAAAGAUCAACUUUCUUUUAUUCCAUUUGCAAAUGCAUUGACAAACAGUUUAAUUUGUUUAAUUAAUUUAUUUUUUUAAAAUCACGGUCUCUUUUAAUAAUUUGUUACUUUGCAUGUUAGAACAACAAGGUAAUGACAGAGGAAGAGAUAUGGACAUCAACUUCAGACUAUUUUCAGAGAGGUUAAGAAGGGUGUUAGCCAGUAAAGAAGUCACGUUGCCUGAUGCUGCAAAACAACCUAUUCAAAACCUUCUUGCCAAGAAUGAAAUCAUUACUUCUUGGCUGAGGGACUUUGAAUAUGAAACGUCCUGGCUUCUGGUGCAAAAAAUAGGAAAAGAGGAAAUUGAUGACCCUGAUCUCGGGAACAUUAUGGAUGAAAUCAAUUGCUUUCCUCAUCUUAUAUCAUGGAAGCAUCUCAUUAGAAGAAAAUAUAGGGGAAGCAAUGGAGAAGCCCCUUGGGCUUUGGUACUUCAAAUAUUGCAGGUCACCUUUUUGCUUGAAACUUUGUUUUCUCUACUUAUCUGUGUUUCCCACAUGCCUAGAGAUAUCCACUAAGAAGUUAUAUCGGUUGUGGAUAGUGUAAGAGAGAUUGUAACAUUUUUCAAUCUUUGGUUUGAUAUUCUAGAAGAAAACGGUUUGUCGUUUCUGGGGAAAAAGGCUAACUGUUUAAUUUCAGAGAGCAUGUUUUAUGUUCUAGAGAAAACGGCUAACCGUUUGGAGAAAAUGGUUAACCGUUUAGAGAAAACGGCUAACCGUUUAUUUCCAGAGAGCGUAUUUUUGCGUCAACUGAAAAAAUGGUUAGCAAGCUUGAAAAUUUCAUAUGUCAAUCGAUGCAAAUUCAAACUAAAAGAGUGCUUUGAAAUACACUCACUAAUUAAAUGUUAAAAUCGAAAGAUACAUUUUUGUAUGUAUAAGUUUAUCAUUAAUAAAUCUGAAAAAUAUUACAAUCUAGUGGGGGAUUGUAAGAGAGAUUGUAACAUUUUUCAAUCUUUGGUUUGAUAUUCUGGAAGAAAACGGUUUGCCAUUUCUGGGGAAAAAGGCUAACCGUUUAAUUCCAGAGAGCAUGUUUUCUGUUCUAGAGAAAACGACUAACCAUUUGGAGAAAACGGCCAAUCGUUUAUUUACAGAGAGCAUGUUUUCUGUUCUAGAGAAAAUGGCUAAUCGUUUAGAGAAAUCAGCUAACCGUUUAUUUACAGAGAGCAACUUAUUUGACAUUCUGGAAUAAAACGGCUCACCAUUAUUGAGAAAACGGCUAACCGUUUAUUUACAGAGAGUGUGUUUUUGCGUCAACUGGAAAAACAGUUAGCAAGCUUGAAAAUUUCAUAUGUCAAUCGAUGCAAAUUCAAACUAAAAGAGUGUCUUUGAAGAAGUGCCAUUUCUAAUGGUUGUAUUCUUUUAAAAAUAAACUUCUUCUUUAUUAAAAGAUAGACACACAAUUAGAUCAAUAUCAGAUUUUGCAGAUUUCAUGUAUGUUCUGGAAAUACAAUCUUAUUUUCUAGAGAUUGUAUUCAGGAUUUGAUAUAUCUUGGGGGUAAUUUGCGAUUAAAACUCUAUAGCAAACCAAGAUUGGUGAGGGCAAAUAAAACCUUAAAGGAAAGUAUGCAAAUACGUCUCAAAUCCUAAGAAAAUUUCUUUGUUCUUUGCCUCCAUAUUCGAAAAUUCACCAACAAUAUUUAAGGUUUUAUUUUUAUGCAAAUGGAGGCUGAGAAGAGUUUGAUGUCAUUUUUUAAUCCUAGUGUCCAUCUCGAUCGUUUUGAUGGAACUAAUUUCACUCGUUGGAAGGGAAAAUUGUUCUUCUUCCUUACUAUUCUUAAAUGGCAUAUGUUCUUGAUCCGAAAUUGGAACCAUUUCCGGAACCAAGAGAAGAUAAUACCGAAGUUGUUAAGGCUGCAAGGAAACGUCGUGAAGAAGAUGAAUUGGUGUGUCGGGGUCACAUGCUCAAUACGCUUUCUAACAGGUUAUAUGAUCUUUACAAUUCUAUGACUUCUCCAGUGGAAAUUUGGAAUGCUCUUGAGUACAAAUACAAAACAGAGAAAGAAGGUACUAACAAAUUUAUUGUCUCUAAAUAUUUUGAAUUUAUUAUGGUAGACACAAAAUCCAUUCUUGAUCAAAUACACGAGUUACAAAUUAUUGUUGCUAAGCUUCAAGAGUUAAAAGUUGAAAUUUCUUAAUCAUUUCAAGUUGGGGCUAUUAUUGCUAAAUUGCCUCAAAGUUGGAAUGAUUAUAGAAAGAAACUCCUUAAUAGUAAAGAAAACAUAACUUUAGAAGAAUUUCAAAAACACUUAGUAAUUGAAGAAGAGACUAGGUCUCGUGAAUCCAAGGAUAAGCAUGAUUCUACUAAAGUUAAUGUUGUUGAAGCUAGUAAAUUCUCAAAGAAUUUUAAAGUCAAGAAUGCCAAGAAAUUCAAGAAGUCCAACACACAAAAGUUUACUGGAAAUUAUUUCUUUUGUGGCAAGAAAGGCCAUCGCCAAAGUGAUUGCAGAUUCAAGAAGAAAAAGGAAUAAGUGAAUCCCCAUAAAGCUAAUGUUAUUUAAAAAAAUCUGAAGAGAUUUGUGCUAUGGUUUCUGAAAUGCAAAUUGGCAUGAUUACCGAAACCAAUAUGGCUGAAACUAAGUCCUAUGAUUGGUGGCUCGAUUCGGGUGCAACAAUUCAUGUUUGUAAUGAUAAGAAAUUUUUCUUAUCGUACAAAGAAGAAACGGAAGGACAAAUGGUUCUCAUGGAGAACAAUAAUGCAGCCAUAGCAGCAGGGAAAUGAGUAGUUGAGAUCAACUUCACUUCUGGAAAGAAAGUCACAUUGUAUAAUGUCUUUUAUGUACCUUCCGUUAGGAAGAAUCUUAUUUCUGCUAGUUGUAUGUGUAAGCAUGGGCUUAAGAAUAUGCUUGAGGGUAAUACUUGUAUUAUCUCAAAGAAUGGAUUAUUUGUUGGGGAAGGGUAUUCUUGUGAUGAAAUGUAGAAACUUAGCAUUAAUAAUAAUAAUAUCAACUUAGCUUAUAUUGUUGAGUCUUGUGAUGUUUGGCAUGCUAGAUUAGCACAUUUGAAUUUUAGAUCUUUGAAAUACAUGUCUAAGCAAGGUUUGAUUAAUUACAAUGAUGUUAAAGGUCAUAAGUGUAAAAUCUGCAUCCAAGCUAAAUUAACGAAGAAACCUUUUCCUAAAGUCAAACGAAAUACUCAAAUAUUGGAUUUAAUACAUACCGAUAUUUGUAAGUAUAAUGGUGUUUUAACAAGAGGAGGUAAGAGGUACUCUAUCACUUUUAUUGAUGAUUGUUCUAGAUACACUUAUGUGUAUUUACUUAGAACAAAAAAUGAAGCUUUUGAUAAAUUUAAAAAUUUCAAAUCUGAAGUUGAGAACCAAGAAGAUAAGAAAAUCAAAAUGAUUCGUAGUGAUAGAGGUGGUGAAUAUUUCUCAAUUGAAUUUAAUAAUUAUUGUGAAGAAUUUGGAAUUAUUCACCAAAGAUCAGCUCCAUUUACUCCUCAACAAAAUGGUUUGGCUGAAAGGAAGAAUAGGAUCUUCAGGGAUAUGAUAAAUUCCAUGAUCCUUAAUGCAAAACUACCAAAUAAUUUGUGGGGGAAAGUAUUACUCACUGCAUGUCAUAUUCAUAACAGAAUUACAUCUUUGAAAACACAUAAAUCUCCUUAUGAAAUUUGGAAAGGAAGAAAAUCAAACUUGAUGUAUUUAAGGGCCUGGGGUUGUUUAGCUUUUUAUAAACAUGAUCCUAAAUCAUCAAAGUUAAGUACUAGAUGUAUAAAGAGUGUUUUCGUAGGAUAUGCUGAAAAUUCCAAGGCUUAUAGGUUGUUAGAUUUAGAUUAUAAUGUGAUUGUGGAAUUUAUAGAUGUUGAAUUUAUUGAGAAUAAAUUUCAACAUGAUUCUAAUAUUGAAUUAGAAUCAAUUAUUGAUCAACCAUGUGUUAAUACUCCUGUUACCUCCACUAACAAUAAUAAAAGGAAAGAGUCUAUGACAUCUUUCGAACCAAGGAGGAGUCAACGUGAAAACAAAGAAAAGAGUUUAGCUCCAGAUUUUAUUUCAUCACAAGCACUACUCUUCUUGGUUGAAGGGGAUAGAAAGAAUGUACUUAAUAAAGUAUCAUUGUUGUUAAAUAUUGAAAAAGAUCCAAAGACAUUUAGCGAAGCUAUGUCUUCUAGAGACGCUUCUUUUUGGAGAGAGGCGGUAAAUAAUGAAAUGGAUUCGAUUAUGUCGAAUCAAACAUGGGUCUUGGUUGAUCUUCCUCUAGGAUCUAAACCAAUUAGCAGCAAAUGGGUAUUUAGAAGAAAGUACAAUAGUGAUGGUUCUUUGCAAACUUUUAAGGCUAGAUUAGUAGCUAAAGGGUUUAAGCAAAGAAAUGGUAUUGAUUAUUUCGAUACAUAUGCUCCGGUAGCAAGGUUAACUUCUAUAAGAGUGCUAUUUGCAAUUGCUUCAUUGAACAAUUUGUAUGUGCAUCAAAUGGAUGUUAAAACUGCUUUUCUUAAUAGUGAUCUUGAUGAAGAAAUCUAUAUGGAACAACAUGAGGGAUUUGUUUUGCCAGGAAAUGAGAAAAAGGUAUGCAAGUUAGUCAAAUCACUUUAUGGUUUGAAGCAAGCACCAAAACAAUGGCAUGAGAAGUUUGAUUCGGUAAUUUUAUCUCAUGGUUUUAAGCAUACUAAUACUGAUAAAUGUAUAUAUUUUAAAUUUACGAAUGAUUUUGGUGUGAUUAUAUGUGUUUAUGUUGAUGACUUGCUUAUCUUUGGAACAAAUAUGCAAGGAGUAGAUGAUACAAAGAAGUAUUUAACUUCACAAUUUAAGAUGAAAGAUCUUGGUGAAGUAGAUACUAUCUUAGGUGUCAAAGUGAAGAAACAUAGUGGGGGUUACUUAUUGUGUCAAUCUCAUUAUAUAGAGAAAGUGCUUCUUAAAUUCAAUUAUUUGAAAUUUAAAGAAGCCAAUACCUCAUAUGAUUCUAGUAUUAAAUUACUAGAGAAUUCAGGCCGAGUAGUAGCACAACUAGAAUAUGCUAGUGCUAUUGGUGGCUUGAUGUAUGCUAUGCAUUGUACGAUGCCUGAUAUAGCAUUUGCAAUUUAUAAAAUGUCAAGAUUCACGAGUAACCCUAGUGUUGAACACUGGAAAGCAAUUGGUAGGAUACUUGGUUAUCUUAAAAGGACCAUUAAUUUGAGUUUGUUUUAUAAUGAUUAUCCUGAAGUACUGGAAGGAUAUUCAGAUGCUAGUUGGGUAACCAAUACAAGAGAUAAUAAAUCCACUUCUGUUUGGAUUUUUACAAUUGCUAGAGGAGCGGUUUUUUGGACUUCAAAGAAACAAACGUGCAUAACUCAUUUAACAAUGGAAAGUGAGUUUAUAGCACUUGCAACUGCAGGCAAGGAAGCCGAAUGGCUGAGAAAUUUGUUGUUUGAUAUAAUGUUGUGGCCACAACCAAUGCCAUCUAUUUCUUUGUACUGCGAUAGUGAAGCUACAUUGUCUAGAGCUUAUAAUAAAGUGUAUUUCCAGAGAGCGUGUUUUUACGUCAACUGGAAAAACAGUUAGCAAGCUUGAAAAUUUCAUAUGUCAAUCGAUGCAAAUUCAAACUAAAAGAGUGUCUUUGAAGAAGUGAUAUUUCUAAUGGUUGUAUUCUUUUAAAAAUAAAAUUCUUCUUUAUUAAAAGAUAGACACACAAUUAGAUCAAUAUCAGAUUUUGCAGAUUUCAUAUAUGUUCUGGAAAUACAAUCUUAUUUGCUAGAGAUUGUAUUCAGGAUUUGAUAUAUCUUGGGGGUAGUUUGCCAUUAAAACUCUAUAGCAAACCAAGAUUGGUGAGGGCAAAUAAAACCUUAAAGGAAAGUGUGCAAACACGUCUCAAAUCCUAAGAAAUUUUCUUUGUUCUUUGCCUCCAUAUUCGAAAAUUCACCAACAGAUAGAUGAAGGUUUCAUUCCAGACAACAGUGAGGCAACUGCUGAGAAGUACUAAGAUCUACUAAUCAAUAGAGGCUUUGUUGAUACAAGGAAGAGAGGAGCUGGAAGCGCUAUCAACACAUGCUCUGUUCGUGGUCGUUGCCGUCCUGUGUUGUUAGCAGUGGCUUUCGAGGCGGAAUUUGUCUUUUUCCCGUUCGGGGAUCCAAAAGGUAAAUCACGAAAAAAUGUCAAACGGAUCAACGUUUUUGAAAAACAGAGUGAUUUUGCUCACCUAGAUGAUUAUGACUCGCACUUGCAUUCUUUGUUGUACUUCACUUCAAAAAGCGACUAUCUUGACCCAAUAAAUUGGGAGAAAAUUUGUAAAAUGUUAAAAUUUCUCAGAGGAUUGGACUUGGGAUCUCUUGUUCUCAUCCAUUAUCCAUCCGGAAUUGAAAAUUUAUUUCUUUUACGAUAUUUGAAGUUGAAUAUCCCUUCCCUCAAAAGCUUGCCUUCGCCAUUAUUAAGCAAUCUUCUGAACCUGUACACCCUAGACAUGCCCUUUAGCUAUAUAGAUCACACAGCAGAUGAAUUUUGGAAGAUGAACAACCUCAGGCAUCUGAAUUUUGGCUCAAUCACACUUCCUGCGCAUCCAGGAAAAUAUUGCGGCUCUCUGGAAAAUCUCAAUUUCUUUUCAGCCUUGCAUCCUUGCUGCUGUACUGAAGAUAUAUUGGGUAGACUACCUAAUCUUCGAAAUCUCCGGAUAUGGGGAGAUUUAAGUUAUUAUCAAUCUUUGUUGUCCCAAAGUCUUUGCACAUUGACUUGCCUCGAGUCAUUGAAGUUGGUGAACGAAAGCAAGAUGCCAACGCUCUCCAAAAUUGUCCUUGUUGAAUACCAAUUUCCUCCAAGACUGACCCACUUGAGUUUCUCUAAUACUGAACUUAUGGAGGAUCCCAUGCCCGCACUAGAAAAGCUGCCGCUUCUUCAAGUGCUCAAAUUGAAGCAAAAUUCGUAUUCAGGUAGGAAGCUGACUUGUGGCUCUGAUGGUUUUCCAAAUCUCAAGGUAUUGCACCUGAAAUCAAUGCUAUGGCUAGAGGAGUGGACUAUGGGGAUUUGAGCCAUGCCAAAACUAGAAUGCUUGAUUAUCAACCCUUGUGCUUAAUUGAAAAAGAUGCCUGAACAGCUCUGGUGCAUAAAGAGCUUAAACAAGUUCGAUUGCUGGUGGCCGCAGCUGGAGCUGAGACAAAAGCUACGGGAAUUCGAGGAUAAGGAGCAGUAUGGCAUUCAACUCUAUCCUUAUGGAAUUUGAUUAGCCCCGAUUGAAUUUGAUGUAAGUUUCUCUUUUUAUCCAAUUUCUUCAACUUUUAAUUAUUUAUCUAAUUUCGUAUACUUUCUAUUCAAUAUAUUUAUUUUCCUUCUCCUUCAGUUAAAUAGUUAAGCCCUCUUUAGAGUUUCUGAUAGUCACCCCAAUCAUUACGCCCUCUUUUGCCGCAGGGAGACUUCAGUACCCUUGUAUGUUCAACUAUGAGCCUAGGCGACAUUGGCAUUCAUUUGUUUUAAUAGUUAAGAUAAAAAAUGUAAUAUAAAAAUUUUUCUUUUUCACCAAUUUCUCCUAUGACUUGUGUAGGUGAAGUCCGAGCAGAAAAUAUCAAAACUGCAGCCUGUGUUUCAGUUUCAACCAGAAUCCUUUCAGUUAGUCUUCACUUCUGCUGUCUAUACAAAUAAGUCCUGAUCCUAUGGUGGACAUUUUUCUGCUUUCUUUGUAUCUACUGUCUACACGAUAAUAAGAAAUUUCGUUUCAGAUAUUCAGUUGAGCGUUGAUUGAUUGGUGCUUCGGGCCAUGGUUGGUUAAUUGUGUACAAAAAAAAUAAAUAAUAUUUGUGACGCCUUUCCAGUCUUGGAUUCAGUGGAAUGUAUUUUCUGUCUUUGUUCUGUUGCUUGCUUUGAAAUCCUUUUCUAAGACUGGGAAUGUUUGACACUCAAUAUGUUUGGUUUAUUUUGCGGAAAAGAUUGAUUAUUCACGAACUUCAUACACGGCUGACUCUCCUGGUAAAUAUUCUUGUGAAUAAGUACUAUGAUCCUCUUUUAGGCACUACAAUAAGGCCUUUUUCUCUUUUUUUUGGUGCACUAAAUUGUGUACACUAAAGCACACACGUUGUUGUGUCAGAAAAGGAUCCUUGCAGCCAUUGAGAUUAAUUGAUUAAAUGAAGUAGAAAAAAGAAAGAAAUCAAAAUCUUCAGGUCUAAUUAUCGCCAAUUCAUUCAGGAGGUAGAAUCAGAGAGGCCGUGUUAUAGCGGCAGCCUGAGAGAUCAUUUCAGCUGAAAAACUCAGAAUUUAUAAAGUUACGACUUCAUUCUCAUAAAUAUGAGGUUAAAAUGCAGAGGUUUGAUUUUAUAGGCUUCAGUCAAUGUAGUACAUUCUAGUUUUGGAUUCACUUGUAUAAAUUUUUAGUCUGUAAUUGUUUCAAAUCCUCUUAGUUUGGUUUGGACGUCAUUGGUAUCUUAUGGUUUCUUAAUCCAAUAAUAUAGUGUUGAACUAUCCGCGGAGAUGUUAACAUUCUUUUACAGGCACAAAUUGUCUGCAAAUGAAAAUAUAUAAAAUAAAAAGGACAAGUGAUAAAUGAGUUAAUCUGAGGAAAUUCGAACCUGUAUAAACAUAUUUUUAGUAUUUUGAAGGACCAAAAACCUCUCAAUACAAUUUUUCAGUUGCCAAAUAAAAUAUUUCAGCCUCCCAUUAUUAAGAUUGAUGCUAGUUUAAAUACUAACUUACAUAUAAAAUUUGAAACUAAAGAACAAGAGCAACAAUCCUAAACUAAGGCAAAUAAUUAGCUAAUUAACUAACAACUGGUUCUGGUUUAUUGAGUUCAAGUAUAUGUUAACACAUUAACCACAACCAACCAAAUAAAUAUAACUUAAAAUAAAAUAAAAUAAAAAUAUCUCAAGACUUGAAGAUCGGAUCACAUUCUCUUUUAAUAAACUAACGCAGGAAUUUCAUCUCUGUCAUCUUUUCCUUUCAAUCAAUUGUAUUCAUGUUUCUAUUACUGACUGAAAUGACCUAAAUUAGAUUGUGAAAGAUGAAAAUGAUAUAAAUGUCCAAAACAUCUUGCAAUCAGGGUUUCGUUUUCCCUUUCCUAAUCCUGUUAGCAAAAUCCUUUUAUUGAAAAAACACAAACCGGAAGAAGAAGAAGACGAUAAGCAGAUUAUAAAGGACGUCAGCAUCCUGUUAUUUUCUAGAACUAAGUCUUUGCUUUCUUUACUGUUUUUUAAGAUGCCUUCCUUUUGGUCUAGUAUGGUAUCUCUUUCUUUGCUUGAACCAACAUAUAAGUAAAGGCUAAAUGCUCCUUCCACUUUUCUCUUGACUUGUGUAAUCUUUCUCUGGUACUCAAGAUCGAAUAAAAUGCCAUUUCAGUAAAGCCAAUUAGAGUUCUUUUUGUUCCAUCGGCAAGUCAUUCUUGACUGUUUUGCCUCCGCUUGAAAGCUUCCGUGCAUCCAUUUAUCAGUACCCAAUUUGAAUACAAUUCAACUUUUUUUUUUCCCUUUUUGGUUUCUGUUUCUUCCAUGUAGUAGUUUGACUGAGAUGUUUAAGGGUGUGCUUGAGGUGUGGUAUUGCAUAGCAUUAGUGUGUAGGCCAAGCAUUACUUCAACAUAUCCCAUAUUUGACAAUUGAUUGGAAAGGAGUGAGCAGCAUUAAUCUUAGCUAAUGCGGUAGUUUGCAUUAGUUUUUUUUUUUUUUAAAUAUAAUAAUAAAAAAUAAGUAUAACUUUUAAUAUAAUAUUAAUUUUUUAAUUAUUAUAUUAUAAUUAUUAAUAUAAAUUAAUAAUUUUAUUAUUUAUUAUUAAAUAAUAUUAUAUCAUAUUUUAUUUUUUAUUAUAUAAAAAAUAUAAAUAAAAAAUAUAUUAUUUAUUUAUAUUAUAAUAAUUAAUAUAUAAAAUUGAUAAGUUAAUAAUAACUAAUAAUAAAUACUUAAUAACAUAUAAAAAUAAAAAUAUAACAUAAUAUUACAUUAUUUAAUUAUAUUAUUGUAAUUAGUAUAUAAAAAAUUGAUUAUUAUUUAAGAAUUUAAUAUAACUAAAAAUAAAUGUUUAAAUAUAAAUAGACUUGAAUAAUAUUAAUUUGAAAUUAACAAUAUAAAUAAUAAUAUAAAAUAUUAUUACACAUACUAUAGAAUUCUUACUUGGAUUAUUUUCUAAAUUAUAAUUUAAAUUAAUCACAAAAAAUUAAUACAGUCCAGUGCAACACCAAAUAUAGUAUAAUUAAAAAUUAAUACAGUACAGUAUAAUACCAAAUAUUGUACAAUAUUUUUGUAAUACAAUAUUUUUGUAAUACAAUACUAAUGCAAUAUAACAUAAUAUAAUACAUCUGCAUUAAAAGUAAUGCAAUACAAUAUAAUAAAAUGCAGUGUGCCAAACACACCCUAAGUUCAAUCACAAUAAAAUAUCGUGGGAUAUACGGAAGUCUGUGAGAGGUACUAUACUAUCUAAAUUAUCUACAAAGUAACUUCAUUUUAUUAAAUUCUUAUAAUCUGAAUAUUAGAUCCACUUGAUGUUUGUGAUUGAUUCUUAUUUACAAGGAUAAACUUUUGCUCGCAUUUUUCAUAUGAUGACAGUUGACGCAGAAAUCUGGUCGAGCUGUUUAGCGACCAGACAACACUUAGAUUUGUUGUUAUUGGGGAGACGGUUCUAUGUUGCUUCCUCACUAUCGAACAAGCUCCUACGAUCUCGAACACUUCCUCCAAGAACACUUGCAUUUAUAACAACUAGUCAAGGGACGCCACAAGUUUUUCAGGUGUAAACCCUCCGAUACUCAAGUCAGCUAUCCGGGUCUAUGAUAACUCUAUGAAAUGAGAGUUAUCAUGGUACUUUUAAACUUAAAUCAUUAUUACUUAGAGAGUAAAUGACAUGUUUUUAUUGCAUUUUAGUUAUAUCUUGCAUGAGUAUCAAUUUUAGUUUAGUUUUAAUAAAUUUUGUUGUUUUAGAAUAAUUUGUGUGCUUAGAUUGUGUGCAUAAUUGUAGAUGAUUGGAAGCUCAAAUUUAAGGAAGGAAUGCUGCUGCAAUAGGCUUGCAAAAAUGGGAAAAGAACUUGAUUACAGAAGAAUUAAAGCAAAUUUGGAACGGUGCAGUUGCUGUAUCCGUUGUUGCAGCAUCCAUUGUUGUACCAAUCCUGGAGCAUUGAUAGAGAAGAUAAAACCCAUAACUAACAUCCCCACUGCGGGUGGAAAUUGGUAAAGCAAGUUUUUUUUUUUUUGUUGGGGGUAAUUGAAGUCGAGUAAUGUCUAUAGAUGAUAGGAAUAUUCAUGUUCCUUUUGGUUUCUUGACUCAAGGUUGCUUACUGGCUUAAGACAUUUUUCAUUCUACUCACUCAGUUAAAUUAUACCAUUCCAACGUGAUCUUGGCUUAUGCUACAGAUUCCUAGAGUGUGGUCUACAACAUUAAGAGCAUAUUACUGAACAAGGUUGAGGUCACUUUAGUAAAUUCUUGCUCAUGUAGAGAUCUACUUUCUAUUUAUAGCUUGGUCGACUCACAUUUAACGUCAAACACUCACGAUAUGGAGGACGUUGUGGUCAGAGCCUUGAACAGGAAACGCCCCCAUUCUAGUGGUGCUAAAGGGAGUUUGAGCAAAUAUGCUUCUUGGAAAAGCACCUUGGUACUGCAGAAAAAGUUUCUUUUCUGAAGACUCUCCCGCCUCCUCUACCUAAGGUAAGUGAAACAAGUGGGGCUUGUUAGCCUAUACGACUAUAAAUAUUGAUUUUGAUGAUAACAAACUACAUGUGUUGGUUAAACAAAGAUUUAUGUAUUGAGAUUUUAUAAUAAGAAAAUGAUUUUAUGGAGUUAAGUUGUUUUUCAAGUUAUGGACUAAAAUGAAAUAAUUUUACAAUCUUUGAUUUUAAUAAAUAUUGUUUUGAAUUUUCGGAUUUGGACCUAUUUGAAAAUAUUUAAAUAUUUUGGGUUAUUCUAUAAUUUCACAUAUUUUGGGUCAUAUUAUAAUUUCAAAAAGUUUUGGGAUUAAUAAAACAAUAUUUAGAAAUUCCGAAAUUGGACUUAUUUGAAAAGAUUCAUAACGUUUUGGGCCAUAAUAUAGUUAUAUAAAGUUUUGGGGUCAAACUAUAAUUUUAGAAAAUAAUUCACUGUAGCAGUUACUGUAGUAAGCGGCUAUUCGAAUCCUGACAAACGGUAGACCGGAUUUGGGUAGUAAGCUUCUGGAACAUAAACGACUAUUCGGAUUUCAUAAGCGGCAUACCGGAUGUUCAAAAAUUCAAAUUUUGGCUGUAACAGUAACAUUAAGCGGCUAACCGGAUGUCCAUAAAUGGUAAGCCGGUUAUCACCAAAAUGUGCAUAACGGCUAGUUUUUGAGCUCAAACUAUAUACACUGAAAUCCAAUUCAUUUUCAAUUUCUCCAGCAAGCAAAAACAAAAAGCACACAUCAUAUCUUGAGCUCUCAAUUUACAAAUCAUUAUUCAUUGAAUCAUCUUUGUUCUUCAAUUUGUUCCUCUACUCUUUAAGAGAGUUUAUUUUGUUGUAAUUUUCAUUUCUUCAUCUUAAUUGUGAGUGUUUGAGUGUGUGAGACACUUGAGUGAAGAGAUUGAGAGAUAAUCUCUUUGUUGUAAAGGUUCAUUGACACCUUGAAGUCAAUUGUAAACAUUUGAAGUCUUGGAAGGCUUGGAUUGUGAAAUCCUCAAGCUUGGAUCUCUUGGAGGCGUGGACGUAGGCGGGGAUUGCCGAACCACGUAAAAAUUCAUGUAUUUGUUUCUCUUCUCUCUUACUCAUUUGUUAUUGUCCUUUUAUUGAACUUAUUGCUUUCGAAUUUAUUAAGGCAUUAGAUUGGAUUAUUGUGUGGUUUUGUUAGGAUAAUUUUUAAAAUACCAAUUCAUCCCCCCUCUUGGGUUGCAUACUUGUAUUUCAGGGUUGCUAGUGACAAAGGUCCCACCACAUCUCCUCAUCUUGUUGGCUAUAAAUUUCAACUUCCAAAUGAGUGACCCAAAUAUCUGGUCCUUUAUAUCAAUGAGCAUAGUAAACUAGUGAAGAAGAAAUCUGUUGAGGAUUUAAAGGCCAUACACUCGGGAUCUGGUAGGCGUUCUUCAAUUCGGUGUGUUUCAGCUGGGCAUCCUGGCCGCUUAUUACAAAGCAAAAGUUAGUCGCUAUAGGAGGAAAAUAAAUGAUGAUAUUUAAACUUUGAAGAAGAGAGCGGCCAGCUUUAUCUCAAGAACUUAAAGCUUGUGGAACAAAUGUUCUUCUCUGAAGCUAGGGUAGUCUAACUUGAGAAAGAGUUGGCCAAUAUUAAGGAAGAAUUGCCACCCAAAAAAUCUCUUAUGAUUCUCAGUUGGAAUAACUUCAAGCAGUUCACCAGGACUAGAUCAAGGCUUUAGAAAAUGAGGUUAAUGACAACUACAAUGAGGGGUUUAAACACUCUUAUCGGUGUAUUACGACUGCCUCGAGAAGCAACAUCUUGACCUAAAAAUGGAUGAACUGGCAGUCGAUAUUAUUUAAUAUAUGAAGGAACAAGCAACCAAAGAAAACGCAGAAAAAAGAGGCCCUGCUGUAACUAGCGAAACCACCACUCCUCUUAUUGCAGCUGGCGAGACUACUAUUCCUCCUACUAAAACUAGCGAGACCCCGACUCCUCCUCUAACUAGUGACAAUUCAUCGAGAGUAAACCCUCUCGUAAACACUUAAAUUUCUUAGAUGUGACAAAUUAUCUCUUUUAAUCAACAGACCUUUUGUACAAUGUUGUACUUCUUUUUCGUUAAUGUUAUAAAUGUUUUCUUGCCCUUCCAAAUUUUCAUGAUUGAUUGUAUGCUCGUCCUGUUGCUAAUGAACAAAUGUUGGUAUAUUUUGACUUUGGUCACACCUCGAGGAGGCUUCGAGACUAAAAGUCUUAUAUUUGACUUAGAAAUUUAUUUAUGUAUGAUUACCUAUUUGCCUUCAGUUGGUUGAAUAGGUUUUGGCAAAUUUGUCGUUUUAUCUCGCCUUGAGGAGGCUUUGAGACUUAAAGGCUUAUACUUGCAUUAAAAAAUAUUUAUGCAUCAUUGCCUGUUUACCUUCUUGGUUGAGCAGGUUCUGGUAAAUUGGACUUUUUAUCUCGCUUUGAAGAGGCUUUGAGACUCAAAGUCUUAUACUUGCUUUAGAAAAUAUUUACACAUGAUUGCCUGCUUGCCUUCAAUUGGUCAUGCAAGUUCUGGAAAUUUUGACUAUUUAUCUCACGCCGAGGAGGUUUUGAGACUUAAUGUCUUAUACUUACCGUAGAAAAUAUUAACGUAUAAUUGUCUGCUCACCAUCACUUGGUUGAGCAGGUUUUGGCAAAUUUGACUUUUUAUCUUGCCUUGAGGAUACUUUGAGACUUAAAGUCUUAUACUUGCCUUAGAAAAUAUUUAUACAUGACUGCCUGCUUGCCUUCGCUUGGUUGAGCAGGUUUUGGCAAAUUUGAAUUUCCAUCUCGCUUCAAGAAGGCUUUGAGACUUAAAAUCUAUGAUUUGCCUUAGAAACAUUUAAUACAAAACAAGGGGAAUAAUCAAAUGAAUGGAUUUUACUGCACCCAUCUUAUUUACAACUCUAUGAACUACAAACAAAGUAAUUUAAAGAUACUAAUUCGUUAAGAAAUUCGACCAUCUAAUUUCAUGAAAACUUUACUGAAAGUACUUCUUUAGUUGCUCUGCAUUCCAGGAUUUCUUGACUUUUCAUCCAUCUGCGUAGGCAAGCUUGUACACUCUUAGUCUAACUGCCCUUAGAACUUUGUAAGGUCCUUCCCGGUUGGGGAUGAGCACUCCAUGGUUUAGAUAUCUGGUGCUUUGAUUUAUCUUUUUGAGCACCCAAUCAUUACUUUUGAAUUGUUGUACUCAAAAGUUCUAAUUGUAAUAACAAACAAUCCUUUGUUGAUAGACUGUUACUCUUUUUAAGGUAACUGAUCUCUUAUUGGCGAGCAAAUAUAGGUUUAAGCACAUCUGUUGUUGUUUUUGUCCUCGUUAAGGCUCCUUGUCCGGUGAGUACUCAUCCUGUUUUUUGCUGGCGCGACUACCUAAUAACCAAAAGCUAAUGCAGAAAGGAUCCCACCUGUGGUGUUCUUAUGAGUAGUUCUGUAAGCCUAAAGAACACCGGGAAACUUCUCGACCCAUGCUCCCUUUUUCUCCCAUAAUCGAGUCUUCAAGAGUUUUUUAAUAGCUUUGUUUGCUGCUUCUACUUAUCCAUUUGCCUUCGAAUGAGCUGGCGAGCAAAAUCUUAGCUUGAUGUUUAAGCUCUUGUAAAAAUAGUUAUAGCUGUUAAAUUGUUUACCGUUAUUUGUUAUGAGGUUAUAAGGGAUUCCAUAUCUGCACAGGAUGUUCCUUUAAAUAAAGUCAGUCGUCUUCUUCUUUGUUAUCCUACUAAACGACUUGAUUUCGACCUACUUCGUGAAAUAAUCUAUUGCCAGAAUAAUAUGAGUGGCGGCUCAUCGCCCUUUCAGUAAAGGCCUAAUCAGGUCUAUUUCCCCACUAAGCAAAUGGCCAUAGUUUUUUCUGGCGGCUGUGCUAGAUAACAAGCAAAGCUUUGCCAACUCUUGCAGCUCCUGGUCUUUUCUUGUGCAUUUUGACCAUCAUUGGCUAGAAAUAUCCUUACCUUAGUGAAAUACAAGUAUGCAACCCAAGAGGGGGGUGAAUUGGGAUUCUAAAAAUUAUUCAAUUUAUAAAGAAAAACUUACUGCAAAUAUAAUCCAAAUUCAAAGCAAUAACAAUUAAGUUGAUCACAAUAUAAAGAGAUAAGGGAAGAGGGAUUCAAACACAGAGAUUUUUACGUGGUUCGGCCAACCUCGCCUACAUCCACGCCUCCAAGCUUUCUGGGCUUGAGGAUCCACUAAGCAAGCCUCCAAGGCUUCAAAUGCUUACACUUGACUUCCAAGGUGUCAAUAAACCUUUACAACAAGAGAUUAUCCCCAAUCUCUUAACCCAAGUGUAUCCCAACACUUACAAUCACUCAAAGUAAAAGAUUACAAAUUGAUUUGCCUCUCACAAUAUAUAGGAUUACACAAUGGUGCUUAAUAUGUGAAUAGAUGAAGCAAGAAUGUGUUCUAAGCUCUAUGAAGAUUGUAUUCUCGAAUAUUAGCUCAAUGGUCGUGUUGUGAUAAACUUUCUUUGAAUUUGAAUGAGCUAAAUGGUUAACCGUUUCGGUUGGUCAAAGUUACCAUUGGGCCAGAUUUCAAAUAAACGGUUUGCCGUUUAGGAUUAACCUUUUGCCGUUAAAUUCUAGAGACCUGCAAGAUGAACAUUAGUUAUCCGUUUACACUAAACGGUUAAGGACUUGCAUAAAGUGACUUCUCUGGAUAUUAUCGGUUAACCGUUUUUAAUAAACGGUUAGCCGUUUGUCUCCAGUAACCUGCAAACAAUUUAGCCUUAUCAGGUUUUGUUACUUAGUGCCAGAGGAGAACAACCUUCAAUUCUGGACGUUAUCAGUUAACCAUUAAAAAUAAACGGUUCACCGUUAAGUUCCAGUAGCCUUCUCAUCUUUUGAGUUUUCCGUCUUUCAUAAACGGUUAGAGCUUUAGGCAUUAUGUUGCUCUCUGGAAUUAAUCGGUUAACCGUUUAAAUAAACGGUUUACCGUUAAGUUCCAGUAACCUUCCCAUCUUUUGUGUUUUCCAUUUUUUAUAAACGGUUAGAGGUUUAGGAAAUAUGUUGCUCUCUGGCUGUUAUCGGUUAAUCGUUUAAAUAAACGGUUCACUGUUUAUAACCAGAAUUGCAUUUUAAACUAGUUUUUGCAGAGAAUCUUUUUCUAAUUUGAAAGUCCAUCUUUUAUGAAGAAUGAAUGGAAUGAUUACUAAGGCUUUCGUUUAUUAGGAAAUAGCUCCAAUAUUUUUAUCAAAAACCAUUUAAAAUUUGUUAUCAUCAAAAUCAAUAUUAUUAACAUAUUCAUGUUAACACUUAGGGCUUUGAAGGCCAACGAUCUCGCCCCUAAGUGAUUUUCGCAAACUCCUUCAUGUACAUCCCUCUGCACAUAAUAUGCCUCAUCUUCAUCCAAGCAUAGUAAAAAAGGUAAGGUAUACCCUCGCCUAUACAACACCCUAUUAAUCAACGUAUAUUUAGACAAUUAACAUUUGAGUUUUCAUGCUCGCAUCUUAUCUGCUGGUAAUGUUCUAUCUUGAAUAUAUGAAAUUAUCAAAUUCAUCCAUGCGUUUCGCCCAUCUAUCCACUUUUUUUCUGAAUCCUGCUCGAUAUGGGGAGAGGCUUUAACUUCAAUGGGAAUGGACUUUGGCAUCCUUGCAUCUGUUGUAACAGCCAUUCUAGCUAAGAUAUCUGCUCAAUAAUUAUUUGCCCUUAAGAUCUACUCCACGUCAACUAGUCAAACUUCUCAAUUAUUUGUCUAGCCUUCUUUAAGUAUUGUUGUAUCUUUUCACCCCAAGGUUGAAAGUUCUCAUUGCAAUGGUUAGCAACAAGCUGAGAAUUUGUUUGAACUCUCACUUUGCUUGCUCAAGCAGCCUAGGCCAACUUCAAUCCCACUAUGAAGGCUUUGUAUUUUGCUUGAUUAUUGGUUGCCUUAAAUUCAAACCUUAAGGCAUAAGAGAUUUAUUCUCCAUCGAGACUUUCUAAGAUCACUCAUGCCCUUACUCUUUCCUCGCUUGAAGAGCCAUCCACCGUUAUCAGCCAGACUUUAUCCCCAUUACUCCUAGUAACCGCCUGAUCACCACUAGCUUUCGUGUAUGGUUUUGUGAGUUCUACUAUAAAAUUCGCUAAUGCUUGUGCUUUGAUUGCUGCUUGGGGUUUGUAACUUAUAUCGAACUCACUUAACUCCACCGAACACUUCACCAAUCAUCCGAAAACCUCUGGUUUAUGUAUUGUGUGUUAUAACAGUUGAUCCGUAAUCACGACGAUUGAAAAGGCCUAAAAAUAUAGCCUUAGUUUUCAAGCAGCAACAAUAAGGUGAAGGGCCCAUUUUUUCAUCAUCGAAUAUCUAGUCUCAGCAUUGAGCAGGACUUUGCUAGUGUAGUAAAUCAGAUAUCCAGCCAUCGAAGGCACCAUGCGGGGCACCGGUGCUGUUCCAAUGGAAGCAUGAUGGCUCACUUCGACUCUGCAUCAACUACCGAGCCCUUAACAAAGUGACCAUGUAGAACAAGUAUCCCAUACUACUGAUUACAGACUUGUUCAACCAACUUGGAUACGCCAAGUGCUUCUCCAAGCUUGAGCUUAGAUCGGUAUAUUACCAAGUACGGAGUGCAGAGGGAGAUGAGCUAAACACCGCUUGUGUGACGAGAUAUGGGGCGUACGAGUUCAAAGUCAUGCCUUUUGGCCUCACCAACGCUCCAGCCACAUUCUACAUGCUCAUGAACUGUAUAUUCCAGCCAUACCUUGAUCAGUUUAUGGUGGUGUAUCUUGAUGACAUUGUGGUUUACAAUGGCACCUUAGCAAAGCAUGCCGAGCACUUGCGAGUUGUGUUCAGGGUGUUGCGGGACAAUGAGCUGUUUGUUAAGCGGGAGAAGCGUUCGGUCGCUAAACUGGAGGUUGAUUUUCUUGGCCACAAAAUCAGAGAUGGGACGUUGCUCAUAGACAAGGCUAAGGUCCAAGCCAUUGCGAAAUGGGAGCCGCCCUAGAAGGUGACCGAGUUGAGCUAUUUCUUAAGCCUUGCCAACUACUACCGGAGAUUCAACAAGGGUUAUUCUGCCAUUGCUGCACCACUCAUCGAUUUGCUCAAGAAGAGUAACAAGUGGGAAUGGAUGGAGAGGAGCCAACAAGCCUUCGAUGCCCUCAAGAAGGUCGUGACGGAAGAGUCGGCACUAGCGCUACCAAACCAUGCCUUACCAUUUGAGGUACACACAUAUUUUUUUGAUUUUACUAUUGGGGGUGUACUGAUGUAAGCUGAACAUCCUAUAGCCUUUGAAAGCUAAAAACUCAACAAUACUGAGCGGUGAUAUACAGUAUAAGAGAAGGAGAUCACUGUGAUAAUGCACUAUUUACGCACAUAGAGGCACCACUUGCUUGGGUCCAAGUUCAUGGUGAAGACGGACAAUGUAGCGAAGAUGAACAUCCCAUAGCCUUUGAACACCAAAAGAAACUAAGUCUGAAACAAGCGAGACGGCAUGAUUUCUUGGCUGAGUUCGACUAUGUACUGAAGUAUAAGCCAUGAAGGGCCAAUUUAGUAGUGGAUGCCUUAAGUCGGAAGGUCGAGCUUGUUGCCAUGAGCCGGAUACAAAGGGAGCUUCUUACGCUCAUAAAUGAGAGAACGUAGCAUGAUCCCUUAGCCAAACGACUGGUUUCCCUCGUGCAACAGAGGAAAUCGAAGAGAUUUUGGGUUGAGGAUGGUCUUUCGUACUCCAAGGGACGAUGUGUCUAUGUUCCAAAGUGGGGAAACUUGAUGCAGAACUUGAUCAAGGAGUGUCAUAACACCAAAUGGGCUAGACACCUAGGACAAAGGCGGGAACGAGCCUUGCUUGAGUCGGCAUACUAUUGGCCUCAGAUGUGGGAUGAGGUGGAGUAGUUUUUACAGACAUGCUUAGUGUGCCAAUAGGGCAAAGUGUAGCAACAAUGUCCCGCAGGGUUACUUGAGCCACUGCCCACACCGAAUCGAUCGUGAGAAAGCACAUCGAUGGAUUUCUUCACUUGUCUUCCAAAGUUCGAGGGGUUUGCGACUAUUGUUGUGGUGGUGGAUUGCUUCUCCAAGUAAGCCACUCUCAUUCCCGCCCCGAAGGAGUGUACAAUAGAGGACUCAUCCAAGCUUUUCUUUAAGCUUGUGGUGAAGUAUUGAGGACUUCCAAAAUCCAUCAUUAGCGACUGUGACAAUUGGUUUACAGGGAGGUUUUGGACUGAGUUGUUCAAGCUCAUGGGGUCGGCACUGCACUUCUCUACGAGAUUUCACCCACAGACCGAGGGGCCAACGGAGAGAGUGAAUGCCUUAUUGGAGUUGUACUUGUGGCAUUUUGUAAGCACCAACCAGCAUGAUUGGGCGAAGUUGCUGGACGUGCCUAAUUUUUCUACAACUUGCAAUGGAGUGAGGUUACUUCGAGGAGCCCUUUCGAGGUGAUCAUGGGACAGCAGUUGCUAACGCCAUGCACACUUAUCACAGGCUACACUGGGAGGUGUCAUGCAGCAUACUAGGUGGCUAAAUCGUGGCAUGAGCAAGCGGACAUAUCACGGGCGCACCUUGACAAGGCGAUCAAGUGGAUGAAGAAGUAGGCGGAUAACAAGUGUAGACAUUUGGAGUUCAAUGUGGGGGACAUGAUGCUAGUGAAGAUCCUACCAUCCCAACACAAGUCUACCCGUUCACUAUACAAGGGCCUUAUUCGGAAGUAUGAGGGUUCAUUUCCCAUCAUCAAGAAGGUCGACAAUGUGUCAUACAAGCUAGAGUUGCCCUCUUAGAUAAAACUCUAUCUGAUCUUCCAUGUGAGUUGCUUAAAGCCAUACCAUAGGGGUACCAAAGAUCCGAAGUGGGGAGAAUUUAAGCGCCCUCCACUCGGCAAUACGAGGGCGUAUGACAAAGAAGUGGAGACCAUCUUGGCCGAUCGAGUGGUUUGGAAGAAGAGUUUUCCGCCAUGCCAAGACUACUUUGUCAAAUGGAAGAGACUACACGAGAGUGAAGCAAGUUGGAAGCUCGCAAAAGAUUUUUGGUAGUUUUAAGACAAAAUCAAAGACUUCCACAGCGAGUCGACGAGGACGUCUCCGGAUUAGGAGGGGGAGAAUGUCAUGGCCAAAGCCUCUAAGUAACAUGGACUGGACCCAUGGAUGAUUAUAGACUUAUGUAGUGUGUAGAUAUUUCUCAUGUACUUAUUAUAGGUAGGUGGUAGGUAGUAGUUGAGCAUUAACCUACUCUAUUGUACUCUAUAUACAAGAGGGGCCUCAUUUGGCCAAUACACACAAGACAUAACAAACAAAACAACAUACAUAGCUUGUAAGUAUUUUAUCGAGCAAUAUAAGUCCUUUCCUCUUAUCUUGUGUGAGUUUGAGUGAAUACACAUUUCGAUUUUCGAAUCCAGUAACAGAUUUGAGUGUAUGGCUGACUUAGGGCCAAGAGAGUGUGAAUUUAAUGCAUAAGGCUGCAAGUCACAGCGUGGGAUAUAACUAGGCCAUUAAACAAGGCAAAAGAAAGAAAAGAUUUUUCACUCUAUUUAUUAUGCCAGCAAGACUUUUGCAUAUGAUAAAUUCAUGGCUUAUUUGGUUGGCACCAAAGUGACUGUUUAUAUAGAUCACUCGGCUAUAAAGUAUUUGAUUUCAAAGAAGGAUGCCAAACCAAGGUUGAUUACGUGGAUUCUAUUGUUACAAGAGUUUGACUUAGAGAUUAAGGACAAAAAAGGUACUGAGAAUCAAGUAGCAAAUCAUCUUUCAAGGCUGGAAGUAGAUGAAAGCACUCUGACCUAGCAACAUAUCACAUAAAUAUUUCCUGAUAAGCAAUUGUUAAUGCUACAACACUCUUAAAUGUUGCAGCAAUUUGGAUUUCCAUGGUAUGUAGAUUUUGUUAAUUAUUUGGUGAGUGGACUAUUUCCACCUGAUUUAAGUUAUCAGCAGAAAAAGAGGUUUCUUUAUGAUGUAAAAAGUUAUUUGUGGGAUGAGCCUUACUUGUAAAAGAUAUGUUCAGACCAUGUAAUCAGAAGAUGCGUACCAAAUCAAAAAAUUUCAAACAUCAUGCAAUCUUGUCAUCCUGCAGCAUAUGGAGGACACUUUGGAGGGCACAAGGCAGCAACAAAAGUCUUUCAAUCAUAUUACUACUAGCCCUAUAUUUUUAAAAAUGCUUAUGAGUUUGUUAAAUAUUGUAACAGGUGUCAAGGGGCAGGGAACAUGUCUGAAAAGCAUUAGAUGCCACUCUCAAAAGCAUGAGUAGCCCAAAGCUAUUGAACAUAUUGAAACCCCACCAAUUAGUCCAGCUCAGAGCUAGAAAAAGAAACAACCAGCUGCUAAAUCUUUAGGUUCACCUAAGGAACAUUCGCGAAGUACAAAUAAGAAGAAGUGAACCUUUUUCAGCAAGAGCUGCGACAAAACAUCCAACAACAAGGGAGUAUCCCCUGCCAACCCAAUUUAAUUUUCCAACUUCUGAAACGUUUCUUUUCUUUUAUUUAUUUUCGAUUCUUUAUUUUGUAUUUCUUUAUUGUUAGUGUAUGCAUGUUUGUCUUUGCUUUAUGUUGUGUACUUGUGAGGACACAACACCUCUCAAGUUUGAGGGGGUUGUCCUACAAUGUAAUGUGUUUAUUAAUGCAUGUGUUUGACUGUUUGUGUUAUGUGUGUAGCUCUGUUAUCCAGUAGUUGUUAGUGGAUUAUAAAACCCAAUGAGGAUAAAUUGUGUGUUAAAUGUGAGAAUGAACGACUGCCAAGUAAGGAUAGUUUAUAGAUGAAUGUUGAAGCUCUCUCUUUACCAUUAGGCUUUGGUUGAGUUUGUGAGUAUACUGUAGCAAAGCCAGAAAGACCAAAAAAGUUAGAAAAUAUCUCAAGUUUGGGGGGGGGGGGGAUUUUUUAGAUUUAUCAUAAAUUAUGCUUCAAUGGCUUAAGUUGCUGAGUAAUCAAGGCUGAGUAUGUACCCUAUAUGCAGACUUAAGUAAAAAGGCAGUAAGAGCUAUGAGCAUUACUAUAGCAACUAAAACAAAAACAAAAAAGAAAAGAAAAAAAGAGAAAGGUCCUCUGUCUAAGAUAUUGAGUAGUCAGGUCUGUUUAUGAGCCCCGUGUUCAGCCUUAAGUUAAAAGUGUCUAUAGAUAAGACUAUAUUAUAACAUUGCUGCAACAACUUUGAUAUGUACAUUGGUUAAGUAAUUGGGUGCCAUUAUUACAAGUGAUAGACAUUCACAUGAAAAAUCAAUAAUGAUACAUUAAAGAGAAUUUGACUAAAUAAAAAGAAAAAAAAACUUUGUUGUAGCACAGUUUAAACCUAUUUGUGACUUCUACUUCCUUAGAUAUGAAUGUACUUAGGUUCUAUCUUUGAGUUAUGUGUAAUGUCUGUGUGAUGCGGCAGCACCUAUAGAACUUGAAUAAAGUGACACACACUGUAAUACCCCAAAUUUCCUAAGGGUAUUUAAGUCUUUUUAGUUUUUAGUGAUCCCUUUUACCCUAGUAUAAAUAGAACAAGAUGUCUUUUCCAUUAUGAGAGAGGAAGAAGGAGAAAUCCGCUAAGACAAAAAAAAAAUGACAAAAGAGAGAGAAGAGAUAGAGAGAAAAGAGAGAAAAGAAAAGAAAAAGAGAAGAAGAAAGUCUUCUUCUUCUUCUUCUUCUUUGUUCUGCCACGACAACACAUGAGAUCAAAUUGCAUAAUUUGAAUUGCGUAUUGUUGAGAGAAGAUUUGGAUUUGCAGGUAAUUUUUAAUUCUUGGUUUUUAUUAAUUCGUUAUGGAGAAGUAUGAUUGCAAUAGAAGUAGAAACUUAAGAUUUUAUAGAAAUAUGCUGACAGUGAAUUAUUACGAAAAUUAUAGUAAUUUGUACAAAUUGAUUUUGAUUCUGAUUUUUGGAUAUGUUAAACUAGACAUCGUCUAGAACGCUUUGCAACUUGUUUCAAGUUAAUCGGAUAAGAUUUCAAUUAAUUAUGAUUUUUCAAAGUCAAGUCUGAAAACCUGGAAAUUUAUGAUUGCAAUGAAUAACGUGAAUUGCGAAAUUAGUUUUACCAUAGCUAGACUUCUUCAAAACUUAUGAAAUCUGGACCAAUGAUUUUUAUAUAUGGCUAGUAUGAUUCUGUAAUUUUUCAUGAUUUUAUGAUAACGAAAUAAAUUGUUUUGUAUUUUUAAAGCAAGUGUGUUCAAAACAGAAAACUGUUUGACAAUAUUGAUGAUGUGUGAAACAUCAAUUAUUUUCAAUCGUUUUUGAAGGAAUUAUGUUAUGAAGUUUUUAUCAAUGAACUUUCAAUGUGUCAGCAUAUGGCCUGUAAAAUUUUAGAUUAUUCCAAUAAGGGAAUAAUUUAUUACAAAUCAGAGAAUAUGGACUGUUAUGUUUUGAGGGCCGAUAAUUGAGAACAUUUGAGGUUGAGCUUAGGAGUUGUUUAAAUUGAGAUAUUUGAGGACAUUAGAGUUUAUGAUUGAGAUUUGAUUAUAUAUUAUGAGGAUUUAUUGAUGAUUUUAGGUUGAUGAUAUCAGUACGCAUUUGUUACAUGAGGAUGCCAAGAGGUAAGUAAACUAGACUUUAAAAUGAAUCACAAUAAACAAUACAUAUGUUUGACUUGUAUGAAAGGCCUACUUUGAUAUGUACGAAUAUGGAUUUAUAUGUCUCUGCUAAUGUGUUUAUGUGAUGUGUUGCUAUGUAUUGGGCGUGAUUAUGUACAUGGGCAUAUGUAUGUGUGAUGGUUCAUUGGUAUGAGCACGAAAAUACAUUGAGUUUUCUAUGAAUGAGAAAGUGGAUUUUAGCAAAUGAGAAUUCUGUUUUAUGAGAUUUUGCAUUGGGGGCCACCUCUUGAGACUAUGCGGGGGCCACCUCUUGAGGGUCAAAGCGUCGCAAAGUGCCACACAUGGUGGAAAGUGCCACGCACAGCACAAAGUGCCACAAUUGCAGAAUAUGUAUUUCAAUGAAAGAAAAUAUGAAAGUUUGAAAGCGACAGAAAGAGAUUUUGAUGAAUUUAUUUUACAAUAUUUCCAAAAGAUCAUGACAUAUCAUCCAUCUGCAUUAUGUAUAAGUAUGUAUGUACUUUCGUAUAAGAAAAACUAGUUUGCUUACUGAGUUUUAUACUCAUUAUAGUUCAUUGUGAUUCAGUUUUCAGAAGUCAGGAUUGAUUCGUGAUGAGUGAGAAGUUGAAGAUGGUAGAUGGUUCGGCUAAAUUUUUAAGUUAUUCCGCUAACUUUUGUAUUUGAGGCUCGAAUUUUAUCGUUUGUAAAGAGUUAUUUAAAUUCAUAUGUGAGUUGUGGUCAGAUUUGCCCUCGGAGUUCGGGCUGGGUGUUACACACACACUUUGGACAGUGUAAGGCCUAUGUCUUGAGUUUUAGAAAAUGUAUAUUUAUAAAGGAGAAAAUCGUCAUUUUACAUUUCAAGUUUUACUAACAACUCUUACUUUUAUGUAUUUAAACUUCUUGUAAUUUAAUUAUGUGUGUUUUAUUUUAAUUAAGUAUUUUAUGUAUUUUAGGGGCAUCAUAGUCAUUUCACAAUAAACGAGAGAUCAGACGGUAAAACAGACAUCACUUUUGAACUCAGGACGGUCGAAAACCUUAGGAGAAGCAUAAAAGAAAAAAUGGCAUUAUUCACAUGUACGGUACUGUCUACAUUACUGUUCAUGACAUUGUUCACAUACACGGAUCGAUGGCAUGGCAUUGACUGAUGAGGUGUCACGAUCCUAUUGGACUAAAAUUCUUAUGCACUGUUGAUUGGUGACGUGGCAGCAUAUCAAUGGAUCAAAAAUCGCGCGUACGGUACAUGCAUCACACAAGAUUAUUUUCAACCAAACCGCGUCACUGUUCAAUACGGGUCAAAAUCGUGUUACUGUUCAAACCGCGUACUGUUGACUGAUGACGUGGCGUAAUUCUAAGCGUCCAAACUGUUUUUAAUCCGAUGGCCAUGAUUUACUCAAUGUAUCUAUAAAAAGGGGGGCUCCCCCCCCCCCCAAUUUGAUAUCUCUGAAUCCAUUUUUAAACUCCAUUUUAUGUAAUUCCUUCUCUAUCUUGUAUUUUCUACAUAUUUUAAUAAAUUUCUAUUUUGCCCCUUGUUCAAUUAUGAGUAGCUAAUUUUCUUUCAAGCUUGGGUUGAAAGUGAAGUCUCAACAUGUGUCAUGGGUUUUAUUUGGUAAAUUUAUUUUCUCUUCCCCUCUAGGUUUUGUGGAUGUUUUGACUUCUCGUCGACAAAUAAUAAUAAUCUUGUCUAGAUACCGCCCUGGUUUCACCGGCUCCCUAGUACAAGGUUAUUAUUAUUUGGCACGAUAAGCCCUUAGCACCAUAUUGAUUAGAGUGUGGUUCAUGAGGUGUGGAUUCCCCCCUCAUGAUUUAAUUGGCAUUAAUAAGGAAUAUUUAACCCAUGGUGCAUGUUGAUACGGAUCCAGCUACCCAAGUGCCACAUUUCAAUAGAAUUCUCUUCAAUUUAUUCUCGCCAUUUCAAUUCCAAAUUUAAGAUAAUCUAAGUCACUUUCACCACAAAUCCAACCGCCCUCAUACAAAAUUAAUUCUACAUAUAAUUAAAAUCCACCUCCUCGCGAGAUCGACACUCGUCACCAUUAAUCUAUUCUACAAUAGAUUUAUGCACUUGCGAGUUCAAUAAAAUUUGCACAACAAGUUUUUGGCGCCGUUGCCGGGGAGGUAAGUUAUUUUAAUUUUUAGAAUUAAUUUUUGUGAAUAAUUUUUUUUAUUUGUUUUCUUGUAUUUUUUUAUUAAAAAGAAAAGCAAAAAAAAAGUGAAUCUGCAUUUAGAGGUUAGUAUUUCUUUUCUUUUUCUCUUUUUUAAAAUUCUGUAAUUUAAUUUUCAAGUUAUUUUUUUCUUCUUUGUAAUUUUUUUUUAUCUUACUAAUUUUUUUUAGUUAAUUUAUUUUACGUAUUUUUUUUUUGUGUGUAUUUUUAUAGUAAGGUUGUAAUAACGCGAUAAGGUUAGUACCGUAAUUUCUCCUUCUUCUUUAUUUUUUAUUUGUUUUGUUCUCAUUUAUUUUUGUGUUUCUUGCAUGCAUGAUCGUAGGUCGUUAUUACCUAAUCUUGAACCUAUAAACCUUGAACUAGAAAAAAUACUUCGCACAUACAAGCACGUUAAAAAUAAAUUUGAAAUGGAUUUGCAACAACAACAAGCACCACAUGAGAGGCCAUUUAAGGACUAUUUUAGUCCCUUAGCUAAUUUGAGUACAUCAUGUAUAAGAUACCCAAAUGUAGCUGCUAGGAGUUUUGAACUAAAACCUAGCAUGCUAAAUUGUCUCCCAACAUUCUAUGGCCUAGAAAAUGAGGACCCAUAUAAUCAUUUGAAUGAUUUUCAUGUUGUUUGUCAAACAUUUAAAUAUGAGAAUUUUUCAGACGAUGAUGUUAAACUCAAAAUUUUCCAUUUUCUCUAAAGGAUUGAGCUCGUUUAUGGCUCAAUACAUUGCCUGCCAAUAGCAUUACAUCAUGGGAAUAAAUUGUAACUAAAUUUUUGAAUAAAUAUUUCCCAGUGCAUAAAACCAAUGCUAUUCGCAGGGAAAUCUCGGAGUUUACCCAGAGAGAAGACGAGCAGUUUUUCGAAACAUGCAUUGAUUAUAGAAAGUUGAAUUCUGUCACACGUAAAGACCAUUUUCCUUUACCAUUUAUUGAUCAAAUGCUUGAUAGAUUAGCAGGCCAUGAAUUUUAUUGCUAAUGGCAACAAGUGGAGGAGAGCUAAUGUCAAAAAGUGCAUAAGAGAUUUGGGAAUUUUUCCAAUGACAAGCAGAUAAUCCCCAACAACGGAGUCGAUCACUCCGGAAUACUAGAAGAAUUAAGGGAGUAAAUGAGGUUCACAUUGGCGAGUCAACUUCGGGAAUCAAAGAAGUCAAGGAGAUGGUUGAAGGUCGCUCUCGACAAAUAGCAUCGUUAACGACUGCUACAUCAACAGAACCACAUGACCCUGACUCAUAUCCAGAUCAAGCCAAUGCUAUAGGUGCAAUGAGAAAACCAUCAAAUUACAACCCAUACUCCAACACAUAUAACCCUGGAUGGAGAGACCAUCCCAAUUUUUCAUAGUCUCAAGGAUUCUAAUAGAAUGGACCAGCAGCUCCAGCUCCACCAAUGCAACCAAUUCCUCAAGCCUCUCAGCCAUCAUUUAGACCAUACAAUUCGAACCAAAAUUACUCUCAACCCAGACCAUGGGAGGAUGCAUUCCAGAAUUUCAGGAAUGCUACUCACUCCACGAUUGAACAACAGAACCGCACCAUUGAUGGACUACGAAAUGAGUUGGGAGCAGGCUUCAACUCACAAGCUCAAUCAGUUUCAAGCCUCGAGAAGAUGGUGGAACAACUUGCUUAUUCAGUUCAGACCUUAGCAAUGACUAUUAAGAAAGGUAAAUUUCCAAGUCAACCAGUGCCUAAUCCUAAAGGAGUGCAUGAAGCAAGUACCAAUUCACCACAGCAGCAUGGAGAGGUCAAAGCAGUCAUGACCUUGCUAAAAGGAAAGGAAGACGACAACAAAGUGGAGAUACCGGUGACAAAACAAAAUCAAAUUGUAUAUGUGAAUGUUGAGGACUCAUCACCGGAGGAGAAAGAAGAAACCAACCUACGAGAAAGGAAAAUCCACAGGUGACAUUCUUGAAAUUUUCAAACAGGUAAGCGUUAACAUCCCUUUACUUGAUGCUAUAAAGCAAGUUCCAUCUUAUGCCAAGUUUCUUAAAGACCUUUGUACUAAAAAGAUAAAUAUUCAUGUUCAAAAGAAUGCAUUUUUAACAGAAAAAGUUAGUUCUAUACUCCAACACAAAAUUCCUCUAAAAUGCAAAGACUCAGGCUCCCCCACUAUCUCAUGUAGUAUAGGGAACCAAACAAUUGAGAAUGCUUUGUUAGAUUUAGGAGCUAGUGUAAAUCUGUUGCCUUAUUCAGUUUUCGUGAAACUUGGACUGAGAGAAUUACACCCAACUCCAAUGGUGUUACAGCUUGCAGAUCGGUCCACGAAAAUACCUCGUGGUAUUGUAGAGGACGUGCUUAUCUAGGUAGACAAGCUUUAGUUUCCUGUUGAUUUCAUUGUAAUUGACACUCAACCAAUAUGCAGUUGUCCUUCGACAACAUGAUUAUGGAGUUAAACAUCUUCAACAUUGCCAAAUAACCUCACAAUGUAGAUGAUAGAAUUAUCGAUGUGGAUUUAAUUGAAACAUUAGUUGAUAAUACUUUUCUUUUAAACCUUAGUGAUGACCCUUUACAAACAUGCUUAACUCACUUUGGUUUGGAUUUUGAUAUUGACAGGUCGGUCGAUGAGGUCAACGCCUUACUUGACUCAGCACUAUCCAUGGACACUAAUAAAUGGAAGUCAAGAGUUGAACAACUAGCACCAUCAGAGAAGAAACUCACCCCAUCAUCAGAAUAUAAAAGGUAUAAACCCAAUAGACUGCAUGCAUUACAUUCAUCUUGAUGAAAAUGCUAAACCUACCAGGGAAAUGCAACGUCGGUUAAAUCCUAACAUGAAAGAAUUUGUUAGAACCGAAAUCCUUAAACUAUUAGACGCAUGUAUCAUUUACCCAAUUUCUGAUAGUUCAUGGGUCAGUCCUGUACAAGUUAUCCCCAAAAAUUCAGGACUCACAGUAGUUACCAAGGCUGAUAAUGAAUUGAUACCCACUAGAGUGACUACAGGAUGACGUGUGUGCAUUGAUUAUAGAAAGUUGAAUUCUGUCACGCGUAAAGAUCAUUUUCCUUUACCAUUUAUUGAUCAAAUACUUGAUAGAUUAGCAGGCCAUGAAUUUUAUUGCUUUCUAGAUGGCUACUCAGGAUAUAAUCAGAUUCCUAUAGCACCAAAAGAUCAAGAGAAGAUCACUUUCACUUGCCCUUUUGGCACUUUUGCAUAUAGGAGAAUGCCAUUUGGAUUAUAUAAUGCACCUGCUAUAUUUCAACGAUGCAUGUUGAGCAUUUUUCUGAUAUGGUUGAACGAUUCCUUGAAGUCUUUAUAGAUGACUUUUCUGUUUUUGGUGAUUCAUUUUAUCAAUGUUUACAUCAUCUAACAUUAGUUCUGCAAAGAUGUAUCGAGAAGAACUUAGUCUUAAAUUGGGAGAAGUGCCAUUUUAUAGUAAAACAAGGUAUUGUUCUCGGUCACGUCAUUUCGAGCAAAGGUAUUGAGGUUGACAAAGCCAAAGUGGGUCUCAUUUCUAAUCUUCCUCCACCUAAAACAGUCAGAGAAGUGAGAUCUUUCCUUGGGCAUGCUGGUUUCUAUAGACGUUUCAUUAAAGAUUUUAGUAAAGUUUCUAGACCCUUAUGCAAUUUACUUGCAUAGGAUGUACCUUUUGUCUUUGAUGAUUCAUGUCUUGUGGCAUUUGAAAAGUUAAAGCAGUUGUUGACAUCAUCACCCAUCAUUCACCCCCUAAACUGGAGCUUACCAUUUGAGCUCAUGUGUGAUGCAUCUGAUUAUGCAGUAGGAGCAGUAUUAGGAUAAAGAGUUGAUCGAAUUCCCCAUGUUAUUUACUAUGCUAGUAUGACAUUGAAUGAUGCACAAUUGAACUAUUCAACUACUGAAAAAGAAAUGCUAGCGGUAGUGUUUGCAUUAGAGAAAUUCUGAUCUUAUCUCAUUCGUUGUAAAAUAAUUAUAUUCACAGAUCAUGCUACUCUUAAAUAUUUUCUCACAAAGAAAGAUGCAAAAGCUAAACUAGUUCGUUGGGUGUUACUUCUGUAGGAAUUCGACUUGGAAUUUAAAAAUAAGAAAGGCACAGAAAAUGUUGUGGCAAACCAUCUCUCUCGUCUCCAUUUUGACACAAUUACUGAACCUUUAACAUUGAAUGAGUCAUUUCCAGAUGAACAAUUGAUGAGUGUGGAAGUAUUGCCAUGGUAUGCUGACAUCGUGAAUUAUCUUAUUACAGGUCAACUUCCAGAGCAUUGGACCAAGCAAGACAAGGCCAAAUUUUUUGCAGAAAUAAAGAAUUUCUUUUGGGAUGACUCGUAUUUGUUCAAAUAUUGUGCAGAUCAAAUUGUUAGAUGAUGUGUCCCAGAAGUGAAAUUCAAAUAAUCGUUUCAUUCUGCCAUGAACAAGCUUGUGGAGGCCAUUUCAGUGCUAAGAAAACAACAACUAAAGUUUUACAAUGUGGUUUCUAUUGGCCAGCUAUAUUUUGAGACGCUUACACUUUCUGUUCUUCAUGUGAUAGGUGUCAACGAAUGGGGAGCAUUACACGAAGGAAUAUGAUACCACUAAAUCCAAUUUUAGUGGUUGGGAUUUUUGACGUAUGGGAUAUCGACUUCAUGGGACCCUUUCCUCAUUCUUUUAGCCAUCAAUAUAUAUUGGUUGUUGUUGACUACGUAUCGAAAUGGGUAGAAGCAAUUCCAUGUAGAACUAAUGAUCACAAGGUGGUGAUAGGAUUUUUGAAAAGCAACAUUGUUUCACGCUUUGGAUUCCCUUGAGCGAUAAUCAAUGAUAGUGGUGCCCACUUUUGUAACAAAGCAUUCAAAACUCUUUUGACAAAGCAUUCAAUCACUCAUAAAGUGGCGACCCCAUAUCAUCCGCAAACCAGUGGCCAAGUUGAGAUCUCCAAUCGAGAAAUAAAGCACAUAUUAGAAAAGACGGUGAGGCCAGACAGAAAAGAUUGGUCAUUAAGACUUGAUGAUGUAUUAUGGGCAUAUAGAACGGCUUUCAAGACCUCGAUUGGGAUGUCACCCUACAGGCUAGUGUAUGGAAAAGCUUGCCACCUACCCGUGGUACUCGAGCAUCAUGCAUAUUGGGCCAUCAAGAAAUUCAACUUUGACAUGCAGCAAGCUAGCUCAGAAAGAAGAUUACAACUGACAGAACUUGAAGAAAUUCGCAAUGAUGAAUACGAAAAUGCCAAGAUUUACAAGCAGCGAAUGAAAGUCUUUCAUGACAAGCAACUUAUGAGAAAAUCUUUCACUCCAGGUCAGAAAGUGCUUUUAUUCAAUUCUCGUUUGCACCUAUUCCCAGGUAAGUUACGCUCUCGAUGGUCUGGCCCAUUUAUUGUUCAUAUUGUUUUUCCACAUGGGGCAAUUGAAAUUAAGGACCUAAAGAAUGGUGUCACGUUUAAAGUUAAUAGUCAAAUAUUAAAGCCAUAUCUAGAAUACCAACCACAUGGAGAGGACACUGAAAUAAAUUUGAGUGACCCACCAGAUUUGAAUUAAGUUUGUUUUCUUUCCUUUCGGUGAUUUGAUUUUUUUUCUUCUUUCUUUCUUUUUAUUAUUCUUUUGCUAAUUAUUUUUGCAUCAGUGUGUUUGUUUAACCAUUAAGUUUUCUCUUAUUAUUGUUAAUCAUGAGUGUCAUAGCUAAACAGUUCCUCCUGAACAUUCUUAAACCACUUUAACGUGUAAAAUCUCAUCUCAAAAGAUAGAUUCGAUUUUGUAAGACACUUCGUAUUUGGGCUCUGCAACCACCAAAGUGAGUAUCCUAUGUUGAGGAUUUAGAAAGCCAACUCAGAGACAUUGAGAGAGGUGUCUACAACAUCUAGUUGGAGCUUGAGGUAAAUUCAAUAAGAGGACGAUUUUAAUUUUCUUUGUGUGUUUUAAUUUAUUUUUCUAUUUGUGUGCUUUAGUUUGUUACCCCGGUGAAGUGGCGGAUAACGGUACUCCGUGACAAUCAAGUCGGUUACUUCAGUUUCCCAUAAUAACUGAUAUUCUGAGGCGAAGGUAUGGACAUAAAUCAGAUCUUAGUAAAGCUUCACAAUCGAUUCCCUUCACUUCCUCAUAAUGCCCUCCUUACAAUCUAUAAAGCCCGGUCCGAACGCAUGUGAUUGCUCAUGAGGAAUAAUAUACCUGUUGACAUCCGUUGGUUAAUCGAGGCAAAAGUACGAUUGGCAGGUGAGUUACCUCCAAAAUUUAUUGCAUACAUGCCUGGUUAUGGUAAAGGAAAUUAUGCAAGAAAACGAAGAGCUCGAAAAAUUUAUGUUGCUUGUCAUAAGUGUGCCUGAAUGAGUUGCGAUAAAAAACCAUGUUCUUUAGGAAUGGUGUCUGAUAACAGGGAAGAUAAGAUUCAAUUCAUUAGGGAUGGCUUGAGUAAGGAGUCAUUGGAUAAUAUCCUUUUGUCUCUUGAAACGCAUCCCAAUGGAUAUGUGCAAGGAGCGAUUCUCCAGUUAUGGCCAUUAUUUCAGAAAGAGCAUGCACGAUAUAGUCUUGGGAAUCUGACUAUAAACGAUCCUGUUUGCCAGUUUAUAAGAAAAUUGGAUAGGAAGCCUAUCCUCGACCCAUAGAGGGCGUUCAAGCUGUUUCUGGACGUAAAACCAGAGGAAGAUGUGAGCCACAGUCGCAACUACCUGUAAAUAUCCUUUUACUUCACUGUUAUUUUAUUUCACUGUUGUUUUAUCAUUUGCAUUAUUGUCUUGAAUAAUUUUAUUUUAUCAUUGUUUCUUUUUCUUUUUACUGUUUCCUUUUUGACUCGCGAGCCAUGUGCUUUACACAUUAUUUGACACUGACAUGCUACCUCAUACACAGCUGUGACCCACUGUUACCAAGAUUCUUAAAUAUGAUUUUUUUGUCAAUCACUCACAAAUUAUUUUUGAGAAGUAUCCCAAUAGCAGCUACUCCCAAUAGACAAUUCAAGAACAUUUGUGUGUUUUCUGGAUUUAACUAUGGCAAACAUAAAGAGUUCGUUGAAGCAGCCAUAGAUCUUGGUCGAAGCAUAACAGAGAGAAAAUUACAUAUGGUGUAUGGAGGAGGUAACCGAGGGUUAUCAAAAUUAGUCUUAGAAGCUGUUUUUGUCAGAGGAAGUCAAGUGUUAGGCAUCAUCCCAAGAGCGCUAAAACCUUUGGGCAGUUUGUCUGACUCACCAACUGGAGAAGAGUUAGUCGUCUCAGAUAUGCAAGAAAAAAUAACUUAAAUGCUUAAUCAUGCUGAUGCUUUUAUUUUCCUUCCAGGAGAUCUUGCAACACUAGAGGCACUUAUCACACUAGCAUCUUGGGCCCAUCUGCACAUUCACCAGAAACCCAUCGGUUUGUUAAAUGUCAAUAACUUUUAUGAUGACUUUAUCGUAUUUCUUAACCAUGCAAUAAAAAAUUAUUUCAUUCCUUCCAAUGCGAAAAAACUUUUUAUUUGUGCUCACAUUGCUAAUGAGAUACUUGAUCUAUUACAAGCUUAUAAACCGGAGCCAGACCCCUGGACCUUUGUGUUAGAGCGUCUAAAUAAUGAUGGUAACAGUAGCUGCAGUAAGAAGUACAAAUUAGAUUUAACUCUCCACCUAUAAAUAUUUUUUUCUGUGUUGCACCACCCAGGUGAUGUCUUCUAAACUCUACUUCUUUCCUUUAAAAUAUUGAGGACAAUGUUUCGUUCUGGUUGGGGGGAGGGAAAAGUCGACAAUUGUGCAAUCUUGGUUGAGUUUUUACUAAUUUUUUGUUGUAGAAACUAAUUGUUGCUAACUUUUUAUGUUGAAGAUGGCUGAAUAUGGAGUGUAGUGACUCUGGAAACGCAUCCUCAUCGUUUGGAAAAAAAACAAAAAAAAAUUAAAAAACAAAAAAAAAGUUCAAACAUUUUCUUUUUCUUCAUUAAGUUUUGAUGUUCAUUUUUCUUCUUCUUUUUAAAUUAUCCUUUAUAAAUAUACAUUUACAAAUUUUUGAGUCGAAGAUGGCUAAUUGUGGAGUGUAGUGCCUCUAGAAACGCAUCAUCUAAGUUAAAAAAAAAAGAAAACCAUUUUCGUUUUCUAUCAUUUUAAGUGUAACUUUUCUAAUUAGUUUUUCUGCAUCAUUUUCACAUUUCUGCAUGCAUAUUUUCCUUUCAUGUUUAGAAUAGGUUGGGGGGUAGAAUGUUGUUUGAAAAAAAAAUUGUGUGAUUUGUUUUAACAUUGGAUGAUAUGAUGAAUUUUGAAUUUUAGUAUUUGUAUUAUCUCUGGUCUUAAGUGAUGUUACGCUAUGUUUGCUACUCUACAUGUUGAUGUCGGGAAAAAUAUGAGUUGCUUGAAGGAAUGAACAUGUCAUAAUAAGUACCAAGUAAGUUUUUGAGCCUAUCAUUUUUCUUGGAGAGUAACUAUUUUGCCCAUUCUUUAUACAGCUUAGCAAUUUAUUAUUUUAUACACGGUCUCUAGAUAUCUUUUGAGUUAACCCUUAAAAAAAAUUGUAAAAUUAAAAAAAAAAGAAGAAAAAAAAGAAGAAAAAAAUGUGUGUUGCUACAUUUGGAGGCCCAUCUAACUAGUAGAUAUGGAAGAUUAUUUAGAGCCCUAAAAGACAAUGGAAAUGCCAUCUUUGAUCCGUUUGAGCCUUUCUAGCCAUCCAUUUUGUGAAAUAUUAAUAGUUAACCCUUUUGAGCCUUUAAAAAAAAAGAAGAACAUUUUCUUUGUCAACUUAUCAUCAUGACCCACUUCGAUUUGGAGUAUUACCCGAUAUCUUAUAAGUUCCAUCACCUAUUUAUGUUUGAGAAAAAUGUAAAUAAUUAUUUUGUUAAGUGACGUUGUGCCAAAAAAAAAACAAAAAAAAAACAAAAAUUGUUGUUUCAAAAAGAAAAAAAAACAAUAAUAGGUGAAAUCUAUCUUCCAACUUUCAAAAAAAAAAAACUCUGCAUUUUUCUCAAACAUACACUUUGUUUUCCUUAUUUCCCUUCUUUGUUAGCCAUGUCUCUAACCUACAUUACGUCCUAAUAAAAGUCUUUCUUGAUUUUAGGGAACUAUAGUUUGAAGUAGAAGCUAGUUAUAUGGGCUAAAAAGAUGUAGUGGUGCAUAAAAAAAAUAAUAUAAAUAAAUAAAUAAAUAUCUUUGCCAUGACUGUUUGCAUAAUGGGGGAUCGACUUAAUUGGAGCGUUACCCAAAGGGCGAGGAGCAACUUCUAAUACUAUUGUGGCUAUAGAUUAUUUCACGAAAUGGGAGAAAGUUGAUGCUCUUAGUAAGAUCACGAAAAAGAAGACAACUGAUUUUAUUUGAAAGAACCUCAUAUGCAAGUAUGGAAUUCCUUAUGCCUUGAUAAUAGACAAUGUUAGGCAAUUCGAUAAUCACAACUUUAAAGAGUUUUGUCAUAACUUGGGUAUAUAACUGAAAUUUUGCUUGCCAACUCACUUGAAAGCCAACGGGCAGGUAGAGGCAAUGAACAUGACAAAAAAAAAAAGCUUUUGAAAGCUCAAUUAGGGAAAAAGAAUGGGACAUGGGUUGAUAAACUGUCACGUGUGCUCUAAGCAUAUAGAACCACUCAUAAGACUACCACAAGAGAAAAACAUUCGCCCUGGCUUUUGGUCAUGAAGUGAUGGUCCCUUCAGUGGGGUGACUACCCACCGAACGAAGUAUUUUAACGAGGAGGAAAAUGACAAGCAAAUUUGCUUAAACUUGGACUUACUAACUGAAAGAAAUGAGCUCGUGUCGAGAAAGGUAGUAGUUUACCAACAGAGAGUUGCUCACUAAUACAACUAGAAGGGUGAAUCAGAAUACCAGAGACUAAAGCCAGAGAGUAUUCAGUUUUAACUAGGAGGACGAGAAGCAGGGCCAAAGGCCUACAAGUUAGCUUAUACAAAUGCUCGCAAGGUCAAACGAUCAUGGAAUGCCGAGCACUUAAAGAAGUACUUCUAGUAAGCGUUCUCCGUAGUCAGCUAGUUAUUUUUUUUAUAAUUAUUUAAUGUUUAUGUUCAAUUUGUUUCUUAUACCACUUGAAGCCAAUUUAUUUCUUGUAAUUCCUGAAGUAUUGAAUAAUAUGAGCCAGAUAAAGUUCACUCAUUUAACUUUUUCUAUUUCUAAGGCAAGUAAAAGCUUGAAGUCUCAAAUCCUCCUCGAGGCGAGACAAAAGUCAAACUUGCCAAAACCUGCUCACUAAUGACAAGACGAGAGGUAGUUAAUUAUGUAAAUAUUUUCUAAGGCAAAAGAUAAAGCUUGAAGUCUCAAAGCCUCAUCAAGGCGAGACAAAAAGUCAAAUUUGCCAGAACUUGCUCAAUCAAGUGACGGCGAGCAGGCAGUAAAUUAUAUAAAUAUUCUCUAAGGCAAAUAUAAAAAUAUUUUAAGGUAAGUAAGGGCUUCAAGUCUCAAAAGAGGCGAGACCAAAGUCAAACUUGCCAGAAUCUGCUCGUUAAUGAUAAGAUGAGUAGGCGGUUAAUUAUGUAAAUAUUUUCUAAGUGAAGGCUUGAAGUCUCGGAGUCUUUUCGAGGUGAGACAAAAAGUCAAAAUUUUCAGAACCUACUUGAUCGAGCGAAGACAAGUAGGCCAUCAUGCAUUAAUAUAUUCUAAGGUAAGAAUAAUAUUUUUAAAUCAUAAAGCCUCCUCGAGGUAAGAUAAGUUUGAUAGGAUCUGCUCGUUAAUAAUAAGAUGAGUAGACAAUUACUAACGAAAACAUUCUAAGACAAGUGUAAAUUACGUAAGGCUCAAAGCCUCUUAGAGGCGAAAGCCAAUGUCUUCCAACAUAUGUUUAUUAGUGCUAAUCCGAGCAAAUAAUUAUUUGUGGGUAUUUAUAAAGACUAGGAAAUAUUCAUAACAUUGAAGAAAAAGAAGACAGUGUUUACAAAAAGUUAUUGAUUAAAAGAUAAACAUCUUAUUACAUUCAAGAUGGAGGGUCUAAGGGAGGAUCUGCUCUCAAUGAGUUGUCAUUAGUUGGAGGAGAAAUGGGAGUCUUGCCAGUUGCACCAAGAGGAGUGGUGGCCUUACUAGCAGUAAUAGAAGGAAUGGCCUUACCGGUUACAGCAAGGUCUCUUUUUUCCACAUCCCCUUUAGCUACCUACUCAUUUAUACAUUUAGUCACACCAACAGCCAACUCGUCCAUCUUCAGGUUGGGGUAUUGCCUCUCAAGGACGACCAUAAUACACCGAUAAGAGUGUCAGAGCCCCUCCUUAUAAUUAUUGUCGACCUCCUUUCCCAGGGCUUCAAUCAAAUUCAGGUGGGCUCCUCGAAGAAACUCUAACUAAGAUUUAUAAAAGUCCUUAUGGGUCGCAAGCUCUUCCUUAAUACUAGCCAGUUCCUUCUUGAGUUCAACCGCCUUGGCUUCAGAGAGAGACAUUUGCUCUACGAGCUUUAAGUUCUCGAGAUUAAGCUCUCUUAAUCUUUUUUUGGCCGACUCUUUUUUUAGCAGCUUGAAUGCCAUCCUUAAUUUUUUUGUCAUAAUGGCCAACUUUUACUUUGUAAUAAGUGGCCAGGGAGCCUAGUUAGAAUACACCAAACUAAAGAGCUUCUACCAACUCCCCAAGUGUACGAUCGUCGAAAUCCUCAAGGUCUUUCUUCUUUAUGAGCCUGCAAAACUUAUUGAUAUAGGGGACCAGAUACUCUGGUCGCUCAUUGGGAGACUGAGAUUUCUAGCCAACUGAAGGAGAAGAGGUGGCAGGGCCUUUAUUGCUUGUAGCUCCAUUUAUUUCAGCUGCCUUAGACAGAGGAGGUGAGAGAGCCUUCGAAGGGGAAUCUUUUUUUGUACUAUUGGGGCAUUUCUCUUAGGGAGUAUAUUUACUUGAACAUCCUUUCGCACUACCAGAAUAAGGGCGCUUUCUAUUCAAGGCUUGGAUUACAAUGUCUUCCAUAUCGUGGGCAUCUGACACUAGAUGUGAGUCGACCAAGCUAUGAGUGCAAAACAGAUCUCUAUAUAAGCAAGAAUUUGUUAAGGUGAUCUCAACCCUCUUCAACAAUUUUCUCUUAAUGUUAUAUAUCACGCUCAAAGAACUUGCAACACAAGCCAAGAUCGCGUUAAAAUGAUACAAUUCAACUAAGCGAGUUAAAAAAAAAGUCUUAAACUAGUAAGCAACCUGGAGUUGAGAAACGAGAAGGAAUAUGGACAUUCCCACCAUCCACAGAUGCCACAUGACCCCAGUUACACCUAGCAAAAAAGAACUUACUCUUCUAAUAUCCACCUCUAGUUGAGAGGUCGGUUAUAGGUUUUCUAGCCUUAGUACUUAACAUAAAGUAAUACCAGUCUGCACCUUUUGGGCUGCUCUUUAGCUGGUACAUGUGUUUUAUUUCAUUAAAAGUGGGUUCACUUUGCCCAUAUUUGUUCCACAAGACCAACAGAUAGAGAGCACCCUCCACCCAUUUACGCUUAAUUGACUAGGGGCUAAGUGUAGCCUUCCAAGCACUCGAACAAAAUAAGGCUAUAAGGGGAGUCUCAUCCAUAGUUUAAAACAUUCUAGGAACAAGGUGUCAUAUCCCUUAAGAGGCGGCUUGGUGUAUCCUUUUUACAUCAUCAAGAAUGUUGUAAAAUUUUCUAAGCCUAUUUAAUUCAUCUAUAAUUGUACUGCUUGCCAUUAAGUCAAUAAGGUAAUUUUUUACUAGAGCUCUACUACUUAACUUUCUUUUCUUCUCUGGUCUAACCUCAUCUGGUGAAGACUCUUUACCUUUAUCCUCAUCAGAGUCUCCCUCCUAAUAUCCACUUAAGGUCUGCUCUGUAUUAGAGGAGUCAUCGCUACUGUUUUCCGCAAAUGAGGUCCAAGCCUCAAAAGACAUCCUUCUAGCACUAUCUCUAGCAUUAGUAUCACCUAUCAAAUUUCAAGGGAUUCUCGGGUCGAAAAUGGGUUUCUUGAGUAAACUAGGCAAACACUCCAGUUCAUCAUCAUCAACCUCAAUUACUUAUUCUUUCCUCUUAAACAUCUUUUAAACAAACUUAGAACUAGAGCUGAAUAUCUUCAAACUCAAGAAAAAAUAAUACCUAAUGUUGAAGUACGAGAAACAAUACCUUAAGCGAGGAAAAGCCAGAAGCAAAGCAAUUUGUACGACUUGAUCUCCGAUGAAAAGAAUUGACUAUGUAACUGUUGGUUAAUUGUUAAUCAAAUGCUAUUGAUGCCAAUGUGCAAGUGUACACAACAAUUAAUAAAGUGAUGAGUAUUCAGAUCGUCUCCACAGGGAUUGAUGUUACCAGAAAUGCUACAGCAAUCACAAUAGUGCAAUCUACCUUUAUUUUGAAUGAACAAAUGUGAAGUUGUUUACUACUGAAAUUUAGAAUUGUGAGAAAAUAAAACGAAAUAAUGCAGUGAUGAAAUAAAGUAAAUAAAUUGCGUAGAAGGAUCAAAUGAGAAUAAGGUAGUUGAAUGAUCAAACGCUCUUUAUGGGUUGACUGUUUUUCAUCAAAUUAACAACAGUUGCUACAACACUGUCUAUAGCACUGGGCAGAAUUAUUUUGCAUCCUCAGCUGUCGCGUGUUGGAAUUCUCAUACCCUUAAGUAUCUUAGCAAUGACCAGUUGCUAUUCUACCUUCGGCAUGGCAUUACAAACAUCUAUUCUCUCCACCCUACAAGGUGAGUACUUAUGUCUAGUUUGUCACAAAUCUUAACUUCAAGUAUAGCUCUUAUGAGAUUCAAGAUAAACUUAAUCUAGGAAACUCGAAUUAAGAUCAAGUAUUACUCUAAUAAUAUCCACUAAGACAUGCCCUUUUGCGGCUCUAUCUUAACUUGAACCAUUAAAUGAGUGGUCAAUUGAAAUAACAGUUAUAAUAAUAGCUACUAAAGUAAAAUGCUAUAGCAAUUAUAUAGCAACUCAUAAGAACAGUAAAAAAACCCAUUAGAUUGUUUGUCACUCAACUACAAGCAAGUUUAGUUCAUAUUUUGAAAGAGAAAAACAAACAGAAACAUAUUAGUCCCGAAAUACAUUGGUUCAAUCAAAUAGUGAAGAAAAGAAUAAGUGGAGAACGACAAAAAGUGAAUCUAAAUAACUCUGCUCGAUUCUUCAAUGAUGCAGCAUCGGUUCCUUUAAAUUCUGAUCUUCUUCUUCUUUUUCUCUUGAUUUUCUCAAUGUUAAUUCCUUGUCGCCGUUUUAUGUGACGCGCGCCCCUUUUUGUAACGAUUCUUCCACCUUCAUAUCACAAUCUCAAUCAUGCAAAAUGGCCAUAGUAGAUCAGUUUUAGACUUAAGCUUCCUUCUGUCCAAAGUGUGUGUGUGCUACUUUGAUUGAAUUCUAGAGAUGCUACAACAUUACCAAGAGAUUUCAUGUAAUUCAGAGGUAGCACAAUUUUAUUCAGAUAUGGGGUAGCAGAAAUCUCACAUACUCAAACUGUGCUAUAUUUAAGAACAAAAACUUAAGAGUACUCAACUCUCUUCACUGCAACAUUUAUUUUUCAUAUGAAUGUUAAUCAAUUGGAGCAGAAUUUAUUUCAUAGCAGGUACAGUCCAACAAAAUUUUCCCCCAAACUUAAGAUAUUUUCUAUUCUUUUGGCUCUACUACAACAUUCUCAUAAAACUCCACCAAAGUUUAGGUGUCAGGACAUAAUUUCACUCUCCAUCUAUAACUAUCUUUACUUGGCAUUCUUAUAAUCACUACUUAACACUCAAUUUAUCUUCAUUAGGUUUUCAAAUCCAUACACAAAUAUUAGAUGGCAGAGCUUCACACAACACACGCAUAAACACAUAUUCAUAAUACACAGAAACACAACCCCCCCAAACUUUAAAUGGUGCUCUAUCCUCACAAGCACACAAAAAAAAACCACACAACCCAACAAGGACAUGGAGGAUGAAUUAGAAAAUAAACCACACAAAAUAAAAAUAUAAUGAAAGAAAAGUUGUUUAGAACUAAAUAGAAUGACUAGUAGGAAUGGGAUACUCCCCUGUUGUUUGGACACUGCUGCAACAUGGUGUAAUGACUUCAGCACUUUUUGGAUGCACUUCGCAGCUUAUUGUUGUGCAAAUUUUAAUGUACUCGCAAGCGCACGAAUCUAUUGUAGUAUAGACUAAUGGUGACGAGUGUCGAUCCCACAAGGAGGUGGAUUUUAAUUGUGUGUAGAAUUAAUUUUGUAAAUGGGUAGUUGGAUUUAUGGUGGAAAUGAUUUGGAAUAUGCUAAUACUUAAAUUAAAAUAGCGAGAAUAAAUUCUAAAAUUGGAAUUGCAAUGGAGAGAAUAAAUUGAAGAGAAAAUCUAUUAAAUUGACGUACUUGGGUAUCUGGAUCCGUAUCAACAUGCAUUAUGGGCUAAAUAAUCCGUAUUAAUGCCAAUUAAAUCAUGAGGGGGGAAUCCACACCUCAUGAACCACGCUCUAAUCAAUAUGGUGCUAAGGGCUUAUCGUGCCAAAUAAUAAUAACCUUGUACUAGAGGGCCGGUGAAACCAAGGCAGUACUAGACAAGAUUAGUAUUAUUUGUCGACGAGAAGUCAAAACAUCCACAAAAACUAGAGGGGAAGAGAAAAUAAAUUUACCAAAUAAAGCCCAUGACACAUGUUGAGACUUCACCUUCAACCCAAGCUUGAAAGAAAAUUAGCCACUCAUAAUUGAACUAGGGGUAAAAUGAGAAUUUAUUAAAAUACGAAGAAAAUACAAGAUGGAGAAGGAAUUACAGAAAAUGGAUCCCAAAAAUGGAUUGAGAGAUAUCAAAUUAGGGGGGGGAGGCCCCCUUUUUAUAGAUACAUGGAGUAAAUCAUGGCCAUCGGAUUAAAAACAGUUUGGACGCUCAGGAUUUCGCCACGUCAUCAGUCAACAGUACGCAGUUUGACCACGCGGAUGAACAGUAACACGGUUUGACUCGGAUGAACAGUAACGCGGUUUGACUCGGAUGAACAGUAACGCGGUUUGGUUGAAAAUAAUCUUGUGUGAUGCAUGUACCGUACACCGGAUUUUUCGUCCACUGAUAUGCUGCCACGUCACCAUCAACAGUACAUAAGAAUUUUAACCCAACAGGAUCGUGACACCUCAUCAGUCAAUGCCACAUCAUCGGUCAAUGCCACGUCAUCGAUCCAUCUAUGUGAACAGUGUUGUGAACAGUAACGUAGAUAGUACCGUACACGUGAAUAGUACCGCACAUAUGAAUAGUGCCAUUUUUCCUUUUAUGCUCCUCCUAAGGUUUUCGAUCGUCCUGAGUUCAAAAGUGAUGUCCGUUUUGCCGUCUGAUCUCUCCUUUAUUGUGAAAUGACUAUAAUGCCCCUAAAAUACAUAAAAUACUUAAUUAAAAUAAAACACAUGUAAUUAAAUCACAAGAAGGUUAAAUACAUAAAAGUAAAGGUUUUUAGUAAGACUUGAAAUGUAAAAUGACGGUCUUCUCCUUUAUAAAUAUGCAUUUUCUAACACUCAACACACUCCCCAACCAACUUAUUGCUAGUCCCUAGCAAAUAAAGCGAAAACAAAAUUCAAAUUCAAAAUAUUUUUUUUUUAAUAAAAACACUCGUAUUUAUUCCAUCAGAUUAAUGAUAGCAAUCAAAUAAAAGUAUAAGCAUUAUCUCCAGUCUAAAGCAACAUCACACCCACAUCAACCAUCCACAUGAAUCAGCCCAGUAGACUUUGUUAUAGCUACUUUCAAGAAUGACAUGUCAAACCCCAAAAUCUCACUGGAAGUAGUGACACUCUCACAAAGAAAUUAAAACCAAUAAAAAUAGUCACUCCAAUGAAUGGUAAUUAAGAGAGAAAAUAAUAAAGAAGUGAUAUCACAUGCCCUCACCAAGAUGAAAUAAAUAUGCCCUCAGCUUAGAAAUAAUACGAUCUCAAGUCAAAUAAAAAUGCUAGUCAACCCAAUUUAUUUAUCUUUUUUAUUUAUUUAUUUAUUUAUUUUUAUUAUGCACCACUACAUCUUUUUAGCCCAUAUAACUAGCUUCUACUUCAAACUAUAGUUCCCUAAAAUUAAGAAGGACUUUUAUUAGGACGUAACGUAGGCUAGGGAUAUGGCUAACAAAGAAGGGAAAUAAGGAAAACAAAGUGUAUGUUUGAGAAAAAUGCAGAGAUUUUUUUUUUUUUGGAAGUUGCAAGGUGGAUUUCACCUAUUAUUUUUAUUUUUUUAUUUAUUAUUUUUUUAAACAACAAUUUUUGUUUUGUUGUUUUUUUUUUUUGCUUUUAUUUGGCAUAACUUCACUGAACAAAAAUAGGUGAUGGAACUUAUAAGACAUUAGUAAUACUCCAAAUCGGAGUGGGUCAAGAUAAGUUUAACAAAUAAAAGGUUUUUUUUUUAAAAGGCUCAAAAUGGUUAACUAUGGAUAUUUCAUAAAAGGGAUGGCUAGAAAGGCUCAAACGGGACAAAGAUGGCCUUUCCAUCGUCUUUUAGGGCUCUAAAUAAUCAUCCAUAUCUACUAGUUAGAUGGGCCUCCCAAUGUAGCAACACACAUUUUUUUUUCUUUUUUUUUCUUGUUUGUUUUUUUUUUUUAAGGGUUAACUCAACAGAAAUCUAGAGAUCGUGUAUACAAUAAUAAACUGUUAAGCUGUAUAAAGAAUGGGCAAAAGGGUUACUCUCCAAGAAAAAUAAUAGGCUCAAAAACUCACUUGGCACUUAUUUAUGACAUGUUCAUUCCUUCAAGCAACUCAUAUUUGUCUCCGACAUCAACAUGUAGAGUAGCAAAUAUAAUGUAACAUCACUUAAGACCAAAGAUAAUACAAAUACUAAAAUUUGAAAUUAAUCAUGUCAUCCAAUGUUAAAACAAAUCACACAAUUUUUUUUUUAAACAACAUUCUACCCCCCAACCGAUUCUAAACAUGAAAGGAAAAUAUGCAUGCAGAAAUGUGAAAAUGAUGCAUAAAAACUAAUUAGAAAAGUUACAUGUAAAAUGAUAGAAAACGAAAAUGAUUUUUUUUUAAGAAGAUGCGUUUCUAGAGGCACUACACUCCAUAUUCAGCCAUCUUCGACUCAAAAGUUGGAAAAUGGAUAUUUAUAGACGAGAAAUUAAAAAGAAGAAGAAAAAUGAACAUAAAAACUUAAUAAAGAAAAAGAAAAUUUUGUUUUUAUUAUUUAGUUUUUUUAGUUUUUUUUUUUAAUUUUUUUUAAACGAUGAAGAUGCGUUUCUAGAGUCACUACCCUCCAUAUUCAGCCAUCUUCAACACGAAAAGUUAGCAACAGUUAGUUUCUACAACAAAAAAUUAGUAAAAACUUAACCAAAAUUUCACAAUUGUCGACUAUUCCCUCCCCCCAACCAGAACGAAAUAUUGUCCUCAAUGUUUGAAAGGAAAGAAGUAGAGUUUAGAAGACAUCACCUGGGUGGUGCAACACAGAAGAAAAUAUUUAUAAGCGGAGAGUUAAAUCUAAUUUGUACUUCUUACUGCGGCUACUGUUACCAUCAUUAUUUGGGCGCUGCAACACAAAGGUCCAAGGGUCUUACUCCGGUUUAUAAGCUUGUAACAUAUCAAGUAGCUCAUUAGCAGUGUGAGCACAAAUAAAAAGUUUUUUCACAUUAGAAGGAAUGAAAUAGUUUUUUAUUGCAUGGUUAAGAAAUGGGAUAAAACCAUCAUAAAAGUUAUUGACAUUUAACAAACCGAUGGGUUUUUGGUGGAUGUGCAGAUGGGCCCAAGAUGCUAGCGUGAUAAGUGCCUCCAGUGUUGCAAGAUCUCCUGGAAGGAAAAUAAAAGCAUCAGCAUGAUUAAGCAUUUCAGUUAUUCUUUCUUGCAUACCUGAGACGACUAAUUCUUCUCCAGUUGAUGAGUCAGACGAACUGCCCAAUGGUUUUAAGACUCUUGGGAUGAUGCCUAACACUUGACUUUCUCUGAUAAAAGCUGCUUCUGAGACCAUUUUUGAUAACCCUCGAUUACCUCCUCCAUACACCAAUUGUAAUUUUCUCGCUGCUAUGCUUCGACCAAGAUCUAUGGCUGCCUCAACGAACUCUUUAUGUUUGCCAUAUGUAAAUCCAGAAAGCACACAAAUGUUCUUGAAUUGUCUAUUGGGAGUAGCUGCCAUUGUGAUACUUCUCAAAAAUAAUUUGUGAGUGCUUGACAAAAAAGAAAUCACAUUUAAGAAUCUUGGUGACAGUGGAUUACAGUUGUGUAUGAGGUAACAUGUCAGUGUCAAAUAACGCGUAAAGCACGUGUCUCGCUAGUAAAAAAGGAAACAGUAAAAGGGAAAAAGCAAACAGUAAUAAAAUUAUUAAAGACAAUAAUGCACACAAUAAAACAAUAGUGAAAUAAAAUAACAGUAAAGUGAAGGGAUAUUUACAGGUAGUUGCGACUGUGGCUCACAUCUUCCUCUGGUUUUACGUCCAGAAAUGGCUUGAACGCCCUCUAUGGGUCGAGGAUAGGCUUCCUAUCCAGUUUUCUUAUAAACUGGCAAACAGGGUCGUUUAUAGUCAGAUUCCCGAGACUAUAUCGUGCAUGCUCUUUCUGGAAUAAUGGCUAUAACUGGAGAAUCGCUCCUUGCACAUAUCCACUAGGAUGCGUUUCAAGAGACAAAAGGAUAUCAUCCAAUGACUCCUUAUUCAAGCCAUCCCUAAUGAAUUGAAUCUUAUCUUCCCUGCUAUCAGACAUCAUUCCUAAAGAACAUGGGUUUUUAUUGCAACUCAUUCUGGCACACUUAUGACAAGCAACAAAAAUUCUUCGAGCUCGUCGUUUUCUUGCAUAAUUUCCUUUACCACAACUAGGCAUGUAUGCAAUAAAUUUUGGAGGUAACUCACCUGCCGAUCGUACUUUAGCCUCGAUUAACCAACGGAUGUCAGCAGGUAUGUUAUUUCUCAUGAGCAAUCGCAUGCAUUCAGACCGAGCUUUAUAGAUCGUAAGGAGGGCAUUCUGAGGAAGUGAAGGGAAUCGCUUGUGAAGCUUCGCUAGAGUCUCGUUUCUGUCCAUAUCUUCGCUUCAGAAUAUCAGUUAUUAUGGGAAACUGAAGUAACUGACUUGAUUGUCACGAAGUACCGUUAUCCGCCACUUCACCGGGGUAACAAACUAAAGCACACAAACAAAAAAAAAAUUAAAACACACAAACAAAAUUAAAAUCGUCCUCUUAUUGAAUUUACCUCAAGCUCCAACUGGAUAUCGUAAACACUUCUCUCAAUGUCUCGGAGUUGGCAUUCUAAACCCUCAACAUAGGCUACUAACUCUGGUGGUUGUAGAGCCCAAAUGCGAUGUGUUUUACAAAAUUGAAUCUACCUUUUGAGAUGAGUUUUGACACGUUGAAGUGGUUUAAGAAUGUUCAGGAGGAACGGUCUAAGUAAUGUACUCAUGAUUAAAAAUGAUAAAAGAAAACUUAAUAGUUAAACAAACACAUUUAUGCAAAAAUAAUUUCAAUUAGCAGAAGAAUAAUAUAAAGAAAGAAAAAAAAUCAAAUCAACGAAAAGAAAAAAAAAUCAAUUUAGAUCUGGUGGGUCACUCAAAUUUAUUUCGGUGUCUUCUCCAUGUGGUUGGUACUCUAGAUAUGGCUUUAAUCUUUGACCAUUAACUUUAAACGUGACACCAUUCUUUGGGUCCUUAAUUUCAAUUGCCCCAUGUGGAAAAACAGUAUGUAUAAUAAAUGGGCCAGACCAACGAGAGCGUAACUUACCUGGGAAUAGGUGCAAGCGAUAAUUGAAUAAAAGCACUUUCUGACCUGGAGUGAAAGAUUUUCUCAUAAUUUGCUUGUCAUGGAAGACUUUCAUUCGUUGCUUGUAAAUCUUGGCAUUUUCGUAUGCGUCAUUGCGAAUUUCUUCAAGUUCUGCCAGUUGUAAUCUUCUUUCUGAGCUGGCUUGCUGCAUGUCAAAGUUGAAUUUCUUGAUGGCCCAAUACGCACGAUGCUUGAGUUCCACAGGUAGGUGGCAAGCUUUUCCAUACACUAGCCUGUAGGGUGACAUCCCAAUCGGGGUCUUAAAAGCCGUUCUAUAUGCCCAUAAUGCAUCAUCAAGUCUUAAUGACCAAUCUUUUAUGUCUGGCCUCACCGUCUUUUCUAAUAUGUGCUUUAUUUCUCGAUUGGAGAUCUCAACUUGGCCACUGGUUUGCGGAUGAUACGGGGUCGCCACUUUGUGAGUGAUUGAAUACUUUGUCAAAAGAGCUUUGAAUGCUUUGUUAAAAAAGUGGGCACCACCAUCACUGAUUAUUGCUCGAGGGAAUCCAAAGCGUGAAACAAUGUUGCUUUUCAAAAAUCCUGUCACCACCUUGUGAUCAUUGGUUCUACAGGGAAUUGCUUCUACCCAUUUCGAUACGUAGUCAACAGCAACCAAUAUGUAUUGAUGGCCAAAAGAAAGGGGAAAUGGUCCCAUGAAGUCGAUACCUCAUACAUCAAAAAUCUCAACCACUAAAAUUGGAUUUAGUGGCAUCAUGUUCCUUCGUGUAAUGCUCCCCAUUCGUUGACACCUAUCACAUGAAGAACAGAAAGUGUAAGCGUCUCGAAAUAUAGUUGGCCAAUAGAAACCACAUUGUAAAACUUUAGUUGCUGUUUUCUUAGCACUGAAAUGGCCUCCACAAGCUUGUUCAUGGCAGAAUGAAAGAAUAUUCUGAAUUUCAUUUUCUGGGACACAUCGUCUAACAAUUUGGUCUGCACAAUACUUGAACAAAUACGGGUCAUCCCAAAAGAAAUUCUUUAUCUCUGCAAAGAAUUUAGCCUUAUCUUGCUUGGUCCAAUGCUCUGGAAGUUGACCUGUAAUAAGAUAAUUCACGAUGUCAGCAUAUACCACAGUAAUACUUCCACAUUCAUCAAUUGUUCAUCAGGGAAUGACUCAUUUAAUGGUAAUGGCUCUGUAGUUGUGUCAAAAUGGAGACGAGAGAGGUGAUCCGCCACAACAUUUUCUGUGCCUUUUUUAUCUUUGAAUUCCAAGUCAAAUUCCUGCAAAAGUAACACCCAACGAAUUAGUCUAGCUUUUGCAUCUUUCUUUGUGAGAAGAUAUUUAAGAGCAGCAUGAUCUGUGAAUAUAAUUAUUUUACAACCAAUGAGAUAAGAUCGAAAUUUCUCUAAUGCAAACACUACUGCUAGCAUUUCUUUUUCAGUAGUUGAAUAGUUCAACUGUGCAUCAUUCAAUGUCAUACUAGCAUAGUAAAUAACAUGGGGAAUUCGAUCAACUCUUUGUCCUAAUACUGCUCCUACUGCAUAAUCAGAUGCAUCACACAUGAGCUCAAAUGGUAAGCUCCAGUUUGGGGCUUGAAUGAUGGGUGAUGAUGUCAACAACUGCUUUAAUUUUUCAAAAGCCACAAGACAUGAAUCAUUAAAGAUAAAAGGUACAUCCUUAGCAAGUAGAUUGCAUAAGGGUCUAAAAACUUUGCUAAAAUCUUUAAUGAAACGUCUAAGAAACCAGCAUGCCCAAGGAAAGAUCUUACUUCUCUGACUGUUUUGGGUGGAGGAAGAUUAGAAAUGAGAUCCACCUUGGCUUUGUCAACCUCAAUACCUUUGCUCGAAAUGAUGUGACCGAGAACAAUACCUUGUUUUACCAUAAAAUGGCAUUUCUCCCAAUUUAAGACCAAGUUCUUCUCGACACAUCUCUGCAGAACUAGUGUUAGAUGAUGUAAACAUUGAUCAAACGAGUCACCAAUGACAGAAAAAUCAUCCAUAAAGACUUCAAGGAAUCGUUCAACCAUAUCAGAAAAAAUGCUCAACAUGCAUCGUUGAAAUGUAGCAGGUGCAUUGCAUAAUCCAAAUGGCAUUCUCCUAUACGCAAAUGUGCCAAAAGGGCAAGUGAAAGUAGUUUUUUCCUAAUCUUUUGGUGCUAUGGUUAUCUGAUUGUAUCCUGAGUAGCCAUCUAGAAAGCAAUAAAAUUCAUGACCUGCUAAUCUAUCAAGCAUUUGAUCAAUAAAUGGUAAAGGAAAAUGGUCUUUACGUGUGACAGAAUUGAACUUCCUAUAAUCAAUGCAUACACGCCAUCCUGUAGUCACUCUAGUGGGUAUCAAUUCAUUAUCGGCAUUGGUAACUACAGUGACUCCUGACUUUUUGGGGACAACUUGCACAGGACUGACCCAUGAAUUAUCAGAAAUGGGGUAAAUGAUACCUGCAUCUAAUAGCUUAAGGACUUCUGUUCUAACAACUUCUUUCAUAUUAGGAUUUAACCGACGUUGCAUUUCCCUAGUAGAUUUAGCAUUUUCAUCAAGAUGAAUGUAAUGCAUGCAGUCUACUGGAUUUAUACCUUUUAUGUCUGCUAUGGUCCAUCCUAAUGCCCCUUUGUGCUCUUUUAAAACAUCCAACAACUUACCUUUUUGUUCAUCAUUGAGGGAUGAUGAGAUGAUUACCGGCAGAGUACUUUCUUCUCCUAAAAAUGCAUAUUCCAAAGUGUUGGGCAAUGGUUUGAGCUCGAGUUUCGGUGGUGAUUCUGAUGAUGGGAUGAGUUUCUUCUCUGAUGGUGCUAGUUGCUCAACUCUUGACUUCCAUUUAUUAGUAUCCAUAGAUGGUGCUGAGUCAAGCAGGGCGUUGACCUCAUCGACCGAUCUGUCAAUAUCAAAAUCCAAACCAAAGUGAGUUAAACAUGUUUGUAAAGGAUCAUCGACCGAUCUGUCAAUAUCAAGUAGGGUGUUGACCUCAUCGACCGAUCUGUCAAUAUCAAAAUCCAAACCAAAGUGAGUUAAACAUGUUUGUAAAGGAUCAUCACUAAGGUUUGAAACAAAAGUAUCAUCAACUAAUGCUUCAAUUAAAUCCACAUCAACAAUUCCAUCAUCUGCACUGUGAGGUUGUUUGGCAAUGUUGAAGAUGUUCAGCUCCAUAGUCAUGUUGCCGAAGGACAACUGCAUAUUUCCAGUCCUGCAUUGAAUGUGAGCAUCCGCAGUUGCCAAGAAAGGUCGGCCUAGAAUAAUGGGGAUGUGCUUCCUCGAGUCCUGUAUUGGUUGAGUAUCAAUUACAAUGAAAUCAACAGGAAAAUAAAACUUGUCUACCUGGAUAAGCACGUCCUCCACAAUUCCACGAGGUAUUUGUUGAGUGUUAGAAAAUGCAUAUUUAUAAAGGAGAAAACCGUCAUUUUACAUUUCAAGUCUUACUACAACCCUUACUUUUAUGUAUUUAACCUUCUUGUGAUUUAAUUACAUGUGUUUUAUUUUAAUUAAGUAUUUUAUGUAUUUUAGGGGCAUUAUAGUCAUUUCACAAUAAAGGAGAGAUCAGACGGCAAAACGGACAUCACUUUUGAACUCAGGACAGUCGAAAACCUUAGGAGGAGCAUAAAAAGAAAAAUGGCACUAUUCAUAUGUACGGUACUAUUCACGUGUACGGUACUAACUACGUUACUGUUCACAACACUGUUCACAUAGACGGAUCGAUGACGUGGCAUUGACCGAUGAUGUGGCAUUGACUGAUGAGGUGUCACGAUCCUGUUGGGCUAAAAUUCUUAUGUACUGUUGAUGGUGACGUGGCAUCAUAUCAGUGGAUGAAAAAUCUCGCAUACGGUACAUGCAUCACACAGGAUUAUUUUCAACCAAACCGCGUUACUGUUCAUCCGAGUCAAACCGCGUCACUGUUCAUCCGAGUCAAACCGCGUUACUGUUCAUCCGAGUCAAACCGUGUUACUGUUCAUCCGCGUGGUCAAACCGUGGACUGUUGACUGAUGACGUGGCGCAAUCCUGAGCGUCCAAACUGUUUUUAAUCCGAUGGUCAUGAUUUACUCCAUGUAUCUAUAAAAAGGGGGCCUCCCCCCUUAAUUGGAGAUCUCUGAAUCCAUUUUUGGGAUCCAUUUUCUGUAAUUCCUUCUCCAUCUUGUAUUUUCUUCGUAUUUUAAUAAAUUCCCAUUUUGCCCCUAGUUCAACUAUGAGUGGCUAAUUUUCUUUCAAGCUUGGGUUGAAGGUGAAGUCUCAACAUGUGUCAUGGGCUUAAUUUGGUAAAUUUAUUUUCUUUUCCCCUCUAGUUUUUGUGGAUUUUUUGGCUUCUCGUCGACAAAUAAUACUAAUCUUGUCUAGUACUGCCUUGGUUUCACCGGCCCUCUAGUACAAGGUUAUUAUUAUUUGGCACGAUAAGCUCUUAGCACCAUAUUGAUUAGAGCGUGGUUCAUGAGGUGUGGAUUUCCCCCUCAUGAUUUAAUUGGCAUUAAUACAGAUUAUUUAGCCCAUGAUGCAUGUUGAUACGGAUCCAGAUACCCAAGUACGUCAUUUUAAUAGAAUUCUCUUCAAUUUAUUCUCGCAAUUUCUAUUCCAAUUUUAGAAUUUAUUCUUGCCAUUUUAAUUUAAGUCUUAGCAUAUUCCAAAUCAUUUCCACCACAAAUCCAAUCACCCAUUUACAAAAUUAAUUCUACACAAUUAAAAUCCACCUCCUCGUGGGAUCGACACUCGUCACCAUUGAUCUAUACUAUAAUAGAUUCGUGCGCUUGCGAGUACAUUAAAAUUUGCACAACAAGUUUUUGGCGCCGUUGCCGGGGAGGUAAGUAAUUUUAAUUCAUAGAAUUAAUUUUUUGGAAUAAUUUCUUUUAUUUGUUUUCUUGUAUGUUUUUUUAUUAUAAAAAGAAAAAAAAAGAGUGAAUCUACAUUUAAAGGUUAGUAUUCCUUUCCUUUUUCUCUUCUUUAAAAUUCUGUAAUUUAAUUUUCAAUUUAUUUUUCUUUGUAAUUUUUUUUGUUUAUUUUAUUAAUUUAAUUUUUAGUUAAUUUAUUUCACGUAUUUGUUUUUGUGUAUUUUUAUAUAAAGGUUUUAAUAGCGCAAUAAGGUUAGUAUCGUAAUUUCUCCCUCUUCUUUAUUUUUAUUUGUUUUGUUCUCAUCCUUAUUUUUUUUUUAUUAUUUGUUUUGCAUGCAUGGUCGUAGGUCAUUAUUACCUAAUCUUGAACCUAUAGACCUUGAAUUAGAAAAAACACUUCGCACACACAAACAAAUUAAAAAUAAAAUAGAUUUACAAGCACCACAGGAGAGGCCAUUUAAGGACUAUUUUAGUGCCUUAGCUAAUUUGAGCACAUCAUGCAUAAGAUACCCAAAUGUAGCUGCUAGGAGUUUCGAAUUAAAACCUAGUGUGCUAAAUUGUCUCCCCACAUUUUAUGGCCUAGAAAAUGAGGAUCCAUAUAAUCAUCUGAAUGAUUUUCAUGCCAUUUGUCAAACUUUUAAAUAUGAAAAUUUUUCAGACGAUGAUGUUAAACUUAGACUAUUCCCAUUUUCUUUAAAGGAUAGGGCUCGUUCAUGGCUUAAUACAUUGCCUGCUAAUAGCAUUGCAUCAUGGGAACAAAUGGUUACAAAAUUUUUGAAUAAAUAUUUCCCAGUACAUAAAACCAAUGCUAUUCGCAGGGAAAUCUCGGAGUUUACCCAGAGAGAGGACGAGCAUUUUUUCGAAACAUGGGAGCGAUUCAAUGGGCUACUCUUGAAGUGUCCACAUCAUGGGUACGAGAAAUGACACCAAUGCCAAUACUUUUUGGAGGAAUUAUUGCCGAAUGUGCAAGAAUGGCUAAUGGCAACAAGUAGAGGAGAGCUAAUGUCAAAAAGUGCAUCAGAAAUUUGGGAAUUCUUCCAGCGACAAGCAGAUAAUUCCCAACAACGGAGUCGAUCACUCAGGACUACUAGAAGAAUUAAAGGAGUGAAUGAGGUUCAAAUUGGCGAAUCAACUUCAGGAAUCAAAGAAGUCAAGGAGAUGGUUGAAGGUCUUGCUCGACAAAUAGCAUCGUUAUCGACUGCUAAAUCAACAUAACCACAUGACCAUGACUCAUACUCCGAUCAAGCCAAUGCCAUAGGUGUAAUGAGAAAACCAUCGAAUUAUAACCCAUACUCCAACACAUAUAACCCUGGAUGGAGAGACCACCCCAAUUUUUCAUGGUCUCAAGGAUUCCAAGAGAAUGGACCAGCAGCUCCAGCUCCACCAAUUCCAUAAAAUCCUCAAGCCUCUCAGCCCCCAUUUAGACCAUACAAUCAGAACCAGAACUACUCUCAACCUAGACCAUGGGAGGAUUCAUUCCAUAAUCUCAAGAAUCUUACUCACUCUACGAUUGAGCAACAGAACCGCACCAUUGAUGGACUACGAAAUGAAUUGAGAGCAGGCUUCAACUCACAAGCCCAAUCAGUUUCAAGCCUUGAGAAGAUGGUGGGACAACUUGCUUCUUCAGUUCAAACCUUGGCAAUGACCGUUGAGAAAGGUAAAUUUCCAAGUCAACCAGUGCCUAACCCUAAAGGAGUGCAUGAAGCAAGUACCAGUUCACCACAGCAGCAUGGAGAGGUCAAAGCCGUCAUGACCUUGCGAAAAGGAAAAGAAGUCGACAACAAAGUGGAGAUGCUGGUGACAAAAGAAAAUCAAAUUGUACCUGUGAAUGUUGAGGAAUCAUCACCGGAGGAGAAAGAAGAAACCAACCCACGAGAAUACGUUCCGAAAGCUCCAUUUCCUCAGAGGUUAGCGAAAGGCAAGAAGGGAAAAUCCACAGGUGAGAUUCUUGAAAUCUUCAAACAGGUAGGUGUUAACAUCCCUUUGCUUGAUGCUAUUAAACAAGUUCCAUCUUAUGCCAAGUUUCUUAAAGACCUUUGUACUAAAAAGAGAAAUAUGCAUGUUCAAAAGAAGGCAUUUUUAACAGAAAACGUUAGUUCUAUACUCCAACAUAAAAUUCCUUUAAAAUGCAAAGACCCAGGCUCCCCCACUAUCUCAUGUAGUAUAGGGAACCACACAAUUGAGAAUGCUUUGUUGGAUUUAGGAGCUAGUGUAAAUCUGUUGCCUUAUUCAGUAUUCGUGAAACUUGGACUGGGAGAAUUACACCCAACUCCAGUGGUGUUACAACUUGCAGAUCGGUCCACGAAAAUACCUCGUGGUAUUGUGGAGGACGUGCUUAUCCAGGUAGACAAGUUUUAUUUUCCUGUUGAUUUCAUUGUAAUUGACACUCAACCAAUACAGGAUUCAAGGAAGCACAUCCCCAUUAUCCUAGGCCGACCUUUCUUGGCAACUGCGGAUGCUCACAUUCAAUGCAGGACUGGAAAUAUGCAGUUGUCUUUCGGCAAUAUGACUAUGGAGCUAAACAUUUUCAACAUUGCCAAACAACCUCACAAUGCAGAUGAUGAAAUUGUUGAUGUGGAUUUAAUUGAAACAAUAGUUGAUAACACUUUUCUUUCAAACCUUAGUGAUGAUCCUUUACAAACAUGUUUAACUCACUUUGGUUUGGAUUUUGAUAUUGACAGAUCGGUCGAUGACGUCAACGCCCUGCUUGACUCAGUACCAUCCAUGGACACUAAUAAAUGGAAGUCAAGAGUUGAACAACUAGCACCAUCAGAGAAGAAACUCAUCCCAUCAUCAGAAUCACCACCGAAACUCGAGCUCAAACCAUUACCCAACACUCUGGAAUAUGCAUUUUUGGGAGAAGAAAGUACUCUGCCGGUAAUCAUCUCAUCAUCCCUAAAUGACGAACAAAAAGGUAAGUUGUUAGAUGUUUUGAAAGAUCACAAAGGGGCAUUAGGAUGGACCAUAGCAGACAUUAAAGGUAUAAACCCAGUAGACUGCAUGCAUUACAUUCACCUUGAUGAAAAUGCUAAAACUACUAGGGAAAUGCAACGUCGGUUAAAUCCUAACAUGAAAAAAGUUGUUAGAACUGAAGUCCUUAAGCUAUUAGACGCAGGUAUCAUUUACCCCAUUUCUGAUAGUUCAUGGGUCAGUCCUGUGCAAGUUGUCCCCAAAAAGUCAGGAGUCACAGUAGUUGCCAAUGCUGAUAAUGAAUUGAUACCCACUAGAGUAACUACAGGAUGGCGUGUUUGCAUUGAUUAUAGAAAGUUGAAUUCUGUCACACGUAAAGACCAUUUUCCUUUACCAUUUAUCGAUCAAAUGCUUGAUAGAUUAGCAGGUCAUGAAUUUUAUUGCUUUCUAGAUGGCUACUCAGGAUAUAAUCAGAUUCCCAUAGCACCAAAAGAUCAAGAGAAAACUACUUUCACUUGCCCUUUUGGCACAUUUGCAUAUAGGAGAAUGCCAUUUGGAUUAUGUAAUGCACCUGCUACAUUUCAACGAUGCAUGUUAAGCAUUUUUUCUGAUAUGGUUGAACGAUUCCUUGAAUCUUUAUGGAUGAAUUUUCUGUCUUUGGUGAUUCGUUUGAUCAAUGUUUACAUCAUCUAACACUAGUUCUGCAGAGAUGUAUCGAGAAGAACUUGGUCUUAAAUUGGGAGAAAUGUCAUUUUAUGGUAAAACAAGGUAUUGUUCUCGGUCACAUCAUUUCGAGCAAAGGUAUUGAGGUUGACAAAGCCAAGGUGGAUCUCAUUUCUAAUCUUCCUCCACCUAAAACAGUCAGAGAAGUAAGAUCUUUCCUUGGGCAUGCUGGUUUCUAUAGACGUUUCAUUAAAGAUUUUAGCAAAGUUUCUAGACCCUUAUGCAAUUUACUUGCUAAGGAUGUAUCUUUUAUCUUUAAUGAUUCAUGUCUUAUGGCGUUUGAAAAAUUAAAACAGUUGUUGACAUCAUCACCCAUCAUUUAGGCCCUAAACUGGAGCUUACCAUUUGAGCUAAUGUGUGAUGCAUCUGAUUAUGCAGUAGGAGCAGUAUUAGGACAAAGAGUUGAUCGAAUUCCCCAUGUUAUUUAUUAUGCUAGUAUGACAUUAAAUGAUGCACAGUUGAACUAUUCAACUACUGAAAAAGAAAUGCUAGCAGUAGUAUUUGCAUUAGAGAAAUUUCGAUCUUAUCUCAUUGGUUGUAAAAUAAUCGUGUUCACAGAUCAUGCUGCUCUUAAAUAUCUUCUCACAAAGAAAGAUGCAAAAGCCAGACUAAUUCGUUGGGUGUUACUUUUGCAGGAGUUUGACUUGGAAUUCAAAGAUAAGAAAGGGACAGAAAAUGUUGUGGCGGACCACCUCUCUCGUAUCCAUUUUGACACAAUUACAGAAUCAUUACCAUUGAAUGAGUCAUUUCCAGAUGAACAAUUAAUGAAUGUGGAAGUAUUACCUUGGUAUGCUGAUAUAGUUAAUUAUCUUGUUACAGGUAAACUUCCAGAGCAUUGGACCAAGCAAGAUAAGGCUAAAUUCUUUGCAGAGAUAAAGAAUUUCUUUUGGGAUGACCCGUAUUUGUUCAAGUAUUGUGCAGACCAAAUUGUUAGACGAUGUGUCCCAGAAAGUGAAAUUCAGAAUAUCCUUUCAUUCUGCCAUGAACAAGCUUGUGGAGGCCAUUUCAGUGCUAAGAAAACCGCGACUAAAGUUUUACAAUGUGGUUUUUAUUGGCCAACUAUAUUUCGAGAUGCUUACACUUUCUGUUCUUCAUGUGAUAGGUGUCAACGAAUGGGGAGCAUUACGCGAAGGAAUAUGAUGCCACUAAAUCCAAUUUUAGUGGUUGAGAUUUUUGAUGUAUGGGGUAUCGACUUCAUGGGACCCUUUCCCCCGUCUUUCAGUCAUCAAUACAUAUUGGUUGCUGUUGACUAUGUAUCAAAAUGGGUAGAAGCUAUUCCAUGUAGGACCAAUGAUCACAAGGUGGUGAUAGCAUUUUUGAAAAGCAACAUUGUUUCACGCUUUGGAUUCCCUCGAGCGAUAAUCAGUGAUGGUGGUGCCCACUUUUGUAACAAAGCAUUCAAAGCUCUUUUGACAAAGUAUUCAAUCACACACAAAGUGGCAACUCCGUAUCAUCCGCAAACCAGUGGCCAAGUUGAGAUCUCCAAUCAAGAAAUAAAGCACAUAUUAGAAAAGACGGUGAGGCCGGACAGAAAAGAUUGGUCAUUAAGACUUGAUGAUGCCUUAUGGGCAUAUAGAACGGCUUUCAAGACCCCGAUUGGGAUGUCACCCUACAGGCUAGUGUAUGGAAAAGCUUGCCACCUACCUGUGGAACUCGAGCAUCGUGCAUAUUGGGCCAUCAAGAAAUUCAAUUUUGACAUGCAGCAAGCCAGCUUAGAAAGAAGAUUACAGCUGGCAGAACUUGAAGAAAUUCGCAAUGAUGCAUACGAAAAUGCCAAGAUUUACAAGCAACGAAUGAAAGUCUUCCAUGAUAAGCAAAUUAUGAGAAAAUCGUUCACUCCAGGUCAGAAAGUGCUUUUGUUCAAUUCUCGCUUGCACCUAUUCCCAGGUAAGUUACGCUCUCGUUGGUCUGGUCCCUUUAUUGUUCAUACUGUUUUUCCACAUGGGGCAAUUGAAAUUAAGGACCCAAAGAACGGUGUCACGUUUAAAGUUUAUGGUCAAAGAUUAAAGCCAUAUCUAGAAUACCAACCACGUGGAGAAGACACCGAAAUAAAUUUGAGUGACCCACCAGAUUUGAAUUGAUUUUUUUUCUUUUUUUUCGUUGAUUUGAUUUUGUUUUCUUUCUUUAUAUUAUUCUUUUGCUAAUUGAAAUUGUUUUUGCAUAAGUGUGUUUAUUUUAUCAUUAAGUUUUCUCUUAUCAUUUUUAAUCAUGAGUCUCAUACUUAGACCGUUCCUCCUGAACAUUCUUAAACCACUUCAACGUGUCAAAACUCAUCUCAAAAGGCAGAUUCAAUUUUGUAAAACACAACGCAUUUGGGCUCUACAACCACCAGAGUUAGUAGCCUAUGUUGAGGGUUUAGAACGCCAACUCAGAGACAUUGAGAGAAGUGUUUACGACAUCCAGUUGGAGCUUGAGGUAAAUUCAAUAAGAGGAUGAUUUUAAUUUUCUUUGUGUGUUUUAAUUUGUUUUUCUAUUUGUGUGCUUUAGUUUGUUACCCCGGUGAAGUGGCGGAUAACGGUACUCCGUGACAAUCAAGUCUGUUACUUCAGUUUCCCAUAAUAACUGAUAUUCUGAGGCGAAGGUAUGGACAGAAACGAGAUUCUAUCGAAACUUCACAAGCGAUUCCCUUCACUUCCUCAGAAUGCCCUCCUUACAAUCUAUAAAGCUCGGUCCGAACGCAUGCGAUUACUCAUAACGAAUAACAUACCUGCUGACAUCCGUUGGUUAAUCGAGGCUAAAGUACGAUCGGCAGGUGAGUUACCUCCAAAAUUUAUUGCAUACAUGCCUGGUUGUGGUAAAGGAAAUUAUGCAAGAAAACGACGAGCUCGAAGAAUUUCUGUUGCUUGUCAUAAGUGUGCCAGAAUGAGUUGCAAUAAAAACCCAUGUUCUUUAGGAAUGAUGUCUGAUAACAGGGAAGAUAAGAUUCAAUUCAUUAGGGAUGGCUUGAAUAAGGAGUCAUUGGAUGAUAUCCUUUUGUCUCUUGAAACGCAUCCCAGUGGAUAUGUGCAAGGAGCGAUUCUCCAGUUAUGGCCAUUAUUCCAGAAAGAGCAUGCACGAUAUAGUCUCGGGAAUCUGACUAUAAACGACCCUGUUUGCCAGUUUAUAAGAAAACUGGAUAGGAAGCCUAUCCUCGACCCAUAGAGGGCGUUCAAGCCGUUUCUGGACGUAAAACCAGAGGAAGAUGUGAGCCACAGUCGCAACUACCUGUAAAUAUCCUUUUACUUUAUUAUUUCACUAUUGUCUUAUUGUUUGCAUUAUUGUCUUUAAUAAUUUUAUUACUGUUUGCUUUUUCCUUAUUACUGUUUGCUUUUCCCUUUUUACUGUUUUCUUUUUUACUCGCGAGCCACGUGCUUUACGCGUUAUUUGACAUGGACAUGUGACCUCAUACACAACUAUGACCCACUAUCACCAAGACUCUUAAAUGUGAUUUUCUUUGUCAAUCACUCACAAAUUAUUUUUGCGAAGUAUCACAAUGGCAGCUACUCCCAAUAGACAAUUCAAGAACAUUUGUGUGCUUUCUGGAUUUACAUAUGGCAAACAUAAAGAGUUCGUUGAGGCAGCCAUAGAUCUUGGUCGAAGCAUAGCAGCGAGAAAAUUACACUUGGUGUAUGGAGGAGGUAACCGAGGAUUAUCAAAAAUGGUCUCAGAAGCAGCUUUUAUCAGAGGAAGUCAAGUGUUAGGCAUCAUCCUAAGAGUCUUAAAACCAUUGGGCAGUUCGUCUGACUCAUCAACUGGAAAAGAGUUAGUCGUGUCAUGUAUACAAGAAAGAAUAACUGAAAUGCUUAAUCAUGUUGAUGCUUUUAUUUUUCUUCCAGGGGAUCUUGCAACACUAGAGGUACUUAUCACACUAGCAUCUUGGGCCCAUCUGCACAUCCACUAAAAACCCAUCGGUUUGUUAAAUGUCAAUAACUUUUAUGAUGGCUUUAUCGCAUUUCUUAACCAUGCAAUAAAAAACUAUUUCAUUCCCGCUAAUGUGAAAAAACUCUUUAUUUGUGCUCACACUGCUAAUGAGCUACUUGAUCUGUUACAAGCUUAUAAACCGGAGCCAGACCCCUGGACCUUUGUGUUGGAGCAUCCACAUAAUGAUGGUAACAGUAGCCGCAGUAAGAAGUACAAAUUAGAUUUAACUCUCCGCCUGUAAAUAUUUUCUUCUGUGUUGCACCACCCAGGUGAUGUCUUCUAAACUCUACUUCUUUCAUUUCAAACAUUGAGGACAAUGUUUCGUUCUGGUUGGGGGGAGGGAAUAGUCGACAAUUGUGGAAUUUUGGUUAAGUUUUUACUAAUUUUUUGUUGUAGAAACUAACUGUUGCUAACUUUUUGUGUUGAAGAUGGCUGAAUAUGGAGUGUAGUGACUCUAGAAACGCAUCUUCAUCGUUUAUAAAAAAAAAAAUUCAGACAUUUUCUUUUUCUUUAUUAUGUGUUUAUGUUUAUUUUUCUUCUUUUUAAUUUCUCCUCUAUAAAUAUACAUUUUCCAACUUUUGAGUCGAAGAUGGCUGAAUAUGGAGUGUAGUUCCUCUAGAAACGCAUCUUCUUUAAAAAAAAAAAUCAUUUUCGUUUUCUAUCAUUUUACGUGUAACUUUUCUAAUUAGUUUUUAUGCAUCAUUUUCACAUUUCUGCAUGCAUAUUUUCCUUUCAUGUUUAGAAUAGGUUGGGGGGUAGAAUGAUGUUUAAAAAAAAAAUGUGUGAUUUGUUUUAACAUUGGAUGACAUGAUUAAUUUCAAAUUUUAGUAUUUGUAUUAUCUUUGGUCUUAAGUGAUGUUACGCUAUGUUUGCUACUUUACAUGUUGAUGUCGGAGACAAAUGUGAGUUGCUUGAAGGAAUGAACAUGUCAUAAUAAGUACCAAGUGAGUUUUUGAGCCUAUUAUUUUUCUUGGAGAAUAACCCUUUUGCCCACUCUUUAUACAGCUUAGCAGUUUAUUAUUUUAUACACGAUCUCUAAAUUACUUUUGAGUUAACCCUUAAAAAAAAAAAGAAAAAAGAAAAAAAGAGCGUGUUACUACAUUUGGAGGCCCAUCUAACUAGUAGAUAUGGAAGAUUAUUUAGAGCCCUAAAAGACGAUGGAAAGGCCAUCUUUGAUCCGUUUGAGCCUUUCUAGCCAUCCCUUUUAUCAAAUAUCCAUAGUUAACCCUUUUGAGCCUUUAAAAAAAAUAAAAAUAAAAAAAACCUUUUUCUUUGUCAACUUAUCAUCUUGACCCACUCCGAUUUGGAGUAUUACCCAAUGUCUUAUAAGUUCCAUCACCUAUAUAUGUUUGAGAAAAUGUAAAUAAUUUUGUUGUUCAGUAAAGUUAUGCAAAAAAAAAAAACAAACAAACAAACAAAACAAAAGUUGUUGUUUCAAAAGAAAAAAAAUAAAAAUAAUAGGUGAAAUCCACCUUGCAACUUCCAAAAAAAAAAAAAAUUCUCUGCAUUUUUCUCAAACAUACACUUUGUUUUCCUUAUUUUCCUUCUUUGUUAGCCAUGUCCCUAGCCUACGUUACGUCCUAAUAAAAGUCCUUCUUGAUUUUAGGGAACUAUAGUUUGAAGUAGAAGCUAGUUAUAUGGGCUAAAAAGAUGUCGUGAUGCAUAAUAAAAAAAAAGAGAUAAAUAAAUUGGGUUGACUAGCAUUUUUGUUUGACUUGAGAUCGUAUUAUUUCUAAGCUGAGGGCAUAUUUAUUUCAUCUUGGUGAGAGCAUGUGAUAUCACUUCUUUAUUAUUUUCUCUCUCAAUUACCAUUCAUUGGAGUGACUAUUUUUAUUGGUUUUAAUUUCUUUGUGAGAGUGUCACUACUUCCAGUGAGAUUUUGGGGUUUGACAUGUCAUUCUUGAAAGUAGCUAUGACAAAGUCUGCUGGGCUGAUUCAUGUGGAUGGUUGAUGUGGGUGUGAUGUUGCUUUAGACUGGAGAUAAUGCUUAUACUUUUAUUUGAUUGCUAUCAUUAAUCUGACGGAAUAAAUACGAAUGUUUCUAUUAAAUAAUAAUAAUAAUAAUAAUAAUAAUAAUAUUUUGAAUUUGAAUUUUGUUUUCGCUUUAUUUGCUAGGGACUAGCAAUAAGCUGGUUGGGGGGUGUGUUGGGCAAUGGUUUGAGCUCGAGUUUCGGUGGUGAUUCUGAUGAUGGGAUGAGUUUCUUCUCUGAUGGUGCUAGUUGCUCAACUCUUGACUUCCAUUUAUUAGUAUCCAUAGAUGGUGCUGAGUCAAGCAGGGCGUUGACCUCAUCGACCGAUCUGUCAAUAUCAAAAUCCAAACCAAAGUGAGUUAAACAUGUUUGUAAAGGAUCAUCGACCGAUCUAUCAAUAUCAAGCAGGGUGUUGACCUCAUCGACCGAUCUGUCAAUAUCAAAAUCCAAACCAAAGUGAGUUAAACAUGUUUGUAAAGGAUCAUCACUAAGGUUUGAAACAAAAGUAUCAUCAACUAAUGCUUCAAUUAAAUCCACAUCAACAAUUCCAUCAUCUGCACUGUGAGGUUGUUUGGCAAUGUUGAAGAUGUUCAGCUCCAUAGUCAUGUUGCCGAAGGACAACUGCAUAUUUCCAGUCCUGCAUUGAAUGUGAGCAUCCGCAGUUGCCAAGAAAGGUCGGCCUAGAAUAAUGGGGAUGUGCUUCCUCAAGUCCUGUAUUGGUUGAGUGUCAAUUACAAUGAAAUCAACAGGAAAAUAAAACUUGUCUACCUGGAUAAGCACGUCCUCCACAAUGCCACGAGGUAUUUGUUAAGUGUUAGAAAAUGCAUAUUUAUAAAGGAGAAAACCGUCAUUUUACAUUUCAAGUCUUACUAACAACCCUUACUUUUAUGUAUUUAACCUUCUUGUGAUUUAAUUACAUGUGUUUUAUUUUAAUUAAGUAUUUUAUGUAUUUUAGGGGCAUUAUAGUCAUUUCACAAUAAAGGAGAGAUCAGACGGCAAAACGGACAUCACUUUUGAACUCAGGACAGUCGAAAACCUUAGGAGGAGCAUAAAAGGAAAAAUGGCACUAUUCAUAUGUACGGUACUAUUCACGUGUACGGUACUAACUACGUUACUGUUCACAACACUGUUCACAUAGACGGAUCGAUGACGUGGCAUUGACCGAUGAUGUGGCAUUGACUGAUGAGGUGUCACGAUCCUGUUGGGCUAAAAUUCUUAUGUACUGUUGAUGGUGACGUGGCAUCAUAUCAGUGGAUGAAAAAUCUCGCGUACGGUACAUGCAUCACACAGGAUUAUUUUCAACCAAACCGCGUUACUGUUCAUCCGAGUCAAACCGCGUCACUGUUCAUCCGAGUCAAACCGCGUUACUGUUCAUCCGAGUCAAACCGUGUUACUGUUCAUCCGCGUGGUCAAACCGUGGACUGUUGACUGAUGACGUGGCGCAAUCCUGAGCGUCUAAACUGUUUUUAAUCCGAUGGCCAUGAUUUACUCCAUGUAUCUAUAAAAAGGGGGCCUCCCCCCCCUAAUUGGAGAUCUCUGAAUCCAUUUUUGAGAUCCAUUUUCUGUAAUUCCUUCUCCAUCUUGUAUUUUCUUCGUAUUUUAAUAAAUUCCCAUUUUGCCCCUAGUUCAACUAUGAGUGGCUAAUUUUCUUUCAAGCUUAGGUUGAAGGUGAAGUCUCAACAUGUGUCAUGGGCUUAAUUUGGUAAAUUUAUUUUCUUUUCCCCUCUAGUUUUUGUGGAUGUUUUGACUUCUCGUCGACAAAUAAUACUAAUCUUGUCUAGUACCGCCUUGGUUUCACCAGCCCUCUAGUACAAGGUUAUUAUUAUUUGGCACGAUAAGCUCUUAGCACCAUAUUGAUUAGAGCGUGGUUCAUGAGGUGUGGAUUCCCCCCUCAUGAUUUAAUUGGCAUUAAUACGGAUUAUUUAGCCCAUGAUGCAUGUUGAUACGGAUCCAGAUACCCAAGUACGUCAUUUUAAUAGAAUUCUCUUCAAUUUAUUCUCGCAAUUUCUAUUCCAAUUUUAGAAUUUAUUCUUGCCAUUUUAAUUUAAGUCUUAGCAUAUUCCAAAUCAUUUCCACCACAAAUCCAAUCACCCAUUUACAAAAUUAAUUCUACACAAUUAAAAUCCACCUCCUCGUGGGAUCGACACUCGUCACCAUUGAUCUAUACUAUAAUAGAUUUGUGCGCUUGCGAGUACAUUAAAAUUUGCACAACAGUAUUUUCGUGGACCGAUCUGCAAGUUGUAACACUACUGGAGUUGGGUGUAAUUCUCCUAGUCCAAGUUUCACAAAUACAGAGUAAGGCAACAGAUUUACACUAGCUCCUAAAUCCAACAAAGCAUUCUCAAUUGUGUGGUUCCCUAUGCAACAUGAGAUAGUGGGGGAGCCUGGGUCUUUGCAUUUUAAAGGAAUUUUAUGUUGGAGUAUAGAACUAACAUUUUCUGUUAAAAAUGCCUUCUUUUGAACAUGCAUAUUUCUCUUUUUAGUACAAAGGUCUUUAAGAAACUUGGCAUAAGAUGGAACUUGUUUUAUAGCAUCAAGCAAAGGGAUGUUAACACUUACCUGUUUGAAGAUUUCAAGAAUCUCACCUGUGGAUUUUCCCUUAUUUCCUUUCGCUAACCUCUGAGGAAAUGGAGCUUUGGGAACGUAUUCUCAUGAGUUGUUUUCGUCUUUCUCCUCCGGUGAUGAUUCCUCAACAUUCACAAGUACAAUUUGAUUUUCUUUUGUCACCGGCAUCUCCACUUUGUUGUCGACUUCUUUUCCUUUUCGCAAGGUCAUGACUGCUUUGACCUCUCCAUGCUGCUGUGGUGAACUGGUACUUGCUUCAUGUACUCCUUUAGGAUUAGGCACUGGUUGACUUGGAAAUUUUCCUUUAUCAAAAGUCAUUGCCAAGGUCUAAACUGAGGAAGCAAGUUGUCCCACCAUCUUCUCGAGGCUUGAAACUGAUUAGGCUUGUGAAUUGAAGCCUGCUCUUAACUCAUUUCGUAGUCCAUCAAUGGUGCGGUUCUGUUGCUCAAUCGUGGAGUGAGUAACAUUCUUGAAAUUCUGGAAUGCAUCCUCCUAUGGUCUGGGCUGAAAGUAGUUCUGGUUCUGAUUGUAUGAUCUAAAUGGGGGCUGAGAGGCUUGAGGAUUUUGAGGAAUUGGUGGAGCUGGAGCUGGAGCUGCUGGUCCAUUCUGUUGGAAUCCUUGAGACCAUGAAAAAUUGGGGUGGUCUCUCCAUCCAGGGUUAUAUGUGUUGGAGUAUGGGUUGUAAUUCGAUGGUUUUCUCAUUACACCUAUGGCAUUGGUUUGAUCUGAGUAUGAGUCAUGGUCAUGUGGUUCUGUUGAUUUAGCUGUUGAUAACGAUGCUAUUUGUCGAGAGAGACCUUCAAUUAUCGCUUUGACUUCUUUAAUUUCUGAACUUGACUCGCCAAUGUGAACCUCAUUCACUCCUUUAAUUCUUCUAGUAUUCCUGAGUGACCGACUCCGUUGUUGGGAAUUAUCCGCUUGUCGCUGGAAGAAUUCCCAAAUCUCUGAUGCACUUUUUGACAUUAGCUCUCCUCCACUUGUUGCCAUUAGCCAUUCUUGCACAUUUGGCAAUAAUCCCUCCAAAAAGUAUUGGCAUUGGUGCCAUUUCUCGUACCCAUGAUGUGGACACUUCAAGAGUAGCCCAUUGAAUCGCUCCCAUGUUUCGAAAAAUUGCUCGUCCUCUCUCUGGGUAAACUCCGAGAUUUCCCUGCGAAUAGCAUUGGUUUUAUGCACUGGGAAAUAUUUAUUCAAAAAUUUAGUUACCAUUUGUUCCCAUGAUGAAAUGCUAUUGGCAGGCAAUGUAUUAAGCCAUGAACGAGCUCUAUCCUUUAAAGAAAAUGAGAAUAAUCUGAGUUUAACAUCAUCGUCUAAAAAAUUCUCGUAUUUAAAAGUUUGACAAAUAGCUUGAAAAUCAUUCAGAUGAUUAUAUGGGUCCUCAUUUUCUAAGCCAUAGAAUGUAGGGAGACAAUUUAGCACACUAGAUUUUAAUUCAAAGCUCCUAGCAGCUACAUUUGGGUAUCUUAUACAUGAUGUGCUCAAAUUAGCUAAAGGACUGAAGUAGUCCUUAAAUGGUAUCUCCUGUGGUUGCAAAUCCAUUUUAUUUUUUACUUGUUUGUGUGUGCGAAGUGUUUUCUCAAGUUCAAGGUCUAUAGGUUCAAGAUUGGGUAAUAAUGACCUUCGACCAUGCAUGCAAAACAAAUAAAAUAAAAAAUAAAGAUGGGAACAAAAUAAAUAAAAAUAAAGAAGAGGGAGAAAUUACGAUACUAACCUUAUUGCGCUAUUACAAACUUUCUAUAAAAAUACACAAAAAUAAAUACGUGAAAUAAAUUAACUAAAAAGAAUUAGUAAGAUAAACAAAAAUUACAAAGAAAAAAAAAUAACUUGAAAAUUAAAUUACAGAAAUUUAAAGAAGAGAAAAAGAAAAGAAAUUACUAACCUCUAAAUGCGGAUUCACUUUUUUUUUUAAUAAAAAAUACAAGAAAACAAAUAAAAGAAAUUAUUCACAAAAAAUUAAUUUUACGAAUUAAAAUUACUUACCUCCCCGGCAACAGCGCCAAAAACUUGUUGUGCAAAUUUUAAUGUACUCGCAAGCGCACGAAUCUAUUGUAGUAUAGACUAAUGGUGACGAGUGUCGAUCUCACGAGGAGGUGGAUUUUAAUUGUGUGUAGAAUUAAUUUUGUAAAUGGGUAGUUGGAUUUAUGGUGGAAAUGAUUUGGAAUAUGCUAAUACUUAAAUUAAAAUGGCGAGAAUAAAUUCUAAAAUUGGAAUUGCAAUGGAGAGAAUAAAUUGAAGAGAAAAUCUAUUAAAUUGACGUACUUGGGUAUCUGGAUCCGUAUCAACAUGCAUCAUGGGCUAAAUAAUCCGUAUUAAUGCCAAUUAAAUCAUGAGGGGGGAAUCCACACCUCAUGAACCACGCUCUAAUCAAUAUGGUGCUAAGGGCUUAUCGUGUCAAAUAAUAAUAACCUUGUACUAGAGGGCCGGUGAAACCAAGGCGGUACUAGACAAGAUUAGUAUUAUUUAUCGACAAGAAGUCAAAACAUCCACAAAAACUAGAGGGGAAGAGAAAAUAAAUUUACCAAAUAAAGCCCAUGACACAUGUUGAGACUUCACCUUCAACCCAAGCAUGAAAGAAAAUUAGCCACUCAUAAUUGAACUAGGGGUAAAAUAGGAAUUUAUUAAAAUACGAAGAAAAUACAAGAUGGAGAAGGAAUUACAGAAAAUGGAUCCCAAAAAUAGAUUUAGAGAUAUCAAAUUAGGGGGCGAGGCCCCCUUUUUAUAGAUACAUGGAGUAAAUCAUGGCCAUCGGAUUAAAAACAGUUUGGACGCUCAGGAUUUCGCCACGUCAUCAGUCAACAGUACGCGGUUUGACCACGCGGAUGAACAGUAACACGGUUUGACUCGGAUGAACAGUAACGCGGUUUGGUUGAAAAUAAUCCUGUGUGAUGCAUGUACUGUACACGGGAUUUUUCGUCCACUGAUAUGUUGCCACAUCACCAUCAACAGUACAUAAGAAUUUUAACCCAACAGGAUCGUGACACCUCAUCAGUCAAUGCCACAUCAUCGGUCAAUGCCACAUCAUCGAUCCGUCUAUGUGAAUAGUGUUGUGAACAGUAACGUAGAUAGUACCGUACACGUGAAUAGUACCGCGCAUAUGAAUAGUGCUAUUUUUCCUUUUAUGCUCCUCCUAAGGUUUUUGAUCGUCCUGAGUUCAAAAGUGAUGUCCGUUUUGCCGUCUGAUCUCUCCUUUAUUGUGAAAUGACUAUAAUGCCCCUAAAAUACAUAAAAUACUUAAUUAAAAUAAAACACAUAUAAUUAAAUCACAAGAAGGUUAAAUACAUAAAAGUAAAGGUUGUUAGUAAGACUUGAAAUGUAAAAUGACGGUUUUCUCCUUUAUAAAUAUGCAUUUUCUAACACUCAACACUUAUCCUUAAGGGAUUCUUGUGGGGAGGUAGCUGGCAACGUCUUUUUCUUUUUCUACAAUGGGCUAGUGGGAGGAGUUGCCAUUGGGGCAACCUGUUUGGUUGACACAUAUCUGGUUCUUUUUGGUUUUGGUGAGGCUGCGGCAGCAAUGCCUCCAGAAGUGCCUCCCUUUCUUUUGGUAAAUCCUCUAGGACUAACACAAACAUGUUUAUUGAGAGUUUGCUGUGAAGGAGCUGGAGCUGGGGCAUUAGUUGCAUGUCCCUCAGCUGUGAUGGUGGCAAUGAUGUCAAGCAGCUGCUUAGCUUCUGUGGGUGUACGAGUGACUUUGGUUGCUGCAGCUUCCAACUCUACAUCAACUUGCUCAGCUUCAUCUUCAGAGGCAGGAGGGGUAGCUAUUUUUUCCUUGCCCUUUCUAGAAAUGACUGGAAUAAAGGGCUCCUCUUCAGGUUCAUCUUCUUUCUCUUCUUGGAUAAGGUGUUUUUUUCUAGAUUUGGAGGAGGUCCUGACUAGGGUUCCUCACGUUCUUUCUCAGACUCUUCCUCUGCCUCUGUUGGUGAACUAUCAGUUGCAGAAUUGUCACCCUCUUCCUCAUGUUGGUCAGAUUGUUCAGCAGCUUCUGAGUUAGCCUCUGCUUGUGGGUUUACUGCAGCUUCCUCUUCUGGUUCAUCCAUGUCAGUGGCUUCUUUACUGACCUUUGCUGGGGCCUCUAUAGUGUUGGUGUCAAAAUUAUACUGCUGGAGCAAUGAAUCGGGGAAAUUCCGGUGGGUACUUUUCAUGUAUAGAGAAAAUUAGUGUAAGUGGCUUUCCAGGUGCUGUAAGUAGCUCCAAAACCGAUCGUUUUCCCUCUGCUAAGCCUCAGUACAUUGAGUGAUGCUAGUGCUCAGUGCUUGUAUUCUCUGAUAGUUCACCAACAGAGGCAGAGGAAAAGUCUGAGAAAGAACGUGAGAAACCCCAGUCAGGACCUCCUCCAAAUCUAGUUCACCAACAGUUUGUCACCCUCUUCCUCAUGUUGGUCAGAUUGUUCAGCAGCUUCUGAGUUAGCCUCUGCUUGUGGGUUUACUACAGCUUCCUCUUCUGGUUCAUCCAUGUCAGUGGCUUCUUUACUGACCUCUGCUGGGGCCUCUGUAGUGUUGGUGUCAAAAUUGUACUGCUGGAGCAAUGAAUCAGGGAAAUUCCAAUGGGUACUUUUCAUGUAUAGAGAAAAUUAGUGUAAGUGGCUUUCCAGGUGCUGUAAGUAGCUCCAAAACCGAUCGUUUUCCCUCUGCUAAGCCUCAGUACAUUGAGUGAUGCUGGUGCUCAGUGCUUGUAUUCUCUGAUAGUUCACCAACAGAGGCAGAGGAAAAGUCUGAGAAAGAACGUGAGAAACCCCAGUCAGGACCUCCUCUAAAUCUAGUUCACCAACAGACUUGUCACCCUCUUCCUCAUGUUGGUCAGAUUGUUCAACAACUUCUGAGUUAGCCUCUGCUUGUGGGUUUACUACAGCUUCAUCUUCUAGUUCAUCCACGUCAGUGGCUUCUUUACUGACCUCUGCUGGGGCCUCUGAAGUGUUGGUGUCAAAAUUGUACUGCUGGAGCAAUGAAUCAGGGAAAUUCUGGUGGGUACUUUUCAUGUAUAGAGAAAAUUGGUGUAAGUGGCUUUCCAGGUGCUGUAAGUAGCUCCAAAACCGAUCGUUUUCCCUCUGCUGAGCCUCAGCACAUUGAGUGAUGCUGGUGCUCAGUGCUUGUAUUCUCUAUUCUAGCCCAAUAGCUCGUCUCGCUCAUGUUGCAGCAGCUGGUUUAGAUGUGGCUCCAGCAGUUUCACCAGCAAUUCUCUCAAUAGUGCGUGCUGUAAGGGCACCAUCAUUCUUGACAUGUUCAUCUUUUGCAUCAAGACAAACUCCUGAUACUACACAGAUGCUGGUGAAGAGUGAAGGAAAUAGCAAGGCAGCACCUUUGUGGUUCUUCAUGGCACAGUCCCAAAUUUUAUUUUUCGAUAAUGCUUCCCACAUCUAUGGGAAGCCCUCUAAUAAUAACAUACAACAAUACCAACCUUUCUUAUGAGACAUUAGUGGUGUGGGUGGUUGGCAUAAGCCUGGAUUUCAAAUAUUUCACCUACACCUUAGCAAUGGGUUUUAAAUCUAUCUUGUUAAUUACAUGCCCUUCCUCAUUAGCCCACGAUGUACCCUUUACUGUAAGUGUCGUGAAAAUUGUGUUCCAUCUUUGCGGGGUCAAUUUGUCAAGCAACUUGGCAUACUCACAAUUAAUUUCAGCAGGUAAAUUAUAGAAAGCAUUUAUAACUCGAGAGUCUAAUGGAACAAGUGAGUUUCUUACCCAAGCAUUGUGCUGACCAGGGCUUACCAAAUUGGCGUAAAAUUCUUUUACAACUGGCAGCAUAGGGUCUCGAGGAUGGUUACAAAACUCUAGCCACCCACGCUUUGCUACAGCAUUGUGUACUGAUUGCACAAUUCCUUGGGUUGAGGUGGGAAUUGAAACCUUUUUUCUUUCAGAAUUUUGCGUGGUUCAAUGAAUUCUUCAUAUUUUUCUUCCGCAUCGUAACUUUGGAAGCGUGAAGGAUCUUUUUGUCGACUGGCUGUCCUUUUAUACCUUGGCAUUGCUAUAGCAGUAAGAAUUCGAUGGUAAUAUGCCUGAGAGUAAAAUGAGAAGAAUGAGUUAAGAAUUAUUGGAGUCGUGAUUUCGAAGGAGAGGGGAAAUAGUGUCAGAAGUCACUAAGCACCGUAACUCCCUUUUAUAGUUGAAAUUAAAUGAAAAUAAAUCCGGUAAAGAGAGAUAAAUUAGGGAAGAAUAUAUUUUAAAUUCAUUAAGCAUAUCCCAUAAAAAUAGGCAAGAGAAAUUAGUGCAUUAAUUUUGAAGAUUUUUCUUCUUCAAUUUCUAUCCAAAUUCAUUCAUCCAUCUGGCACAUGUUAUCCCCAACGGUAAGUGAGAGGCUCCCUCUUUAAGUUACUGUAACGGUAAUAUUGGUUGUUGCAGCACCCAAUUGUUUGCUCUAGUAAUGGUUACAUAGUCUUCUCCAAUAGCUGCUGACACAUGGCUUGCCACUGUACUCUAUUAACAACACAGCCCCAAUUGUUGGUAUGGAAUCCAUUUUUCACACACGUCUCGUGAGAGUUUCAAAAAUAAAUAAGACCAAUCCUAAACUACAGAGAAAACCAAUUUUAAAAGACAACACAUAAAAGUUAAACAAUCCUAAAUAAAAGAAAUAGAAAUAAUUAACGGAAAUAACAUAAAUAAAAAUUAAAAUAAAGUAAAUUAAGAGGAAAAAAAUAUUUAUUAAAACCAAGGAUGAUCCUUCUUGUUUGAGGUGAUUGCCUCCGCAAUGGGUUGCCUCCCAUUGAGCGCUUGAUUUAAGGUCCUUCAGCCUGACCUUUCUUGAGUGUUCAUAAACUCGGUUCUUUGAAGAGUAAGACCUCCUUUGAGCAAUCCGCAGCUGAGUGUAUGUAAUGCUUAUCUCUGUGCCCAUUGACUUGGAAUUCCUGGCCUGUCUUUUCAUCUAAGAGAUCAACAACCCCAUGAGGAUAAAUUCUGAGCAGCUUGAAGGGUCCAGACCAUCGAGAUUUCAGUUUCCCUGGAAAUAGUUUAAGCCUCGUAUUAUGGAGCAGUACUAGUUGACCAGGGAUUAAUUUCCUUGGUUGGAUAUGUUUGUCAUGCCAGUGCUUUGUUCUCUCUUUAUAAAUUCUUGCAUUUUCAUAUGAGAACAUACGUAAUUCAUCAAGCUGACAUAGUAGAAGCUUCCUUUGCUCUGCUGCAGCAUGUAUAUCUCAAUUUAAUUGCUUCAGUAUCCAGUAUGCUUUAUGCUCUAGCUCAAGUGGCAAGUGACAAGCUUUCCCAUACACAAUUCGGUAGGGAGACAUGCCAAGUGGUGUUUUGUAUGUUGUUUUGUAGGUCCAUAAGGAGUCAUGUAAACGCAAGGACCAAUCCUUCCUGGAUGGAUUCAUCACUUUUUCUAAGAUUUUCUUAAUCUCUCUAUUAGACACUUCUGCUUGGCUAUUUGAUUGUGGGUGAUAUGUUGUUGUUACUUUAUGCCUGACUCCAUAUUUUACCAUAGUCGCAGCAAAUACUUUGUUGCAAAAAUGAGUACCCUCAUCACUAAUAAUUGCUCUUGGAGUGCCAAACCUGGAAAAAAAAUUUCUGAAGAAAGUCCACUACUGCUUUAGCAUCAUUGGUAGGUAAUGCUGCAGCUUCUACCCAUUUGGAGACAUAAUCCACAACAAUCAGGAUAUUUAAGUUCCCAAAGGAUGGUGGAAAAGGACCCAUGAAAUAUAUUCCCCAUACAUCAAAGACUUCUACUUUCAGAAUGUUUGUCAAUGGCAUUUCAUGUCUUUGAGUUAUUUUUCCUGUCCUUUGACACCUGUCAGAACAUUUAGUAAAUUCAUAAGCAUCUUUAAAAAUAAAAGGCUAGUAAUAACCUGAUUGCAGAACCUUAGCAGCUGUUCUGUGACCACCAAAAUGUCCUACAUAUGUUGCAGCAUGGCACAAUUCCAGUAUAUGAGGAAUCUCUCCCUCUGAAGCACAUCUUCGUAUACUUGAUCUAAGCAUAACUUAUACAAAUACAGGUCAUCCCAUUGGUAGCUUCUAACAUCAUGAAGACAUUUCUUUUUCUCUUGAAACUUCAACUCAGGUGGUAGCAAUCCACUUACUAAGUAGUUAGCAAAAUCUGCAUACCAUGGAGGUCCUGCUUGCUGCAACAUUUGUGCUUGCUGUACAACUAACAGUUGUUCAUCAAGAAAAGUUUCAGUGAUGUCCUUUCUUGUCAAUGUGCUUGUUUCUGCUUCUAGGCUCGACAGAUGGUCUGCUACUUGAUUCUCAGUCUCCUUUCUAUCUUUAAUUUCCAGAUCAAACUCCUGAAACAAUAAGAUCCAUCGUAUUAAUCUUGGUUUAGCAUCAUUCUUUGAGAUUAAGUACUUUAUGGCUGUAUGGUAUGUGUACACUGUCACUUUAGUACCCACCAAGUAAGCUCUAAAUUUAUCAAAAGCAAAUACUGAAAUGCAAGUAACACAACCCAAGAGGGGGGGUGAAUUGGGUUUGUAAAAAUUAUGCAAUAUAAUUCGAACAACAAAUCAAUCUAACGCCUUAAUGAAAUAGAGAACAAUAAAUUCAAAUAAGCGUAAACAUAAAAGAGCAAGGGAAGAGAAAAACAAACAUGCGGAUUUUUACGUGGUUCGACAAUCCCCGCCUACAUCCCCGCCUCUAAGCCAACCAAUCUCGAGGAUUUCACUAUCCAAGCCUCCCAAGGCUUCAAGUUCUUAUAAUUGACUUGCAAGGUGUCAAUGAACCUUUACAAUCAAGAGAUUAUCUCCCCAAUCUAUUCACCCUAAGUGUUUCCCACACUUACACACUCACAAUUUGAUAAGAAAUGAAAAUUAUAACAAAAAAACUCUCUCUAAGAGUGGAUAUGCAAAUAAUAGCUCAACAAUGAUUCAAUCUAUGAUGAUUUGCAUUUUGGAAGCUCAAUAUAUGCUGUAUGAUCUUAUAUUUGCUUGCAUUAGUCCUUAGAAUGAAGUUUGAGUUGACUUUUUAUAGUUGAAGCACGAAAACUAGCCGUUAUAGGCAAAUUCCCGCGCCCAAGCCGUUAGCCGCUUGAUUUAUCCGGCUAGCCGCUCAGAAACAGUGAUAUUACUGUUAUUUUUUAAUUUUGCUACAGUAAUACUGUUCACUAAAAUUACAGUUUGGCUUAAAAUUUUUUGUAAUUAUACUAACGCCCAAAAUGUUAUAAAACUUUGCAAAUAAGUCCAAUUUCAGAACUUCCGAAGAGUAGUUGUCUUUCCCAAACUUUCUAAAAUUAUGAUAUGACCGCAAAGAUUUUAUUAUUUCGCACAAAGGUCCUUUUCAACAUAAUACCCAUAUUUUUCAAAGUUCUCAAAACCUUUCACUUUAGUCCAAAAUAUUCAUAAAUUAUAGUAUGGCCCAAAACAUUUCAAACGUUUGUAAUAACGUCCAACUCCGAAAUUUAAUACUUAUUUAAAAUCAAAGAUUUCAAAACUUAGCAUUUAAGUCCAAAUUACUCAAAUCCACAAAAUACUUUACUUUAUAAAAAUAAAACCUUUUAGUUUAUGAAAAGUAUUUAAUUAAAUUAAUCUCUUGAGCUUCUCAAAUGCUAAAUCAUGCAUCAAUUAAAUCAUACCGGCUUUACAAGAAUUUAUCGCACUAAUUUGUUCGUUGAGCUCUAAACUAUAUUCUUGAUGUCGCCGUUGUCCGUUGAGUGUCUUCAAUCUUGAUUUCACUUGAUUCACUUGCAUAAAUAUUAUCCUUCAAAAACUAGUGAAAAUGUGAAAUACAAUAUUUAUUAUUUUUACUUAAGACCCAUGUUUGUUAUCAUCAAAAUUACAUUAUGUGUAGCCUUUUAGGCUAACAAUCUCCCCCUUUUAGAUGAUGACAAACAUCUCAUGUAUUUUGACAUUAAACUCCCCCUCAAUACAUGGCAUACAUGACUUCAACUUAUAAAUCAAAUUUAAGAAUAAAACUCCCCCUAAAUAUAUGAUCUAUUACAAUUUGUAAACUCCCCGUUAAUAUUUCAUAACCAUGCACAAAUAGUUUAAGAUUAAAAUACAUAUUAUAUGUCUCUGUAUUCAAAAUACAUGAUCUCUCCCCCUUCAUCAUCAAAAUUACUAGAAAUUUAUGCCAAUUAAAAAAAUAGAACCAAAAUUACAUUAUCAAAAACUUAUCAUAUUUAUUUCCCCCUAAAAAAAAUAGAUAUAUGCAAUUUGAAACAAGAUCAUCAAAAAUAAUUAAAUGAAGAUAUACUCAUUGUGUGCGAGCAAAACUUUCGGCAGAGUCUCCCCUUAAAAAAGAACAAAUCCUCAAAUACAUAAUGUGGUUAAAAACACUUCCAUAUAAGCUUAAACAAGUAUAACAAACCAACAACUCCACCAAGUCAUCAAGCAACACAUAAGAAUUAAGCAUAUAAUAACCAAUCCGAAAACAUCAUCCAAAUAUAACAUAUCCGAAGAUCAAAUAACAAGCAUCCUUAAUCCACAAAUUAAAAACAACAUAUCCAAAUAUCAAACAACAAGAUGUCAUCCGCAAAUGAAAUAUAACAAUGCAUGAAGAAAUGUAGUGCAGAGUGACAAAUAAAAAAAGAUAGAGUGCUAAGGAGAUGGUGGAUGUGAUGAAGAGGAUGGUGGUGGAAAUCCAAGAGCUGCAAAAAGUUGCUACUGGCCAUCAAGAAGCUGCUCUUGUUGAGCAAAGAGACGCUCUCGCUCGAAAAUGGACUGAAGUUGAAAAGCUUCAAGCAUAGACUGAAGUUUGUCUUGCCGCUCAGAAAGUGAAUCCACUUUAGUUAACAGCUGCUGUAACGGAUCCUCAGAGUCAGCUGAAAUUGAGUGGGAAGGACCCUCGGAAGGUGGAGGUCGUGAGAGAUAUGGAGCACUAAGAUUAGGAAGCAAGUGUGGGGGACAGACAUCGUUAAAGAAACGAUGAUCUGUAGGAGCAAUGUCCCCAACCUUUUUGUUUCUUUCAUCUUUAUGCCAUUGAUCAUCCCUCCAAUAAAAACCCAAAUUAGCAAUUGAUUAAUCGCCUAAUUCCCUCGAAUUCAAGGAGAUUGGCUCAGUUAUAGGGACACGGAAAUACUCUAGAAGUCAGGUAAUAAUACUAGCAUAUGGAAGGGAUCUUUUGGCUAAGUUGGGAGUACUAAGCAUGUGAUGAAGGAUAAUAUACCCAAUAUUUAGCACCCUCUCCUCUAGAAUACAAUCCAAAAUGGCUACAUCUAAACGGCUAACUCCAUCCGCAUGACCGGCCCUAGGAGUAAUCACAUGAUGAAGAACAUAAUGAAGGAUUCGAGUUUGAAGAUGUAAGGCUUGAGAUUUCAAAGGUGAGUUACAGAACGCAGUGGACAAAUCAUGCCGUAGACAAAUUUUUCGAACGGCAUUUUCAAGUGAGAACCAAGGUUGUUUGAUUUUGGCUCUAGCACUAUAUAGUACCAAUCCCUCAUUUGGAGUGCCAAUGAUAGAAUUUAGCAAAGCAACAUCAAAUUCAAUAUGAACUCCCCCAACAUUAGUAACAAUUCUAUUCGAAACUUCCGUAUCCAUAUUCGAAUAGAAAACCUUGACUAAAUUUUCAUAGUAAUGUUCAUUAACAACCAACACAUUCUUCCAUCCCAUAGCAAUAAGUAAAUCUUUAAGAGAUUUAUCACAAAUUUCUAAAUUCUCCAUAUUUCUGAGAUUGACAAAAUAAGGAGUAAUGACCGACCUUGGCUUGAAAUGGUCGAGAAAAUGUUUCCGAAGUUGGAGUUGUGGAAAAUGAAUCAACAUAAAGUCUGAAUAAUCUCCAUGAUCAUCCUUACGCUUCUUGGCCACGUGUUUUCCCUUGGACUUGUCACCACCCCCAUUGUUGGAAGAAAAAAGAGCUUAAAAAUGCAAUUUCGGGUUUAACAAAAAUUGAGUGAAAUGGAUAUGUUUGAGGCAAGAAAAUCAAUCCUAGAGAUGAAUGAAACUAAUUUAUGAUGUAGAUUGAAUUAAAAAUGGGCUAAAGGAAGCUUGAAAAUGAAGAGAGAGAAACGGGUUGAGUGAGAUUUUUUAUUUUGGGUUUUAUGUGGAGAGUUGAUGAAAUGAUGUUUUGAGAGUGAAAAUUGAAGGAGUAAUGGAUGAAUAAUAAGUUGGAUGAUUGAUUUUAACAAGAAAAUGAGUGAAAGAUGAAGAUAUUUGAGAAAGAAAAUGAAGAACACUAUUCACGCGUGAAUGGAAUGAGGAUGGAAUGAUGAAGAACAAGUGAAGAAAUCAUGAUGGAGAUGUGUUUAAUGAAGAUGAAAUGCAUGGGUAUUAGUUUGAAUGGUUGAUUUGGGCAUAAAAAUGGAUGAAAAAGGAAGAAAUUGGAAGUGAAAAUGGAUGGGUUGUUCACGGUUUUGAGUGAAGGAGAAAACAAGUGCAGAAAAUUAAAAAAGGAAGAAGAAGAAGCAAAAACAAAUUGCCAAACCCGUGACAAAGCGGCUAGCCGCUUGCUCUCGGGUUUGGGACAGUUUUCCAAGCGGCUAGUCGGCUAGCCACUUGGAACAGGCGGCUAGCCGCCUGGUUGCUGUCCACCUGCACGCUACUUGCUUUCCGGCUAGUUUUGAUCAAUUCCGUGACCAUUUUGUGAUCCUAAAACAUCUCAAGAGCCAAUUUAAUGCAUGAUUCAAUAUUUUAAACAUCCAAAAGAUGAUUAAUUCAAACUAAUAAUCCAUCCAACAAACAUAUAUUCAUGAAGCACAUAAGCAUUCAAAAAUUAAUAAAUCAAACACCUCAUAUAUCUAAUAUGCGCAAACAAUUCAUAAACAUUAAAAACCAUCAAGCAAACAAUUUUAGUAGAUUCAAUAACAUAAAUAGAGAUGUUAAUGCGAAAAUUUCAUCAUCCCAAGUUCGUGCCAAAUUUUUGAAAAUUGUUCUUCGCAAAGGUGUUUUGUAAAAAUAUCGGCAAGUUGUUUUUCCGUAGAGAUAAAUUCUAAUGCAAUAUCACAUUUUUGAACAUGAUCUCUCAAGAAAUGAUGUCUAAUCUCUAUAUGCUUGGUUCUAAAGUGUUGAAUGGGAUUCUUUGAAAGAUUUAUGGAGCUAGUAUUAUCACACUUGAUAGGAAUUUGUUCAAGAUUAAUACCAUAGUCUCUAAGUGUUUGUUUCAUCCAAAGUGCUUGUGCACAACAACUGCCUGCGGCAAUAUAUUCUGCCUCAGUAGUUGAGAGUGCCACCGAAUUUUGUUUCUUACUAAACCAUGAAACAAGUGAAUGACCUAGAAAAUGGCAAGUUCCACUAGUACUUUUCCUAUCAACCUUAUAACCGGCAAAAUCGGCAUCCGAAUAACAAGUUAAAUCUAUAUGAGUUCCUCUAGGAUACCAAAGGCCAAUAUCUAUGGUUCCACUCAAAUAAUGAAAAAUUCUUUUAACAGCAAGCAAAUGAGAUUCCUUGGGACAUGAUUGAAAUCUUGCACACAAACAUACACUAAACAUGAUAUCGGGUCUACUUGCGGUUAAGUAAAGUAAAGAUCCGAUCAUACCUCGAUACUUUUUAAUAUCAACCUCUUUAUCAUCUUUAUCAAGCUUGAUUGUUGUACUCAUUGGAGUAUUCUGGUGUUUGAUUCAUCAAUGCCAAAUCUCUUGAGCAAGUCUUUGACAUACUUAGCUUGGUUGAUGAAGAUCCCCUCAUUGUUUUGUUUGAUUUGAAGUCCAAGGAAAUACUCCAAUUCUCCCAUCAUGCUCAUCUCAAAUUCCUUACUCAUACAAGAGGAAAAUUCUUUGCACAAAGAUUCAUUAGUAGAACAAAAAAUAAUAUCAUCAACAUAAAUUUGAACAACAAGUAUAUCUUGAUUUUUAUUUUUAAUAAAAAGGGUAGUAUCCGCUUUUCCCAUCGAAAAACCGUUAUCCAACAAGAAAUUUUUAAGCCUAUCAUACCAUGCUCUAGGUGCUUGUUUUAAUCCAUACAAAGCUUUUGAUAACUUAUACACAUGAUUUGGAAAUUUUUCAUUUUCGAAACCAGGGGGUUGUUUCACAUAAACUUCCUCCAUAAUAUAACCAUUUAGGAAAGUACUCUUGACAUCCAUUUGAAAUAAAAUAAAAUCUUUAUGGCAUGCAAAUGCUAACAACAUCCUAAUGGAUUCUAAUCUAGCUACAGGUGCAAAGGUUUCAUCGAAAUCGAUUCCUUCUUCUUAGUUGUAUCCUUGAGCCACUAAUCUAGCUUUAUUUCUUACAACCACACCGGAUUCAUCCAUUUUAUUUCUAAAUAUCCAUUUAGUGCCUAUAACGGAUUGAUGUUCCGGUUUAGGAACCAAUUCCCACACUUUAUUUCUCUCAAAUUGAUUUAACUUCUCUUGCAUUGCUAUAAUCCAAAACUCAUCAUUUUCAGCAUCCGUAAAAGAUUUGGUUCAAUUUGAGAAAUAAAUGUAGCAUGCUCACAUGUGUUUCUAAGUGAUGAUCUAGUUGUAAUACCUCUUGAAGGAUCACCUAAGAUUAAAUCCUUAGGAUGAGAGGAAAAAUACCUCCACUCCUUGGGGAGUGUUUGAGAAAUACCUUCUUGUUGCUCCAGCUCCAUAUUUGAUUGUUCUUCUUGUCCAUCCUCUUGAUUUUCUUGUGGUGCAUUCUCUUGUUUCUCUUUUGAUGAUUCUUCUUGUAACUCUCCAUCUGCAUCAUCAUUAACAACUCCUUUCUCCACGGAGGAGGGGUUAGAUUCAUUAAACGUAACAUGCAUGGAUUCUUCCACAACUAAAGUUCUUUUGUUAUAAACUUUAUAAGCUUUGCUUUAGUUUGAAUACCUGAGAAAGAUGCCAACAUCAUAUUUUGGAUCAAAUUUACCAAGAUUAUAUUUUGUGUUUAAAAUAAAACAUUUGCAUCCAAAAACUUUGAAAUAACCAAUGUUGGAUUUUCUAUCUUUCCAAAGCUCAUAGGGAGUUUUAUUGAGAUGAGGUCUAAUCAACACCCGAUUUAAAACAUAACAAGCGGUGUUGACGGCUUCGGUCCAAAAAUAUUUUGGUAAUGCAUUUUCAUUUAACAUGAUCGUAGCCAUUUUUUGAAUAGACCUAUUCUUCCUCUCAACAACUCCAUUUUGUUGUGGAGUCCUAGGUGAUGAAAAUUGAUGCUCAAUGCCAAAAUCAUUACAAAAGUUUUCAAAUGCAUGAUUUUCAAACUCUCCACCAUGAUCACUUCUAAUACAAGUAAUAGAAUAACCCUUUUCAUUUUGAACAUUUUUACAGAAAAUUCUAAAUGCAUCAAUGGCAUCAUCCUUAUUAGCUAAGAAUAAUACCCAUGUGUAUCUAGAAUAAUCAUCUACAAUUACAAAUGCAUAAAAUUUUCCACUUAAACUAGCAUAUCUUGAGGGUCCAAACAAAUCUAUGUGAAGUAAUUGAAGAGGUUUUGAAGUAGAGAUAUGAUUCUUGUUUUUUAAAGAGGUUUUGAUUUGUUUUCCAAAUUGACAUGCUUCACAAAUUCUAUCCUUUUGAAAACCAAUUUUUGGAAGACCUUUAACUAAAUCAUUUUUCGAAAUUUUUGAAAUUAAAUCCAUGCUUGCAUGUCCUAGUCUUCUAUGCCACAACCAACUAUCAUCAUGCAAUGCCGAAAAACAUUUAUCAUGAGUAGAUGCACACUCUAUAUUAAUCGUGUAAACAUUGCCACGUCUAUUUCCCAUAAACAAAAUUUUCCCAUCACAUGCAUUCUCAAUAACACAACUUGAUUUAUCAAAGGCAACUUUAUAACCUUUGUCACAUAAUUGACUAAUGCUAAUCAAAUUAUGUUUCAAAUUUUCAACCAAACACACAUUUUCAAUUAGAGUUGAAGAAAUUUUACCAACAUUUCCAAUUCCGAGAAUUUUUCCUUUUGAGUUAUCUCCAAAGGAUACAUCUCCACCAUUUUCGAUUUUGGUGAAACUUGAGAACUAUGCAUAGUUUCCAGUCAUAUGCCUAGAACAUCCGCUGUCCAAGUACCAUUUAUUUUUCUUUUUCUUCAAGCCCUGCAGAGGAAAUCUUAUGUCUUAGGUACCCAAACCUUUUUGGGUCCUUGAGCAUUAGCAACGGUUCCUUUUGGAACCCAAAUACAUUUGACACCAUAAUAUGCAUUCCUUUUUACGGGACAUCUAUAUUUCAUGUGACCAUUUUGAUUACAAUAAUGACAAACACUCUUAAAAAUGAUCACUUGUGGAUGUAGCUUUAACAAAAUAAUUCUUGUAAUGCUUUUGCUUCAAGUUAGACUUAUACCCAAGUCCUCAUUUAUCAAAAACACAUAUUUGAGAAUUAAACACGUUAUCCAACAUCUUUUGCCCAUUUGUAAAUUUUAGAACAACAUUACUAAGUUCAAUAUUCUUUUUCUUGAGCAUUUCAUUUUCCUUUUUCAAAUCAUGUACAUGUGACUCUAAAUGCUCAUAUGAAGUGCUAGGUUUUUCAUUUGAUAAUGCAACUCUAUUAUGCAAGGUUUUAUUAUCUAAUUCUAAUCCUUUAAUCUUCUCAUUCAAUGACUCAUUGUAUCUUUGCAUGGCAUCCUUUUCAUUUGUAAAUUCUAGCAAUUUCUUUUUAAGGCAUGCAUUCUUUUUACCAAUUUUCAUCAACUCAUCAUGCAUUUCUUUAAAAGCAUCAUACAAUUCAUCAUAGGUUAGAUCACUUACCUCAUUAAGAUCAUCAUUAUCUCCUAGUGCCAUAAAUGCUAGGUUUGAUACUUCUUGCGACUCUUCUUCAUCACUUGAAUCUUUGUCGCUAUCAUCCCAAGUAGCAACCAUAGCUUUCUUCUUGAGUUUGUUGAGAAGUGGGCAUUCCGAUCUUAUGUGGUCGGGCUUUUUGCAUUCAUAACAUAUGAUUACCUCUUUCUUCUCCUUUUGGUUUUUGAAGUUUCUAAAUUUCCUUCGGUCAUCGGUUUUCUUGAAAAAAGUUUUGAACCUCCUUGCUAGCAUAGCCAACUCCUCAUCAUCCGGCUCACUUUCCCCAUCACUCUCAUAUUUUGUGGCUUUGAGAGCAAUAUUUUUCUUCUUUUCCUCAUUUCCUCUUUCGGCUGCCAAAUCUUCCUCAUAAGAAAUAAGAGAACCAAUUAAAUCAUCAAUAGGUAAGAUAUUCAAAUCUUUAGCUUCCUCAAUGGCAGUCCUUUUUGGUCUCCAUUCCUUAGGUAAUGACCUAAUAAUUUUCUUAACUUUUUCGCUAUUUGAAAAGGUCUUUCCUAGGGCUCCUAGAGUAUUUACUAUGUCCGUAAAUCUAGUAUACAUAGAAUAUAUACUCUCAUUUUUUUCCAUUUGGAAUAAUUCAUAUUACCGAGUGUACCUACUAAUCUUAGACUCUUUCACUUGAUUCAUGCCUUCAUAAACAACUUCAAGUUUGUGCCAAAUUUUAUUAGCACUUUCACAACUAGACACUCUAUGAAACUCUUUCUUAUCGAGUGCACAAAACAAGGCAUUCAUGGCUUUGGAAUUUAGAGAAGCUUUUCUCUUUUCCAAUUCAUUCCAUUCCCGUGAAGGUUUUGGAAUGUCUUCCCCGAAUUCAUUUUUAGUCAAAGGCAUAAAUGGACCAUCACAUACAACUUCCCAAAUUUCAUAAUCUAGUGCUUGUAAAUAAAUUCUCAUCCUAGUUUUUCAAUACGGGUAGUCAUUUCCGUCAAAGAACGGUGGCCUAGUUGUGGAUUGUCCUUCCCUAAAGGUUGAAUCAUUUUGGGUUGUCAUGGAUCUUUUACUCUAGACGGUUAAGUCCUAAUAAGAGAACCAAGCUCUGAUACCAAAUGAAAUGCAAGUAACGCAACCCAAGAUGGGGGGUGAAUUGGGUUUUUUAAAAUUAUACAAUAUAAUUCGCACAACAAAUCAAUCUAACGCCUUAAUGAAAUAGAGAACAAUAAAUUCAAACAAACGUAAACAUAAAAGAGCAAGGGAAGAGAAAAACAAACACGCGGAUUUUCACGUGGUUCGGCAAUCCCCGCCUACGUCCACGCCUCCAAGCCAACCAAGCUUGAGGAUUUCACUAUCCAAGCCUCCCAAGGCUUCAAGUUCUUACAAUUGACUUCCAAGGUGUCAAUGAACCUUUACAAUCAAGAGAUUAUCUCCCCAAUCACUUCACCUCAAGUAUUUCCCACACUUACACACUCACAAUUUGAUAAGAAAUGAAAAUUACAACAAAAAAACUCUCUCUAAGAGUGGAUAUGCAAAUAAUAGCUCAACAAUGAUUCAAUCUAUGAUGAUUUACGUUUUGGAAGCUCAAUAUAUGUUGUAUGAUCUUAUAUUUGCUUGCAUUAGUCCUUAGAAUGAAGUUUGAGUUGAGUUUUUAUAGUUGAAGCACGAAAACUAGCUAUUAUAGGCAAAUUCCCACGCCCAAGCGGUUAACCGCUUGAUUUAUCCGACUAGCCGCUCAGGAACAGUGAUAUUAUCGUUAUUUUUGAAUUUUGCUACAGUAACAAUGUUCACUAAAAUUGCACUUUGACCUAAAACUUUUUGUAAUUAUACUAAGGCCCAAAAUGUUAUAAAACUUUGCAAAUAGGUCCAAUUUCAUAACUUCCUAAGAAUAGUUGUCUUUCCCAAACUUUCUAAAAUUAUGAUAUGACCGCAAAGAUUUUAUUAUUUCGCACAAAGGUCCUUUUCAACAUAAUACUCAUAUUUUUCAAAGUUCUCAAAACCUUUCACUUUAGUCCAAAAUAUUCAUAAAUUAUAGUAUGGUCCAAAACAUUUCAAACGUUUGUAAUAACGUCCAACUCUGAAAUUUAAUACUUAUUUAAAAUCAAAGAUUUCAAAACUUAGUAUUUAAGUCCAAAUUACUCAAAUCCACAAAAUACUUUACUUUAUAAAAAUAAAACCUUUUAGUUUAUGAAAAGUAUUUAAUUAAAUUAAUCUCUUGAGCUUCUUAAAUGCUAAAUCAUGCAUCAAUUAAAUCAUACCGGCUUUACAAGAAUUUAUCGCACUAAUUUGUUCGUUGAGCUCUAAACUAUAUUCUUGAUGUCGCCGUUGUCCGUUGAGUGUCUUCAAUCUUGAUUUCACUUGAUUCACUUGCAUAAAUAUUAUCCUUCAAAAACUAGUGAAAAUGUGAAAUACAAUAUUUAUUAUUUUUACUUAAGACACAUGUUUGUUAUCAUCAAAAUUAUAUUAUGUGUAGCCUUUUAGGCUAACAAAUACUAUUGCUAGCAACUCUUUUUCUGUAGUGGUGUAAUUAAUCUGAAUUUGAGUAAGAGUUUUACUUGCAUAGUAUAUAGAUUGAAAAAUCUUAUCCUUCAUCUGCCCUAACACUGCCCUAAUAGAAUGGUCACUGGCAUCACAUAUCAGUUCAAAUGGUAGAGUCCAAUCUGGUGAUAUAACCACUGGUGCAGUGAUCAAAGCUUUCUUUAACUCUCCAAAAGCUUGCAGACAGUCUUUAUCAAAAUGAAAAGGCUUGUCAUGUUCCAGCAAUGAGUAUAAUGGUUUAGCUACCUUAGAGAAGUCUUUAAUGAAUCUUCUGUAAAAUUCAGCAUGGCCUAAGAAACUCCUAAUACCCUUGAUUGAGGUGGGGGGUGGCAGUUUAUCUAUCACUUCUAUCUUUACUUUAUCUACCUCAAUACCAUUCUUGGACAACUUAUAACCCAACACUAUGCCCUCUUGCAUCAUGAAAUGAUAUUUUUCCCAAUUGAGUACUAAGUUAGUCAUCUCACAUCUUUUAAGAACUUCUUCCAAGCUAUGUAAACAAUCAGUAUAUAUCUCUCCAAAAACUAAGAAAUCAUCCAUGAAAACUUCCAAUGUUUGCUCCACCAUAUCAUAAAAUAUAGACAUUAUACAUCUCUGAAAAGUUGCUGGAGCAUUGCAUAAACCAAAUGGCAUCCUUCUGAAGACAAAAGUUUCAUAAGGACAGGUAAAUGUAGUCUUUUCCUGAUCCUUUGGAGCUAUAGCAAUUUGGUUGUAGCCUGAAUACCCAUCUAGGAAACAAUAGUACUAUUUUCCAGCAGGUCUGUCCAAUAUCUGAUCUAUGAAUAGGAGUGGGAAGUGAUCAUUCCGUGUGGCUUUGUUGAGCUUCCUGUAAUCCAUACAUACCCUCCAUCCAGUCACUAUCCUUAUAGGAAUAAGUUCAUUCUUCUCAUUUGCUAUCAAUGUUAUUUUUCCCUUCUUUGGAACACAUUGGACUGGGCUCACCCAUGAGCUGUCUAAUAUCGGGUAUAUGAUUCCAGCAUUCAACCAUUUGAUGAUUUCCUUCUUCACAACUUCCUUCAUAAUAGGGUUUAACCUUCUCUGUUGCUCCACUGAAUUACUGUAACAGUCUUCUAACAGAAUUUUAUGCAUGCAUAUGGAUGGGCUAAUCCAUUUGAUGUCUGCCAUAGUCUAUCCAAUUACUCUUCUGUAUUUCCCAAGCACGUCUACUAGGCUCUAUUCUUGACCUGCAUCCAAAGUAGAUGAAAUUAUUACAGGGAGUGUGUUGUUUUGACCAAGAUAAGCAUAUUUCAAAUAGAUGGUAAAGUUGUUUUUACUUCCCUGUCUGAAAGAUUCAGAUGCUCAACAAAUCUGUUAUGUCUAUCAGAUUUCUUUCCCUCCAUCCAAUCUAUCUGGUUUGCUGCAACAUCUUCUUCUUCAAAGCUCUCAAAUGUGGUAACUUUGAUGAUCUCAUUACUGCAGUAUCUGUCGAUUCUGUCUGCUACAACAAAAUCCACAACACUCAGGAAAUUGCAAUCUUCUGCUUAUCAGGUUUCUUCAUAGCCUCUAAUACAUUAAAUGUAACUUGCUGAUCAUUCACUCUCAUUGUUAGCUCUCAUUUCUGCACAUCUAUCAGAGUUUUUCCGGUUGCUAGGAAAGGUCUUCCAAGUAUAAUGGGUACUUCUUUAUCAGCUUCAAAGUCUAAAACAAUAAAGUCCACUGGAAAGAUGAAUUUGUCAACCUUCACCAAUACAUCCUCAAUUUUUCCUUCAGGAAAUGCAUGAGAUCUAUCAGUUAAUUGUACAGUGACUGUUGUUGGCCUGCAUUCUCCUACUCCCAACUGCUUAAAUACAGAUAAUGGCAUCAGAUUAAUACUGGCUCCCAAAUCACAAAGUGCUCUGCCAUUAUACCUAGUUCCAAUGGAACAUGGUAUUGUGAAGCUUCCUGGAUCCUUCAAUUUUUGAGGAAUCUUACUUUGGAGCAUGUGACUGCUUUCCUGUAUUAAAGCAACCAUUUCAAAUUCUCCCAAUCUUCUCUUUCUUGCCAAAAUGUCCUUUGGGAAUUUCACAUAAUUAGGCAUUUGCUCCAAUACUUCCACAAAAGGGAUGGUAAUGUGUAAUUGCUUCAGCACUUCCAAGAAUUUACUAAACUUCUUGUCUUGUUUUUUUUUUUGGAAUCUUUGUGGGAAAAGAGGUGGCUGCCUAAAUUGCUGAGUAGCUUCAGGAAGUGCCAAUCUCUGCUCAUUUGGUUUGUUAUAAGCUGUUACCAUUGGUGUUGCAACUUUUUUUUCAGCAUUUAUUGGUUGAUUCCCUUCUAUAGUAACUGCAGUUUGACCACUAACAUCAGUAUCUUGAUGGCUGGAUUGUUCUAACAUACUCUCCUCUUAAGGUGGUUCUUGUGAGGAAUUAAGUUCCACCCAUUUUUAGUCAUAUUAACAAGAAUAUCAACAUUAUUUCCAGAUCUUAAGUUGAUGACCUUGCAAUGUUCCUUUACCUCUCUCUUUAGAUCUUCUGUGUUGCUGGGCAAGCUUCCUUAAGAUCUGUUACUCAUUGCUGUGGCAAGCUGACCAAUUUGGUUUUCCAGAUUUCUUAGAGAUACGGCUUGACUUUGCACAAUUGCUUCAUUCUUUGCAAUGUAUUCCUUAAUCAGUGUUUCUAGUGAAAUGAGAGGAUUAUGUCUGGUGUGUUUUUGCCCUUGAUUUUACUGAUGAAAACCAGGUGGUUGAGUAUUUCUGUUCCGUCCACUCAAUGCUGGAGCAUUUUGAUUCUGAUUACUCAACGAGAAAUUUGGGUGUUGCUUCCAUCCAGGGUUGUAAGUAUUUGAGUAUGGGUUGUUUUGAGGCUGUCGGUUGUAAUUACCCAUAUAAUUUACUGAUACUGGAUUUCCAGGACAGUUAUCAAAUUCAUGUUCUUCACCACAGUACACGCAAGACAAUUCAGCAACUUGCUUUACUACCGCUGGAGCAGAUGUCAUGGCUUUCACCAUGUUAGUCAAUGAAGUUACUUGUGCUGAUAAAUCUGUAAUUGCAUCUAUAUUAUGUACCCCUACUGCUCCUCUUGCUACUGGCUGUCUAGUUGAUGGCCACUGAUAAUUAUUUUUGGCAAUUCUCUCCAAAAUUUCAUAAGCUUCAGUGUAAGAUUUGGAUAACAAGGCUCCACAAUCUGAAGCAUCAACCAUCAAUCUCGUACUUGGAUUCAAUCUGUUAUAGAAAGUCUCCAAUUGUAUGCAACAAGGAAUGCCAUGAUGAGGACACCUUCUGAGCAAUUCUUUGAAUAUUUCCCAAGCCUCAUACAAAUUCUCAUCUUCAAGUUGAUGGAAAGAAGUGAUCUCAUUAUGCAAUUUUGCAUUUUUUGUUGGUAGAAAAUAUUUCAUUAAGAAUUUAUCGGCCAAUUCAUUCCAUAUAGUGAUGGAAUCAGAUGAUAAUGAAUUCAACCAUGCUCUUGCUCGAUCUCUUAAGGAGUAAGGAAAAAGCCUUAGUCUUAAAGCAUCUUGUGUUGCUCCAGCAAUUUUAAAAGCAUCACUCACUUCCAAAAACAACUUAAGAUGGAGGUGAUGAUCUCCAUUUGGCAGUCCAUUGAAUUGACCCACUGUUUGCAACAUUUGAAACAUCAUUGGCUUCAGUUCAAAGUUUGCGGCUUCCACUUCAGGUCUGAUUAUCCCAAGGUGUACAACUUGAGGAGUUAACACAGUAUAAUCUCUGAUAGCCCUGUCUCUGUCAUUUGCCAUGUAAAUGAUAUUAUUGUUGCCUGGCUAUCUCUGGUUAACAUGCUUAUUCUGCUCCUCUUGAAUGUUGACGGGUUGUAAUGGCCCGUGAGGGUCUAAAUUUCCCAUAUCCUGCAAAUUAUCCAUGUCUGAAACAUUUUUUGAAUUCUUUUGUUCUCUUCGCAGUCUCCUUACAGUCCUUUCAAUCUCAUGAUCAAAUUGGAACACAACAUACCUGUCUUUGCGCUUGCAAGUGUUGAUCUGUUAAUAAAUAGAACAAAUCAAAUCAAAUUGGCACUAUCAAGACUUACUUCACACUUCGAAAAUAAACAAUCAAUCCCCGGCAACGGUGCCAAAAACUUGUUGGUUAAUUUUUAAUCAAAUGAUAUUGAUGCCAAUGUGCAAGUGUACACAACAAGUAAUAAAGUGAUGAAUAUUCAAGAUUGUCUCCACACGGAUUGAUGUUACCAGAAAUGCUACAGCAAUCACAAUAGUGCAACCUACCUUUAUUUUGAAUGAACAAAUGUGAAGUUGUUUACUACCAAAAUUUAUAAUUGUGAGAAAAUAAAACAAAAUAAUGUAGUGAUGAAAUAAAGUAAAUAAAUUGCGUAGAAUGAUCAAAUGAGAAUAAGGUAGUUAAAUGAUCAAACUCUCUUUAUGGGUUGACUGCUUUUCAUCAAAUUAACACCAGUUGCUACAGCACUGGGCAGAAUUACUUUGCAUCCUCAGCUGUCACGUGUUGGAAUUCUCAUACCCUUAAGUAUCUUAGCAAUGACCAGUUGCUAUUCUACCUUCGGCAUGACAUUACGAACAUCUAUUCUCUCCACCCUACAAGGUGAGUACUUAUGUUUAGUUUGUCACAAAUCUUAACUUCAAGUAUAGUCCUUAUGAUAUUCAAGAUUAACUUAAUCCAGGAAACUCGAAUUAAGAUCAAGUAUUACUCUAAUAAUAUCCACUAAGACAUGCCCUUUUGCGGCUCUAUCUUAACUUGAACCAUUAAAUGGGUGGUCAACCGAAAUAACAAUUAUAAUAAUAGCUACUAAAGUAAAAUGCUAUAGCAAUUAUAUAGCAACUCAUAAGAACAGUCAAGAACCCAUUAGAUUGUUUGUCAUUCAACUACAAGCAAGUUUAGUUCAUAUUUUGAAAGAGAAAAACAAACAGCAACAUAUUAGACACGAAAUACAUUAGUUCAAUCAAAGAGUGAAGAAAAGAAUAAGUGGAGAACGACAAAAAGUGAAUUCAAAAUAACUCUACUGGAUUCUUCAAUGAUGCAACAUUGGUUCCCUUGAAUUUUGAUUUUCUUCUUCUUUUUCUCUUGAUUUUCUCAAUGUUAAUUCCUUGUCGCCAUUUUAUGUGAUGCGCGCCCCUUUUUAUAACUGAAAACUAGGGUAAACAAAAGCCUAAGGUGUACAUGAGUCAAAUUAGGAAACUGCAGAUUGCAAUUCUGCAGCUAUCUCGCACUAAUUUUUCUCCCUCAUUGUUCUAGGAUUGCUACAGCAAUGGUUGCUCCAACAACGGCUAUAACACUGCAUUAUUCUAGGUUGUGUUUCACUUCUUUUGUGGCCAUAUUCUUUCUCCUUCUUGCUAGACUAAUGCCUCAGCAUCCCUUCAUGGAUUAUAAACUUCUGAAAACCUACAAUUAUGCACAUGUUUCAAACACAAAUUACUUUAAAUUAAGCAAAACUUAUUAAGACUAAAUUAAAAUGGAUGUUUAUGCAAAACAUAAACAAAAUGUAAUAAAAACACAUCAUUUACUCUCUAAAUGGUCUUGAUAAGUCUAGAAUUACCAUAAUAACUCUCAUUUCAUAGAGUUAUCUGUAACCAAUAAAAGUAGAUGAAAGCAAAGAGAGAAAGAAUGAUUUAAGAAAUUAGGGAUUUUAGAGAUAUGAAAAGUUUUUGCCGCCACAUGAUUUAAGAACGCGUGCCUUGAGGGUGUUAUAACAGCCCGUUUGAAAUAUAAAUGGUUAGUCUGAAUGUGUGCCACAUCACACGCAUUUAAAAACAAUGUGACUCCUCGAAUGAAUGGACACCAUCAACCCAUGAAUGCAAAAAAUGCUUUUGGCAGCCUCCUGCUAUAGAGUCGAGCAACCAGGAAAGUAGGUCGAAAGGAUACAUAUUAAGUUUCUAGUUUUGAUUCGUUUAACUCUCAACACUAGAAACUAGGGGACUGUUGUUUAAGGAAGAAAAAACACCGCGACUAAGAUAGCGCGAGCAGAACAUGCUCCCCUGGGCUUAAGGGGAGGCUGAGGCGGAUUGCACGAGUACAAUAGGCCUGAGAGGGUGUGAGGAGGGGACAAAAUUAAGUCAGAUCAAAGACUUGGUCAAAGGUCAACAUGCAGAUUACCUCCAAAGAGCUUAACCACAAAGCCUACUCAACAAUCGUUGUAACAUGUAGGUUAUCUCCAAGGGGCUCUGACACGAAACCCACUCAACAACAAUUAUGUUGUUUAUUUACCCAUGAUUGUAUUACUAUGCCAACAAUGAUCGUGGGGAAGAGGAAGCCGAUAAUUUUAGUUGGGUAUAAAAGCUACAAUAAACGAAAGUAAAGGGGGUCAGACGAUUUCUGACUGGACUUAAAAAAUACUUUCUCUUUCUCUCACCCUCUUGAUAAUUCUAUACUAUGUCUAUCUUUCUCUCUGAAAAUUUAGCUUCUCAAUUUAAAGUAAAUAUAGUUAAGCCACGAGUUUAUGGCAUAAGUUUUUUCAAAAAAGGCUCGAUUACUGACUUGAGCAUCCAAAGGUUUUCACCGGAAAAACAUUCAACGCCCCUCUAACUGGAUAUUGUGAGUCCAGGUUAUCCAGAGUGAGUUUGUGGUCGACAUUAUCUAUUCGAGUGGGAUAGCAGCAAUGCUGAGUCAUUUCCCCAACAAACCAAAUUUAAACGUUGACGUGGACACCUAGUUGCAACUCUAUUGACCAUAUUCUUGCAUUAACACUCAUGUUCAUCAUCAUGUUCAUCCACGCUUGUAGAACUUCUACCAAAACAUAAAAGAGCUUUAGAAAACAUAUUUUGACAACACACAAAAGUUUAAGGCACCUAAAUUUUUAAUACCAAAUAAUUACUAAUUCAAAUGCUUAAAAAUACAGACAAGUAAAAAAGUGAAACUCACUAAGGCAUGUUUUUUACAGCGCAUGCAAACUGAGACUCCGCUAAGAGUGUGUCGACAAAGGAUAAAGAAGUGCAGGGAGAAGAAGAAGAAGAUGAUGAUGAAAAAGAAUGAACUAAAACUUUUAUAAGAAUGAAAGAGGAUGUUUUUAUUGGGUUCUGGGUUUUUGUUUUAUGAGUGGAAAUAGGUUAUGUUGGUGGGUUAGCUGUUUGUACAGAAGACAUUUGAAGGAAUAACCCAAUGAGAAGAACUACAUUGCUACUCUGCUUUACUCAGAUAGUUGUUUAUCUAAGGGUGGGUCUUCGACUCACAAAGGACUCAAAUUAUUUAUUUUCUAUCGCAAUUUAGUUCCCUCCCUUCUAAGUAGGAAUAAAUAUCUGGAGUAAACAUUUCAUCACUAAUCAGUGUUGAUCUGCAAGCUCUCUAAACUAUUAUAACAAUUCAAGAAAACUAUAAUUAUUUAUUAACAUAAAGCGGCAAGUCAAUUGGAUUGGAUUGGAUUGGAUCUAAUAAUUCAAUAUUGUUUCACCUUCACACACAUUGACAAGAGCUAUUGCCACCCUAUAAAACUUUCAUAAAACCGUGCCCCGAAAAAGAAUAGAGUGGAGUUAUUGGCACCUCUAAAAGAAUUCUUGUAUUUUCAAUUUACAUUUUUAACUUUAAUCAAAUCGUGUUUGACAAUUCAUCUCUCUUCCUCUAGCCUUACAUGGGUUUUAUUUUUAUUUUUAUUCUUGAAUUAGUGGUUUCUGUUGGAUUGAAAUUUUUAGUUCAUUAUUUUCAAAUUAUGAAAGGCUUAUUUUCUUUUACCAUUAUAGCUCUUGAUUUCAUUGAUUUAUGUGUCCAUAUAAAAGCACGUAGAAUUGUCACAUUCAAAGCAUUAGAUGAUAUUGGAUUAGCUUCUAUCAAUCUUUUUGAAUAUAAAAGAAAUAUUUCUUUAUUAUUUUUUCUCUCUCUCGUACUGAAGUUAGUGAGAACAUUUGUUGAAUUAAAAUAGCUCCGCUCAAGAGAAUAGCCUAGAGUAUUUCCUAUCUAGUUUUUAGAUUCUAUUUUUUACUGGUUUAACUUACUUCAUAGAAAUAGUUUGAUAUCUUUUCCCAUGGAAUGAUAAAAUAAAGUAAUAAUAUGAAUUCUAUCUUAUGAGAAUCAUAUAUACAUAUAAGAAUAAGAAUAAAAAGAUGGAAAAAGAAGUUCAAAGAAUUCUAAACUGAAAAGUUGAUUCUUAUGGACAGAAAAGGGCUUUUAAUUAAAUUGGAGAAAAAGUUUUGUAAUAAAAGAAUUUCGUUUUCAUAUGAUUUCUCAAGAAAAAAAGAGUAUAUAAGGUUAUUUCUGAAAUUAACAUAGGUGUUGUUAAAAGUAAAGUGAUUUACAUAUGUUUUUAAGAGUCAUUUAGAAGAGAGGUUUUAUGAGGAGUUUAAAGUGGUGCUAAUAGUAAUGGGUCAAAAAGAACAUCCAAAAGAUACUUGUAAUGAAACAAAAAAUAAUUAAUUAUAUUUUACAACUCAAAAUACGCUAGAAGAUCUUUAAUAUUUCUUAGUUUACUCUAUGUUACUAUAAGUACAUAAAAUGUUUGGCUGAUAAAAUGGGGCAACCACAAUCAAGCUUUCCUUGAAGCUUCCUUAUGAUUGCCUUGUCACUUAAAACGGCCUGAAGGAAAUUUGGCGAGGAGGAGUAGGCAGGAGGUAGUUACUUCGAACAAACCUAGUCAAAACAACAUUUCCACUUCAUCUGGAAACCCAGGGACUUAGUUUUAUCCACAAAACCCACAACUCCAUGAUCCUAAAGAGUAAAGAAAAUGGACUUAUAUCCAAAUAACUCAUCAUCCUAGAAUUUAUGGGAGAUGAAGGAGGAGCCCUAUCCAAAAACCCACUUCACUGAGAUCUAAGGGAGAGAGAUUUUCAACUCCUAUAAAAUUCCCAAAGGGCAAAAGGAUAAGGGUCCAUAAUUUGAAUACCCUGGACCCUUGUUUAAUAUUUGGAAAUUCAAAGAUUUAUAUUUGAUUUUCUUUACCCCUUUUAUUUUUUUAUCAUCAUCCCUUUGUAUCAUCAUCUUUUCUUAUUUAAGGGAGAGUUUCUUCUCACUUUUCUCUUUUUGAUUCACUUUGAUUGAUUUAUUUUAGGUAGACAUUCAUAUACUCAAUUAUCCCACGAAAAUCCAUGAUACUGACUUGAGCAAGGUUAACGUUGAAAAACCUUUUGGCACCCCAGACCAUUCUUUUUGUUGCAAGUACUCGCCAGGACAACACCAUGCUUGCCAAUUCCUGCUCAGACUUGUCGAAUACUUGGUUGCCAACUUUCAUUCAAGUUACUAAAUUGAGGUUAGAAACUGUCUAUCCACACGAACAAAUUCAAAUGCUAGCGUUGGAAUCUGGUAGGUAGCCCACACACUGACACAACUAGAUUUUGGGGUCAACAUAUAACAAAAUAAAAUUUAUUGAUUGGUACCUUAUACUUGAUAUAAAUAAAGUAGAAAAUCUUCCACCUCAUAAAAUAUAUGGUAUAUGACAAAGUUACAUCUAAUUUUCUGCAUGCAUAUGGAAAAACAUUAAUUAUUUAAAUUUCUAAUUUAUCAUAUUGAGGUUUGAUUUCUGAAUUUUUUAGUUGUCAAAUGGAUUAAAUUUUCCCCUAUAAACAUUGUCUACAGAAACUCACGAAUCUAAACAAACCAAACCAAUAUUGUUUGGUGAAUGAAAUAAUGUGACCCCAAUAAGGUGUUUGCUCAGACGUCAUUGUACUCUCCUCAAAGUAAAAAGCGAGCAAAUAGUCGAUAGGCUAGCAGGAGAAAAUUCUAGUGACCUUGAGUAGACCACCUUGACCAGGUGCUUAUUUUGAUGAUCUCGAGUAGAUUACCUCGACCAUGAUGUUAUUUUGUGACCUCGAACAGAUUACCUCGACCAGGAGGUUAUUUGAUGACUCAAGCACAUCAUCUUGACUAGAAGAUGAGUCUGGUGACCUUGAGUACGUCACCUGGACCAGAAGGCAAUUCUAAUUACCUCGACCAGAUAAGUUUUGAAGAGACAUUGGACAAAGUCACCAAGAAGCAAGACAAAGUCAAAACUUCUCUGAAAUACUAGGGACCAUAUUCUUAGUGGCCUAAAAAUUAGUGGUCUUCCUUAGAAUUCUAGAAGGAGGAUUCAGCCAAGUGGAUAACAUCCAGUUUGGGGAUUGGUACUUGGUUUUAUUUUUUCAAGCUUUUGAUCUCUGUUUUUGUUUGAAAUAGAAAUUAUUUAUUUUGAUUCUAGUAAACCUAUAAACUGACUUGAGCAUUGAAGGGUUCACAUCGAAAAAACUUCCAAUGCCUCUUACCAUCUUCUAUGAUUUUAGGUGUUCGCAGGUUAUUUAUGAGUGGUCGCAGGGCAUUCUUGACGAUUGGCAAGCCCUUUCACCACUAAAUAAAUUUAAUGCUGAUGCAAGGAUAGGUAUUGAGUCACUAACCAACUCAACCGAAUUUCGGCAUCAACAUACUUUAUUAAUAUUUUUAUCCUCAGACUCUCGGUUUUGCACUUCUGCUUACUAAUACAUUAUGGAACUUAUAUCCACAUUUUUCAUCACUCUUUUGCUGGCCUCAUGUUUGUUCCUUAAUCUUCUCUUCCUCAUCUUUUCACAUCAAUGCAUGCAUAAUUAAUUAUAAUAUGAAGGUAUUAGCAUUAAGCUAAUUAAUUGUUUGGCAUUUAUAUAUACAGGUGUGUUGUUUUAUAUUUCCAUGCCAGUGCUCAACCGGAAUCAAAAGUAGUCACAUGUAAAAGCAAUGCUGACUAUGACAAUUGCAAAAUUCGUUUGAAUGUGAUCUUGAUACCCAAGGGCAGAUUUAUUAUAAGACCAGUGGGGACUUAAGUCCCCACUAGAAAAAAAAAUCUUUUAAUAAUUAAUUUAGUUUGCCUAAAUUCCCAACAAAUUUCUCUCAAGCCCGCAAUACAUAGUUACACUUAAAUUCUUACGCUCUAAAUUUUUAAGUUCAAAUCAAAAGAGAUGGGCUUUGCAAACUAAAAUUAAGCCCAUAAAUAUUAAUAUUAAUUUAAUUUUUAGACAGCCCACAAACUCAUUACUAAUUUUUUAUUAAUCUUACAUUUUCCAAUUCCACCACUAGUCCAACACCCAUCAAAAAUCCCUAAACAUCUUUUUAUGUUGGUUUUAUGUCAAUUGUUUACAUAGAAAAAGACUUAUUUAAUAAUAUUGAUAAUGAAGUUCUAAUGCAAUGUAUCAAUGUAUGACAACUCGCAAAGGACAAUUGUAAACAUAUACUGAAGUAUUAUAAAUCUUUCAAAUAUAUAUAUUUAUUACUUUUUGAAUUUUUUUUAUUUUGUCAUUGAAUAAGCCCCCCAGUCAAUCAAUAUGUUGUCUCUGCCCUUAUUGAUACCCAUCUCUACGUUUGUGUUCCUGGCUAAAAUUCGACGUGUUGUUGAAGAAAUUAAAGCUUGUAUUGCAAGUUCUAGUGAUAUUUUGGAUGCUGAAUUGCAAAAUUUGUAAUGUUUUUUGCAAUCUUUGUUUUAUUUCUUACAUUAUACUCUCUCCGGAUAUGCAUAUUAACAUUGUGUACAAAAAUUUACAAACCAUCUCCAUGUGAUUGGUCCUAUACAAUGUCGUGCUAUACAUUUGGAGAAGUCUCUAAGACUUGGAAUUAGGGAUGGCAAAACACUGGGUUUUAUUAGCCAAGCCAAGAGCCUGAAGUUUACAUUCUAUAUUUUCUAAAAACUUUUUUUAUUAUAUUUUGUAAAUUUAUAGUGUAUAAAAUUUAGUUUUGUUUUGGUUAGAUUAGGCUUUAAAAGUUGGACUUGAAUGAUUUAAAAUUUUAAAUAUAUGUAAAUGGAUUAAAUAUAUGUUAAAAGUUGUAUUUUAAUUAAAAUAUAUAAUAUAUAUUUUUAAAAUUUUUAAGUAGCUUUUGGGCUUUCGAGUUGGACUCAGGUUUUUUUUACAAAGCUCGAGUGCAGCCACAGUACUUAGAAAACAUGCUCUAGUUGGAUUGGAUUUUUCUGCCAUUCCUACUUGGAAUUCGAUUAUCAUUGAUUUCAUUAAUUGAUUGUUAUUUUUUUAACAUUAAGGACCACUACUAGAAAAAUAGGCUUUACUGACACCAAUUUAGUGUCAGUAAUUACUUUUACUGACACUUGUUAAUUGUGUCAGUAAUGCUUAAGCCAGAACACACUGACACUAAUUUUUUGUGUUAGUGAUUUUUGUGUCAGUAUCUUGUGUCACUAUAGUAUCACCACAAUAGUGAUACUAUGGUGUUAGUAUCAGUUGAUACUAUUUCUAUGUCAGUAUUUUGUGUCACUAGAGAGUCACAAGGAUGGUGACUCAAUCGUGUUAGCAUUUAAUGAUACUAUUUACAUGUCACUGAUUUAUGUGACUACAAAAUCAGGAAUCCACUGACUCAGUAACAUCAAAAAUUCUUAUCGUCAUUUAAAUAAUUAGUAUGAGUAUUAACGGUGCUAUACCGGUUGUGUUUUAUUUUUUUUAAUCACAUUAUUCCUGUUUAUUUUACAAUUAAAAUAAACCCAAAAUAUAUUAAACAUACCAAAUCUUGUAAUGCAAUUCACAUAAUACACAUUUCAAAUACAUCAGUUAAAUUAAAAUAGUUCAAAUACAUCAUUGUUUGGGGGUAAAAAACAAGUUCAAGUACUAAAUUAAGCUUUGAACAAGUAGUAUACACGAUAAAGUACUAAAUUAAUUUUGGAAAAUUUAGCCAAGAAGAAAAAAUAGAUAACAAUGUCAUUGAUUUUGGAGUCACUGAUUUUGGAGUCCGCAUAUGCCUUCAUUUUUUUUCCACCUACAAGUAUAUAAAAUCAAUUAGCACAACACAAAAAAUAAGUCUUGUAUAUUUUUAAGGAAAAAUAAUCAUAAAUUACUUGUAUGUCACCUCACGAUUGUAGGCUGUAAUUAACUUGGCAACGUAUGUAGCCCACUGAUCACGAAGUCGUGAGAGGUCCUUGACAGUGUAUUCCUCAACUCCCUUGAACUUUAAUUUUAAAACAACAAGUUAUUCACCGAAAAUCCUUGACUAAACCACUUAAUUAUCAUUCAUUUAAAUAUAUUUGUGUGUUAACAAUUAAAGCCAACAAAUAAACUCCAACAAUGUUACUAUUUUAUCCAAAAUUAUAUAGGUAAAUACUGAACAUCCUGAUCAUGGUAAUUCCAAAAAAAAAAAAAAACAACUUGUGAACCCCAACAGCAACAAUAUUUGAUAGCCGAAGCAACUUGUGAACCCCAACAGUACGCGAUUUAAUACAAAUAUGGAUGUAGAUACAAAACCUUAAUUAGGAUGACAACUUAUCCUCAUCAAAGUAAAGUACAAGCAACGACACCAUAGCACAUCCCCACUAACAACUACUUUGCAACCCAAACAAUUGUUUUGUGUUGGGAUAUGCAGUACAUUGUGUAUAUCCCAAAUCCUAAUUCAUGUCUAUAUGGAUAUUCAUAUAAUCUAUUCAACAGUAUGCAACAUAGUCACCGUUAUAAGUACCCUCACAGUUUAUAAAAUGCAUAAAAUACGCAAUAAAAAGAUAACUAUAAAGAAGCACACAAUAGGUGUUUGAGCUGAUUCAUUUCACAAUAAAUUAAAACAAUAUGAUGCAGUAUUGUAAAAAUCGUUUUCAAUACUUACAUUAUUUUUCAGAACGUUCACAUUUGUGAUGAUAUCUUGCAUGUAUUUCAUCAUAUAGUAACCACAUUCAAAGUUGCUCGGCUGCCUCGAACACUACAGGAUCAAAAUUACAUUAAUUUUUUACUGUACGUUAACAAUAAUUAGUUAGGUUUGUCUGAUUUUUACCUUGACAGGUAUCCAUUGAACAUUGGCCUUUGCAUCAAAAUUUAAACUCUGAUGUAUUCGAAUCCCCCUACAAUUAAGAGACAUAGCAAACGUUAGCAAAUAAUUAGCAUAAGACAUAAAAAUAAAACAGCAUGAUCAAAGAUACAAAUAACAAACUUAACUGAUUGACAAUCUGCAUUAGCUCUUCAUCAGGACUACCUUCCAAAGGAUCAAGAUAAUAGGUUGUACGUCUCACCAUAUCAAUUGCCAAUAACACCCAGUGGGCACUAAACAAAGUAAAAAUUGUUCUCACACAUGAAUUACAAGUAAAAGUUUUUAACUUCAUGAUUAAUCUACAAAUUAAAGAAUAUAACUAGCAAAUGAAAAAGGUUAUACCCAGGGUUAUACGAGAAUACGAUGACUUGUCCCAAUUCUGCCAAGCCUAACAGUUUUGAAAUGUAUUGAGUCUUGUCUUUGAAGCUGACCCUUGGAUAUAGCUUCUCAAAAAGCCCAAACGGAACUGGUUUAGUACUUUCAUUGCUCUCCGUCUCCUCAUACAGGUGUCUAAGAGGAAACAAAUAUAUAUAAUGAAGUAAGUUUGAAUAUAGGAAACAAAAUAAUAGGGCCAAGUUUACUAAAACAUAAGUUAUAAUUUACCGUACUUGAUCCAUAUGUUAAUGAUGCAGUUUGAGACCUCUUUAAACUCGAUGAUUUCAGCACAAAUCAUUUUUUCCAAGUGUGUUUCCCAAAUUUCACCAAAGGUUGCUGUGUCAUGCCGAAUCCUGAUCAACCGAGGUAAAGAAUUCUCGAUGAACAUGGUAAACAUGUUCAUAUAUUCACUCCUGUCAUUCUUUCUUGAUCGUGCUGCUGCCCGUGUAUUCUUCACACGUACAUUGAGGUCUUUUACUGCUGGUCUGAUGACUCAGGGUUCUUUUUUGGUUACUUCUGCUGGUCUGAUGACUCUGGGUUCUUUUUUUUUCUACUUCUGCUGGUCUGAUGACCAGUGGUUCUUUUUUGGGUACUUCUACUGGUCUGAUGACUAGUGGUUCUUUGUUGGGUACUUUGUCAUGAUAGGAGAACUGCCUAUCUAGUACUUUAGAAGUUAGUCUAGGAGAUCUUCUCGGUGUGGGCUUUGAAGUAAUUUCACACUCUACUUUUUCGGGGGUUUGUUGAGGAGUUGCUUGAGAAAUUGUGGUGGGACUGUCCUUGAUUUUACUCUUCACAGAUUUUGGAGUCGACUUACCCGAUGGGAAAUCAGCCUAUGCAAUAAUCAAAAUACAUACCAUUAGUAGUAAUACAUGCAUAUACAAAUAGAAAUAAAAUAAUGACAUGUAACAGGCCAUAUACCUUUCUUUUUCCAAGAGUUUCAGGGGAUUGUUGAUCAUUGUCAAUCUGAACACCAGUGGAAGUUUUGGGCUUAGGAAAGUUAGAACUUCCAACUUCAGUAUUGCUGUAUGCAUUUAACCUUGCAUUCAUGCGUUCUAAUUGAGCAGACAUGAAUUGGAAACUCUCUUGAUACAUCUUUCUUUCUCUUGCUAACUCAAUGGCAUCAGGGACAUGAAAGUACAUAGAUGGGGUGACGAAUUGCCCCACUCCUUACACCCUGCUUCCAUUUGGCUGCUUCUGAAGAGCUUCACCUAGAAUGUCAUGUGACCCUUGUGAUUGGAAUGUUCCUUGUUCAACCUGACUCUUCAGCUCAUUCUACAAAAAAAAAAUAUUGUAAAUCCGCAAUUACGAGUACAAGACAUCAGCUAAAUUAAAAUUCAUAAGAAUUAAGUAUACAAGUGACUUACUAUUUUCUCAGCAAUUGGCAUCACAUCAGAAGCAUAUUUACCAUCUCGGUCUGCUCGUGCCAUUAACCAAGCUUCACUGCGAUCAAUCUCCCGCUCAGAAACUCCACUCUCUUUUUUCUGUUACAAGGUGACAUAAAACAUAAAUAAUUGGUUCUAUUAUAUUAUACGUAUUAGAUUACUUAUGUUACUGUAAUUACUUCAUAUUACCACACUUACUUUUCUAUACAACAUGCCACCAUAUCUUGUGCUACCCAAGCGAUGGUUGUAGACAUUCUUUGCUCUUUUGUCUUUUGCCUUCUUACUUUUUUCCUGCACAAACAGUUUAUAUGAAGAACAAAAAGUUACCAUUGAUUAUUAGUAACUACUAACAAUUAAAUCAGGCAAUAUUAACAAACAACACACCUGAAAUUGUUCAGACAAAACUUUGUCAACAAAAAGUUUCCAAUCUUCUUUUUUAAUGCUUGGAUAUUCAAUAGGAGGCAACUUUAGUGACUUUCGAUCAUCCUUGUUAGGUAGAACUAAUUCAGUUGCCAGUUCACAUUGAAAGUUUCUUGAUGCAACCCCCAUCCACUUUAAUACUUGGCUUUUGCAUUUCAAGCUCAAUUUGAAUUAUUUUCUGUAAACCAAUAACAUGGAUUAGAAACAACUUUAAACAAAUCUGGAAGUUAUAUAAAAUCUUUAAACAUACUAUGAAACAAGAAAACAAAACCUGAAAAUGAACCCACAAAGUUUCCUUCAUCUCUAGUGGCACACGCCUCCAAUCAUCAAGUAAAAUUGAAAUUGUUUUACGUACAAUGACUCCAAUGUAACUCCUAAGAUCAUUUCUUCCCUUUCCAACUGGAACACCAUAAGAAUUGUACUCAAUUGCAGCUUCAUGACUAACUUCUUAUUUUUAGAAACCUUUUUUUUUUGUUUGUUUUCUUCUCCUUGGUCUUCCGUCGAGCUCCGGAAGAGUGAACUCAACAUCGUCAGCCAUCUCCUACAAUCCUGAAAAUGAUUAAAAUAAAUAAGUAUAUCAUUUAGAUUAAUAAGUUAAUACAAGAGCAAUAGCAUAUAAUGAAAUAAAUAAAUCACUUACUGGAAAACUGUGAAAAUUAGUGCUGGAAACUAACUACAAUAAUGCAUUCACUGAUUUUCUAAAUCAAUAUCUAUUGGAAUAACAUCAGAAUCUUUUUUGUCAUAAAUUCCUUCAUCAUCUUUCUCAUCCAACUCACAUAUUGGAAGUUUGUUAGAUAAUGGAGAAAAUACAUCCACAUCUUCACAUCUUUCCCCAUUUAACUUAUAAGCUUUGUCGGUCACUAAACAAACUAUUGAUUUAUUAUUAUCUAACUGGUCCUUUACAUAAAAUACUUGCUUUGCAUGACAAGCCAGAAUAAAGCAAUCAGAUUUAUAGCCAAUCCGAUUUAAAUCAACUACAGUAAAACCUAAAUUGUCAGUGCAAACCCCUCUAUCAUCUACCCAAUCACACUUGAAAAGUAUUUUUUUAACCCUCAGAUAAUCAAGCUACCAAAUCUCAUCAAUGACUCCAUAAAACGUCAUGUCUCCAAAAUGAGGACUUUUAUCUUUUGAGCUUGAAAUCUGUAGAGUGUUAGCAACAACCCUAACAUCACUAUUUUGGGUCACACGAUUACAAUCCUGGUCCCUCGUUGUAAAAUUGAAGCCAUUUAUCUCGUAGCCAGAGAAGGUCACCACGCUUGAGCGUGGUUUGUUUGACAACCAGCACGCUAUUUCGUCAAUCGGCACAUUAUUUGCUUUAUCAUGUGCCACCUAUAAAUUAAAUUAACAAGUACAAUAAUUAAUAACAUGUAGAAAAAUCUUGUUAAGUUUAUAUCCUAUAUUGUAUUUAGUUAAGUAAUUCUAACCUUUGCUUGUAACCAACCAGAAAAUGUACGUAUGUGUUCAUUUUGCAACCACAUAUUUGUUUUUGGCUUAUAGGGGUUUCUUGAUGCCAAAUAAUGCAUAUGCUCCCUACAGUGAGACCAUAUUAAGAUUUAAAAACUAGUAUAUUAAUCUAAUAAUACAAUAGUAAUAUUUUUUUUGGAAAAAUUAACAACUUACUCGAUAUAUAUUUGGAUUUCAGGGGUGUUCAUUAGAACACACCGGUGUGCUUGUGCCAACAAAUGAUCAUCAACCACCUUUAUGUUUGCACCUCCCAAAGGCUUUUCGAUAGAUAAAUCAGUUGGACAACCAGUAGGCAGCCCAAUAACAUCACAAUUUGAGAGGUACUCAGCACAAAAUGCAAGUGCUUCUUCUGCAAUAUAACUUUCUACAAUACAACCCUCAGGGCGGUAGCGAUUACGAACAUAAUCCUUGAGAGUUUUCAUUUGUCUCUCAAAAGGAUACAUCCAUCGAAGAUAAACAGACCCACAUAACCUAACUUGUUCAACUAAGUGGACUGUUAAAUGGAUCAUUAUGUCAAAAAAGCUAGGUGGGAAGUACUACUGCAGUAAGCAUAAAGUGAUUACAAGUUCCUCUUGCAAUUGGUCAAGAGUAUUAGGAUCUACCACUUUACAGCAUAAUGUAUUAAAAAAGAAGCACAUCCUGAUUAUGGCCCUUCUCACAUUUAUAGGCAAACAGUUUCGAAUGGCUAAUGGUAGAAAUUAUUGCAUCAAAGUAUGACAGUCAUGGGACUUAAGGUCUUGAAGCCGACAAUCAUCUAUUGAAACAAGGUUUUGGACAUUGGAAGAAUACCCAUCAAGGACUUUCACACUCAGCAAGGUUUCACAAAACUAUUUUUUUUCUUUUUUACUCAAAGUAUAGGGAGCUGGAGGUAGGACUUUGUUUUUUUUGUUUGUUUCAUCAGGAACUAGUUUUCUAGCAUUAAUCCCAUCUUUUGUUUUGCCUGGUUGAUGAAGUAAUGUGCCAUAUAUGUUCUCGCACACAUUUUUUUCAAUGUGCAUCACAUCUAAUUGAUGGCGAACUAAUAAAUGCUUCCAAUAAUCUAACUAAAAAAAGAUUGACUUUUUUUUUGUACAACUUUUCAGUUAUGUUCUCAUCACCAUCACCGCCACCGCCGCCAUCAUGUUUCCGCUUUUUGGCCUUCUUUUUCCUAAACUUAAUAUCUAUAUCUUCCACCAUAUUAAAGAUUUCCUCACUACACAAAGUUUUAGGAGGCUCAUUCCACUCUUGCUUCCCAUUAAAAACCUUUUUCAGUUUUCGAAAUAGGUGACCGAGUGGUAGAAAGCGGCGAUGGCCCAUAUAUGACAUUUUCCUACUAUGUGGCAACCAACAUGCACAAGUGUCUAUCCCACAAAUUGGGCAAGCAUAAUAGCCCUUAACAGUACAACCAGAGAGGUUUCCGUAUGCUGGAAAGUCACUAAUUGUCCACAUCAAGAUAGCCCGUAAAUUAAAUGUUUCUUUUCUAUAAGAAUCAUAAACAUCAAUACCUACAUCCCAUAGAGUUUUUAAGUCCUCAAUCAAAGGUGUUAGGUAUACAUCUAGAUCAUUUCCAGGUUAUUUAGGGCCAGAUAUCAAAAGUGACAACAUCAAAAACUUUCUCUUCAUACACAACCAUGGAGGAAGAUUAUAUGUUAUUAAUAUAACAGGCCAACAACUAUAAGUAGUGUUAAGUGUACUAUGUGGGUUAACCCCAUCAGUUGAGAAAGCUAAACGGAGAUUUCUAAGUUCUUGUGCAAAUUUUGGCCACUUAUUGUCAAUUAGUUGCCAGGCAGGUGAGUCUGCUGGGUGGUAAAGUUUGCCAUCUCUAAUUCUUUUAUUACCAUGCCAUGUUAAAUUUGAGUUGUUUGUGGUGAUUGAAACAAUCUUUUCAACCUAGGAAUAGGUGGAAAAUACCAUAAUACCUUUUUAGGAACCCCUUUCCUAAAUUUUGUUGAGCUAUCUUUUUUUAUUUGAUACCUAGAUGCUCCACAAUUUGGGCAUUCAGCAAGAUCAGCAAUUCAUUCCUAUACAAAAUGCAGUCAUUUGGACAUGCAUGUAUUUUUUCAUACUCUAAGCCUAGCACUUUCAUUGUUUUCUUAACCUCGUACAUUGACAUAGGUAGAGUAUUAUUAUUUGGCAAAAUAUCACCAAGGACUUCUAACAAAGCAGAAAACCCUUUAUCGGACCACCCAUAGUUCCCUUUCACAUUGUAAAGUCUCAUUAAACUAGAUAACUUUGAAUGUUUUGCACCCGGGUACAAAGGCUUUUCAGCAUCUUCAAGCAUAUCCUUAAAAGAACUAGGAUCUCUAUCACAAUGCUCGUAAGCAUCUUCGACCAUGUCAAUUAUAUUACUGUAAUCAUGACAUCUAAAUCUUUGACUAUGUGAAUGGUCUUCACAGUUUAUAAAUGUAGAUUUAGAGUCAGUCUCACCAUGCCAAGUCCAAACAAUAUAUCUUGGGAGAAAACCUUUUUCAAAUAAAUGAUCCUUCAUCGGUUGAGGAGUAUGAAACUCCAUAUUACAACAAAAGGUGCAAGGACAUCUAAUUGACAUCCGAUUUUCAACAUUCAAAAUGGCAAAAUCUAAGAAAUCAGCAACUCCAGAACGAUACUCUACAGACAAUCUAUCACAAGUUAUCCAACUUCUGUCCAUUUCAAAUAUUUUACCUAUUCACAUAUGUAAUGUCAGUUUAAGUUUAAUUAAAUUGCAUGAUUAAUUUAAAGUUCAAUGUUAUUAUGAUUAUAGUUGCAAUAAUAAACUUAUAAUUCUGGAAAAUCAUUAAUAGCCCCUAUAAAUCAUUAAUUAUAAUAAUAAUUUAGACAAAAUCCUAAAAUUGAAAUAAAAGAAGUUUUGAAACUUAAAUAGGAGAUUAAUAGGUAAGAUGGGUAAUAAUGGCUUUUUAAGUAGUCGAACUAAUUCAUAAGUCAAGUAACUAACAAAAGUUAAGAGUUCAAAUAAAUAAUGUCUUCAUACCACUUUGCAAGCCAUUUUUAAAGAUUCUAUAAAUCAUUUUUUAACUUCAAAUACAACAUGCAAAACUACUUUAAAACAAGCAUUUCUUUAUUGAAUCAAACACAAAUCAUCAACUUUAUACAAUCUCAAAAUACUCACAACCACGAACUUAAUUAAUUCAUAUCAUAGUCAUUGUCUCUAGUACAAAUCACCCAACCAAAACAGAAUAAAUAAACAAGUAGGAUUAUAUAACAAAAUUUGCCUCUCUUCACAUGAAACAGAGAUGUAAAUAGUUUGUAACCACUAAAUACACAGUCAUUCAGCCAAUAUAACACCCAAACAAUCAUCUCCUAAUCACAAAGGCAAAAGCUAAAAUGAAAUUUCAUAUUUUAGUACAUUCAAAAUCAACUAACUUAUUGCUCAAAGUUAAGAAACGGAGCUAACAGUUUAUUUCAGAAACUAAAAAAAAAUGCACAUUCUUAGUUUUAAAUAACAAUGACUGUAAAUCACAUGCACAAAAGUUUGAAACUGACCUCAAAUGUGGCAGAAAAAAACAGAGUCGCAGUAGCAAGUGUUUUGAGUUUAAGUAAUGCACCACUUAAAAUGCCUGUAUUUUUGGACUGCAUGUGAGUGAAGAUAUAGAAAAAUAAGAACAAAAAUUUCAAGUUAAAAAUAAAUAAAAGAAAAAAAAAGAUUUGGAAAACAAAACCCACCAGGGUUGCACUACUGUUCAAUUUCUGAAUAUCUGAAACAACCCAAAAAUAAUAAUUCAAAAAUAUUAUUCAUAAGCCAAAUUAAAACAAACCCAAUAAUUAAAUUGCCCAAAAAAAUAAAAUAUUCUGCCAUUACCAGCUGAUAACCUCCUCUACAGUUCUUUCUCUAGACUUAACUUGUCAAAGAGAAUGAGAUUACCUGAAUACGGAACCGAUGGUGCCACUUCACCCCUUGUCGAUGGCUUUUACUUGCUUGCCUAGUAUAGGCACUGGAUGGUUUAGUUGGAGAAAAACCCCUUCGAUAACAAGCGAUUAGGGUUUUGGUUUGUGUUUCAAUUUGGGGAAAAUGGAAAUACGAAACAGAGUUUUAAUUUUUCAUUAUCUAUCUAAAUUAAUUGAAUUUAAUUCGUAAAUGGAUAGUGCAAAAUAGAAGAGAUCGAGAAGAGAAGAACGAAAGAGAAAGUGAACGAUGAAAGCAAGAUAGAGACAGUCGAUAUAGUCUAAAUGGGGAAAAGUCAAGUGUGUUUUAUGUUGUUGUUAUUUAUAUUUUCAUUUUUUAAUAAUUUAAAUAUUAUUAUGACUUUGACUCAUCGAGAUUUGAUGGUCUGUGCUCCAAACAUUAAAGCUUUAAAUCUUAGAGCUCUCAGGUUCGAGUUGGAGGUAAAACAAAAUUUUUAUGAAUUUUUUUAUCAUUGAUACUUUAGUGUUAGUGAUUUUUUAUGUUUAGUUUACUGACACCCUAGUAUCAUUAAUCUCUGAUUCCUAUUUGUCAAAAGCGGAAAAUGGUGCAUAUGUACAUAAGUACUGACACUUUUUGCAAAGUGUCAGUAAAGCUUAUUUUUCUAGUAGUGGACUCAAAUGAAAAUAAUUAUAAAUAGUGUCUUAAGAUAUUAAUCUUUUCAAAAAGACGAGGAUUCAUAUAUUACGGAUACUUGAAUCGAAGAAUGAUGCAAUGGUGACCAAACAACUGUAAAAUCAUAUAAUGUUAUAGUGUUAAAUAAAAAAAAAUAUAACUAUUUUUCAAUCAACAUUGUAACACUACACAAUUUACAAUUAUUUUUGUCACCCUUAUGUCUCUGUUAGAACUCUAUCAUUUUUCAUUUCUUAAAAAAAACAUGCUUAAAAGAUCCCCAAAUUUCUGUGGUAUAUGUAUAUACUUUUAAAAUGAAGAUAUAAUAAAUAUAAAAUUUUACAAACGAUCUAGUACUUUUUCUAAAUUUCGUUGAAGAAAUAAGAUACCAUCGUACAUGAUUAAUCACGUAUAUUCAUUUGAGUAAUUUUACAUUUAUAACCUUGGGAUACAAAUUUUGUUUGUGAUAUACAUGCAAGUCUCGUAAUGUAUAAUUCGUCAUCGAGGAUUUAACACAUCAACAACGGCUGAUGCUGGUAAUUAUUCUUCUGUAUCUUCAGGAUUUAAGAAGAGGGUCACAGUGGGUCUAGAUAAUAGAAUGGAGGAGUUGAUAGAUUUAUUCAUUGAGGUACCACCUCAACUUUUAGUAGUGGCCAUCCUUGAUAGCGUAAAAUCAAGUUUGUAUCAGGCCAUGAUUCUUCUCUAGGGAGGAGGAGGGAGCAGAUGAACAAGAAACCCCCGUGUAGUGGGUUGAGAGGAUUAGAUGGAGAUGCUGUUAAAACUAAGGUACGAGGCAGAGAAGCAAGCUGUGGAAGCCAAUUAGGGUGAAGACUCUCAAAAAGCAAACACGAUGAUUAGCAGUAUGUCUUUGCCUCGGCUCAUAGUGCUAACUACUUCAACUUUGUCUGUUACUUGGAAACUUUGGUGCCUUCCAUGACAAUCAUCUUGUGGCAGCAAGGUCAAAGAUUCUAUUGCUUUUGGUUUCAAUGAACAGAGCUAGCUUACCAGACAGGGUUAGCAUUUUAUUAAUUGCAAGUGGUAGCAUAUUUAUUCAUUAGCGUCACCUUCCCCUCAUCUUCUCCAACCUUGCUGCAAGUGGUAGCAUAUUUAUUCAUUACCUACAUUGAUAAAGUUUUUAAAAAUUUCCUUUUCACGAGAAAUAGUCACGGAAAAACUUGUGCAUGAUAGAGCAGUCAGUGACUAACUCCAUGAAAUAAUUAUAAAAUCAUUAUUUGUCUUUAAUUUUCAUCAUAUUAUUUGUCUUUAAUUUUCAUCAUACUCAUUAAAAAAGUAUUAUGAUUACAUAGUCAGUGUUUUAUAUUCACAGAUGACAAAAGUAACGAAGUACUGCCAUUUUGGAUUUAAUUGCAAGUUGUAUAAUUUAUUAUGCUCCAAGUCCAUAUCACAUAAACCAAUACCCAAUCUCUUUUCUACAACUACUUCCGUAUUGUACAUAUUAUCAAAAUUCUAUAAUAAAACAUCAUUUAUGUAUAGAAGAAAUUAUUGACUAAACUAACAUGCUCACACUACUUGAGUGCUGAGAGAAAGAGUUGCGUCGGUCAACCUACGACCAAUUCCAUUCAUCAACAAUAAAUGUUUCAGCGGACACAUAAAUAUUUGAAUUAAGAGCUAAGAAGUUUUAACAAUGAUUUUUUUUUUUUAAACAAAGAUUCUGCCUUGAUAUGUUCUAAUUUGAGAGUCAACGAUCUUGAUUUAACUUCUUGACUGGAGAACUAGCUAAGAGAAGGGAGGUACGGGAGCCAGCACUAAUGUUUGAAUUGAGAUCUUUAAAGCAUAUUUUCUUUUUCCCCUCUCUCUUUUAAUUAUUUCUUUGCAUGCUACAAGACUGAUUUCAGGGUGAAUCUGAGAGAGGAGGAGAUAUGGACAUCAGCUUCAGACUAUUUUCAGAGAGGCUGAGAAGGGUGUUAGCUGGUGAAGAAGUCAUGUUGUCUGAUGCUGCGAAACAACCAAUUCACAACCUUAAUGCGGAGGUUGAAAUCGUUACUUCUUGGCUGAGGGAAUUUGAAUAUGAUAUCUCCUGCCUUCUGUUCCAAAAAAUAGCAGAGGAGGAAAUUGAUGACCCAGAUCUUGCGACCGUUAUGCACAAAAUCAAUUGCUUUACGUAUGAAUCUGAGAAGGUCAUUGACACAUACAUCAACAGCAUCACUCAACAGAAGAGUCAAAGCAGAUACAACAAGGACAUUUGUGAUGCUCUGCAACGACUCCAAAGCAGAAUCACUGAGAUUAAGCAACGGGUUCAACAACUUAAGCACAUCGAUCCCGAAAUCAUGGACAACUUCAGAAGUGUUGAAGCUGAAUCCGGUUAUUUUCCUGCAUCUUCAUCUUCUAAGAAUAGGAACACGGUGGGCCUAGAUGGUAGAAUGGAGGAGUUGUUAGAUCUAUUGAUCGAGGGACCAACUCAGCUUUCGGUGGUGGCCAUACUCGAUAGCAUUGGGUUGGACAAGACGGCUUUCACUGCGGAGGCUUAUAACAGCAGUUAUGUGAAGCAUUAUUUUGAUUAUCUCGCUUGGAUUCCAGCGCCUUAUCAAUAUGACCCUGACCAACUAUUAGAUGUCGUUACUGUGAUUCUAUUGCCUUUUUCUAUGUUGAGUAAAAUAAAGGAUAAAGAUUAUGAAAUGAAAAAAGUUAUUCUUGGUGAAUAUCUAAUGACUAAGCGGUAUUUGAUUGUGCUUGAUGAUGUGUGGAGCGCAGAUGUAUUGGAUGCUAUUCAAGAAAUCCUUCCGGAUAAUCAGAAUGGAAGUAGAGUGCUAAUCACACUCACUCUAAUUGAGAUGGUCACCUCAUUUCAGUUCGAAAAUGGAGAGAACGUUCGCCUUGAUAUAGUGCCCACUAGAGGACCAUUGAGGGUUAGUUACCAAGGAUGGCCUUUCCUCAUCUUAUAUCAUGGAAGCAUCUCAUUAGAACAAAAUAUAGAGGAAGCAAUCGAGGGACCCAUGGGGCGUCUAACCGUCAUAUCUUGCAAGCUACCUUUUCGCUUGAAACCUUGUUUUCUCUACUUAUCUGUGUUUCCCGCACACCUAGAGAUAUCCACCAGGCAGUUAUAUCAGUUGUGGAUAGCUGAGGGUUUCAUUCCAGACAACAGUGAGGCAACUGCUGAGAAGUACUUAGAGCAACUAAUCAAUAGAGGCUUUGUUGAUGCAAGGAGGAGAAGAGCUGGAGGCACUAUCAACACAUGCUCUGUUCGUGGUCGUUGCCGUCCUGCGUUGUUAACAGUGGCUAUCGAGGCGGAAUUUAUCUUUCUCUCGUUCAUGGUUUCAGAACGUAAAUCAAAAAAGAAUGUUAAACGGAUCAACGUUUUUGAUAAACAGAGUGAUUUUGUUCACUUUGUUGAUGAUGACUCGCACAUGCAUUCUUUGUUGUACUUCACUUCAAAAAGCGACCACCUUGACCCAAUAGAUUGGGGGAUAAUUUGUCUAAUGUUGGAAUUUCUCAGAGUAUUGGACUUGGGAUCUCUUGUUCUCAUCCAAUAUCCAUCCGGAAUUGAAAAUUUAUUUCUUUUGAGAUAUUUAAAGUUGAAUAUCCCUUCCCUCAAAAUCCUGCCUUCAUCAUUAUUAAGCAAUCUUCUGAACCUUUAUACCCUAGACAUGCCCUUUAGCUAUAUAGAUCAUACAGCAGAUGAAUUUUGGAAGAUGAACAAACUCAGGCAUCUAAAUUUUGGGUCAAUCACACUUCCUGCGCAUCCAGGAAAAUACUGCGGCUCUCUGGAAAAUCUCAAUUUCAUUUCAGCCUUGCAUCCUUGCUGCUGUACUGAAGAUAUAUUGGGCAGACUACCUAAUCUUCGAAAUCUCCGGAUUCGGGGAGAUUUAAGUUAUUAUCAAUUUUUGUUGUCCCAAAGUAUUUGCAGAUUGAGCUGCCUCGAGUCAUUGAAGUUGGUGAAUGAAAGCAAGAUGCCACGGAUCUCCAAAAUCAUCCUUGCUGAAUACCUAUUUCCUCAUAGUCUAACCCACUUGAGUUUUUCUAAUACUGACCUAAUGGAUGAUCCCAUGCCGACACUAGAAAAGCUGCCACUUCUUCAAGUGCUCAAACUGAAGCAAAACUCGUAUUCAGGUAGAAAGCUGACUUGUGGAUCUGAUGGUUUUCCAAGGCUUAAUGUAUUGCACAUGAAAUCAAUGCUAUGGCUAGAGGAGUGGACUAUGGGGACUGGGGCCAUGCCAAAACUAGAAUGCUUACUUAUCAACCCUUGUGCUUACUUGAAAAGGGUUCCUGAACAGCUCUGGUGCAUAAAGAGCUUAAACAAAUUCGAUUGCUGGUGGCCUCAGCCAGAGCUGAGACAAAAGCUACGGGAAUUCAAGGAUAAGGAGCAGUAUGGCGUUCAGCUUUAUCCUUACGGAAUUUGAUUAGCCCUGAUUGAGUUUCAUGUAAGUUUUUUCUUCUUCCCCAAUAACUUCAACCUUUAAUUAUUGAUCUAAUUUCAUAUAAAAGUUUUUUUUCCUCCACAAUAGAUUUGAUAGUAUGCAGCUGCCUAAACUAUAAUCAUAAUAUAAAGUGUUUUCUACAUUCUAAUUGUGGUUGCUUCUAAUUUUUGUCUCAACAUAAACUUGAAGUGUCCAUCACAGUUCCUGAUGCUGACACCAUUCAUUAAAAACUGUAUGAUAAGAUCUUCUAUCAGUUGUAUGUGCAGGUAAAAGCAGAGCGGAAAAUAUCUUAACUGUACUGCAGCCAAAGUUUCAAUUUCAACCAGAAUCCAGCCUUCAUCCUUUCAGUGUUCACUUCUGCUGAGUUGUCUACACGUUGUUUGGUUUCUUUGUUUUCAAGGAUUUGCAUGCUAAAGUAAUAAUGUCAUGUUCGGAUUAAUAUAUUGUACAAAAGUCUGAUUAAUUGUUUUACUUUCUAUUUUCAGUUUCACUGGUGUGUAUUCAAUUUGUCAACAUUCAAAUUGAUAUAUGUUAUGUUUUUAUUUUUAUUUUAUUUCUUUCUCUAGUUUUUAAGUAGCGGUACAGUUCAACUUCAAGCUUAGUACUUCAGUUAGAAGAAUAGUAUUUGUGCUUUGAUCUCAUCUCAUCAUCUCAACACAGGCAGAACGACAUUGUUGUUCGGUUUUUUGGAAUUUCACCGACGUGUCGGUCAUUAUAAGGGCGAGAAUGCUGGUCAAAAGUCAGUUGGGGUUAGUUAAAAAAGUGCAGGAAAAUUCUGGGAUUGUUAGAGAUGGCCUUUAUGAUAGUUUAUAAGGCUGGUUGAUGGGUCAUCUUCUCAGAUCUCAUCAAAGCUAUGGGGAGGGAGGGAGAGAGAGAGUUAAAGUAGAAAGUUGUAUAUUCUUGUUCUCUGUAACAAGCUCUACAUCCUGGUAACCUUGAUUUGCGACAUAGUGAAAGCUUGAAAGCUUGUAUCCUUGUUCUUCACUGGAUUUAGGCACUUUGAUUCAAUUUUUAGUUCGGAUUUCUGAGAACGAGUCUUCAUACAUCAAAUCAAAGAUGGUCUGAGGUGUUUGAUCUUGGUACUGUCAGAGGAUUAAACACAACAAAAAGAAACUGGGACAUAUUGCCUAAUCUUCAUAGUCUUGAGAUAUAUGGAGAUUAAGCCCUUGUCAAUUUGGGUUGUCCAACAACCCUUUUAAAAUCGAAAACCAGCACUAAUCCUUGGUGAUUUGGAGCAGAAGAUUUAACGAGUAAAGUUCCGAAAGUGGAAUCAUACCAUUACCAAAGCCCUCUUUUGCAGCAGAGAAAUCCCUUAUAGCCAUUGAGAUUAAUUGAUUAAAUGGAGUUGACAAAUGAAACAAAAACGAAAAAAAAAAAAAAAACUUCAAUUCUACCAAAAUCAUUCAACCAUUAAUACCCACUUUGAAUAAAAUUCAACAUCCUUUUUUCUAUCCCUUUCAGGUAAUAAGUUGCUUCUGUUGUUUUUAAUCUCAAUAAGAUAUAUAUCAUCGGCAUAUUGAAGUUUGUGAUUAUUCUAAGAAAAAAUAGGUGCUUUAUUAUUUGAAUUAUCGACAAAAUAAUUCCAUUUCAUUAUUUUGUUAGAUCCACUAUAUGUACAUGUUUGAAUCUUAUUCACAAGUUUUGAUUUCACUCUCACGUUUCAUAUGAUGUCAAAUCAGAUAAAAAGAAAAAAAAAAAUGAAAGCUAGCUUGUCGGUAGCAAUUACAUUAGCAUUUAGCAAAUGUUAUUUUGAGUACAAGCACAAUUUGGCUCAUUUUCCAGGACCAACUAUCUUCCAUUUAGAAAUGCAUUGACAAACAGAUUAAUUGGUAAAAUGAUGGUUUCUAGAUAGAAUCUUUCCAAGUUGCACUAAACUCCUUUCCUCCAAGCUAAACAUUAAUUAAUUUGCAUUUGAUAAAAUUUUUCUUUCUAUUCUUUUUGCAUAACGAUUGGUCACCAAUCUUGAUUCAAUUUUUUGAAUGGCAACUUACUGCUGGAUUAAUUAGAGAAUCAGACAUCACUCAUAAGGCAUCAAUCGGGUAAAGUUAUUUUCAUACAAUUACUUUCUUCAUAUCACAUCAGUCUAUACAAAUUUAUUUAUACAAGAUAGUUGUUACUCUAUCAUUAUUCAUCAAGAGAUCUAAAGAGAUAUAUAUAUAUAUAUUGGGGAUGGAUCAACAGCCCCCUAAAAAUACUCUUAAUUUUACACUAAUUAAUAUUUAUUAGAUUUGAAUUGAAUCAAUGGAUGUGAUUAAUUGAAAUUAAAUCUUCAAGACCUUUUAAUAUUCUCUCUCUCAAUGUGGUUCCCACUUAAAAUUUUUCUCACUCUUUUAUUUUUUCCCUUCGUUCACGUGAUGUGCUCUCUCUCUCUUCUCUUCUCUUGUUCUUUUUAAUCUAUGAUUUUUCGUUUGCUUUUUUCUUUCUUCCUCAGUCAUAAAAAGUCUUAACUCUCUCUAGCAAAAAUUCUUUACUCUCUCCAACUUUUAACUCCACAACUCUUUUUUUCACUUUUUUUUCUCUCUCCACAUACCAUUUGAAAGCACAAAAUUAUUAAUUUUAACCAGCGGAACUAGUCCCCCAGCAAAACAAUCAUCAAACUCAAGUUUAACAAAAAAUUCUUGUGAAAAAGGAUGUCUAUUGACAACGACAUGGCAUUAGAAGUUUUUCUUCAAAUCUCAAGUAUAGAUUUGAUUGGUACAAAGAUUUACCACAUAUUAUGAAUAAAAAUAUUAUAAUCUUAAGUAUAUGAAAAAAAUAUGUGCGAAUGGGAAUAUGAUCUCUACUGUAUAUUAUGAAUAAAAAUAAAGAAAGAGAAAAUAAUAGCAAUUUUGAGCAAACAAAUAGAAACCUUGCCUUAUGCUAUUUAAAAUUAAUAGUAUUACGUCAUAAUUAAUUUGAGAAUUUGCUUUAAGUGGUCCAUAAAGUAAGUCCAAAAUGACUGAAUAAGACAAAAUUACAGAGACUUCUUUAACCAAUGAAACAAGUUGGUUGCUUCAAUAUUCCUCGUCAAUGAUUUUGGUGCCCAACUCCUUGAGUCCUCCUGGAAGGAUUUCAACAACAAUGCUACGCAAAACUGACAAUAAAAGAAAAUAAGAGGGGAAACGAAUGAAAACAACAAUGAAGAAAAAUAAGUACCAUCAAUGGUCUGCAGGAUACAACUUAAGCCUAUAGCUUGAGGCAAUCACUAUGCACAAUAAAACUCAAAUCACAUAUACAAGUGAAGAACUAAAAAUUGAAGAAGUUGGCUAUUAAACAUAUAAAUUUCAAUGAACAUAAUCAAUCAAAAUCUAAGCAUACUUACAACAAUUCUCUUCGUGAUUAUAUUGAUAUCAAUUUAACUCAUUUCUUCAUUCCGUAAUAUUUUUGCAAAUAAUCAAAAAUAAACUUUUUAGAGAGAUCUUUAAUAUUGAAAGGUAAUUAUUACAAGAUUUUAUUUACAAUUUACCUAGAUUUGAUAUUUCAAUGCUUUUUCUACUUGGAUUUAAAGGACAAAUACGCUUAUCAUGUCCAAGUUUGCCGCAUGAAUUGCACUUCCUCUUCUUCUUGCCAAGAGCCAACUCAAUACCACUUUUGAUUCUGCCAGUGUUGUUAACAUCUUUCUUCCGACCCUUGGUUUGUGAAAUAUUUGGAUCCAAAAGUAAUGGCUGAGAUGAACUAAUGCUAAAACAAGGAUCAUCUUUCUGUUGGCAAACAGUGGCUGGUUGGUUUGAAAUAUCUAACAACUUUUUUGCUAGCUCAUUUAUACCAUCCAUGUAAAUCAAGUAUGCCUCAUUUGAAGAUGCAACAGCACAUGCUAAUUUAGUAGUUUGGUGGCACAUAUGGCUUAGUCUCAAAGCCUCUAAUUCUUCUUUACCAUCAUUUUUCAAAAAAUCUCUCAAAUCAAUCUUUCUAAAUUUAUUUGCCUCUUGUCUCCAUCUUGGAAGAAUAAAAUGAUUCGGCAGCUUAUCAAUGUCUAAACGAACAAACACUUUCAGCAUAUGUCUGCAAAGUAUUCCAACGAACUCAAAUUUUUUACAAUCACAAGUACCCUCAUAAGUUUACGGAUUUAACUUCACCAUAAACUCUUCAGAUUCUCCAAACUUUGUUCUCACUAGGUACUUGAGAAAUUCAGCAUCACAUCCACUCUCUUCAACUUUGUAUCGAUUAACAUGGCUCCAUUCAUCCUUGAAUUUAUUAAAAACAUUUAUGGUAUACAAUUGGGAUGCAUGUUUCAAAAGAAAUUCUCCAUCAUUGACAAUUCGAUAUUUAUGUUAUGAUUCAAAAUCUUCAUCACUUUCUUUUUCAAUAAUCCUUUUCAACGCUCCUUCAUAUUUCACAACAAACUCUCUAAGAUUUGUCGAGGAUGUUACAAAACCAUUAAAGAAUGAAUUAAUGCCCUCACUCCGUCCUGUAGUAUUCAUUCCAGCAAAAACAAUACUACGAUUAUAAAUAGGUGCCCAAGAAGCUUGUAUUUCAUAUAGAUGAUUUAGCCAUUCAUUGUCUUCCAAUUUAUAUUCUAUAAUCAAACUCUUCGAAGUUUCUUCAAAUUCCUCUACUUUGUAAGUAGACAUAAUACAUUUUUUUCAAUCCGAUCUUGAAUCUUGACUUCUUGAAGUACACAUAUGACAACUUCUCGGCAAACUUCUUCUUAAUAUGCCAAAGGCAUAAUCGAUGGUGAGUAUUUGGAAAAACUGUCACAAUUGCUCUUUUCAUUGCCAAGUCUUGGUCAGUAAUGAUAGAAACUGGAGGAUGUCCUCCCAUAGCUUCAAGCCAUGUCUCAAAAAGUCACUGAAAUGUUACCUAUGUUUCAUCUUGUAGAAGUGCACAAUCGAAUUGUAUUAACUGUAAGUGGUGGUUCACUCUUGUGAAUGGUGCGAACGACAUAUCGUACUUGUUUGUUCUAUAAGUUGUGUCAAAUGAAACUACAUCCCCAAAACAGUGAUAUGCCAACCACGAUCGAGCAUCUACCCAAAAAAAUUUGGUUGCUUGCCCUUUUUCAUCACAUUGGAUUGCAUAAAAAAAUUUGAGGGUUCUCAGCUUGCUUUUUCCUGAAAUAUAUAAGGAUUGAUUGGGCAUCCCCUCCAUCCAAUUACCUAUGACACACAUUCCUUAAGUGAUUAUAGCAAUCUCUGUUGUUAAAGCCCAUUUACGAACCUCCUAGAAUUGAACAAACUUUUGCAAUAGGCAAAUUUUCUCUAUGAAAAGCUUCAGUCAAAUUCUUAGCAGCUUUAGGCAUGUGUUUGUUUGACUUCAUCUUUAUUCUUCUAGCAGGAGUAACUACUUUAUGAUUGUGAGAAUCCUUGAAAACCAUAAUCUUCCACUUAUUUGACCAUUUGUCAUACAUAACCCGCAUACUAGCUUCACACCCACAUUUGACAGUUGAACAAUUUCUACUUCUUUUUUUUUUUUUGUAUUUACCUCACUUGCAUCUUUUUCAUAGUGUUCUUCCAUAAAAUUAGGCUUAUUAAUCUUUGGCACAUGCUUCCCUUGAUGGGCAAAGUAAAUUGUCCACUAGUCACCUCAUUGCAGCCUACUCUACUCUUGGAAGAAGAUCGAGUUCGAAUCCAAAACCCCUCCUAUCUACCAUAAUCUUCAUAGUAGUUUCUAGCUUGCUCUAAUGUUUCAAAAAGCAUCCCCACAUAUGGUGCCUCUAAUUGUUCAAGAUUGUUUUCAACCUCUUCGCCAUUGUUCCCCUGUAAUGUGUCAAACAAUUGAAAGAAAAAUAAAUAAUAUAUAAAAAGAUAAAAAUAUUGAAAAAAUUACGAGUUAGAAAAGUUAGGUAAAAUUAAUUGUAAAAAAAAAUAAAUAAAUUAUAAAAGCAUGACACAUACCAAAUAUUCAUUAUUUUCAGGCAUUUUCACGAAGAGUUGUGGAGUUAAAAGUUGGAGAGAGUAAAAAAAUUUUGCUAGAGAGAGUUAAGACUUUUUAUGAUUGAGGAAGAAAGAAAAAAGCAAAUGAAAAGUCAUAGGUUAAAAAGAACAAGAGAAGAGAAGAGAGAACACAUCACGUGAAGGAAGGAAAAAAAUAAAAGAGUGAGAAAAUUUUAGGUGGGGAUUACAUGCAGAGAGAGAAUAUUAAAAGAUUUUAAAGAUUUAAUUUCAAUUAAUCUCAUCGAUUGAUUCAAUUCAAAUCUAAUGGAUAUCAAUUAGUGUAAAAUUAAGAGUAUUUUGAGGGGGCUGCUGAUCCAUCCCUAUAUAUAUAUAUAUAUAUAUAUAUUUUAUCAUGAUGUCUUUUAAUUAUUCAUUGAUUUGCAUGCUAGGACUACCACGUGAUGAGAGGGGAAGGGAAGGAGUCACGUUGCCCGAGGCAGCUAAACAACAUAUUCAAAACCUUCACGCAGAGAUACGAAAUCGUUACUUCUUUGUUGAGUGCCUGUGGAAACAACACAGCUUGGAUUAUGCUGCGAUCAAAUGCUGAAAAAGAUCAAAAUUGAUAGAGAAUUAGAAAAAGAUCUUCAGCCCAUUAUUGAAUUAGACUGUUAGCUCUCUCAAAUAGACUUGCUCACAUCGUUCCAACUGAAAAAUGGAGAGAACAUUGGGCUUAAUUUAAUGCCUGCAGGAGUACCACUAAAAGUUACCGAUGGCCUUUUCUCAUCUUAUACCAUGGAAUUGUGUCAUUAGAAAAGAAUUGACUAGAUACUUGGCAUAUCUCCAGUGGGUAUUAAAUGUUCGCAUAUUCCACAUUUUAGGAUUCUAUACCGAUCUGACCUACUACAAUUAUGUAAUUAUGUGUUAUUAUAUGAAAUAAAAUAAUGUAAAUCUUGACUGUAUAUAAAUAAAAAUACACAUAUAUCAGAAGAUUCUUCAAAACCCAGAUAAGUUCAAAUUAAAAGAGGAUUUAAUACCAUCUCACAUUACCUUUUUUCUUGAAACCUUAUUUUCUCUACACGUCUGUCUUUCGUUUUUAUUUCGAGAUAUCAAACAGGCAACUGUAUCAAUUGUGGGUAGCUGAAGGUUUCAGUUCAAACAAUAAUGAGUCAACUGCUGAGAAGUUCUUGGAACAACUUGUAACGCCACAAAUUCCCAUACAUAUUAAAUUAUGGAAAUUGGGCUUUCAUUGAGAAUUAUGGGUGGCCUAUAACCCUUAUUUAGAAAGGGGUACUAAUUAAAUAGAGGUUAUUUAUGAGAUCAUUUUGGAAAAGGGCUAGUUUUCCUUAUUGAAUAGGGUUUCUUAAGAUCCCCUAUAAAUACAUACUUUUCCCCCUUCCAUAACCCUAAGUUCACAACGUUUAUCCUUCUUCUCUGCUGCUCUUUACGCUCCUACCCAAAUCUUAGGAUUCAAACCUUUGUUUAGGAGAGACUCAAAGCGACGGGUAAGUUCACAACGUUUAUUCUGAACAGCAUGAGUAUCUCGAAUUUUUAAAGCUAUAUUUUCUGAACGAAUUUUCUUAUAAAAUUUAUAUUUCUGGAAACUAGACAUGUAGGGCUUCUUGAUUAAAUUUUAUUUCAUUAAAUUCAACUUCGUUUUCAAUUUUAUACGUAUUUUGGAAAUAGAAACCACUGCACUGGAAAUCCACGAUUCCAGUAUUGUGAUCAGAUUCAAAAGACUAUUUGUACCACCAAAUGAACUCAAAAAAUUCUGAAAGUUUAUAUGUAUGUUAAUAUAUGUGUCUAGGAUUCGCAGUUUUAAUUUCAUAAUUUUCUGAUUAGUAUUUUAUUUUAUAAAAAUCACGGAACCCAUUCUGUUUGGUUUAGAUUAUGUGAAAACAGUUUCGAAUUUGCUGAGAAGUAAAUAGUUUUUAAAAUGUUUUUGAUAUCGGAUUCUCUUGUAAAUUUUACAUGGGGUACUCAUGGAUGUCCAGAAUGGUUCCAUAGGAUUUUAUAUCAUUCUGAGACUUGGAUUAAGAGUUAAAAUUCUGAGAAUCAGACCUGUACGGGUAUGAAUUAGAAAAUCAAAUUCUUAGAAUACGUUAUUGAUUGUCAUAUCUUGUAUUUGUUUAAGGUUUUGAAGGUGUUUGAGGCUCUUAGAAGCUUAGAGGUGUGUUAAUCCAAGUUCAUUUGUCGAGGUAAGUAACUUCAUUCCUAGUAUACUGGAUAUGUAUAAGUAUUUUGAUAUUAUUGUUAUAAGUAUAAAUGUUUUUAUACUACUUAAAGGAUUAAUUGAUUUUGAUAACAAAAUUAGCUUUAUGUAAAUGUUUUCAAACCAUUCUUUUUAACAAAGUAUUUUAUAAAUGCUUUUUAAUAUGUAAAUGAUUUUAUGACAUGACAACCUUUUAUGAUUUUAUCUUUAAAAUGUUAUGCAAGCCUAAAUUAUUGUUAUGAACUUUUAUGAAACUGAUAUGAAUGUUUUGUACCUAUGUUUGAUUUCAAUUAUUGAUGAUUGUAUGAGAUUCUUAAUGCUUUGGCUCAUUGUCCAUAGUUAGUCUGAUUCUGAUUCUGAUUCUGAUCGUAAUAUACGAUAUAUCCGUCUGGACCAGUACUGGGUUUUUGUUCUGAAUGUACACACGAUAUUCUAAUUAUGUUUCUGGCCGGGUCACCGGGACUAUAGGUGACACUAUGUGACAUGAGCUAACCUGUUUGUUUUCUGUAUACGUAUUACAUGAGUUGAUUCGUAAGUAAAUAUGCUUUUGAAUAUUCUGAAUUAUUAAGAAUUUAUCUUAUGUUAUUGUGAUAUAUCGUUUUAUGAAAAUUAUGGAUUAUGAUAUAUGCUUUAAACAAAAGAAGGCUUGCAAUAUUUUUGGUAUCAAUAGGCCUAGUGUGUUAGGAAUGGUUUUACUUACCGAGUUGACGGCUCACCCCUCGUCAUUACUUUUUUGCAGAUUAAGUUUCUUUUGAGAGGUGCACUUAGCUUUGGAGUUAAUGAUUUCCAGUUUCCGUUUGCUAUUGAAUAAGAGGAGGAAUAGACUUGUGUUUCUAUUUAGUUACUUUUAUUAUGAACGUGUAAUUUGGAGUUUGAGACUUUUGUUAUUAUUUUUAUAUGUCCUCGAGAGAGAUUAUUUAGUAUUUGACGUUUGGAUUUAUGGAUUUAUUUGAAUAAGAAUUGGAGGAAUUUCAGUUUGAAACUUAUGAGUAAAGAUUAUGAUUUGUGAGUAACCUCCUUCUUCACGUGCUCCGCACGUGUUAGAUUUGGGGUGUUACAAUUGUGGUAUCAGAGCAACUAGGUUAGGAUUCUGUAGACUUUCUUUUACGGUUUAAUUAGAUUGUCUAAUUAAAUCGAUUACAUUUGUUUUGUAGACAUGAAGAAGGACAAUAUGGGUAUGAAAAGUGUCAAGAAUAAGGGAUGGACAGAAAUUGAUAGGACCGAACAAUUUAUCUUAGGAGGAGUUCUUGUCAAAGAUCUUAGGAGACUUCAUAAGCAGUGAAUGGAUGAUAGACUAAGACGGACUAUAGAGGUCUACAUCGAUACUCCUCCAGGACCUGGAGCUUCAAGAAAGAAGCUCAAUGAGGCUAUACGUGGACUACGUGUUUAUGGCAAGGGAGCUAACAAGAAUAAGCUUGUAAUACGUCGCCUAUUUUGGACAGGACCUCGAUUUAAGCCUUACUAUAGCAAAGGAUGGGUAUCUCCAGGUCUAAAUAAACUACCUUAUAGAACUCCUAAGGAAAUCGAGACAGAUGGAGUCACGACUAAGGAAAGGAAAGUAAAGAUAGAUCCUUUUCCUAUCCGGUUGAGUACACCUAUGAACUUUGUGGCUGUAGGACAUGAAACUCUGUAGACUUUAUUAAGGUUAAUAGAGUGAUUAAAUAUUUUAAGGCAAGGAGUAACUAGUAAUUCUAUUUUGGUCUUUUUGGCUUUCUAUGUUGCUUGUGACUUUGUAAUAACUCUUGUUAUAUGAUCUUUGGUAUUAACGUAGAAUGAAAUAUUUAUUGCUCUUGUUUACAAUAUCAAAUUUUCUUAGCUACACUACUUAUUCAGUACUCUGCGCGCUUGCACGACCUUUAGCUAUGAAUUAUUUACCCCUUUUUAAUUAUUUAUUUAUUCUCCGUGUUAUAGUCAAGAGAUGUCACGUAAGGGAGGUGCUAGGCAUGCCUCUAGCUCGAGAGAUGUUUUAGGUAUCGCUGACGACGCUGACCCAACCUUGCACGAGAUGGCUAACGAAGGAAAUCCUAUGAUGCGCGCAAUGCUUAGAUUGAUGGAACAACAAAGUAAGUUAAUUCAAGAUAUGGCUAGAGGCAGAGUUGGGGCACAAGAGAAUGUGCCAGUUGAAAGGCAAGGUGGCGCAAGAGAUCAUGGGGCUAUGGUGAACUUAGAACGAUUUAAGAAAUUGGGACCACCUACCUUUCAGGGGACUGCCGAUUCCAUGGUUGCAGAGGCAUGGCUAAAACAGAUGGAGAAGAUAUUUGUGGCUAUGGGUUGUAAUGAUGAUCAAAGGGUAAUAUUAGCCUCAUUUGUCCUUCAGGGUGAGGCAGACCACUGGUGGGAUGCCAAAUCUCGUCUCAUAAGGGCUGGCUUGCAAGAUGCACCCAUUACUUGGGAGUUAUUUUUGGAGGCUUUUCAUGAAAAGUAUUUUCCUGAACGAGUUCGACAUCAGAUGGAGGCUGAUUUCUUGAGGUUAACUCAAGGAACAAAGUCUGUUGCGGAGUAUGAGGAACAAUUUACUGCCCUCUCUCGUUUUGCUCAUACCUUGGUUGCUAAUGAAGGUAGUAAGUGUAGGAAGUUCCUGGAAGGGUUACGUCCUAACAUUAAAGGGCGAUUGACCAUCCUUAAGAUUAACAAUUAUGCCGAUUUGGUGGACCGAGCAAUUCUUGCGGAGAAGGAUAUUCUUGAAGCCCAAGUUACAAAGGAUCAGAGAAAUAAGAAGAAUCAACAAGGUGGACCGCGAAAUGGAAGUUCCUUUAGGCAGGGCACUCACUCCCAGAAGUAUAAUGGUGGAGGUAACAAAUGGGAUAACAAGGGUGUUACUGGUGACACCGCUCGGAGGAACUACCCCAUUUGUCGACAUUGUGAAAGGAGGCACCCUGGUGAAUGCCAUUGGAAAACUGGAGCUUGUUUUGCUUGUGGAGAAUCUGGGCAUAGGAUUAUGGAUUGCCCAAAGAGACGUAGCGAGACUACAAAUACUCAGACUAACGAAGGGCAGAGGAAGAAACCGAGGGUACAAGGGCGUGUUUUUGCACUAACAGAAAAAGAUGCUGAGGUGUCCAAUGAUGUAGUAUCAGGUACAUUGUCUUUAUUCUCUAGAGAAGCCAAAGUUCUUUUUGAUCCUGGUGCUACACAUUCAUUUGUAUCUUGUGUGUUUGCCCGUUAUGCUAAUGUGCCUAUCACACCACUGGAUGUUCACGUGACAAUUAGUACCCCUAUGGGGGAUUGCUAGUUUAUAGAUCAUGUCUAUAAGUCAUGUGUGAUCAGAUUGUGUGAUAAAGAAUUCCUUGUGGAUCUCCUACCUUUAGAGAUGCACGAUUUUGAUUUGAUUUUGGGGAUGGAUUGGUUAGGACCUUACCAUGUUUCAAUAGAUUGUUUUGCUAAUUAAAUUAUUUUUCGCCUACCUGGCGAGGAAAAAUUUCAUUUUCAAGGGAAUCAUAAGAGUCAUAAAGCUUUGAUUUCUAUGGUUAAGGCAAUGAAAAUGCUAAAGAAGGGGUGUGAAGGAUUUUUAGCGUAUAUAGUUGCUGACCAUCCCGAUGGGGCGUGCCUUGAAGACAUACCUAUUGUAAGGGAGUUUAUUGAUGUAUUUCCUGAAGAUCUUCCGGGACUACCCCCAGAUCGAGAGGUUGAGUUUACUAUAGAAUUAGUUCCUGGUACUACACCUAUAUCCAAGGCACCAUAUCGGAUGGCACCCAUUGAAUUAAAAGAACUAAAGGUCCAGCUACAAGAAUUACUAGAUAAGGGUUUCAUUCGUCCUAGUGUGUCGCCUUGGGGUGCUCCCGUUUUGUUCGUAAAGAAGAAAGAUGGUUCAAUGAGGUUGUGUAUAGACUACCGGCAGUUGAAUAUGGUUACCGUCAAGAAUAAAUACCCUCUUCCCCGAAUUGAUGACCUCUUUGAUCAAUUACGAGGUGCAGCGGUAUUCUCUAAAAUUGAUUUACGAUCUGGCUACCAUCAAUUGAAAAUAAGAAGUGAGGAUGUAUCGAAGACAGCUUUUCGAACUCGUUAUGGACACUAUGAGUUCUUAGUUAUGCCUUUUGGAUUAACUAAUGCUCCUGCAGUGUUCAUGGAUUUGAUGAAUAGGAUCUUCCAACCUUAUCUUGACCAGUUUGUCAUCGUCUUUAUUGAUGACAUAUUAAUUUACUCUAAGAGUAAGAAGGAGCAUGAGUCGCACCUGAGGAUUGUAUUAGAAACAUUGCGGAAGAAGAAGUUGUAUGGAAAAUUUAAGAAAUGUGAGUUUUGGCUUGAUCGUGUGAUGUUUUUGGGACAUAUAGUGACGAAGGAUGGUAUUUCAGCAGAUCCAGCCAAAGUGGAGGUAAUUGUGAAUUGGGAAAGGCCUGCUAGUGUGACUGAAGUAAGGAGUUUCUUAGGAUUGGCAGGUUAUUAUAGGCGCUUUGUCAAAGGAUUUUCUAGCAUAGCAGCACCAUUGACUAAUUUGACUAAGAAGAAUGUGAAGUUCAAUUGGGAUGAGGCAUGUGAAAAGAGCUUUUAAGAGCUCAAGAGUCAUUUGGUGACUGCCCCCGUUUUAACUCUCCCUUCUGAAGGUGGAGGUUUUGUGAUUUACAGUGAUGCUUCCAGAAAAGGUUUGGGUUGCGUUUUAAUGCAACAUGGUAAGGUUAUAGCAUAUGCUUCUAGGCAGCUAAAGAAUCAUGAACAAAACUACCCAACACAUGAUUUGGAAUUGGCUGCUAUAAUGUUUGCUCUAAAAAUCUGGAGACACUAUUUGUAUGGGGAGACUUGUGAGAUCUUCACCGAUCAUAAGAGUUUGAAGUACUUGUUUACUCAAAAGGAAUUGAAUUUGAGGCAAAGAAGAUGGUUGGAGUUGGUAAAGGAUUUUGAUUGUUCUAUUAAUUACCAUCCAGGUAAGGCAAACGUAGUAGCGGAUGUCUUGAGUAGGAAAUCAUCUGGGUGCAUGGCUCAUCUUAUCACCAUGCAAUCUCAUUUGGUAAAAGACUUGAGGAGAUGUGGGAUUGAGGUAGUUACUCAUGGGCAAGCAGACGUGUUAGCACAUUUGACAGUCCAACCCACUCUAAUUGAUAGAGUUAAGGUAGCUCAGAAGAACGACAUAGAACUCAAUAAAAUCCGUGAAGAUGUGAGCAAAGGACAUAAGCCCGGAUUUAGACUUGAUAAUGGGGAUGGAUUAUGUUUGGGACAAAGGUUAUGCGUGCCAGCAGACGAAGAGUUGAAGGCGGAGAUCUUAAGAGAAGCUCAUGAAUCAUCUUACAGUAUGCAUCCUGGUAGUACUAAGAUGUAUCGUGAUCUAAAGCAAAGUUUUUGGUGGAGGAAUAUGAAGAGAGAUAUUGCUGCUUUUGUGUCUCGGUGUUUAGUCUGCCAACAAGUAAAGAUUGAGCAUUAAAGACCAGCAGGAACUUUACAAACGCUUCCUAUUCCUCAGUGGAAAUGGGAACACAUAACAAUGGAUUUCGUUUCUGGAUUACCUCGUUCUAGGAGGGGAUGUGAUUGCAUUUGGGUAAUUGUUGAUCGAUUGACGAAAUCAGCUCAUUUCUUGGCAAGGAAGAGUACAGACAAUGUAGGGCAACUAGCUAAGUUGUUCAUUAAGGAGAUAGUGAGGCUUCAUGGGGUUCCAGUGUCAAUAGUGUCUGAUAGAGAUCCACUGUUCACUUCAAGAUUUUGGGCUAGCUUACAUAAAGAGUUGGGGACGAAAUUGAGAUUUAGCACUGCUUUUCAUCCACAGACAGAUGGGCAAUCCGAAAGGACUAUUCAAACCCUUGAGGAUAUGCUUCGAGCUUGCGUCCUAGACUUGAGUGGUGGUUGGGAAGAGCACCUAAUGUUGAUCGAAUUUGCUUAUAACAAUAGCUUCCAUUCGAGUAUUGGCAUGGCACCAUUUGAGGCAUUAUAUGGAAGAAAGUGUAGGUCCCCAAUCUGCUGGGAUGAAGUUGGUGAAAGAAAACUUUUGGGUCCAGAAUUAAUACAGAUUACUGUUGAUAAAAUCAAGUUGAUUAGAGGACGUCUUCAAACAGCUCAGAGCAGACAGAAGAGUUAUGCAGAUCGUCGUAGACGUGAGUUGGAAUUCGAAAAAGGAGAUUUUGUUUUCUUGAAAGUAUCGCCAUGGAAAGGGGUGUUUCGGUUCGGGAAGACAGGAAAGCUUAGCCCUAGAUUUAUUGGACCAUUUGAGAUUUUAGAGAGAAUUGGUCCGGUGGCCUAUCGCAUAGCUUUACCACCAAGUCUGUCUAGGCUUCACAAUGUAUUUCAUGUGUCUGUGUUAAGAAAGUACAUUGCAGACCCUUUACAUGUGCUAGACUAUCAACCGAUUCAGAUAAAUGAAGACAUGUCGUAUGAGGAACAGCCUAUUGAGAUUGUCGAUCGAGACGAACAAGUAUUAAGGAAUAGAGUUAUUCCCCUAGUGAAGGUACGAUGGAUGAAUCAUUCUAUUGAGGAAGCCACUUGGGAGAGAAGCAGAAAUGUUGGAGAAGUAUCCUCAACUCUUCCAUGCAUAAGGUAACCUUUUAAUUUCGAGGACGAAAUUUUUGUUAGGAGGGGAGAAAUUGUAACGCCACAAAUUCCCAUACAUAUUAAAUUAUGGAAAUUGGGCUUUCAUUGAGAAUUAUGGGUGGCCUAUAACCCUUAUUUAGAAAGGGGUACUAAUUAAAUAGAGGUUAUUUAUGAGAUCAUUUUGGAAAAGGGCUAUUUUUCCUUAUUGAAUAGGGUUUCUUAAGAUCCCCUAUAAAUACAUACUUUUCCCCCUUCCAUAACCCUAAGUUCACAACGUUUAUCCUUCUUCUCUGCUGCUCUUUACGCUCCUACCCAAAUCUUAGGAUUCAAACCUUUGUUUAGGAGAGACUCAAAGCGACGGGUAAGUUCACAACGUUUAUUCUGAACAGCAUGAGUAUCUCGAAUUUUUAAAGCUAUAUUUUCUGAACGAAUUUUCUUAUAAAAUUUAUAUUUCUGGAAACUAGACAUGUAGGGCUUCUUGAUUAAAUUUUAUUUCAUUAAAUUCAACUUCGUUUUCAAUUUUAUACGUAUUUUGGAAAUAGAAACCACUGCACUGGAAAUCCACGAUUCCAGUAUUGUGAUCAGAUUCAAAAGACUAUUUGUACCACCAAAUGAACUCAAAAAAUUCUGAAAGUUUAUAUGUAUGUUAAUAUAUGUGUCUAGGAUUCGCAGUUUUAAUUUCAUAAUUUUCUGAUUAGUAUUUUAUUUUAUAAAAAUCACGGAACCCAUUCUGUUUGGUUUAGAUUAUGUGAAAACAGUUUCGAAUUUGCUGAGAAGUAAAUAGUUUUUAAAAUGUUUUUGAUAUCGGAUUCUCUUGUAAAUUUUACAUGGGGUACUCAUGGAUGUCCAGAAUGGUUCCAUAGGAUUUUAUAUCAUUCUGAGACUUGGAUUAAGAGUUAAAAUUCUGAGAAUCAGACCUGUACGGGUAUGAAUUAGAAAAUCAAAUUCUUAGAAUACGUUAUUGAUUGUCAUAUCUUGUAUUUGUUUAAGGUUUUGAAGGUGUUUGAGGCUCUUAGAAGCUUAGAGGUGUGUUAAUCCAAGUUCAUUUGUCGAGGUAAGUAACUUCAUUCCUAGUAUACUGGAUAUGUAUAAGUAUUUUGAUAUUAUUGUUAUAAGUAUAAAUGUUUUUAUACUACUUAAAGGAUUAAUUGAUUUUGAUAACAAAAUUAGCUUUAUGUAAAUGUUUUCAAACCAUUCUUUUUAACAAAGUAUUUUAUAAAUGCUUUUUAAUAUGUAAAUGAUUUUAUGACAUGACAACCUUUUAUGAUUUUAUCUUUAAAAUGUUAUGCAAGCCUAAAUUAUUGUUAUGAACUUUUAUGAAACUGAUACGAAUGUUUUGUACCUAUGUUUGAUUUCAAUUAUUGAUGAUUGUAUGAGAUUCUUAAUGCUUUGGCUCAUUGUCCAUAGUUAGUCUGAUUCUGAUUCUGAUUCUGAUCGUAAUAUACGAUAUAUCCGUCUGGACCAGUACUGGGUUUCUGUUCUGAAUGUACACACGAUAUUCUGAUUAUGUUUCUGGCCGGGUCACCGGGACUAUAGGUGACACUAUGUGACAUGAGCUAACCUGUUUGUUUUCUGUAUACGUAUUACAUGAGUUGAUUCGUAAGUAAAUAUGCUUUUGAAUAUUCUGAAUUAUUAAGAAUUUAUCUUAUGUUAUUGUGAUAUAUCGUUUUAUGAAAAUUAUGGAUUAUGAUAUAUGCUUUAAACAAAAGAAGGCUUGCAAUAUUUUUGGUAUCAAUAGGCCUAGUGUGUUAGGAAUGAUUUUACUUACCGAGUUGACGGCUCACCCCUCGUCAUUACUUUUUUGCAGAUUAAGUUUCUUUUGAGAGGUGCACUUAGCUUUGGAGUUAAUGAUUUCCAGUUUCCGUUUGCUAUUGAAUAAGAGGAGGAAUAGACUUGUGUUUCUAUUUAGUUACUUUUAUUAUGAACGUGUAAUUUGGAGUUUGAGACUUUUGUUAUUAUUUUUAUAUGUCCUCGAGAGAGAUUAUUUAGUAUUUGACGUUUGGAUUUAUGGAUUUAUUUGAAUAAGAAUUGGAGGAAUUUCAGUUUGAAACUUAUGAGUAAAGAUUAUGAUUUGUGAGUAACCUCCUUCUUCACGUGCUCCGCACGUGUUAGAUUUGGGGUGUUACACCACCCGUUUUUGUGGCCUUUUCCCGCUGGACGAACUUGGCGCCCCGGCCUUCAGGCACUUGCUCAAUUCCUUCUCUGCAAAUUUGAACGCUUGAACACGCACCGUCAUCCCAGUUCCUUGCAGUCGUCUCGAAGCCCCUGCUUUCAGUAGAGGAAAGACGAUUCUGUAUAGCCAUCAAACAGAUAAGAAAAUUUGAAACAAUCCAAGGUUUCUCAGAUCAAAUGAAACCCCAAGAUCAAUCAAGACCAAUGGAUGAUCUUGUACUUAGCUCUAAAACAAACAAGUAAAACCAUCGAAGAAAUUGGAUCAAAACCAGCAGGUUUAGAUUGAUUAUUUAUAAACAUCAUACUUGCCACACUCUUGGCGUGUAAAUCCUUAGAUUCACAGGUCUUAUAUCACAUGAAUGAAGAUGCUAGUGGUGUGCCUCCAUGGAUCUCUUAGUUUUCAAGUUGUUUUAUUUGACUGACCACCUAAGUUUGAAUCGUGGUGAGGGAAGAAGAUAAAAAUUAAUUUGAUCUUUGCACCUCACUACUUUUAAAAGAGCUCAAACUUCAGACUCAGUUUUGAAUUUUAAUUAUUUUAAAUUGAAACGCUAAUUCCAUAUAUUAUAUAUAUGAGUUUUUUUUCCCAAGGUUGAAUUAAAAUAUAUAUUUACAAAAUUCUCGAGAUAUGUGAUUUUUCAAGAUUUAAUAGAAUCAUAAGUACUAGUUAUAUAUACAUCUUAAUAAAUGUUUGCCAGACCUUUAUUUGUACUAAAAUUAUAUAUAUAUCUAGACUCCCAUUACACUUUAGAUUGUAACAAUUUAAAUAAAAAUAUUUUUUUUGGUGGAAGUCGUCUAGAAUUCUAAGAUUGAAAGUCAAAUUUCAAUAAAAAAAAAAUUAAUUUAAUAUAUAUAUAUAUAUAGAGAGAGAGAGAGAGAGAGAGAGAGAGAGAGCUUCUUAAGUGCAUAUACUUAAGGGAGUCCCUAUGUUACAUUUAAUGUACCAUACACAACCCACAAGAACCACAUAAAUUGUGGGAUCCACAUAAUUGUGUGGUUCUUGUGGGUUGUGUAUGGUACAUUAAAUGUACAUUAAUAUUAUGUGGUGUUAUAGCGAAUCUACACAAAAUCUGCAUUUAGUGCAUCCACACUUGAGAAUUUCUAUAUAUCAAAACUUUCAAAUGCAGAAGUCCAAAUAUAGAUUUCGUGCGGAUUCACUACAAAAUCAUAUGAUGUUAACAUGUUUUUACAAUUGACUAUAAUACCACAUGAUGUUAACAUGUUUUUACAAUUGACUAUAAUACCACAUGAUGUUAUAGAAAAUCCACACGAAAUCUAUAUUAUAUAAAGAGAGAGAUCUCGCUUUGCUUUAUAAUUGCGGUGAUAUUCCCACCCCUCAAAUGUUGUAAACUUACCUCACCUUAAAAAAUUAAAUCAUAAAAAAUUCACAUUAUUUUUAACGAUUUCAAAUUAGUAAGAAUAAAAUUAAGCAAUUGACUAAUUAAAUCCUCAUUAAAUAAUUAAAAUACAUUUAUGAUAUGAUAUUUCAAAAAAUUUAUGCUAUUUUUCUCAUGAAAUUUAUUAAAUAUAAGAAGGAUCUGAUUGAUUAAUUGUUUAAAAUUUUAUUUAUUUUAAAUUAAAAAAUGUGAAUUAUUUUUUAAAUAAUUCUUUGAAAUGAUUUAAAUGCGGCACGUGUCCCAUCAAGUUAAAACCUAAAGUUGAUUUAAAAACGGAAACCAAGUAGCGAGGCCCCGUUCUUCAGGAAAUUCCGAGCUAAGUUAAUCAACAUUUCCACUAAUUAUUUUUAUUUUCUUCCAAAGUUUAUUUAAUUAGAUCAAUUUCUGGCUUCCUACUUAAAUUGCAUAUCCAAUUUGGGGGUUGAUUUUUGGAGAUGGAGAUAAACUGAAACAUUAAUUGAAAUCGAUUGAGAAAAAAAAAAUCGAUUGAGAUUGAAAGUUCUUUAUUACCCAACAUACAGAAUACAUAUGCAAUUAAUUCAAAUUUCUAAAAUUACUGUAAUUGUUGGCAAUGUGGGUUUUUUUUUUCGUUGGGGGGGGGGGUGUCUGAAAUUUGCAUGCAUGCCUUAAUUGAGUUUUAUCACUUUAAAUCCUAAUUACUAAUGUUUUUUCUGUUAAUGGUUGAAAAUAAGAUAAGAAGAGAGAAGGUGAACUUGAAGAAGUAUAAGAAGACAAGACAUGUAAUGAUGUUGAUGUGUUUAUGUGAAUAAAGAGAACAACGGAGGUGGAACCAUUGGACAAAUGGAAAUGGAAUCUUUGUCCAAGUUUUUCCCUUGAUGUUCUAAAGUUUGCAUAUAUAUGUUUCAAGAAACAAAUGGAAAUUAAAUAGUACUUAAAGGUGAACUCACAUCGUCAACUAGAGGUUACACUACCAUUUGCCCAAUGGUUCCAUUUCUAUUAUCAUUUUCUUUAUUCACAGAAAUAUCAUCGGCCUCAUAUUCAUCAGUAUAAGAAGAGGGACAAGGACAAGGACAAGGACAGGGUGAGUCUAUUGUAAGACUACAGCAAAUCUACAAUUUAGUUUUAUUUUUGCUGCUACACCCAGGAAUCACUAGCAUCAACCACCUCCUUUAUUGCCCUUGAUUCAUUUUUCUCCUGAAGAUUGUUGACCUGAUGAAAUAACACUUAAAAUGAGGCUGCCUUAGACGAAGCAUAUAUGUUAAUCACCUGUUGUAAUCUCAUGCCAAAACAUUUCAGUUCCUGCUCAUAAAAUUAGUUACUUCAACCUUUGUCAUAUGUAUUCUCCACUGCUUCAAGAUACUUAGAUAGUGAAUGUGUCUAAAGUCCAACUCAAAAGAUUCAUUUGAGAAAAAAUUCUUCAGAUGGUCAUGUAGAGUUCUAAUUUAUCUCCGCAUCAUACACAAAAUACUUGAAACCUACACAUCAAUGAUCAAUGUUCAUCUUUUAUUGACAAUCCCAAUUCUCAAGUGUGUUUGGAAAGAAAUUAGAUUCACAGGCAUUCUAGAAAUAUCUGGUGUAUGUCAAUGACAAUGAUGCCAAGUCAUGUCUCAUGGCGUCCAAAAAAAAAAAAUGGUGAUGUAUGUGGAGGAAGAUCGUCAGCUCAAUUAAAACUACACCUCGGUCAUUUCUGGACUCGUCAACAAGAGGUAAUUUCUUACUUUGUGAACAAAUUUUGUGUCUUAUAAUUUUUUCCGUAUUUAUAUACUUACAUGCUGUUUUGUAAUUAUAUAGCCACCAAAGCCUGGACAUGGAGAUGUGUGUUUUGUUAUGUUUAGUCCAUUUAUAAGAUCACGUGUCAUGUGAUUUAUAAGUCUACUUAAUGGUUGCAAUCAAAUGAGUUCAUGUCCAGAUUUUGAAGUUAGUUAAUUUCAACAUAUAGCAAUGAUUGUAUCCAUUGCUUUUAUGAAGUUGCUAUGUUAUUGCUUCUUUAAUAAGUGGCAGGCAUGAUUUUCUAUUUUUCCACAGCUUAAAUUGUUAAAUAAUUGAUAAUGCUCUUGUGCUUACUCUGUUCUUUUCUUUUUAGAUAAGCUUUAUGGUCCCAGUGGAAUUGUUUUCACCCUUUCUUUAUUGACAGUGGAUGUAUAAAACAAAUUGGUCUUGAUUGAUACUUGAUGAUGUUGUAGUUAUUUCUCUUUGCUUUAUUCUUUUUGCAACAUAUGGAAGACUGAGUAUCGUGAGAUUCAUUUCCCGCACUGCUCUGCCUUGAUCUGUUCUAAUUUGAGAGUCAGCAAUCUUGAUUCAACUUCUUGGGUGGAGUACUAGCUAAGAGAAGGGAGGCAUGGGAGCCAGCACUAAUUUUUGAAUUGAGGAGAUAUGGGCAUCAACUUCAGACUAUUUUCAGAGAGGCUGAGAAGGGCGUUAGCUGGCGAAGAAGUCACAUUGCCUGAUGCUGCAAAACAACCUAUUCAGAACCUUUGUGCCGAGGUUGAAAUCGUUACUCCUUGGCUGAGGGACUUUGAAUAUGAUAUGUCCUGGCUUCUGUUGCAAAAAAAUAGGAGAAGAUGAAAUUGACAACCCAGACCUUGGGACCAGAAAUCAAUUGCUUUACAUAUGAAUCUGAGAAGGUCAUUGACACAUUCUCAACAGCAUCACUCAACAGAAGAGUCAAAGCAGGUGCAACAAGGACAUUUGUAAUGCUCUGCUAGGACUCCAGAGCAUAAUCAAUGAUAUAAAACAGCGGGUGCAACAACUUCAGUACAUCGUUUCCGGAAUCAUUGAUGAUUUCAAAAGUAUUGAAGAUGAAGCCGAUUAUUUUCCUGCAUCAUCAUCUUAUAAGAAUAGGGGCAUGGUGGGUCUAGAAGACAGAAUGGAGGAGUUGUUAGAUAUAUUGAUAGAGGGACCACCUCAGCUUUCAGUGGUGGCCAUCUUGAUAGCAUUGGGUUGGGCAAGGUGGCUUUCGCUGUAGAGGCUUACAGCAGCAGUGAUGUGAAGCAUUAUUUUAAUUGUCACACUUGGGUUCCAGAGCCUUACAGCUAUGAUGCUGAUGAUGACCAAAUAUUAGAUAUCAUUAUUAAGUUUCUAAUGCCUUCAUCUAGGUUGAGUGUAAUAAAGGAUAAAAUUUAUGAAAUGAAAAAAAAAUCUUCAUGAAUAUCUAAUGAUAAAGCGGCAUUUAAUUGUGGUUGAUGAUGUGUGGAGAAUUGAAGUGUGGGAUUUUAUUCGAGAAAUACUUCCGGAUAAUCGGAAUGGAAAUGGGGUACUAAUAACACUCAUUCAAAUUGAUGUCGUCAUCUCAUUUCAGUUCAAAAUCGGACAGAAUAUUUGGCUUGAUUUAUUGUCCACUAGAGGACCAUUGAGAGUUGUUUACCUUUUUGCUUAAAACUUUGUUUUUCUUACUUAUCUGUGUUUCCUGUACAACUGGAGGCAUCCACCAGGUAGUUUUAUCAGUUGUGGAUAUCUGAAGGUUUCAUUCCAGACAAUAGCGAGGCAACUACUGAGAAGUACUUGGAACAACUAAUGAAUAGAGUCUUUGUUGAUGCAAGGAAGAGAAGCGAUGGAGGCAGAAUCAACGCAUGCCCUAUUCGUACUCGUUGCUGGCCUUCAUUGUUGCAAAUGGCUCUCAAAGCAGAAUUUAUCUUUUCCCCUAUCCUGGAUCAAAAAGGUAAAUCAGAAAAAAAUGUCAAACGUGUCUAUGUUUUUUUUUUAAAACAGAGUGAUUUUGCUUACUUAGAUGAUUGUGACUUGCACCUGCAUUCUUUGUUGUACUUCAGAAAGCGACCACCUUGACCCCAUAGAUUGGGUGAAAAUCGGUUGAGUAAUGGACUUGGGAUCUCUUGUUCUCAGCCAAUUUCCAUCCAAAAUUGAAACUUUAUUUCUUUUGAUAUUUGAAGCUGGAUAUCCCUUCCCUCACAAGCCUGGCUUCAUCAUUAUUAAUAAAUCUCUGAAUCUGUACCCCAUAGCCAUGCCCUUUAGCUACAUAGUGUAAAUAUUUAGAGUCUGAAAAUACUAUUUUCUUCUUUCAUUCAUUCUACAAGUUACACUUAAAUAGAAUGUAGAAAACAAACUCCUAAUAGAUAUCCCUUAAUUGUAGGAUACUUAUCUAAGCUUGAAUUUUAAAAAAUGAUUAUCUAAAACUUUAUUUCGAUAAGACUUUAAAACUAAACUAAUUAUCUAAAACUUUAUUCUGAUAAGACUUUCAAACUAACUGAAAAAUCCUAACUUCUUAACACUCCCCCUCAAGUUGGUGCGUAGAUGUCAAUCAUUCCCAACUUGCUGACAAGAUGUCCAAAGUUAGUUUUGAGGAGUCCCUUGGUUAGGAUAUCAGCUAUUUAUUGUUUUGUUGGAAAAAAUAAUAGGCAGAUAAUCUUAUUCUCAAGUUUCUCCUUGAUGAAGUGACGGUCAAUUUCAACAUGCUUGGUCCUAUCAUGUUGUACUGGGUUAUGUGCAAUGUUGAUUGCUGCUUUGUUGUCGCAGUAUAACCUCAUAGGUAAAACUAUAGGUCUUUUCAAAUCCUCGAGAACUUGUUUCAGCCACAAUACUUCACAAAGCCCAUGUGCCAUAGCUCUAAAUUCAGCUUCAGCAGUACUUCGUGCAACCACAUUUUGUUUCUUACUCCUCCAAGUCACUAAAUUACCCUAUACAAAAGUGCAAUAGCCAGUAGUAGACUUCCUGUCUGUAACUGAACCUGCCCAAUCAGCAUCAGUGUAUACCUCAAUACCUCUCUAUUCUCUGUUUUUCUAAACAAAAGUCCCUUUCCUGGAGUACUUUUUAGAUAUAUGAGAAUUCUGUAAACAGCUUCGAGAUGUUCUUCCCGAGGAUGAUGCAUGAAGCGACUUACUAUACUGACUGCAAAAGCGACGUCUGGUCUAGUUUUAGAUAUCGUCGUGCAUCCACUAAGGCUUUUUCUCCUUCACAUAGUUUUAGAUUGUACUCCACAAGCGUAUCAAUUGGUUUGCAGCCACUCAUUCCAGUUUCCUUCAAUAAAUCAAGGAUGUAUUUCCUUUGUGAGACAACUAUACCUUUCUUGGAACGAGCAACUUCCAUUCCAAGAAAGUAUUUCAAGGCACCUAAGUCCUUGAUUUCAAAAUCAGUGGCUAGGCUUUGCUUCAAUCUGUCCAUUUCAACUAAAUCAUCUCCAGUGAGAAUAAUGUCAUCCACAUACACUAUAAGCACAAUGGUUUUACCUUUAGCUGAAACUCUAGUGAACAUUGUGUGAUCAGCCUGACUUUUUUUGUAACAUUGUCUAUUCACAGAUGUAGUAAAUUUCUCAAACCAAGCCCUAGGCGAUUGUUUGAGACCAUAUAAGGACUUUUGCAACUUGCACACAUUUGACCUAAAUUUUUCAGAGAAACUAGGAGGAGGAUCCAUGUAUACUUCCUCUUUUAAAUCCCCGUUGAGAAAUGCAUUCUUCACAUCCCAUUGUUGUAAUGGCCAAUUUAGGUUUGUAGCAAUAGACAAGAGAACUCAUACAGUGUUUAACUUUGCUACUGGUGCAAAUGUCUCUGAAUAGUCAAUCCCAUAGGUUUGAGUAAACUCCUUUGCCACUAGGCGAGCCUUGUAUCUCUCAAGUGAACCAUCUGAAUUGUAUUUGAUAGUAAAUACCCACUUGCAGCCAACUGUUGACUUCCCUUUAGGCAAAUUGACCACCUUCCAAGUCUGAUUCUUCUCAAGAGCAUUCAUCUCUUCAAGGAUAGCUGCCUUCUGUUGAGUGUUAGAAAAUGCAUAUUUAUAAAGGAGAAAACCAUCGUUUUACAUUUCAAGUCUUACUAACAACCCUUACUUUUAUGUAUUUAACCUUUUUGUGAUUUAAUUACAUGUGUUUUAUUUUAAUUAAGUAUUUUAUGUAUUUUAGGGGCAUCAUAGUCAUUUCACAAUAAACGAGAAAUCAGAUGGCAAAACGGACAUCACUUUUGAACUCAGGACGGUCGAAAACCUUAGGAUAAGCAUAAAAGGAAAAAUGGCACUGUUCACUUGUACGGUACUAUUCACGUGUACGGUACUGUAUACGUUACUGUUCAUGACACUGUUCACAUAGACGGAUGAUGACGUGGCAUUGACCGAUGAUGUGGCAUUGACUGAUGAGGUGUCACGAUCCUGUUGGACUAAAAUUCUUAUGUACUGUUGAUGGUGACGUGGCAGCAUAUCAGUGGACGAAAAAUCUCGCGUACGGUGCAUGCAUCACACAGGAUUAUUUUCAACCAAACCGCGUUACUGUUCAAAGUCGGGUCAAACCGUGUUACUGUUCAUCCGCGUGGUCAAACCGUGGACUGUUGACUGAUGACGUGGCGCAAUCCUGAGCGUCCAAACUAUUUUUAAUCCGAUGGCCAUGAUUUACACCAUGUAUCUAUAAAAAGGGGGCCUCUCCCCCCUAAUUUGAUAUCUCUGAAUCCAUUUUUGGGAUCCAUUUUCUGUAAUUCUCUCUCCAUCUUGUAUUUUCUAUGUAUUUUAAUAAAUUCCGAUUUUGCCCCUAGUUCAAUUAUGAGUGGCUAAUUUUCUUUCAAGCUUGGGUUGAAGGUGAAGUCUCAACAUGUGUCAUGGGCUUAAUUUGGUAAAUUUACUUUCUCUUCCCCUCUAGUUUUUGUGGAUGUUUUGACUUCUCGUCGACAAAUAAUACUAAUCUUGUCUAGUACCGCCUUGGUUUCACCGGCCCUCUAGUAUAAGGUUAUUAUUAUUUGGCACGAUAAGCCCUUAGCACCAUAUUGAUUAGAGCGUGGUUCAUGAGGUGUGGAUUCCCCCCUCAUGAUUUAAUUAGCAUUAAUACGGAUUAUUUAGCCCAUGAUGCAUGUUGAUACGGAUCCAGAUACCCAAGUACGUCAUUUCAAUAGAAUUAUCUUUAAUUUAUUCUCGCCAUUGCAAUUCCAAUUUUAGAAUUUAUUCUCGCCAUUUUAAUUUAAGUUUUAGCAUAUACCAAAUCAUUUCCACCAUAAAUCCAACAACCCAUUUACAAAAUUAAUUCUAUACACAAUUAAAAUCCACCUCCUCGUGGGAUCGACACUCGUCACCAUAGAUCUAUACUACAAUAGAUUCGUGCGCUUGCGAGUACAUUAAAAUUUGCACAACACCUUCCAUUCAGGUACACUUAGAGCAUCCUGUACAUUUUUUAGAAUUUCUACACUAGAAUGCUGUGAGGUAAAUGCAUAGAAAGGAGGUGAUAGGUUGUGAUAUGAAACAAAGUUAGACAAUGGGUAUUUGGCACACACUAUUAAAAAAAUGACUUUUACUGACACUUUGGAAAAAGUGUCAAUAAUUACCUAAUUAUGCAUCAUUUUCCGCUUUUUACAAAUAGAUGUCACAAAUUAUUAAUAUUAAUGUAUCAAUAAAUUAAAUAUCAGAGAUCGCUGAUACUUCAGUAUCAGAGAUUUAAAAAAAAUCAUUAAAAUUUGUUUUGAUUUUUACUCGAACCUGGACUUCUAAAACUCAAAACUUUUACGUUUAGAUCGCAAACCGCUGGACGCCAUAAAAUUGAAUUGGAAUUACAAUGUUAUAUAAAAUGUUGACAUAUAAAAAACCAAACCCUAAUUCCCCUUCUCCAUUGUGCAAUAGAGCCCAUGCCGCAGCCGCUGUGUAAUUUCCUUGUCUUUCUUGACUUCUUCUCUAUCGUGAAAGAUGGAGAAUGACCAAGCCCAAACGCCCACAUCCACGGCCGCGCCCAACCUCCACGGCCACGCCCAACCUCCACGGCCACGCCCACCCCCACGUCGUUGCCUCUAUCACUUUCGUUCAAGUGGUUCGACACUGCAGGUACUAAAUUAAGAAUUUAAAGCAUGUAAAACGAAAGUAAAACAUAUCCCAAACUUAGCAAUUGUCCCCAUCUCGCUGUCUUUUAUACACACAAAUCUCUAACCCAAACUCAAACCCAAAAUUGUCUCUUGCCUUUCUCUUUCUCUUUCCUUUUUCUCUUCUCGAUCUCUUCCUUUUUUUUUUUUGGUCCAUUCACAAACUCGUUCAUUUAACUCAAAUAGAUAAUAUAAAGCUAAAACCUAAAGUGAGGCUUUUCUUUCCUUUUUCCUUUUUUUCCCAAAUUGAAAAAUGGAUCAAAACAAUAAUCGGGGCUUCUUUCAGCAAAUUAUUUUUCUUUUUAUGGUCAAAUUUCACUUUUUUUUGUUCAAUAUUCGAAACCCAUUUGCUUGAAUUUGAAUAAAAUUAUUGAGAAAUUAGUUAAUUUUCUUGCUAUGGAAGAGAUACCGCACCUUAUACGUAGACAUGUGAAGGAGAUUUUCAAUGACUCUAAGGGCAAACAGGUUGCCUUGAUUAAGGCUUUAACUGUUGGUAAUGGCUUAAUAUUUUAUUUUCUUUGUCAAAUUAAUUAACAGGUUUUUUUAUUUUAGCUUAUGAUUAUUAGGGUUUUUUGUUAAUUUUAAUUUUCUGGGUUGUUGCAGAUGUUGAGAAACUCUACCAGUGUGCAGUCUUGGUAGGAUUUCUUUUCCAUAUCUAUUUUUUGUUUAUUUAAUUGUAAUUUGAAUUUUUUUCUUUUUUUCCUAUAUUUCUAUAUUAUAAAGAUUGAAUGGUUGUGUAUUUAGUAAUUAUUACAUGUUAUUUACUGCUCUGUUUCAUGUAAAGAGAAGCAAAUUAUGUUAUAGAAACCAACAUGUUUAUUUAUUUAUUUUUUUCGGUUGGAAGAUUUUUAAUAGAGUCAAUGACUAUGAUAUGAAUUACCUAAGUUCAUGCUUGUCUGAAUGUUUUGAGAUUGCACAAAGUUCAUGAUUUGUCUUUAAUUCAAGAAGAAAAUGCUUGUUUUUAGGUAGUUUUGCUUGUUGUAGCACUUGGAGACUUACAUUUUCUUUCUUCAUUUGCACGGUUAGUUUCGCUCUUAUUCAAAAGUUUAUGUGUUUCCUCACUUGCAUGGUCAUUAAUUCAUUCCAUGAUUUUUCUUCUAUAAACACACUUUUAUUUGCCUUUCACUAGUUUGAAGGACUUUAUUUUUUUUAAUUAAAAAAUUCCAAAGAUUGAAAUGAAUUGAAAUUGCUGCUAUAAUGUACUUUCUUUGCUGCUGAAGUUCAAGGAAUGUCUAUUUAAAUGAACUAGAACUUGAAAAAUCUUGUAGUGUUGUUGUACCCAUAGACUUCAUUUUUUUUCUUGCACAUUACACUUAUUUUGUUCAUCUUCUUACCUUCAAUUUGUCGUAGAGGUAAACAAUGCUUGACGGGAAAUGGAGGUUUGCAUUUACAGCGGCUGAAUCUCAUGAACAAGAAGUUGGCAAACUGAGGUCUAUAUUUUUUCCUCAAAUUCAUAGUUGAAUUCAUAGUAAGCUCAAAGCAAUUGAUUGAGGGAGAAAGUAAAUUGAGUUUUAUUUAUUAGUACAAUUUUUGUUAUUCAGUGCUUUACACUCUUCAUGACAACUUCUGCGAUCUUGUCCUAUUACCUUAAGGUACUACUGGAUAUUUGAGAAAAAAUUAAAAAUGAUUAAGCUUAUCUUUCUUUGAUGGUAGAAUUACAGUAUGUCUCCUCACUUAUUGUAGUUCAUCCAAUUUUAUUUUUGUUGCGCAGUCUGUGGAAAUCAGAGUACCACAUUUAAGAGUUUUUAUAAAAUGUCUCCUUUACCUUUCCUAUUAUUUAAACUAAUUUCAUGUGUUUUUCUUUAGUUAAUGAUUGAUUUUCAAGCAAUUGAAGGAAAGUAACUUGUAGAACCUCCUUCUAAAAUUGGUCUGGAACCUUUGUGUGCAAUGGUUAGUGAAAUCAUAAUCCGUGGCUUGUGUUAAUAUGCAUCGAUUGUGUGAAAACUAUUGUUUACUAUUUUCUGUGGCUGGUUAUUAACAUGAUUCACAGAUAAACAACAAUAGACUCAUACCCAUAUGCUUGCUUGCUUUCAACAUGCACUUUCUUUCUUUUUUUCUGUAGUUUUUUUUAUGCGUCUCUCUUUGAAGAAUAAUAUUAUUAGCUUACACGAAAAGGGGGAAAUUGCCGUUAUCUUGCUGCAAGUUUUGUCCCGGUUCUAUAGUUCUACUAUUUUGUAUCACCUUGGAUGACAUGUCGAGUGAAUCCUGAAACAUCAUUUGUCAACCUUUUGAUUCAGUAAUAAUUUAUUAAUUUUGAGAAAUUAGUUUCAUUUUAUCUUGUUUGUACCUAUAAUGCAUUGUGUUCAAUGUUCUUGAAAUUUUUGGGCAUGGCUGCAAACAAAUUUAGCAGUUUUUAAUAGCCAACUAUAGAGACACUUUAAAAUUUGUUUGGGUGAUGAGUUUUUAUGGUUUUGUAAUUGGGGUGAAGGGUAGCAAAUAUCAAUCUUGUCUAAAGAGCACUUGUGUAAGAUUACUUUUGAGUAUAGUGGGGCAGCCUAUAUUAGUAUUUUUAUGAAAUAAGCAGAAAAAGGAAUCCCUUUCUGCUGUUAGCAAUAAAAAUAAUUUUCAAAAAUGUAAAUACCAAGCUUUCUAGUUGUCACCGUUAUUUGCAAAGAUCUUUUCAAUGUAUUUGUAGAUCCCAACAUAUCUUGAUGCAUGAUCAAUUAGUAUAUGAUAGCAUGGGUGAUGAUCUUUCCAUUUGCUUCUCUUUUUCUAUUUUUUUUGGGCAUCAUCGUCUAACGUAAGCAGGCCUCCUCCAUGUUGAUUUUUUUUAAAGAGUUUGGAGCUUAUGCAUUCGCAAUUCUAAAACAUGGGCCAAUAUGCUUUCUACUUGUUAAUCUAUUUACUUAUUGUCAAUUUUGCAGGUUAAUUUUGAAGAUGCGCAGAGAGGUUUUGUAGAGGUUGGGAAGGUAUUUAAAACUUAAAGCUUUUAAUUCUUCUUUCCCCUGCUUAAUAUAUGUUUUCCCUAUAUAGUGUUUCAACAUGACCUGAUUUCAUGCCGCCUCAUUUAUUCCAACAUCCAUAAACACUGAAAUUGACCUGAUUAGUUUUUCUCCCAAAAAUCCAAGAAUUAUUUUUUUGUGGUAUACUAAUUGAUUUUAUGUACUUGUAGGUGGAAAAAGAAAAAUGAAGCCGCUUGUGGAUGUUCAGUGACAUUAUGUGCUUCUUUUUGUUGGUUAAUAUUUGUUGAAUCUUAGCUUAGUACUUUGUAGUUCAGAGCUUGUCCAAGACUUAAUUUAGUACUUAUAUUUGUCUUUUCCAAACAAUGAUGUAGUUGAAUUAUAUGAAUUUAAGUGAUGGAUUUGAGAUAUUUCUUAUGUAAUUGUGUUGCGAGAUUUUGUAUAUUUUAAUAUACUUUGAGUUUUCCUUUGGUUGUAAAACGAACAAGAAAAUAUAAUUAAAAUAAAAGUAUACUAUUAACCAAAAGAAUCAUAACAUCAUUGAAUACUGACACUAAAUGUUUAAAAUGACAUUAAUAAUUUUUGAUGUUAUUGAGUCAGUGUGUUCUUGAUAUUGUAGUCUCAUAAAUUAUUGACAUAAAUAGUAUCAUUAAAUACUAAUGCUAUCGUGUCAUUAUUUUAGUGAUACCAUAAUGACAUGAAUUACUGACACAAAAAUCAUUGACACUAAAAAUUAGUGUCAGUGUGUUUUGGCUGGAGCAUUAUUGACACAAUUAACAAGUGUCAGGAAAAGUAAUUACUGACACUAAAUUAGUGUCAGUAAAGUCCAUUUUUCUAGUAGUGACAACUUCUAGUACCUUUCCUAAGAGCAAUAGGUAUGUCCAGAUCACUAAGAACCUGAGAAUUUAAAUUUAACUCACAAGAAGGAUUAGAAUUACAAUUACCUGAGGAAGAAGAAGUUUGAUUUGACCUUGGAUUGGAAUCAUGGCCUUGCUGCAAAGUAGGGUUUUCUCUUCUUUGAUUAGUACCCUUUCUUGAGUAAACAAUAAACUCAGAUUGUUUAUUACCCUGUCUUGCACACAAAUCUGGUUCUAAUGGCACAUUAGAGGGCUGUCCAGGUUGAUUAGCAUUUACAUUAUCAGAUUUAGUGAGGUUUUCUUGUGGUUCGGGUGCAUUAGGUUCUAAUAUGGGAUCAAGAAUGGUAUAACCAGGUAUAGCAAUGUUAGGAACAUGUACAACAGUAUUAGGUUCAGGUAUGGCAGCCUCGAGACUUUUUUCUGGACGGAGGGAGUCUAGCACAGAAGAAAUAGAAGGGUUUUCUAGGUGAAUAGUGUUAAAGAUAGAAGGGGUUUCUAGGUGAGUAGUGUUAAAGAUAGAAUCUUCACUCCUAUUCUCCCCCUGAAGAUGACUAUCUACAUAAUAUCUUCGUUUUUCAAAAAAUGUAACAUCCAUGGUAACAAACAUUUUUUUUUAAAAUAGGAUCAAAACAUUUAUAACCCUUUUGUGUUGGAGAAUAUCCAACAAAAAUGCAUUUUCUAGCCUUUAGAGCAAGUUUGCCCCGAUUCUGGUUGUGAAUAUGAACAAAAGCAACACAACCGAAUAUUUUGGGCGGAAGUGUGACUGAAAUUCGUGAGGUAGAGAAACAUUGAUUAAAGAAAUCAGAUAGAGUUUAAAAUUGUGGAACUUUUAAAGGCAUUCGAUUUAUCAAAUAGGCAGCGGUGAGUACAGCUUCCCCCCAUAAAUACAUAGGAACUUGAUUUAUAACAAGUAAGGAUCUAGCAACUUCAAGAAGAUGCUUAUUUUUGCGUUCAGCAAUUCCAUUUUGUUGGGGGCUAUCCGUACAUGAACUUUGAUGAAAUAUGCCAUUUUCCACAAAAAAAUCUCCCAAAAACUUGUUAAAGUAUUCUUUCCCAUUGUCAGUUCGGAAAACUUGAAUUUUAGUUUGAAACUGAGUUUGUACCAUGUUGUUAAAAGUUAAAAAUAAUUCACACCUAUGAUUUUUCCUUCAUUAAAUAUACCCAAGAAAUAUGGGUAUGAUCAUCAAUGAAGGUAAUAAACCAUCUUUUUCCUGUUAAUGUAGAAAUUCUAUUAGGUCCCCAAACAUCACUAUGAAUCACAGAAAAAGGUUUUGAGGCUUUGUAGGGUUGGGAAGGAAAUAAUGCACGAUGAUGUUUUGCUAAUUCACAAAUUUCACAUUUAAAGGAAGAAGAACUUUUAUUAGCAAACAAGUUGGGAAAUAAAUAUUGCAAAUACUGAAAACUAGGAUGGCCUAACCUAAAGUGCCACAACAAAACUUCAUUGUCAUUAUUAACAACAGAAACAGAAUUGAAACAAAUACGUGGAGGUUGUUGUCUCAAACUUGGUACUUCUUCAAAGAAAUACAGCCCCCCACUUUGUCUAGCACUGCCAAUCAUCUUCCCCGAGGUCAAAUCCUGAAAUUCGCAAUGAUUUUGGAAGAAACUAGCACAACAGUUCAGGUCAAGAGUUAAUUUGCUAAGGGACAAAAGAUUGCAAGAUAGGUUAGGAACAUGCAGAACAUUAUGAAGAGUGAGAGUGGAAGAAAGAAUGAUAGACCCUUUUCUAGCAAUAACCGAAAGGGAUCCGUCAGCGAUCUUAAUUUUUUGAUUUCCUGCACAUGGCUUAUAGGCAGAAAACAAAGAUGGAGAGCCUGUAAUGUGAUCGGUUGCUCCUGAAUCGAUAAUCCAAGAACAAGGAUUCGAAUGAUGAGAAACAAGGGCAGCAGAAAGAUAAUUACCUUUUUGAGUUAAUGAGCAAGAGGGAGUAGAUGAAUUGAAGGAUGAGGAUUGAAACAAUUUAUACAAGUGCUCUAAUUGAUCCUUGGUGAAAGGUGAUGACUCUGAAGAACCUAAUUUCUCUUUAUCUGAAGUAGCUUGGAAGGCUCGUCCAUCACCUCCUUGUUUCUUCUUCACAUGAGGAGGCUUGCCAUGUAACUUCCAGCAAGUUUCUCUUGUAUGCCAAGCCCUUUUACAGAAGUUGCACCAAGGUUUCUUUGAAUUCCUUCGAUCUCCAUCAGGUUCAGGUGCCUUUAAAAUAAGAGCAGAACUCUCUGAACUCUCUACUUCACUGGUGGCUUUAACAUCAUUAAGCAUGACAUUCCGUCGCGCUUCUUCUCUUCUUACCUCAGAAAACACUUCUCAAAUAGAUGGAAGGGGUUUCCUGCUCAGAAUUAUGCCUCUCACUUUGUCCAAAUCACGGUUUAGCCCAGCUAAGAACACAUAUACUUUGUCAUUUUCCAACAUCUUUUUAUACCUUACACUAUCACUCGAACAGUCCCACUGCUCAUCAUAGCAAAGAUCUAAUUCCUGCCAAAGGAUCAACAGUUCAUUAUAGUAAGUUGUGACCAACCAAUUACCUUGCUUGGAUUGGCACAAUCGAGUUUUCAACUCAAAUAUCUGAGAUGAAUUUUCUAAAUCAGAAUAGGUAUCUCGGACUGCAUCCCACACCGCCUUGGCUGUCGGUAAGAACAGAUAAGGCUUACCAAUCCUAGGCUCCAUUGAGUUUAUCAACUACGCAAUAACCAUCGAAUUUGUUGAUCCCCAGGUCGAAAGAGAAGGAUCUCCAGUAAUUGGUUUUGUUACUUCACCAGUCAAAUGCCCCAGCUUUCCCUUUCCAUCAAUUACCAACUUAACGCACUGUGCCCACUCUAAGUAAUUUUUUCCAUUCAAUUUAUGAACAAUUAGUUGCAAAGAAAAGCUAUCCUGGUUAUAUUCAGACUGCUGCAACAGCGGCUGAGGAGUUCUGGUGUUACUAUCAUCAUCUUCGGCGGUAGAUGCCGAUGAGCUCUUUGUAGCUCCAGUCAUGGCAGUUUUCACCAUUGAAAAAUAGACCUCUAAAUAUUCAUUGCUCUGAUACCAUGUAAAUAUUUAGAGUCUGAAAAUACUAUUUUUCUUCUUUCAUUCAUUCAACAAGUUACACUUAAAUAGAAUAUAGAAAACAAACUCCUAAUAGAUAUCCCCUAAUUGUAGGAUACUUAUCUAAACUUGAAUUUAAAAAAAUGAUUAUCUAAAACUUUAUUCCGAUAAGACUUUAAAACUAAACUAAUUAUCUAAAACUUUAUUCUGAUAAGACUUUCAAACAAACUGAAAAAUCCUAACUUCUUGACACAUAGAUCAUACUGCAGAUGAAUUUUGGAAGAUGAACAAACUCAGGCAUCUAGUCAUUGAAGAUGGUGAAUGAAAGCACGAUGCCAAGGCUCUCCAAAAUCGUCCUUGCCAAAUACCUACUUCCUCAAAGUCUAAUCCCCUUGAGUUUCUCUAAUACUGAACAAAUGGAUGAUCCCAUGCCUGUGCUAGAAAAGUUGCCACUUCUUCAAAUGCUCAAACUGAAGCAAAAAUCAUAUUCAGGUAGAUAGCUGACUUGUGGGUCUGAUGGUUUCCCAAAGCUCAACAUAGUGCACUUGAAUUCAAUGCCAUGCCAUUUAAACAAAUUCGAGUGUUGGUGGCCUCAGCCGGAGCUGAGACAAAAGCUACGGGACUUUGAGGAUAAGGCGCAGUAUGACAAUCAAGUAUAUCAUUAUGGAAUUUGAUUUGCAUGGAUUUAAUUAGAUGUAAGUUUUUCAUUUUAUACAAUAUCAUCAACCUUUAAUUAUUAAUCUAAUUUCAUACAUAUGUUUUUUCUUCUCCUCAAUAUAUUUGAUAGUACGCAGCUUCCUAAUGCUAUCAAGUGUUUUCUAAUUGUAGUUGCUUCUAAUUUUUGUCUCAACAUUAGAGAUGAAGUGUUCAUCACAGUUCCUGAUGCUGACCCCGACCAUUUUCCCUUGUCUAUUGAUUGUUGAACAGUCAGGAAAAACUAUAAUUUCAUUUCAGAACCCUUGUGUAUUGAUCGUUGAGCAGUGAGGAAAAACUAUAAUUUCAUAUCUUAAAUUACUUGCGCCGGUGAAAUCAGAGCGGGAAAUAUGUCAACUGUAGUGCAGCAAAAGUUUCAAUUUCAACUAGAAUCCGGCCUUGAUCCUUUUAGUAUUCACUUCUGCUAUCUACACAUUAAUGAGUCCUUAGGAUUGAUGCAGGAUAUUAUUGGGUUUCUUUGUUUUCAAGGAUCUGCUACAAGCAAUAAUGUCAAGUUUUUGGAUUCACUGUGUAUAUUUUAUUCAUGUGUCUUCAUUCUUGUAAUGUGCUUGAAACUCCACCUUAGUGUGGACGUGUGUGGUUUGGUCGUACCAUGUGCAAUACAUGUAAAUUGUCAUAAUUGUCUUAAGGGAAUUCUGCAUCACUUCCAUUAGAAGAAAACUUUGGAUGUAGGCACCAUUGCCGCUGAAUCUACUUUUGAUUUGCUCCAUGUUUUCUAUAUUUUUUUAAUUCAAUUUUGGAGAUAGGGUUUCUAGCAUUGAUUGUUGAUACAUCAGAGGACUAAAUACAAGAAAUAAAAACUGGGGCAUAUUGCCUAAUCUUCAGAAUCUCCAAUUUUAUGGAGAUUUAAGCCCUUAUCAUUCAUAAAUAACUUGAGUGUUGGAUUGUUAUUAUCUUAGAUUCUCUAAAUAAUAAUCCGAAUAAGAAUGUUGGAAAAAUAUUGAUUAUAAAUACUUGUUUUGAACAAAUACUACCUAUUAUUUUAAAUUUUGGACUUAGAAAUUAUAAAUAGUAUUAGCAUGUGAAUUUUAAGGUAUUAGCUGAUUCUGUCCAAUUUUAGAGGUUGAUCCAUCAUGCUAAACUUAGUCAUUGGUUUUUGCUGAACAAAUGAAUGUGUAUCAUUUUUUUUUCCUCUUUUUUUUCUGUUAUACUUUGAUUCCCCUGCUUCUAGCUGAUUCUGUUCUCCUUUAUAACGAGAAAGAAGUUGUCUUUUGUGCUCUUAUAUAUACAUGUUAAGCCUGGAUAUGUGUGGUUUUGUUUGUUUUAAUAAUAUGAUUGUGUGGUGUCAUCUGUAAUACUUUUUAAGGGUGCAAAUCAAAUGAGUUUAUACCUUAUAGUGAAUUUGGUUAAUUUCAAGAUAUCAUUUUUUGGGAUCUUCGGCUCUAGUUGCUAAUACAAAAUUCCUCAAAUCUCGUUUGGAAUUUGGGAGUCCGUCCUAAAUGAUACAAGAUUUGAUAAAAAUUUCUCAUUCUGAUUUAUUAAUCGAGUUGAGAUUCAAGAUCUAGUUUUCUUCUAAUUUAAUAUUCAAGACGGGAUUUGAGACGUCUGAAAAUCUCAUUCGAGAUCCCUUAGGCAAUCAAAUGAGUUCAUAUCCUUAUAAUGAAUUUGGUUAAUUUCAAGAUACCCUUUUUUGGAAUCUUCCGCUCUAACUGUUAAUACGUGAACCUAGGCUGGCAAAAUUAUCCAGAUACCAAUCGAGAUACAAACCCUAUAUAAGAUUUGUUACAAAUUUCUUAUCCCUAUUUUCAAUGUAGGUCAGGAUUUGGGACCCCAUUUUAUACCGAUUGAUAAAUUUCUUUAUUUAGACAAUAACUGAUGACAGAUUAUUAGUUUAAAGCUCAUGGAGUAAAGGUUGAAUUAUUGGUUCAAUCAUCCGUAAUUUUCUGCAAGCAUGCAAUAUAUUAAACAAGAGAUUAUUUAAUUAUUUUUUGGGUUCUGUUAUUAACAAUAAUGAUUUUGAAGAUAUUAGUGGGAGAAAAAUGGUUCUUUUAAAUCAUUUUCAAUCUUGAGAAAAAGUUUUCUUGCUGCCAUACACUGUCCUUUCUCUAUAUUUAUAUUUAAUUCAUAUGUACAUAUAUCAUACAUACAUUAAAUGAGUGUAAUUCAAUAAAAACAUUCUAUGAUCUUUCUGCUAUAUGAAAAAUAACCUAAAAAAUAUAUAUAUACAAUUACACAAGCUCUAUUAAUACUCUACCAAUUAAAUUGAGCACGUGUUCUUUUUAAUAUCCUCAUUUCAGCUAAUUGUAUCCAGCCCAGUGGCCGCAUUUUUUUUUUCUCUUUUUGUGUGUGUGUGUAACCAAAGCUUUUUAUCUUUCAUUUGCAAUUUGAGAACCCAUUAGCCAGACAAUUAAAUGCAGAUUCCAUGAAUUUUGCACCGUUGACUUAACUCGAAGAGUAAGACUUCGAUGUAACUACGGAGUCAACAAAUAUGCUUGUCAUGGAAAAUCUCAUAACGCGUACAUUUACUUUUUCAUAUAUUGUGUCUCUAUUCUACCUCUCCAACUUAAAAUUCCUUGCUCGUGUUUUAAACAUGACAUAGAAGUUCUGGUUUGGAAAUGGUAGAGAUAGUUAGAUGUCACAGUUGCAUACAAGUGUACACAAUUUCUUUGUCAAAUAAAAUCUAGUCACAUAUUUAUUCUAAAACUUAAUUAUAAACUAUGAAUAAAUAAAAAACAGUGGACAUAAUUUUAUUGACUGUCCCAUUAAAUCCGUCGCACCUAAUUUUAUUUGCUUGCAGUGGGACGACUUUAAAUGUUGUCAUGUGGCUGCACAAAUGGACUAAUUCCUGUCACAACUUGAUAGUCUAUAUUAGCGCGGACUGUUGUGACAAAUGAACCUCUAUUUCGAUUGCGUACUCCAAUAUGUUAAAAAAAAGAAAAAAGAAAAUAAAAAGAAAAUAGGACAUCAUCAAGUAUCAAUCAAAGAUCAAUUUGUUUUAUCCACUUUCAAGAAAGAAAAGGUAAAAACAAUCCCACUGGGGACCAUAAAGUUUAUCUCAAAAGAAAAAGCACUACAAUAGUCGAACACAAAGAAGAGUAAUAAUGAGAAAGGAGUUGCAUAUAAAUUGAAGAUUUUUAUUUUUUUUAAAGAAGGGCCCGACAUCAUGAUUGCUUUCAUUUAGGAAAGGAUAUAUGAAAAAGAGAUGAAUAUUGCACUUUAGAUUUGGAUAAUUCCGAUUGGAUUUUGAAUUGUUUGGAUUAGGAAAAACAAAUCAUUCGAAUCCAACCUGAAUCUCAAAUACAAUCGAUCGGAUUUAAAAUAAAUCAGAUCUGAUAAAUAUUUCAGAUACAUUUAGUUUCAGAUUGUUUCGGAUUUAAAUGAUAUUUUAGAUUCAAAUGGUAUUUUAAGUUCAGAUUGAAUUUGUAUUUGGGUCUUUUUGAUAAUUUUUACAUAAAAUUCAUAAAAUCUAUAUAUAUAUAUAUGAGUAGUGCUAAAUGUCGGGAAGGCUGAGAUAACCCUGAGAGAAAUGGUAGCUUGUGCUGCCAUUUCGCGCGUGUUCUCUUGGCCCCGCCCCCCAUGUUUCUUUCUCUUUUCUUUUUAACUUAACGUUUGCUGUAGUCAGCCUUUUGCUGCAGUCAACUCAUCUCUCCAGCACCAAAAACUACCGUAUCUUCUCCCUCCCCUCAAUUUCAUCGGCACUCUCUCUCAUCAACGGCAUCGUUACCGACAGCCACCUCUUUCUCUUCAGCUCGUCACGACAGACACCACCAGUUUGGUUCGUCACUUCGUCCGGAUCUCUCCAUUAUUCCAAGUGUGUUUCCCCUAUUUUUUGUUCUAAAAAACCCAAAAAAAUGAAGAACAACACCUGUAUUGAUUUCGAUUUUUUGAUUCCAAGUCAAAGGGGUGCUUGACUUUUAAUUAUACAAGAUAGAAGAUGAAACCAAAUUUUGAUGUUGAUGAAGAAGAAGAAACAAAACUGACAGGAGGAAGAAGAAGAUAAUUGUGAUGAUGUUGUUGAUGAAGAAGAUGAAAUUGACGAUGGAGAGAAGUAACGAAGAAAUUGGAGAAGAGAGAGAAAGAAAAAAGAGAAGAAGAAGAAGGUAAAAGAAGAAAAAAAUAUAAGAGAGAUAAAAUAAUAUAAAAAAAAGAGGAAAUGUUUAAAGUAAAGUGGGGGUGGGGCCAAGAGAACACGCGUAAAAUGGCAGCACAAGCUGCCGUUUCUCUCAGGGUUCUCUCAGCUUUCUCGACGUUAAGUAUUUUCCUAUAUAUAUAUAGUAGUGCAAUCUAAUCGAAUUGUUUAAAUUAAAAUGGAUCCAAUCCAUCGAAUGCACAAAUUUUAUCCAAUCGGAUAUAAAUGGCAACAUCCAAAUCCAAAUCAGAUCGAAUCAUAUCUAUCCGAAUCUGAUCCAUGCACACCUUUAGCCCUAUUGGAAUGAUUAUCUAACGAUUCAAACUAUAACGUAUUUUGUUGUAGUUUGUAGAGCGCUUGAAAAGAAAAUCUCUAAACAAUAGUGACUAUUAUGAAUUAGAUGCAUCAAUCAAUUGUUGAAAAUUGAUUAAAAACAAAAAAAGAAAGGUUGUUGACCAAAAUUUGUUGAUCAAAUUUGAUGGCUAAGCCACCAAUUUUGAUCAAAAUUGGUGGGCAUAGUUAGGCAAGUUUUUGCCUAUAAAUAGGAGGGUGCUCCUCCUCACUUUUGUAUCCAAUUGAGAGCAUUCAAUUGGUGAAUGCAAGAAAAGCAUUGAGAGCUUCUAAUGGGAGAGAAAUAAUCUUAAGCAUGUAGAUGUAUUAUAGGAGUAUUUGGCUCCUCAAUGUGGGUAUUACGGGUUUGCUCUGUUAAAGAAUAUUUUUCGGGAUCAUGUAUUUGGGGCUUGGGUGAGAAAAAUUAUUUCUGAAAGUGUGGUUGUAAUAAUUUUUCACAUAAUGAAUAUUUUUUUCUCUGGUUGUCUUUUGAUAACGGCCGUAGUUUUUUUUCUGGAUUUAGAGUUUUCCAUGUAAAUCUUGUAUUGUGUGACUAAUGUAUUCUCCGUUUAAUUUUUUCUGUUAAUUUAUUGUUUGACAAAUUGUUUGUAGUGAUCUUGGGAGAAAACUCAAUUUCCUAACACGAAUCAGAUUCUAAGGAGAUGUUUUUUCUCUCUAUACAAGCUUUAUGGUCCCAGCGGAAUUAUUUUUAAUCUUUCAGUCUUUUGAGAGGGCAAAAAAGAAACUAGUCUUGAUAGCCUAUUUUACUUUCUUCAUACACAUAUAUAUAAAACACAAAUUAUAAGACACCCUUUUAUCUUCUUGCAUAAAGAAUAUUUUAUAUACACGUGCAUUAUACCUCAGGUUUUGUGCAGAAAAUCAUUAUUGUAAUGUUUUGGGAGAGAUUAUUUAGUGUUAGACAUUGGAAUUUGUGGGUUUGUUUGAAUAAGAAUUUGAGGUAUUUUAGUUUAGAAUCUAUGAGUAAGGAUUACGAUUUGUAAGUAACAUCCUUCUUCACGUGCUCCGCACGUGUUAGUUUUGGGGUGUAACAUAACUAGAUCCUAAGAUCUCGAUCCACAGCUUAGUAAUCUGCAGAUACUUCAUACGAAGCCGAAUCCGCUGAAUCAGGAGUAAGAAUCUUAUAUACGUGUAAGAAUAAAAAUAAAAAGUUGGAAAAAGAAGCUCAAAGAAUUUUAAAUUGAAAAGUUGAUUUUCAUGUGCGGAACAAGGGCUUCAGAUUAAAUUGUUGAAAAAGUUUUGUAGUAAAAUAUUUUUGUUUUCAUAUGAUUUUUUAAGAAAAAAGAAUAUAUAAGGUUUUUUGUGGAAUUAACAUAGGUGUUGUUAAAAGUAGUGUGAUUUACAUAUAGGGGCGGGCAAAAAAAUCGUGCACUAGAGAAAACAAAACUGAACUGAUCCGAACCGUUCCAUUCGGAUCAGUUUUAAUUUUAAAAAAUAAACGAAAUAUAUGGUUUGUAAAAAGAAUCGAAAUGUAGGUUUGGUAUUUGGUUCACUUAGCUGAACCAAAAAACCGAACUAAAAAACCAGAUUGUUCUUGGAAUUUUAUUUAAAUAGACAUGUGUUAAAUUUUAAUUGGUUGCGUAAGAUAACUAAAAUAGGCAUGCACACACACGAUUAUGGGUAUAUAUAUAUGUUACAAUUUCUGCACCCAAAACAAACCUAAAGGCUAAAAUCAAAAACGAAAUCAACUCGCAAGCCAAAUCCUUUUAGGAGUUCUUUAACUCAUAAAACAGUCAAGUCAUUAAUCUGUACUCAAAAUUGGUUUUACUCAACUCUCUUAGGAGAGCAUACAAUACAACCAAGUCAGGAGGAAGCUGAAUUCUAUGAAUUAGUUGAAACAUGUAAUAUUGUAAUUUAUUAUGUUAUUUUUUGUUACUUAUAACAUUUUGUAUAUUAGAAUUAAUGAUUUUAAUAUAAUUGUUUCAAUUUCUUGAAGAAUUGUUUAGGCUAAUGCAAUCUCAACAACAACAAGUAGCUGAGGAGUAAAUGACAGUUGACUGAUGUUGCUGACCAGUAAGUUUUCUUUAUUUUUUUUUAAAAAAUAGUAUCUUAUUUAUAUAGAUUUUUAUUUAAUUAUUUAUUUUUUUAAAUUUUUUUUAUAGAUCCAAAUAUUGAGUUGGAAAAUGCCUAAAGUUGAUACUGAUAUUGAUGGGGAUAGGAGAAUGUUGUUGUCAUUUGUUUGCAAUUUAAAAAAAAAAAAUUUUGUGAAGAUGGGAGAAUGUUGUUGGUGUUUGUUUCCAAAUUUUCUUUUUAUUUUGUGUUGUAAGUUUUAAUUGUUGUUAUUUUUAUUUGUCUUUACAACAUUAUGUUUAUGUAAAUGGAGUAUUGGAGUUUAAUUAUGUAUUUUGAACUCUUAAUAUUUCAUAUUUUGUAAGUAUCUUAUUAGUAGUUAGUAAGAUAUUAGUGAUAAAAUAUGUUUUGAAUAUUUUGUAUUUAUUGUUAAUAUUUGUAAUGAAAUUAGGAUAAAUUAAUUGUUGAAAAAAAUAAUUACAUUCAUGAGGCCUAAUGAGCUAAAAAUUUAGAAAUUCAAAAUAGGCCCAAUAGGCCCAAAACCGAAAAAAUCGAACCGGACCGAACCGAUCUGAGAAGAUCCGUUUAUAUUCGAUUUUUAUUGUGUUCGGUUCUUAUUUGGUUCUUUUAAUAAAAUAACCUAUUUAAAUCGAUUUUGCUUAAUUUCGAUUCGAACCAAACCAGACUGAACCAUGCCCACCCCUAUUUACAUAUGUUUUUAAUCGUGUACUUUUAGAAGAGAGGCUUUACGAGGAGUUUAAAGUGGUGCUAAUAGUUUCACUUAUUGACAAAUGGGUCAAAAAACAUCCAAAAGCUUCAAAGACCUUUCAUAAUACUUGGAACACAAAAUAGUUAAUUAUACUUUACAAAAAAAUUUGUUUUUUAACAUUUUACAACUCAAAACACGCUAGAAGAUCUUUAAUAUUUCUUAGUUUACUAUAAGAUACUAUAAGUAUAUAUAACAAAACAAGAAUAUAUUGAUUGAUACCAUAUAUUUGAUACAAGUGAAUAGAAAAUCUCUCACUUGAUAGAAUAUAUAUAGCAUAUGACAAGUUACAUACAUCUAAUUUUCUGCAUGCAUAUGGAAAAAAAAUUAAUUGUUUAAAUUUCUAAUUUGUCAAAUCAAGGUUUGAUUUCUGAAUUUUUUUAGUUGUUAAGUGGAUUAAAUUUCCCCCCAUAUACACUGUCUAGAGAAACUCAUGAAUCUAAAUAAACCAAACCCAUAUUAAAUUUAAUGAUAUCAUUAUCCUCAGACUCUCAGUUUUGCACUUUUGCUUACAUAAACAUUAUGGAACUUAAACUUAAAUCCACUUUUUUCAUCAUUCUCUUGGUGGCCUCAUGUUUGUUCCUUAAUCUUAUUUUCCUCAUCUUUUUAAUGCAUCCAUAAUUAACUAUAAUAUGACAACUAAUUGGCUGGCAUUUAUAUAUGCAGGCGUGUUAUUAGCAUUAGGCUAAUUAAUUGAUUGCCAUUUAUAUAUGCAGGUGUGUUGUUUGAUAUUUUCAUGCCGGCAGUUGAUGCUCAACCGGAAUCAAAAGCAGUCACUUGUAAAAGCAAUGCCGACUGUGACAAUCCCUGUCAGUCGUUUCGAAUGCGAUCUUGAUACCCAUCUCUGCGUUUGUGUUCCUGGCCGCAAUUCGAUGGGUUGCUGAAGAGAUUAAAGCUUGUAUUGCAAGUUCUAGUGAUAUUUUGGAUGCUGAAUUGCAAAAUUUGUAACGUUACAAUCUUUGUUCCGUUUCUUACGUCAUGUGUCAAAUAAAAGUAUCAACUAAGAUUGCUGCCUCUCUUCUGAUAUGCAUACUAAAAUUGUGUACAAAAAUUUACAAAUCAUCUCCAUGUGAUUGGUCCUAUUAUACAAUGUUGUACCAUUCAUUUGGAGAAGUCUUUAAGGCUUGGAAUUAUACAAUUUUUAAAAUUUUCAGUAUUUUUUUUGGCUUUCGAGCUGGGUUCGGACUUUUAACCGGAGCCCAAGACCAGCCAGAAUACUUAGAAAACAUGCUCUAGCUACACUUGAUUUUUCUGCCAUUCCUACUUAGAAUUCCAUUAUCAUUGAUUUCAUUGAUGGAUUGUUAUAUUUUUCACACUAAGUGCUCAAAUGAAAAUAAUUAUAAAUAGUGUCUUAUGAUGUAAUCCUUUCAAAAAGGUGAGAGUUCAUAUAAUACUGAUAUUUGAAUAAAAAAAUGAUACAGUGGUGAGAAAACAACUAUAAAUUUUAUUUAUAAUGUUAAAUAAAAAAUUAUAACUAUUUUUCAAUUAAUAUUGUAACAUUGCACAAUUUACUAUUAUUUUUGUCACCUGUUGUUAGAACUCUUUAUCAUUUUUCAUUUCUUAGAAAAGAAUGCUAAAAAGAAAAUUUAACAUAUAUUAACUAUAAAAUUUUACAAACGAUUUAGUACUUUCUCUAAAUCUAGUUGAAGAAAUAAGACAGCAUCACACAUGAUUAAGAAUGCAUAUUUAUUUGAGUAAUUUUACAUUUAUAACCCUGGGAUACAAAUUUUAUUUGUGAUAUAGAUACAUGCAAGUCUCGCAAUAAAUUUAACAAUUAACACCAGACAUGAUUUUGCAUUUUUCCACAGCUUAAUUAUUAAUUAUUAAAUAAUUGAUAACGCUCUUGUGCUUGCUCCGUUCUUUUCUUUUCAGACAAGCUUUUAUAGUCCCAGUGGAAUUGUUUUUACCCUUCCUUUCUUAAAAGUGGAUGUAUAAAACAAAUUGGUCUUGAUCGAUACUUGACAAUGUCCUGUUUAUUUUUCGCUGCUUUAUUCUUUUUUCAUCAUAUGGAAGACGAGAUUAUUGUAAGAUUCUGCCUUGAUAUGUUCUAAUUUGAGAGUCAACGAUCUUGAUUUAACUUCUUGACUGGAGAACUAGCUAAGAGAAGGGAGGUAUGGGAGCCAGCACUAAUGUUUGAAUUGAGAGCUUUAAAGCAUAUUUUCCUUUUCCCCUCUCUCUUUUAAUUAUUUCUUUGCAUGCUCUUAGACAGAUUUCAGGGUGGAUUUGAGGGAGGAGGAGAUAUGGACAUCAACAUCAGACUAUUUUCAGAGAGGCUGAGAAGGGUGUUAGCUGGUGAAGAAGUCACGUUGCCUGAUGCUGCAAAACAACCUAUUCACAACUUUCAUGCCGAGAUUGAAAUCGUUACUUCUUUGCUGAGGGACUUUGAAGAUGAUAUCUCCUGCCUUCUGGUGCAAAAAAUAGGAGACCUUGAAAUUGACAACCCAGAUCUGGCGACCGUUAUGGACGAAAUCAACUGUUUUGCGUAUGAAUCUGAGAAGGUUAUUGGCACAUUCAUCAACAGCAUCGCUCAACAGAAGAGUCAAAGCAGGUACAACAAGGAUGUUUGUGAUGCUCUGCAAGGACUCCAAAGCAGAAUCACUGAGAUUAAGCAACGGGUUCAACAACUUAAGCACAUCGAUUUUGAAAUCAUGGAUGGGUUAAGAAGUGUUGAAGCUGAAUCCAGUUAUUUUCCUGCAUCUUCAUCUUAGAAGAAUCGGAACACGGUGGGUCUAGAUGAUAGAAUGGAGGAGUUGUUAGAUCUAUUGAUCGAGGGACCACCUCAGCUGUCAGUGGUGGUCAUACUUGAUAGCAUUGGGUUGGACAAGACGGCUUUCGCCGGAGAGGCUUACAACAGCAGUUAUGUGAAGCAUUAUUUUGAUUGCCACGCUUGGGUUCCAGGGACUUAUCCGUAUGAUGCUGACCAAAUGUUAGAUAUCGUUAUUAAGUUUCUGAUGCCUUCAUCUAGGUUGAGUGAAAUAAUGGAUAAAAAUUAUGAAAUGAAAAAAAUAAUUCUUCAUGAAUAUCUAAUGACCAAGCGGUAUUUGAUUGUGAUUGAAGAUGUAUAGACCAUUGGUGUGUGGGAUGUUAUUCGAGAAAUACUUCUGGAUAAUCAAAAUAGAAGUAGAGUAUUAAUCACACUCAGCCGAAUUGAGAUUGUCACCUCAUUUCAGUUCGAAGACGGAGAGAACAUUGGGCUUGAUUUUGUGCCCACUGGAGGACCAUUGAGAGCUACAUACCAAGGAUGGCCUUUCCUCAUCUUAUAUCAUGGAAGCAUCUCAUUAGAAGAAAAUAUAGGGGAAGCAGUGGCGAUACCCCUUGGGCUUUGGUACUUCAAAUAUUGCAGGUUACCUUUUUGCUUGAAACUUUGUUUUCUCUACUUAUCUGUGUUUCCUGCACACCUAGAGAUAUCCACCAGGCAGUUAUAUCAGUUGUGGAUAGCUGAAGGUUUCAUCCCAGACAAUAGUGAGGCAACUGCUGAGAAUUACUUGGAACAACUAAUCAAGGGAGGCUUUGUUGAAGCAAAUAAGAGAAAAGCUGCAGGCACUAUCAACACAUGCUCUAUUCGUAGCCGUUGCCAUCCUGUGUUGUUGUCAGUUCCUUAUAGGGUGGAAUUUAUCUCUUCCCCUUUCCUGGAUCCAAAAGGUAAAUCACCAAAACAAGUCAAACGGUUAAACGCUGUUAAAAGACAGGAAGAUUUUGCUUGCUUAGAUUAUUAUGACUCGCAACUGCAUUCUUUGUUGUGCUGCUCUCCAGAAAGCCGCCACUUUGACCCCAUGGAUUGGGAGAAAAUUUGUGGAAUGUUCCAACUUCUCAGAGUAUUGGACUUGGGAUCUCUUGUUCUCAUCCAAUAUCCAUCCGGAAUUGAAAAUUUAUUUCUUUUGAGAUAUUUGAAGUUGAAUAUCCCUUCCCUUAAAAGCCUGCCUUCAUCGUUAUUAAGCAAUCUUAUGAACCUCUAUACCCUAGACAUGCCCUUUAGCUAUAUAGAUCACAUGGCAGAUGAAUUUUGGAAGAUGAAAAAACUCAGGCAUCUAAAUUUUGGGUCAAUCACACUUCUUGCGCAUCCAGGAAAAUAUUGUGGCUCUCUGGAAAAUCUCAAUUUCAUUUCAGCCUUGCAUCCUUGCUGUUGUACUGAAGAUAUAUUGGGCAGACUACCUAAUCUUCGAAAUCUCCGGAUUCGGGGAGAUUUAAGUUAUAAUCAAUCUUUGUUGUCUAAAAGUCUCUGCAGAUUGAGCUGUCUCGAGUCAUUGAAGCUGGCGAAUGAAAGCAAGAUGCCACGGCUCUCCAAAAUCGUCCUUGCUGAAUACCUAUUUCCUCAUGGUCUAACCCACUUGAGUUUUUCUAAUACUGACCUAAUGGAUGAUCCCAUGCCGGCACUAGAAAAGCUGCCGCUUCUUCAAGUGCUCAAACUGAAGCAAAAUUCGUAUUCAGGUAGAAAGCUGAAUUGUGGCUCUGAUGGUUUUCCAAAUCUCAAGGUAUUGCACCUGAAAUCAAUGCUAGAGGAGUGGACUAUGGGGAUUGGAGCCAUGCCAAAACUAGAAUGCUUGAUUAUCAACCCCUGUGCUUACUUGAAAAAGAUGCCUGAACAGCUCCGGUGCAUAAAGAGCUUAAACAAGUUCGAUUGCUGGUGGCCUCAGCCGGAGCUGAGGCAAAAGCUACGGGAAUUUGAGGAUAAGGAACAGUGCGGCAUUCAACUAUUUCCCUACGGAAUUUGAUUAGCCCCUAUUGAAUUUGAUGUAAGUUUUUUCUUCUUCCCCGAUUACUUCAACCUUUAAUUAUUGAUCUAAUUUCAUAUAAAUGUUUUCUUCUCUACAAUAGAUUUGAUAGUACGCAGUGCCUAAACUAUAAUCAUACUAUAAAGUUUUUUCUACUAAUUGUGAUUGCUUCUAAUUUUUGUCUCAACAUAAACUUAAAGUGUCUACCACAGUUCUUGAUGCUGACAGCAUUCAUUAAAAACUGUAUGAUGCGAUCUUCAAUUAGUUGUAUGUGUAGGUAAAAGCAGAGCGGAAACUAUCUUAACUGCACUGCAGCCAAAGUUUCAAUUACAACCAGAAUUGAGCCUUCAUCCUUUCAGUGUUCACUUCUGCUGGGUUGUCUACACGUUGUUUGGUUUCUUCAUUUUCAAGGAUUUGCAUGCUAACAGUAAUAAUGUCAUGUUCGGAUUAAUAUAUUGAACAAAAGUCUGAUUAAUUGUUUUACUUUCUAUUUUCAGUUGCACUGGUGUGUAUUCAAUUUGUCAACAUUCAAAUUGAUAUAUGUUAUUGUUUUUUUUUAUUUUAUUUCUUCCUCUAGUUUUUAAGUAGCGGUAUAGUUCAACUUCAAGCUUAGUACUUCAGUUAGAAGAAAAGUAUUUGUGCGGUGAUCUCAUCUCAUCAUGUCAACACUGGCAGAACGACAUUGUUGUUCGGUUUUUUGGAAUUUCACCGACAUGUCGGUCAUCAUAAGGGUGAGAGUGCUGGUCAAAAGUGAGUUGGGGUUAGGUAAAAAAGUACAGGAAAAUUCUAGGAUUGUUAGAGAUAGCCUUUAUCGUAGUUUAUAAGGCUGGUUGAUGGGCCAUCUUCUCAGAUCUCAUCAAAGCUAUGGAGAGAGAGAGAGAGAGAGAGAGAGAGAGAGAGAGUUGAAAUAGAAAGUUGUAUAUUCUUGUUCUCUAUAACAAGCUCUACAUCCUGGUAACCUUGAUUUGUGAAAUAGUGAAAGCUUGAAAGCUUGAAAGCUUGUAUCCUUGUUCUUCACUGGAUUUACGCACUUUGAUUCAAUUUUUAGUUUGGAUUUCUGAGAAUGAGUCUUCAUACAUCAAAUCAAAGAUGGUCUAAGGUGUUUGAUCUUGGUACUGUUAGAGGAUUAAACACAACAAAAAGAAACUGGGGCAUGGAGAUUAAGCCCUAGUCAAUUUGGGUUGUCCAACAGCCCUUGUAAAAUCGAAAACCAGCACUAAUCCUUGGUGAUUUGGAGCAGAAGUUUAACGAGUAAAGUUCUGAAAGUGGAAGAUUUAAUCGAUAGUGCUGCACGUUUUGGAAGCUCUGUUAGAAUUGAUGACUGAAUUCUUUCUCUAUUGAUUGAUUAGCAGCCCCAUAGCAUGCUAAUGGUUUUCACAUUUUUCCCUCCACAGCAUGCAGAGGGUGUCUGUAGUGCAAAGAAGUUGAUGGCACGCAAAUAAGUUGCUUGUGUUGUUUUUAAUCUCAAUAAGAUAUAUAUCAUCGGCAUAUUGAAGUUUGUGAUUAUUCUAAGAAAAAAUAGGUGCUUUAUUAUUUGAAUUAUCGACAAAAUAAUUCCAUUUCAUUAUUUUGUUAGAUCCACUAUAUGUACAUGUUUGAAUCUUAUUCAUAAGUUUUGAUUUCACUCUCACGUUUCAUAUGAUGUCAAAUCAGAUAAAAAGAAAAAAAAAAUGAAAGCUAGCUUGUCGGUAGCAAUUACAUUAGCAUUUAGCAAAUGUUAUUUUGAGUACAAGCACAAUUUGGCUCAUUUUCCAGGACCAACAAUCUUCCAUUUAGAAAUGCAUUGACAAACAGGUUAAUUCGUAAAAUGAUGGUUUCUAGAUAGAAUCUUUCCAAGUUGCACUAACCUCCUUUCCUUAAAGCUAAACAUUAAUUAAUUUGCAUUUUAUUAAAUUUUUCUUUCUAUUCCUUUUACAUAAUGAUUGGUCACCAAUCUUGAUUCAAUUUUUUGAAUAGCAACUUACUGCUGGAUUAGUUAGAGAAUUAGAUAUCACUCAUAGUGUGUCAAUCGGAGUUGAGUUUCAUCAACAACUAAAGUUAUUUUUAUACAAUUAAUCUUUUCAUAUCACAUUAAUCUGUACAAAUUUAUUUAUGCAACCCCAGCUGAGGUUGGCAUGGAGACACACCGCACAAAAUAUUAUGAUGAGACAGUAAACAUGGAACAUAUGUUGUUGGAUUUAGAUUUGCUUGAUGAGAAGAGAAAGGCGACAAGAAGUCGAGCAACAAUUUACCAGUAAAAAGUGGCUAAGUUCUACAACAAGAAUGUCAGGCUACGACAAUUUCAGGAGGGGGACUUGGUGCUCCGUAAAGUCAACCAAUCAACCAAAAAGCCAGCUGAUGGAGUUUUAGGGCUGAGCUGGGAAGGACCAUACAAAGUACUACACUCAUUUGGUAAUGGCUCAUAUAAGUUAGGUUAUCCAGAUGGCAGGGUCGUCGGCAAGGCAUGGAAUGCAGAGCACCUACGAAAAUACUAUCAGUAGGCCAAUCCUAUUUAUGAUGUUCUUGUUUGUUUGUUUUCUUUAAAUAUGUUAUGAUAGUUUGUUUCUUUGUUAUUUUAAUUCGUUAUGUGUUCAAUUUUGUAAUUUCUGCUAUAUUAAUAUCAAUAAGGUUAUUGAAAAGUGUGACUCUAUUUCUUACCUACUUGUGACCGGUCUUAUUUGAGAUCGGCAUAUUUGGGCCUUAUUGAGGUCUAACAUAAAAAUUUUGAUAAAAUCUUAUUGAGAUUGAGAUCAACAUUUGGGCCUUGUUGAAGCCGAAUGUGAAAAUUUAUCCAAUCUUAUUGAGAUUGAGAUAGGCAUUUUGGCCUUAUUGAGGUCCAACGUGAAAAAAUUUAUCCAAUCUUAUUGAGAUUAAGAUCGGCAUAUUUGGGCCUUAUUGAGGUCCAACGUGAAAAACUUGAUCAAAUCUUAUUGAGAUUGAGAUCGAUAUUUAGGCCUUGUUGAGGUCGAACAUGAAAAAUUUAUCCAAGCUUAUUGAGAUUGAGAUCAACAUUUUGGCCUUGUUAAGGUCCAACGUGAAAACUUGUUGAGGUCGACCAUAGCCAUAACAUUUAAGUUCUACAAUUUUCAACUUGUUGAGGUCGGUCGUACCCAUAACAUUUAAGUUCUAUAAUUUUCAACUUGUUAAGGUCGGCCAUAGCCAUAACAUUUCAGUUCUACAAUUUUUAAUUUAUUGAGGUCGACACUUUAGAUUUGUAAGGCCUAUGGUUGGGGUCGACAGUUUAGUUUUGUGAGGUCUACAAUUGAGGUCGACACUUUUGCGUUGUGAGCUCUACAACUGGGUCGACAUUUUAGUUUUGUAAAGCCAACGGUUGAGGUCGACACUUGCUUUGUGAGCUCUAUGGUUGAGGUCGACAUUUUAGUUUUGUAAAGCCAACAGUUGAGGUCGACACUUGCUUUGUAAGCUUUACAUUUGAGGUUGACAUUUUAGUUUUGCAAAGCCUACGAUUGAGGUUGACACUUGCUUUGUGAGCUUUACGGCUGAGGUCGACAUUUUAGCUUGGUAGGAUCUAAAACUGAGGUCGACACUUUAGAUUUGUAAGGCCUACGGUUGAGGUCAAUAUUUUAGCUUGGUAAGAUUUAUGAUCGAGGUUGACACUUUUGCUUUGUGAGCUCUACAUUUGAGGUCGACAUUUUAGUUUUGUAAAGUCUACGGUUGAGGUCGACAUUUUAGUUUGGUAAGAUCUACAACUGAGGUCGACAUUUUAGUUUUGUUAAGCCUACGGUGAAGGUCGACACUUGCUUUGUGAGCUCUACAUUUGAGGUCGACAUUUUAGUUUUGCAAAGCCUACAGUUGAAGUCGACACUUGCUUUGUGAGCUCUACGGUUGAGGUCGACAUUUUAGCUUGGAAAGAUUUAUGGUCGAGGCUGACACUUUUGAGUUGUGAGCUCUAUGAUUGAGGUCAACAUUUUAGUUUUGUGAGGUUUACAAUUGAGGUUGACACUUUAGAUUUGUAAGGCCUACGGUUGAGGUCAACAUUUUAGCUUGGUAAGAUCCAUGGUUGAGGUUGACGAUUUUGCUUUGUAAGCUCUACGGUUGAGGUCGACAGUUUAGUUUCUUGAGGUCUACGAUUGAGGUCGACACUUUAGAUUUGUAAGGCCUACGGUGGAGGUCAACAUUUUAACCUUGUAAUAAUUUAUAAUGAAGUCAGCUUCGCGCUUCUUAAGGUCGACUUUCCAGCCUAGUUACAAUCGGCAAUAGCCUAAACAUCUUCAGUCUUGUUGUGGUCGACAUUAGCUUUGUUAAAAAUUAGCGUCUAGGCUAUGUAACAAUUAUCCGAAUACAAAAACAAAAUGAAAGCUCAACAAGAGUUAUCAGUUUGUAACACUACAAAAAGGAAAGCCUUAUAACAACUUUUCAAAUCUACUUAGGAAGCAUUCUCCUCGUCUUCAACAACUCUGCUAGUUAAAGAUGUCUCACCCUUAACUCUAAUCUCAUCACCCUUAAGAACUCGAUUUGCUUUUUGAUCCGUACUCGAUGACUUCUUUUUAGCCUUUUCUUUGCUCACAUAAGCAGUCAACAUCCAUUGAAAGUCCAUGUCCGGGUGUUUCUCUUGGAACAAUUCGAUACAUGUCUGAAUGACAUCCGCCUUCAGUUGCCUUUUCUCCAGUCGAAUGCAUUGAUCAACAUCAGACUUAACUUUUUCCAACUCAUAGCUAAGAUCGGCAAUCUUGGAGUCUUUGCCCGCAUUAGAUUUCUUUUCGGCUACUAAGUCUUCUGCCAAGUGAGUAUUUUCAUCGUUGCGAGCAUUGAGGUCACGCUUGAGCCGAUCUCGCUCGCUUGCCGUCUUUUCAUUCGUGAGGUUUUCUUUUAUCAAAGUGCGCUCGAGUUCUUCUAUUUUUGCAUGGCCUUUCAAUGACUUUGCAAACAUCUCAAUAUGCGCGGCCAUGAUCAAGGAUUGCUGGGAAAGAAAGCAUGACGGUUAAGAUGAAAAGUAUAAACAUCAAAGAAAUAAAGAUUGUGAAUUAAUACCCACCUCAGCUUGGUUUUGAGCAAGCGCUUCAAGGGCAUGAGUAGCUGACAAGUGGGAAAAAUUCUUGAGGGUAUCCUGGCUCACAAAUCAAGUAGCUAAGUUCACCAUGGGUAGUAAGUCUUCUUCUCUUCCUUGCUUUGACUCUAUGAUGUCACUGCUUUCAAGCAAGCUUCCUUUUGGACAUAUCGGGGAAGGGGUAGAUGGUAAAAUGCACAAGGGACGAGAGUCGCUAGCUCGGUCACUUUUGCUCUGAGGUAGCAUGUUGCAAGCAGAAACAGCGGGUUAUUUUUCUUUUUUCUCAUCAGCUUUGUUUUUAUAUGAUGCCUACCGUGGUUUCUUACUAUGUGGUUCGCCUUCCUCGUCUGAUAUCUCCUCGAUCAAGGCUUUUGCAAUUUCUGCAGGGGUACACUUGGUGGUAGACAUGUUUCCUGCAUUUAGCAAUCCUUUCUCAACUCUAGCACUCAGCUUGUCACUUAUAUUAAUUUCUUCUUCCAAGUCACUAUAGUAAAAACAUGUGUUAGAUUGUAUCCUUAUUUUGACCUCAACCUGAACAAAACUUGAAUUACCUGGUCUACUAAAAUGAGUGGGAACUUUAAACCAAUCCUUGGUCAGCUCUACACCCCUACCCUAAUUUCCACCCACCACGAAAUACUUAUUUUUCGAACCUCUACAUGAGCCUGGAAAGUCAAGUACUAUUCUUCUACUCGUUGAUUUUGACAUAAAAUAGUACCAUCCUUUGUGAUUGAUCCCAUGCUCAUUACAAAAAUAUAAGUGAGUAAACUCCUUAAAACACGGCUCGGUUCUAUUCUGCUCAGCCCAUACAACAUACAUACCACCUAAAACCUUCCAGCCAUUUGGGUCAAGUUGACUUGGACUGAAACCCACUCUCACCAACAUUCGAGCAAAAUAAGGUUGAAUGGGCAACCUAAAACCAAGUUCAAAAAUUUCCAGAUAAAUCGCAGUCUCUCUAUUACCCAAUUUACUUGCCACCUCAUCUUUGCCCAACAACUUAAGUGUAAUAUGGUCUGGAAUAAGAUAUUCCUUCCUCAACUCUUCAAUCUCUUUCUCUGUUGCAUCAAAGUUUAGUAUGUUCACGCCGUAUUCUUCAUGCUCAUCUCCCUCAUUUUCAAAUUGUGCACAACUCGAUUCCUCAUUCACCUUAUUUCCGCGUCUUAUUCCAUAUUACAAUUUAAUUCUACAUUAUCUUCCCUGACUUUUCCAUUAUCAUCUACACCCAAUGCAAUAUCACUGAGCCCAUCCAACAACUCCUUAUUCGCAUUUUACGAAUCGCUACAAAGUGACCCAUCUUCACUCCUUAAUUCUAUUACUGCCUAAUGUUACAUUUAACAAAACCUCAUUUCCAGCCAAUAUUAACACCCAGUAUGUAAACAGCAAAUUACAAGCAACCUUUCAUUGUCAACAUCACAUCCAACACAAUACAAAACACAGCAACAAGCAAAUGCGCUUGGGAUGAGACAACUCACCGAAUCUCCUUUAGCCAGAAUGGAUUCCAAUUUUGCUGAUGGUCAACAAUAGUAACAUCAUUCAACAUUGGUUCUACAUCAACAAAAUGCAACAUUAGCUAAGAGUAGUUUAAAAAAAAAGAAAAAGAGAAACACAGCAAAGAGAAGAAGAAGUUCGGGUUUCGACAAUAACAAAGAGAGAGGGAGAAUGCAAAAAAAAAAAGAGAGAGAGAGAGAAACACAACAAAGAGAAGAAGAGGUUGAGUUGUGACAAAAACAAAAAGAGAGGCGAGUUCUGUUUAUAUAAAAAAAAAAAGGCAUUUGGUUUCAAUACACAUAUAUAGAUAUGGUAUUUAUUAAAAAAAAAAGCACUCAAAAGAGAAGAUGGCGCGCGAGGUACUCACCAACAGGUUUGAUUAUGGCUCAGUAGCGUCGUUGCUCAAUUUGCCCAAAAAUUGCAUGACGACGACAGCUCAAUAUUUCACUUUUAUUGUGAAAAAGUGUGGAGGAUGAGGAAGAAAUGGAAGCCCAAACGAAACAGAAGCCAAAAGGUAUUGAGAAAAGACAAAAUGUAUGUUUUCAAUUUGCCUUUAUCAACUAUUCCACAAUUAUCAACUAUUCCCUCCCCCCAACCUGAAAAAGACAUUGUCCUCAAUGUUUUAAAAGGAAAGAGAAAGAGUGUAGAAGAAAUACAACAUAAACUCCAUAAGCAUUUUCCCUCUCUCCCUCAGAAUGCCCUCAGGAAAAUUUACAAAGCUCGUUGUGAACGAUUGCAUUUGUUAAUGAUCAAUGGCAUUCCUUCUGACAUUUGUUGGUUAAUUGAAGCAAAGGUCCGAUUAGCAGGUGAGUUUUUUGGUCAAUUUGUUUCUUACAUGCCUGGUUUUGGUAAAAGUACGUUUGCUAAGAAAAGGAGAGCUAAACGACUUGGCUCAAAAUGUCAUAACUGUGUAAGACUUGGUUGCAAACGACCAGAUUGUAAAUCUUUAGGAAUGGUUUCUGAUACUCGUGAAGAUAAAAUUAAAUUCGUUAAAGAUGGCAUGAGUAAAGAAUCGUUGGAUGAUAUCUUACGAUCUCUUGAGACGCAUCGAAGUGGAUUUGUGCAACGUGAGAUUUACAAUUUGUGGAUACUAUUCCAAAAACAAAGUGCACAGUUUAGUCUUGGGAAUCUGACUCAAAAAGACCCUGUUUGCCAGUUUAUAAGAAAACUGGAUAGGAAGCCGAUCCUCGACCCAUAGAGGGCGUUCAAGCCGUUACUGGACGUAAAACCAGAGGAAGAUGUGAGCCACAAUCACAACUACCAGUAAAUAUCCUUUCACUUCACUGUUAUUUUACUUUACUGUUAUUUUAUCAUUUGCAUUAUUGCAUUUAGCGAUGUGAUUUUGUAUUUAAUAAAUAUUUGGUUUUCUUUUACUGUUUGCUUUUUCUAAUCAUUACUUUCUUUUUACUGUUUGUUUUUGAAUUAUUGAGCCACGAGCUUUACUCGUCAUUUAACAAAUAUUGCCAACCCAUUUACAGCUGUUUCUCAUUAUUUAUGUUACCAAGAUCUUUAAAUAUGAGCUCAUUUUUCAAACACUCACAACUUGUUUUUGAAAAAUUAGUCCAAUGGCAUCAUCUUCGAGUAAACAAUUCAAAAACAUUUGUGUGCUUUCUGGGUUUCACUAUGGAAAGUACAAAGAGUUCGUUCAGGCAGCUGUAGAUCUUGGUCGUGUCAUAGCAGAGAGGAAACUGCAUCUUGUAUAUGGAGGAGGUGAACGAGGGUUAUCAAGACUUGUCUCAGAAGCUGUUUUUACCAAAGGAAGCCAAGUACUCGGCAUUAUCCCAAAACCCAUGAAACCGCUAGUGUGCAUGUCUGGCCCACCAAUUGGAGAAGAAUUAGUGGUAUCAAGUAUGCAAGAGAGAAUAUCUGAAAUGAUGAAUCAUGCUGAUGCUUUUAUUUUCUUGCCAGGAGAUCUUGCAACUUUUGAGGCACUAAUUACAUUUGCAUCUUGGGCCCACUUGAACAUUCAUCAAAAACCCAUCGGUUUGUUAAAUGUUAAUAAUUUUUAUGACGGCUUGCUAACUUUUAUUAACCAUGCAAUAAAGAAUCAUUUUGUUCCACAUUCUGUAAAAAAACUAUUUAUCUCUGCUUCUACUGCUAAUGAGUUACUUGAUCUUUUACAAGCUUAUACACCAGAGCCAGAUCCACAGACUGUUGCACUGAAUUGGUCGACUAAUGAUGGUAACGGUAACAGUAGCAGUAAUAAGAAGUGCGAUUUAGAUUUAACUCUCCGUUUGUAAAUAUUUUAUGUUGUAGUGUUCAUGUGAUGUCUUCUACACUCUUUCUCUUUCCUUUUAAAACAUUGAGGACUAUGUCUUUUUCAAGUUGGGGGGAGGGAAUAGUUGAUAAUUGUGGAAUGUCUUGGUCCUGGUUAUGUGUUUACAAGAAAAAAAAAACAUUUUUUUUUCUGUAAAGACUAACUUAGGACAAAUUUGAGUCGAAGAUGGCAGGAUAUAGAUAAUGUAGUUUCUCUAGAAACGCAUCUUCUUAAUCUUAAGAGUGUUGUUAAAAAAAAAAAUUGACUUUUUCUUCAUCUUUGUUAUCUACUUUUAAGCUUCUGCAUCAAGUUCAGGUGAGAUCUCCUCUUCUUCUUCUUUUAUUAUUCUCUUUUAUUUUUAUUUAUUUAUUUAUUUUUAUUUUUUGCAUAUCUGUAAAAUUAUAAAAUGUUAAGAUACUUUUUAGAUUAGGUUGUGGGGUGGGGAUAAUUGACGUAUGUUUUAAAUAUGUGUGUUGUAUUUCUCUUUUCUCUUUUCUUUUCUUUGUUAAAAAAAAACCAAAAAAAAAAUUGUUUUUUGUCUAGGAUGGCCGUGUAAAGAGUCACGACUUUUGAGACACAUCCUAAUAGUCUUGUUGUAUUAUAUUUUGAUUUUGAGAUUCAUAGUAAGUUGUUUUUGUUCCCUUUUCUUUGAAUUACUCAAAUUUGUGAACUCUCCACUUAGUUAUUAAGUUAUUUAAUUGUUUACUCAUUUAACAGGUAUUAUUGAAUCAUUCUUCACACACACAUUAUGACACAUACUAGUGGGUUGUAAGUUAAAAUUUUACAGCAUUUAGUUCUUUUGAUUUAUUAGGAAUAGUAUCUAAGGUGGUAGAAAGUGUAUAUUUCUAAAAAAAAAAAUUAAAAAAAAGAAAAAAAAUGUUUUUAAUUUUGUUAUAUCUAGAAACCCGAGUAAUUAAGUCCAUAGGGGUGCUUCAACACCUAGUGCCCUAAGGUCAACUGGUCUGGGAGUCACUGGCCUAAAGCUCGCUACAUGGGUAAUAGAUAUAUUGUUUGUUUAUUAGAAACCCGAGUAAUUAAGUCCGUAGGGGUGCUUCAACACCUAGUGCCCUAAGGCCAACUGGUUUGGGAGUCACUAACCUAAAGCUCGCUAAACGGGUUAGAAAUGUAAUAUAUAAAAAAAAAAGUGUGAAUAAUCUAUUGCCUAAAGAUAUAAUUUCUAAUGAAUUUUAGAACGAAAAUGUUGUUUUUCUUUUAAUGAAGCCCCAUAAGUAUUGUGUUAAUUACUUGAGCACAAAAGAAGGUUUGAUGAUAUUCUGGAUAAUGAGUGAACAUCAAUGUGGUGAAGGAAUUUGGGAGAGUUCAUUUAUUUGGUAAUUUAGAGGAUAGAUGAACAACUAUUAACUUGCAUGUGAAUUUUAUAAAUCUUAAUAUAACGCUUUAAUUGCUAGAGGGCUAGCAAUAAGCUGGUUGGGGGGUGUGAUUAGUAUUAAAAAUUGUUUAAUUAUCAAGCGAUAAUAUGUUAUUUUAUGCUUAUAUUAUAAUUUAUAUUUGUGUUUAUGUAAUAUAUUAUGAAUUAUUAAUUAUGUUUUAAAUAUAUUUAAUUUUGUGUAUUUUUAUGUGUUUAUUAGGAAAAUUAUUAAUUUCACGUACUUCGAGGCUCCAAACAAAUAAACAGAGGUCAAAUUUGGAUUCCAGAGGUCCGAAAACCUUAAGAUCAGUCAAGAUUGGCUUAAAAUUGGGCUUGUGUAAAAAAAAUUGACUUUUCCUGUUGACCGAGCACUGAUUGGAUGAUGAAAUGAGCUUACAAUAGAUAUGAGUGCAUGGGAUAACUGGCAAUCUUGACUAAAUCUCAACCGUUCAUGAUUCAAUGGCCAUGAUUGUGCCACGUGGCAAUGGUUGGUGAAGCAAGUUGGAGGAUCCGAAUCUUUGUAUUCGGGUCGACCCGAUCCACCCAUUAACCUGUCAAAUCUCAACCGUUCUUUGGGCAAAUCGGACGAGUCAAAUGAUGCCAUGUGUGAUGUUGACUUUUGAAGUUUGACCAGCCAUUGGAUCUUGAUCUAAGGGUUGUGAGGAGCACAUGCAUGAAGCCUAUGAUGGACCGCAAAGCACUGGAUUAUGAAUUUAUUUUUCUAUAAAUAGGGCCUCAUUUUUAUGUUUUAAUCAUCUCUCUACAACUCUCUUCUUCUCAAAUUCUCUCCAUCUCCUUGUAAUCUUGAUUUCCAGGUGUGUUUUUAAUAUUUUGUAUAAUUAUUUUCAUUAAUAAAAUUAGUUUUAUUUCCAAUUUUAGUUGUUUUUAUUUCUUUUAAUUAUAAGUAAUUCAAUUUUACUACUUCUUUUUAUUUUAAUUAUGCUUAACUAAAUAAUAUUAGUUAGGGGAAGGUGAAACUCUUAAGAAAUAAAUAUGAUUUAAUCAAAUUCUAUGUUUAAUUUUAUAGAUUAAAUUAUUUUCUAUUUAAUUUUAUACAUGUUUUAUAUUUUGAAAAUUUGAUUUAUUGUAGACAAACAAAUGAAUUUGGCACAAUAAAUUCUUAAGAUCUUAAUAUAAGGCUUGGUGAAAUGGUAUUUUGACUUAUUGUAGACAAAUUAAAUUUUGGCACAAUAAAUACUUAAUCCAUCAUAAAUUUAAAGGGAAAAUAAUAAUAAUUUGUAUAAUUAAUCUGUUUCCAAUACCGUUCAUAUCUUCUCAGUAUUGAAAAUUAGGGGACUGGUGUUCGGUUUGUAAGAAUUUUUCUAUUUUUCAUUAAUUAGUUUCUAACAUCGAAAAUAGCUUCCCGAUGUUGAAAACUAGGGGACUGGUGUUCGAGUUGGAUUUUUCUGAUAACCUCUAGAAAGAGUCAACAUUGUUCUGGUUGGAUUUUUCUAGUAAUGUUUAGAAAUAUAGUCGACCCCAAUCUACUCAGAACUCAUUGUCGUCGAGCUAACCUCGUAAAUAUAACUUGGAGCCUAAUUUGGCGGCCUGAUUUACAAGUACGACCUGAGAUUUAUGUAAAUGACCUAAUUUAAGAAUACAACCUUAAGCCUAUAUGAGCGACCAGGAAAUUCACCAGUCCGACCUUGAAAUUUAUUUGUCCGACCCGAGAAUUAGCUUGACAUAGAAAGCUAUCGGUUGAGAUAACAUGGCCUAGUUUCUAGGAAAGUUGUGAGCCACGAUCAAUUUAAACUAUUUCUAAUUGAUGACCACGUGCAACUGCUGAAGAAAGUGGGCAGAAGUUAAGGUGGUAACCACCCACGACCAAGGGCCUAUUUAAGCUGAAAAGGGCAACUGAGGAAGGGGUUAGAAAAAUGAACCAAAAUUUCUAUAAGUCACCUAUCUAAAAAUCUUAGGGUUCCCGAUAAUAUUUUUAGUUUUUUCUACCGAAAAAAUUCGUUAAUUUUCACUUUUCACAAUUCUCCCUCCUCGUUUACCUUUUUCUUAUACACAAUUUCUGACUUAAGAAUCAGAGAGUUUACGUCAGGACCCCACCGGCGUAUCCUAAUCGUGUUUUCUGGUUGUCAGGUAUAUAAAGCUGGGUUCAGACCGACGUUUGAGCUUGGAUUCGUGCUGUAAUUCCCCAAAAGAAAACAAAUUCAACUGUUGAGGUUGUUUUUCGGCAUCAACAACGAACAUCAUACUUGUCACACUCUUGGCCUAUAAAUCCUUAGAUUCACAAGUCUUAUAUCACUUGAACGAAGAUGCUAGUGGUGUGCCUCCAUGGAGCUCUGACUCAAUAGUUUUCAAGUAAUUUUAUUUAGCUAACCACCUAAGUUUGAAUCGUGGUGAGGAAAGAAGAUAAAAAUUAAUUUGGUCUUUGCACCUCACUACCUUUAAAAGAGUUCAAACUUCAGACUAGGUUUUGAAUUUUAAUUAUUUUAAAUUGAAAUGCUAAGUCCAUAUAUUAUAUAUGUGAGUUUUUUUUUUUUUUUUGCCUAAUGUUGAAUUAAACUAUAUAUUUAUGAAAUUCUUGAGAUACAUGGAUUUCAGGUUUUAAUAGAAUCAUAUGUACUAGCUAUAUAUACAUCUUAAUAAAUGUUUGCCAGACCUUUAUUUGUACUAAAAUUAUACAUAUCUAGACUCCCAUUACACUUUAGAUUGUAAGAAUUUAAAUAAUUUUUUUUUUCGUAGAAGUCGUUUGGAAUUCUAAGAUCGGAAGUCAAAUUUCAAUAACGAUUUUUAUUUAAAUAUAUAUAUAUAUAUAUAUAUAUAUAUAUAGGGAGAGAGAUUCUUGAGUGCAUAUACUUAACAUUAUAUAGUGUUAUAGCGAAUUUACACAAAAUUUGCAUAUCGACACUUGAGAAUUUCUAAAUAUCAAAGUUUUCAAAUGCAUAAGUCUAAACAUGGAUUUAGUACGGAUUCACUACAAAAUCAUAUGAUGUUAAAAUGAAUUUACAAUUGACUACAAUACCACAUGAUGUUAUAGAAAAUUCACACCAAAUUUGUAUUAUAUAAAGAGAGAGAUCUUGCUUUGCUUUAUAAUUGAAUAUAGGGUGAUGAUAUUCCCACCCCUCAAAUUUUGUAAACCUACCUCACUUUAAAAAAUUAAACCAUAAAAAAUUCACAUUAUUUUUGACGAUUUCAAAUUAUUAAGAAUAAAAUUAAGCAAUUGACUAAUUAAAUCCUCAUUAAAUAAUUAAAAUACAUUUAUGAUAUGAUAUCUCAAAACAUUUAUGCUAUUUUUCUCAUGAAAUUGACUAAUUAGAAGAAGGAUUUGAUUGAUUAACAGUUUAAAAUUUUAUUUAUUUUAAAUUGAAAAAAUGUGAAUUAUUUUUUAAAUAAUUCUUUGAAAUGAUUUAAAUGCGGCACGUGUCCCAUCAAGUUAAAACCUGAGAAGUUGAUUUAAAUUUUAUUUUGGAACAGAAACCGAGUAGCGAGGCCUCGUUGGUCAGGAAAUUCCGAGGUAAGUUAAUCAACAGUUCCACUAAUUAUUUUUAUUUUCUUCCAAAGUUUAUUUAAUUAGACCAAUUUCUGGCUUCCUACUUAUAUUGCAUAUCCAAUUUAGGGGUUGAUUUUUGGAGAUGGACUGAAACAUUAAUAAGCUCAGAGAAAAAAAAAAAAGAAAAAUAGAUUGAGAUUGAAAGUCAUUAUUAACCAACAUACAGAAUACAUAUGCAAUUAAUUCAAAUUUCUAAAAUUACUGUAAUUGUUGGCAAUGUGCUUUUUUGUUUUGGUUUUUUUUGGGGGGGGGGGGUUUCGGAAAUUUGCAUGCAUGCCUUAAUUGAGUUUUAUCACUUUAAAUCCUAAUUACUAAUGUUUUUUCUGUUAACGGUUGAAAAUAAGAUAAGAAGAGAGAAGGUGAACUUGAAGAAGUAUAAGAAGAAAAGACAUGUACUGAUGUUGAUGUGUUUAUGUGAAUAGAGAAAUGGAAUCUUUGUCCAAGUUUUUCCCUUGAUGUUCUAAAGUUUGCAUAUAUAUGUUUCAAGAAACAAAUGGAAAUUAAAUAGUACAUAAAGGUGAACUCACAUUGUCAACUAAAGGUUACACUACCAUUUGCCCAAUGGUUCCAUUACUAUUAUCAUUUUCUUUAUUCACAGAAAUAUCAUCGGCCUCAAAUUCAUCAGUAUAAGCAGAGGGACAAGGACAAGGACAAGGUGAGUCUAUUGUAUGACAACAACAAGUCUACAAUUUAGUUUUAUUUCUGCUGCUGCACUGAGGAAUCACUAGCAUCAACCACCUACUUUAUUACCGUUGCUUCGUUUUUCUCAUGAAGACAGUUGACUUGAUGAAAUAACACUUCUAAUGAGGCUGCCGUAGAGAAAGCAUAUAUGUUAAUCACCUGUUGUAAUCUCAUGCCAAAAUCAUUUCAGUUUCUGCUCAUACAAUUAGUUACUUCAACCUUUGUCAUAUGUAUUCUCCACUACUUUAAGAUACUUAGAUAGUGAAUGUGUCUAAAUUCCAACUCAAAAGAUUCAUUUGAGGAAAAGUUCUUCAGAUGGUCAUGUAGAGUUCUAAUUUAUCUCAGCGUCAUACUCUAAAUACUUGAAAACUACAUGUCAAUCAUCAAUGUUCAUCUUUUGUUGACAAUCUCAACGAUGUGUUUGGGAAAAAAUUAUCACAAUUAUGUUUAGUCCAUUUAUAAGACAAUGUGUCAUGUGAUCCAUUAGUCUAUUGAAAGGUUGCAAUCAAAUGAGUUCAUGUCCAGAUUGUGAAGUUGGUUAAUUUCAACAUAAUAGCAAUGAUUGUAUCCAUUGCUUUUAUCAAGUUGCUAUGUUAUUGUUUUUUUAAUAAGUGGCAGACAUGACUUUCUAUUUUUCCACAGCUUAAAUUGUUAAAUAAUUGAUAAUGCUCUUUCGCUUACUCUGUUCUUUUCUUUUUAGACAAGCUUUAUUGCUUUCGCCCUUUCUUUCUUGAGAGUGGAUGUAUAAAACAAAUUGGCCUUGACUGAUACUUGAUGAUGUUGUAAUUAUUUCUCCCUGCUUUAUUCUUCUUACAACAUAUGGAAGACAGAGUACUGUAAGAUUCAUUUCCCGUACUGCUCUGCCUUGAUCUGUUCUAAUUUGAGAGUCAGCAAUCUUGAUUUAACUUCUUGGAUGGAGUACUAGCUAAGAGAAGGGAGGUAUGGGAGCCAGCACUAAUUUUUCAAUGAGGAUAUAUGGGCAUCACCUUCAGACUAUUUUCGGAGAGGCUGAGAAGGGUGUUAGCUGGCCAAGAAGUCACAUUGCCUGAUGCUGCAAAAGAACCUAUUCAGAACCUUCAUGCCGAGGUUGAAAUCGUUACUCCUUGGCUGAGGGACUAUGAAUAUGAUAUGUCCUGGCUUCUGCUGCAAAAAAUAGGAGAAGAUGAAGUUGACAACCCAGACCUUGGGCGGAAAUCAAUUGCUUUACCUAUGAAUCUGAAAAGGUCAUUAACACAUUCUCAACAGCAUCACUCAACAAAAGAGUCAAAGCAGGCGCAACAAGGACAUUUGUGAUGCUCUGCUAGGACUCUAGAGCAGAAUCAAUGAUAUAAAACAGCGGAUGCAACAACUUCCGUACAUCGAUUCUGGAAUCAUUGAUGAUUUCAAAAAUAUUGAAGAUGAAGCUGGUUAUUUUCCUGCAUCUUUAUCUUCUAAGAAUAGCGGCAUGGUGGGUCUAGAAGACAGAAUGGAGAAGUUGUUAGAUAUUUUGAAAGAGGGACCACCUCAGCUUUCAGUGGUGACCAUCUUGAUAGCAUUGGGUUGGACAAGGUGGCUUUUGCUGCAGAGGCUUACAGCAGCAGUGAUGUGAAGCAUUAUUUUAAUUGUCACGCUUGGGUUCCAGAGCCUUACAACUAUGAUGCUGAUGAUGACCAAAUAUUAGAUAUGAUUAUGAAGUUUCUAAUGCCUUCAUCUAGGUUGAGUAUAAUAAAGGAUAAAAAUUAUGAAAUGAAAAAAAAAAUUCAACAAUAUCUAAUGAUCAAGCGGUAUUUGAUUGUGGUUGAUGAUGUGUGGCGCAUUGAAGUGUGGGAUGUUAUUCGAGAAAUUGUUCCGGAUAAUCAGAAUGGAUGUGGAGUACUAAUAACACUCAUUGAAAUUGAUAUCGUCAUCUCAUUUCAGUUCAAAAGCGGACAGAAUAUUUGGCUUGAUUUAGUGCCCACUAAGAGGACCAUUGAGAGUUGUUUACCUUUUGGAAGUACAUGGAACAACUAAUGAAUAGAGUCUUUGUUGAUGCAAAGAAGAGAAGCGUUGGAGGCAGAAUCAACGCAUGCCCUAUUCGUAGUCGUUGCUGGCCUUCAUUGUUGCAAAUGGCUCUCAAAGUGGAAUUUAUCUUUUCAUCCUAUCCUAGAUCAAAAAGGUAAAUCGCGAAAAAAAUGUCAAACAUGUCUACGUUUUUUAAAAACAGAGUGAUUUUGCUUACUUAGAUGAUUGUGACUCGUACCCGCAUUCUUUGUUGUACUUCAAAAAGCGACCACCUUGACCCCAUAGAUUGGGUGAAAAUCGUUUUGAGUAAUGGACUUGGGAUCUCUUGUUCUCAGCCAAUUUCCAUCCAAAAUUGAAACUUUAUUUCUUUUGAUAUGAAGCUGAACAUCCCUUCCCUCAAAAGCCUAGCUUCAUCAUUAUUAAGAAAUCUCUGAAUCUCUACACCAUAGCCAUUCCCUUUAGCUACAUAAAUCAUACAGCAGAUGAAUUUUGGAAGAUGAACAAACUCAGGCAUCUAAAUUUUGGCUCAAUCAUACUUCCUGCACAUCCAGGAAAAUAUUGCAGCUCUCUGGAAAAUCUCAAUUUCAUUACAGCCAUGCAUCCUUGCUGUUGUACUGAAGAUAUAUUGAACAUACUACCUAAUCCUCAAAAUCUCUGGAUAGGAGGAGAUUUAUAUUUUUAUCAAUUUUUGAUGUCCCAAAGUCUUUGCAGAUUCAGAUGCCUCAAGUCAUUGAAGAUGGUGAAUGAAAGCAAGAUGCCAAGGCUCUUCAAAAUUGUCCGUGCCAAAUACCUACUUCCUCAAAGUCUAAUCCACUUGAGUUUCUCUAAUAUUGAACAAAUGGAUGAUCCCAUGCCUGCACUAGAAAAGUUGCCACUUCUUCAAGUGCUCAAACUGAAGCAAAACACAUAUUCAGUUAGAUAGCUGACUUGUGGGUCUGAUGGUUUCCCAAAGCUCAAGAUAGUGCACCUGAAUUCAAUGCCAUGGCUAGAGGAGUGGACUAUGAGGCUUGGAGCCAUGCCAAAACUGCAAUGCUUGAUUCUCAAUUCUUGUGCUAACUGGAAAAAGAUUCCCGAACAGCUCUGGUGCAUAAAGAGCUUAAACAAAUUCGAGUGUUGGUGGCCUCAGCCGGAGCUGAGACAAAAGCUACGGGACUUCGAGGAUAAGGUGCAGUAUGACAAUCAAGUAUAUCCUUAUGGAAUUUGAUUUGCAUGGAUUUAAUUAGAUGUAAGUUUUUCAUUUUAUGUAAUAUCAUCAACCUUUAAUUAUUAAUAUAAUUUCAUACAUUUGUUUUUUCUUCUCCUCAAUAUAUUUGAUAGCACGCAGCUUCCUAAGGCUAUAAAGUGUUUUCUAAUUGUAGUUGCUUCUAAUUUUUGUCUCAACAUUAGACAUGAAGUGUUCUUCACAGUUCCUGUUGCUGACCCCGACCAUUUUCCCUUAAUUAUUUUUAGAAGAGGAAGAACCCUUGUUUAUUGAUUGUUGAACAGUCAGGAAAAACUAUAAUUUCAUAUCUUAAAUUACUUGCGCAGGUGAAAUCAGAGCGGGAAAUAUAUCAACUGUAGUGCGGCAAAAGUUUCAAUUUCAACCAGAAUCCGGCCUUGAUCCUUUCAGUAUUCACUUCUGUUGUCUACACAUUAUUAAGUCCUCAAGAUUAAUACAGGACAUUGUUGGGUUUCUUUGUUUUCAAGGAUCUGCUACAAGCAAUAAUGUCAAGUUUUUGGAUUCACUGUGUAUAUUCUAUUCAUGUGUCUUCAUUCUUGUAAUGUGCUUGAAACUCCAACUUAGUGUGGACGUGUGUGGUUUGGUUGUACCAUGUGUAAUACAUGUUGAUUGUCAUAAUUGUCUUAAGGGAAUUCUGCAUCACUUCCAUCAGAAGAAAAGUUUGGAUGUAGGCACCAUUGCUGCUGAAUCUACUAUUGAUUUGCUCUAUGUUUUCUAUUUUUUUUAAUUCAAUUUUGGGGAUUGGGUUUUUAGCAUUAAGUGUUGAUACAUCAGAGGACUAGAUAAAAUAAAUAGAAACUGGGGCAGAUUGCCUAAUCUUCAGAAUCUCCAAUUUUAUGGAGAUUUAAGGCCUUAUCAUUCAUAAAUAACUUGAAUGCUAGAUUGUUAUUAUCUUAGAUUCUCUAAAUAAUAAUCCGAAUAAGAAUGUAGGAAAAAUAUUGAUUACAAAUGCUUGUUUUGAACAAAUACUACCUAUUAUUUUAAAUUUUGGACAUAGAAAUUAUAAAUAGUAUUAGCAUGUGAAUUUUAAGGUAUUAGCUGAUUCUGUCCAAAAUUUAGUCGUUGGUUUUUGCUGAAAAAAUGAAUGUGUAUAAUUUUUUUUCCCUUUUAUUUUCUGUUAUACAUUGAUUCCCCUGCUUCUAGCUGAUUCUGUUCUCCUUUAUAACGAGAAAGAAGUUAUUUUUUGUGCUCUUAUAUAUACAUGUUAAGCUUGGAUAAGUGUGGUUUGGUUUGUUUUAAUAAUAUGAUUGUGUGGUGUCAUCUGUAAUACUUUUUAAGGGUGCAAUCAAAUGAGUUUAUACCUUAUAGUGAAUUUGGUUAAUUUCAAGAUAUCAUUUUUUGGGAUCUUCGACUUUGGUUGCUAAUACAAAAUUCCUCAAAUCUUGAUUGGAAUUUGGGAAUCUGUCCUAAAUGAUACAAGAUUUCAUAAAAAAAUUUCAUUCUGAUUUAUUAUUCGAGUUGAGAUUCAAGAUCUAAUUUUCUUCCAACUUAAUAUUCAAGACGGGAUUUGAGACGUCUGAAAAUCUCACUUGAGAUCCCUUAGGCGAUCAAAUGAGUUCAUAUCCUUAUAAUGAAUUUGGUUAAUUUCAAGAUACCCUUUUCUGGAAUCAUCCGCUCUAACUGCUAAUACGUGAACCUAGGCUGGCAAAAUUAUCCAGAUACCAAUCGAGAUAGAAACCCUACACAAGAUUUGUUACAAGUUUCUUAUCCCAAUUUUGAAUGUGGGUUAGGAUUUGAGACCCAUUUUACACCGAUUCAUAAAUUUCUUUAUUUAGACAAUAACUUAUGACAGAUUUUUAGUUCAAAGCUCACGGAGUAAAGGUUGAGUUAUUGGUGCAAUCAUCCGCAAUUUUAUGCAAGCAUGCAACAUAUUAAACAAGAGAAUAUUUAAUUAUUUUUUGGGUUCUGUUAUUACAAUAAUGAUUUUGAAGAUAUUAGUGGGAGAAAAUUCAUUUUUUUAAAUCAUUUUCAAGCUUGAGAAAAAGUUUUCUUGCUGGCAUACACUGUCCUUUAUCUAUAUUCCAGUCUUCCAUUAUGUUAAAAAAAAACAAAUAUGAAAAUAAAAAGAAAAUAGGACAUCAUCAAGUAUCAAUCAAAGAUCAAUUUGUUUUAUCCACUUUCAGGAAAGAAAAGGUAAAAACAAUCCCGCUGGGGACCAUAAAGUUGGUGUUUUUUUUGAGGGUUCGGCAUCAUGUUUGCCUUCAUUUAGCAAAGGAUAUAUGAAAAAGAGAUGAAUAUUGCACUUUAGAUUUGAAUAAUUCCAAUUGGAUUUUGAAUUAAUUAGAUUAGGAAAAAAAAAUCAUUCGAAUCCAACCUGAAUCUCAAAUAUAAUCAAUUCGAUUCAAAAUAAAUUGAUAUUUCAGAUGAAUUUGGUUUUAGAUUGUUUCGUAUUUAAAUGAAAUUUUAAAUUCAAAUAGUAUUUUAAACUCGGAUUGAAUUCGGAUUUAGGUCUUUUUGAUAAUUUUUACAAAAAAAUCAUGAACUCUGUAUAUAUAUGUAGAGUAGUGCAAUCCAAUCGGAUUGUUUAGAUUAAAACAUCCAAAUUCAAAUCAGAUCUAUUCGAAUCCAAUCCAAUGCACACCUUUAGCCCUAUUGGAAUGAUCAUCUAACCAUUCAAACUAUAACGUAUUAUGUUGUAGUCUGUAGAGCGCUUGAAAAGAAAAUCUCUAAACAAUAGCGACUAUUAUGCAUUUGAUGCAUCAAUGAAUCAAAUUCUAAGGUGAUGCUUUUUCUCUCUAGACAAGCUUUAUGGUCCCGGCGGAAUUAUUUUUAAUCUUUCAGUCUUUUGAGAGGGCUAAAAAGAAACUAGUCUUGAUAGCCUAUUUUACUUUCUUCAUACAUAUAUAUAUAUAUAUAUAUAUAACACAAAUUAUAAGACACCCUUUUAUCUUCUUGCAUAAAAAAUAUUUUAUAUACACGUACAUUAUACCUCAGGUUUUGUGCAGAAAAUCAUUAUUGUACAUCAAUAAUUUCUCAAUAUAAUUCCUCUUAUCAAUCAGUAUCCCCACGGCACCUGCAGCAUCUAGGUUUAAGAUUCAUUUUCCAGUACUGCUCUGCCUUGAUCUGUUCUACUUUGACAGCCACCUGAACUUGAUUCAACUUCUUGAGAGAAGGAGGUAUUGGUGCCAUCCUCAGUUGCUUAUGUUGACUAAUGUUGAAGUAAAAGGAGAGCUUUUAACCAUUUUUUUUAUAAUUGUUUUCUUUGCAUGCUAGGGCUGCUGGCUACUGACUACCGAGAGUGAAGGAGAUAUGGACAUCAACCUUGGACUAUUUUCAGAGAGACUAAGAAGGGUGCUAGCUGGUGAAGAAUUCACGGUGCCCGAUGCUGCUGAACAACCUAUUUAGAACCUUUACACUGAGACUGAAAUCGUUGCUUCUUGGUUGAGGGACUCUAGAUACAACACUGCUUGGUUUAUGUAGCAAGUCAAUGCAGAAGAGGGUCAAACUCUUGCAGAAUUAGAAGAUUUUAAGGCUAUCAUUGACAAAAUUCGUUGCUUUUCAUACAUAUCUGAGAAUGUGAUUGACACAUUUGCUAUCAGUAUCACUCAACAGAAGAGUCAAAGCGGAUGCAGCAAGGACAUUUGUGAUGCUCUGCUAGGACUCCAAAGCAAAAUCAUUGAUAUAAAACAACGGAUGCAGCAAGUUCAGCACAUCCACUCCAGAAUCGUUGAUGAGCUCAAAUCGUUUGAAGCAAAAGCUAGUAAUUUUCCUGCAUCCUCAUCUUUUAAGAAUAGGGACACGGUGGGUCUAGAUAAUAGAAUGGAGGAGUUAUUAGAUCUACUAAUAGAGGGACCGCCUCAACUUUCGGUAGUGGCUGUUGGAAAAUUUUCAAAAUAAAUGUGUCUUAUGGUAAAGACAUGUCCUAUUAAUUGUGCCUUAUAGAAAAGGUACCUUUCACUAAAGGCAUGUCUAAUUAAAUGAUGUCUUGUUGUAAGGACAUGUCCAUUUAAUUGUGUCUUGUAGAAAAUGUAUCUUUUUACUAAAUGAUAUAACUUUUCAUGGCAACAUUUCACUUAGAGAUGCAUCAUUUCAUGGUGACAUUUCAUUUGAAAUGGUGAUGAUUCAAUUUGGACCAUUGAUUAAAAUCAAAUCUAGAUCCAAUGGCCAUGAAUGAAGGGGUAUCAUGAAAUAUGACAACCCAAAUGAGGGGGCACAAGUAUAUCUAUAAAUAGGGGUCAUGUUUAAGCCAUUUAGACAUGAAAUUAAUGAUCCUACACCACUUUUUUCUUAGCAUUCCUUUCUAGUACGAAUUUCAACACAAAACACCCAUUUCUUUUGUGCAUUCACAUUCCAAUAUAUUGUUUUCUGCAGGAACAAUAUAUUGUUUCUUGGCAGGCUUGUAACAUUCAAGAGUAUUCUGGUUUGCUUUCAUCGAUGCACAACACAAGCAAACAAACAAGUGCUUCAUUGUAUCCUGGAGGCGUAUUUGCUUAACCCAUGUGCAUUACUCAAUCGGUGGGGGCAAAUAACAUCUUAAGGAAAGUGACAUUUGUAACGCGCCUUGAAGUACACAAAAUUUCUGCAGUUUACUUAUUACUAUUAUUUUUCUUCUUACAUAAGUUGUAAACACAUUACUUUAUGUAAUAAAGUUCCGUCAUUAUUGUUACAUUUGCCAUUCCCCACAAGUUCAACCUCCAACAGUGGCCGUACUUGAUAGCAUUGGAUUGGACAAGAUGGCUUUCGCCGCAGAGGCUUAUAGCAGCAACUAUGUGAAGCAUUAUUUUGAUUGUCACGCUUGGGUUGAAGAGUCUUUACCAUAUGAUGCUGACCAAAUAUUGUACGACAUUAUUAAGUUUGUGAUGCCUUCAAGCAGGUUGAGUGAAAUUAUGGAAGAAAGUUCGGAAAUGAAAAAAAUUAUUCUUCAUGAAUAUCUAAUGACCAAGCGUUAUUUGAUUGUGCUUGAUAAUGUGUGGAGAAUAUCAGUAUGGGAUGUUAUUUGAGAAAUACUUCCCGAUAAUCAGAAUGGAAGUAAAGUAUUGAUAACACUCAGUCGAAUUGAGAUCGUCGCCUCAUUUCAGUUCGAAAAUGGAGAGAACAUUGGGCUUGAUUUUGUGCCCACUGGAGGACCAUUGAGAGUUACAUACCAAGGAUGGCCUUUCCGCAUCUUAUAUCAUGAAAGCAUCUCACUGAAAGAGAAUAUAGAGGAAGCCCUUGAUGAACCCCUGGGGCUUCAAGUCGUUGCAUAUUGUAUGUUACCUUUUUACUUGAAACUUUGUUGUCUCUACUUAUCUGUGUUUCCCGUACACUUUGAGAUAUCCACCAAGCAAUUAUAUCAGUCGUGGAUAGCCGAAGGUUUCAUUACAGACAACAAUGAGGCAACUGCCGAGAAAUACUUAGAACAACUAAUCAAUGGAGGCUUUGUUAUCCUCAUUGAAGAAGCCAAGGGAUUAGUAUUUAUAUAUAAACACUUAACCAUGCAUGAACAAGAAUUUUAAGGAUAAAGACUCUCUCCACACGAGCGUACGUGGGGCGAGGGGGACAAAUCCAUGACCAAUUUGGUUGAACUUGUGUGCGCCCUUAAAUGUCAGCCCAAGCACCGAUGGAACGUGUUUUAUUUCCUUUUAAAUUUGUUCUAACAGUUUCACACCUUUUGAAUUCAGAAGAUUUGUAAUAGCUUCGCAAUUAUUUUGGGCUGGUAUGCAAUUCAAUUUUUGAAUUGAAUUGUUUAAAAUUCAAUGGCUAUUACAGCAAUUAAAUUGCAUAUAUUGAAUUCUGAAAUUCAAUUUUUAUGUUAUUGUUACGUACCCACAUGAGUAUAAAAAGGCACAUUCCUCUUCUGUUUUUACACACAUUGAAACUAGCACACAGAGCACUUACAAUUUUUCUUUCCUCCUUUCGUCUUGUUUUCUGAUUGAGUUUACCGCUGUUGUGGUUCGCCGAAAUUAUCUGUCUGUGCUUGACAGAAAAUUUGUGCCCGUUGUAUCCUGAGAAACAGUUACCAGCAAACUUAAAGCACUUCAGUAGGUAGUAAAUCUGUUUUAAGGACACUGUAUUACAGGCCUCAAGUUUAUUUUCUUCAGUUGCUAUUUUUCUUUUCCUGUUGUUUAUAAGUUGCUGUUUUGCUGUAGUCAAAUUAGCUACUAGUUUAUUUGUUUAACUCACUGUGAUUAUUUUUUAUAACAUUGAAAUCGUCGCCUCAUUUCAGUUCGAAAAUGGAGAGAACAUUGGGCUUGAUUUGUGCCCACUGGAGGACCAUUGAGAGUUACAUACCAAGGAUGGCCUUUCCACAUCUUAUAUCAUGGAAGCAUCUCACUGAAAGAAAAUAUAGAGGAAGCACUUGAUGAACCCCGAGGGCUUCAAGUCGUUGCAUAUUGUAUGUUACCUUUUUACUUGAAACUUUGUUGUCUCUACUUAUCUGUGUUUCUCGUACACUUUGAGAUAUCCACCAAGCAAUCAUAUCAGUUGUGGAUAGCUGAAGGUUUCAUUCCAAACAACAAUGAGGCAACUGCUGAGAGAUACUUAGAACAGCUAAUCAAUGGAGGCUUUGUUGAUGCAGGGAAGAGAGGUGACAGAGGCAGAAUCAACACAUGCUCUAUUCCUGGGCAUUGCAGUCCUGCGUUGUUGACUGUGGCUUUCGAGGGGGAAUUUUUCAUUUCCCCAAUCAUGGAUCAGGAAGUUAAAUUAUGGGAAAAUGUGAAACGCUUCACCGCUCAUGGAAAUUUGAAUGAUUUUUCAUUUUUAGAUCAUUUUGACUCGUUCCUCCAUUCCUUGUUGCACCUCACUUUAGGAAGCCACUACCUUGACUCCAAUUAUUGCGAGAAAAUCUAUAAAAUGUUCAAAUUUCUCAGAGUAUUGGACUUGGGAUCUCUUGUUCUCAUUCGAUAUCCUUCCGAAAUCGAAUAUGUAUUUCUUUUGAGAUAUUUGAACUUGAAUAUCCCUUCCCUGAAAAGCCUGCCUUCAUCGUUAUUAAACAGUCUUUUGAACUUGUACACCCUAGACAUGCCCUUUAGCUACAUAGAUCAUACAGCAGAUGAAUUUUGGAAGAUGAGCAAACUGAGGUAUCUAAAUUUUGGCUCAAUUACACUUUCUGCACAUCCAGGAAAAUAUUGCGGCUCUCUGGAAAAUCUCGAUUUCAUUUCAGCCUUGCAUCCUUGCUGCUGUCCUGAAGAUAUAUUGGGCAGACUACCUAAUCUUCGAAAUAUCCAAAUAUGGGGAGAUUUAAUUUAUUAUCAAUCUUUGUUGUCCAAAAUUCUCUAUAGAUUGAGCUGCCUCGAAUCAUUGAAGUUGGCAAAGGAAAGCAAGAUUCCACGGCGAUCCAAUAUCAUCCUUGCUAAAUACCAAUUUCCUCCAAGUCUAACCCACUUGAGUUUUUUGAAUAUUGAGCUAAUGGAUCAUCCCAUGCCGGCACUAGAAAAGCUGGCGGUUCUUCAGUUGCUCAAACUGAAGUAAAACUCGUAUUCAGGUAGAAAGCUGGCUUGUAGCUCUGAUGGCUUUCCAAAACUCAAGGUGCUGCACCUUAAAUCAAUGUUAUGGCUACAAGAAUGGACUAUGGGGAUUAGAGCCAUGCCGAAACUAGAAUGCUCGAUCCUCAACCCUUGUGCUCACUUGAAAAUGAUUCCUGAACAGCUUUGGUGCCUAAAGAGCUUAAACAAAUUAGAGUUGUGGUGGCCUGAGCUGGAGCUGAGACAACAGCUACGGGAAUUCGAGGAUAAGGAGCAGUAUGGCAUUCAGCUAUAUCCAUAUGGAAUUUGAUUAGCGUGGAUGGAAUUUGAUGUAAGUUUUUUUCCUUUUUAUCCAAUAACUUCAACCUCUAAUUAUUUAUCUAAUUUCAUGUAAACAUCUAUUCUGUAUGAUUGAUUCGAUAGUACGCAGCAGCCUAAAUAAUAAUGAUACCAUAAAGUGUUUUCUAUCUAAUUUUUGUCUCAACAAAGACUUGGAAGUGUCCAUCACAUUCCCUGAUGCUGACACUAAUCAUUAAUCUCUUAUUAAUAGAAGAGGCAGAACCCUUAUGUAUUGGUUAUUGAAAUAAUCAAGAAAAACUGUAAAAUAAGAUAUUCAAUUACUUGUAUGUGUAGCAGUGUAGGUCAAAGCAGAGCGGAAAAUAUCUUAACUAUACUGCAGCCAAAGUUUCAAUUUCAAUAAGAAUCCAGCCUUCACUGAAAUUGUGUGGUUUCUCUUUUUUUUUUUAUAAGAAUUGUUUGGUUUCUUUGUUUUCAAGGAUUAUGUCAUAUUCGGAUUAAUAUUUUGUACAAAAGUUUUAUUGAUUGUUUUACUUUCUAUUUUCACAUUCACUGGUGUGUAUUCAAUUUGUCAACAUUGAAGUUGCAUAUAUGUUAUUGUUUUUUAUUUUAUUUUAUUUUUCUAGUUUUUGAGUAGUGAUACAGUUCAAUCUCAUUACUUCAGUUAGACGAAAAAUGUUUGUGCUGUGAUCACACCUCAUUAUCUUAAAACUGACAGAACGAUUUUGUCGUUCGGUUUUUUGGAAUUUCGCCGACGUGUCGUCCAUUGUAAGGGCGACAAUGCUGGUCAAAAGUCAGUUGGGGUUCGUUAAAAUAGUGCGUGGAAAUUUCGGGUUUGUUGGAAAUAGCCUUUAUUGUAGUUUAUAAGGCUGGUUGUUGGGUCAUCUUCACAGGUCUCAUCAAAGCCAUAGAAAGAGAGAGAGUUAAAGGGAAAAAGUUGCAUAUUCUUGGAAUGAUUGUGAAAUGGUCCUUGUUCUUCAGUGGAUGUAGGCACUUUGAUUCAAUUUUGAGUUUCGGUUUCCGGAACGAUUCUUGAUACGUCAAAUAGGGUCUUAGGUGUGUGAUCUUGGUACUAACAGAGGAUUAAACACAACAAAAAAGAAACUGGGGCAUAUUGUCUAAUCUUCAUAGACUCCAAAUAUAUGGAGAUUUUAGCCCUCGUCAAUCUGGGUUGUCCAACAGCCCUUGUAAAAUAAAAAACCAUCACUAAUCCUUGGUGACUUUAGGGAUCCAGUAAGGACUAGGUAGAAUUGAAGAGGAGAUUUAACGAGUAAAGUUCUGAAAGUGGAAGAUUUAAAAUUUAAUCUGUAGCGUUGCAGGUUUUGGAAGCUUCGUUAGAAUUGAUGACUGAAUUCUUUCUCUGUUGGUUGAUUAGUAGCCCAAUUGCACUAAGAGAAUAAAGAGCAGCUGUAAUCGUUUUCACAUUUUCCGUUCCAGCAUCCAGAGGGUGCCUUGUAAUGCAGUGCAAUGAAGUUGAUGGCGUGAGGAUGUGCUGCUGCUCACUCAAUUCCUUACAGUCACAUCAAAGCCCUUGUUUGCAGCAGAGGAAUUCCCUUUUGUAUUCAAAUUAAUCCUUCUGCUUUGGUUGUCAUUGGAUUCUUUCCACUCUUUAGCCAGUAACAUAAUGUUGAGUUUAUUGAUUUUGCUAUCUUAAGAAUGUCCAAGACAUUUUGUAAUCAUGAUAUAUUGUCAUUUUAUUUUGAGACAAAAGACUUUUUUCCCAGUUAGCAAAUGCUUAUUGCUUUCAUUUUUUGGAUUGGAAAAACAAAAAUUGGAAGAAGAAAAAUGAAAAUUAAUAAACAAAAAAAAGAUUACAGGACAGCAGCAUCAUGUUCUUUUCUUUGAACUAAGUCUUUGUUUAACCUUUCACCUUUUCCAUUUUGUGAGUUUGGUAUCUCUUUCUUUUCUUGAACCAAGAUUUUUACUUUACUUACAAGUAAAGUUUAAAUGAUCUUGAUCGUUUAUUUUUCUCUGAACUUAUUUUUCUUUCACAUGCACGAUCAUUUUCAAUUCUAACAAAUCAUUCAUCUAUCAAUACCCAAUUUGAAUAAAAUUCAGCAUUCCUUUUCAUAUUCUUUCUAUGUAAUAAUUUGAUUGUGUUGUUUUUAAUCAAAAUAAGAUAUAUAUCGUCAGGAUAUUGAAGUUUGUGAUCACUUUAAGAAAAAACAGGUAGUUUAAUAUCUGAAUUAUCCACAAAAUAACUCCAUUUUAUUAUUUUUAUAUCAUGAAUGUGAGGUUCAUGAUUUAUUUGCGUUUGAUUCUUGUUUACAAGUUAUGUUUUUCCUCACACGUUUCAUAUGAUCACAAAUCAGAUAAAAAGGGGGAAAUUAAAAAAAAAAGAUUGAAAGCUAGCUUAUUUUGAGUACAAGCAAAAUCUUGCUCAUUUCCAGGGCGAAAGUAGCAGGGACGUUUUGAGGUGUUUUUAAAAAUACAGGGACUAAAUGGACACUAACCUCAUAAUAUAGGGACUAAACAAGCUUUUACCCCAUUUAGAAAUGCGUUGACAAAGAGAUUAAUUUGUCACAUGAUGGUUUCUAGGUAGAAUCUUUCCAAGCUAAUUUGCAUUUUAUAAAAUUUUUCUUUCUAUUCGUUUUACGUAAUGAUUAGUCACCAAUCUUGGUUUGAGAAUGCAUACUCAACAUGAGGUUAUAAGAUUCAUUUCCGGCACUCUACCUUUCAUCUCUUGUAAUUUGACUGUCAGCAAUCUUGAUUUAACUUUUUGAAUGGCAACACUCGGCAUGAUUAAUUAGAGAAGGAGGUAUCAGGCAUAGGGUUCUGAGUAGAGUUUCAUCAACAAUUAAUGCUGGUUAAUGUUUGAAUUGACAGACAUAAAAAUUUCUUAUUAUUAUUAUUUUUAAUCUUUUAAUAAUUGUCUCUCUCAAUUAUGUCUCAAUUUGCAUGUUAGGACCACUAGGCACAGAGAGAGGAGGAGAUAUGGACAUCAACUUCAGACUAUUUUCCGAGAGGCUGGGACGGGUGUUAGCUGGUGAAGAAGUCACGUUGCCUGAUGCUGUAAAACAACCUAUUCAGAACCUUCAUGCGGAGGUUGAAAUCGUUACUUCUUGGCUGAGUGAAUUUGAAGAUGAUAUCUCCUGGCUUCUGAUGCAAAAAAUAGGAGAAGUUGAAAUUGACAACCCAGAUCUUGGGACCGUUAUGGAUGAAAUCAAUUGCUUUACUUAUGAAUCUGAGAAGGUCAUUGACACAUUCAUCAGCAGCAUUACUCAACAGAAGAGACAAAGCGGGCGCAGCAAGGACAUUUGUGAUGCUCUGCUAGGACUCCAAAGCAAAAUCAUUGAUAUAAAACAACGGAUGCAACAAGUUCAGCACUUCGAUUCCGGAAUCAUUGAUGAAGUCAAAUCAAUUGAAGCUGAAGUCGGUAAUUUUCUUGCAUCUUCAUCGUCUAAGAAUAGGGAGACGGUGGGUCUAGAUGAUAGAAUGGAGGAAUUGUUAGAUCUAUUGAUAGAAGGACCACCUCAACUUUCAGCAGUGGCCAUACUUGAUAGCAUUGGAUUGGACAAGACGGCUUUCGCCGCAGAGGCUUACAGCAGCAACUAUGUGAAGCAUUAUUUUGAUUGUCACGCUUGGGUUCCGAGCCUCACAGCUAUGAUGCUCACCGAAUAUUAGAUCUCAUUAUUAAGUUUCUAAUGCCUUCAUCUAGACUGAGUGAAAUGAAGGAUAAAAAUUAUGAAAUGAAAAAAAAAUUCUUCGUGAAUAUUUAAUGACCAAGCGGUAUUUGAUUUUUUUUUAUAAUGUGUGGAGAAUAUCAGCAUGGGAUGUUAUUCGAAAAAUACUUCCCGAUAAUCAAAAUGGAAGUAGAGUAUUAAUAACACUCGCUCAAAUUGAGAUUGUCACCUCAUUUCAGUUUGAAAACGGAGAGAACAUUGGGCUUGAUUUUGUGCCCACUGGAGGAGCAUUGAGAGCUACAUACCAAGGAUGGCCUUUCCACAUCUUGUAUCAUGGAAGCAUCUCAUUGGAAGAAAAUAUAGAUGAAGUAUUGACCAUGUCCCUUGGGCUUCAAUGCAUCAUAUAUUGUAUGUUACCUUUUUGCUUGAAACCUUGUUUUCUCUACUUCUCCGUUUUUCCCGCACACCUAGAGAUAGCCACCAGGCAGUUAUAUCAGCUGUAGAUAGCUGAAGGUUUCAUUUCAGACAAUAAUGAGGCAACUGCUGAGAAGUACUUAGAGCAACUAAUCAACAGAGGCUUUGUCAAAGCAAAUAAGAGAAGAACUGGAGGCACAAUCAACACAUGCUCUAUUCCUGGUCGUUGCCAUCCUGUAUUGUUAGGAGUGGCUUCCGAGGUGGAAUUUAUCUUUUCCCCUUUCAUGGAUACAGAAGGUAAAUCACAAAAAAAUGUCAAAUGUUUCUACGCUUAAGAACAACAGAGUGAUUUUGCUUAGAUGAUUAUGACUCGCACCUGCAUUCUUUGUUGUACUUCACUUCAGAAAGCAACCACCAUGACCCCAUAGAUUGCCAGAAAAUUUGUGAAAUGUUUAAACUUCUCAGAGUAUUGGACUUGGGAUCUCUUGUUCUCAUCCAAUAUCCGUCCAGAAUUGAAAAUUUAUUUCUUUUACGAUAUUUGAAGUUGAAUAUCCCUUCCCUCAAAAGCCUGCCUCCAUCAUUAUUAAGUAAUCUUCGGAACCUCUACACCCUAGAGAUGCCCUUUAGCUAUAUAGAUCAUACAGCAGAUGAAUUUUGGAAGAUGAACAUACUCAGGCAUCUAAAUUUUGGGUCAAUCACACUUCCUGCGCAUCCAGGGAAAUACUGCGGCUCUCUGGAAAAUCUCAAUUUCAUUUAAGCCUUGCAUCCUUGCUGCUGUACUGAAGACAUAUUGGGCAGACUACCUAAUCUUCAAAAUCUCCGGAUAUGGGGAGAUUUAAGUUAUUAUCAAUUUUUAUUGUCCCCUCGAGUCAUUGAAGUUGGUGAACGAAAGCAAGAUGCCAGCUUUCUCCAAAAUUGUCCUAGUUGAGUACCAGUUUCCUCCAAGACUAACCCACUUAAGUUUCUCUAAUACGAAACUUAUGGAGGAUCCCAUGCCCGCACUAGAAAAGCUGCCACUUCUUCAAGUGCUCAAACUGAAGCAAAACCCGUAUUCAGGUAGGAAGCUGACUUGUGGCUCUGAUGGUUUUCCAAAUCUCAAGGUAUUGCACCUGAAAUCAAUGCUAUGGCUAGAGGAGUGGACUAUAGGGACGGGGGCCAUGCCGAAACUAGAAUGCUUGGUUAUCAACCCUUGUGCUUACUUGAAAAAGAUGCCCGAACAGCUCUGGUGCAUAAAGAGCUUAAACAAGUUCGAUUGCUGGUGGCGGCUGAGACAAAAGCUACGGGAAUUUGAGGAUAAGGAACAGUGCGGCAUUCAACUAUAUCCUUACGGAAUUUGAUUAGCCCCCAUUGAAUUUGAUGUAUGUUUCUCAUUUUAACCAAUUUCUUCAACUUUUAAUUAUUUAUCCAAUUUCACAUAUAUUUUUUUCCCUUCUCUUCAAUAUAAAGAUGGUUAUACAAAGUGUUUUCUUUUAAUUUGUCUCAAUAUUGAGUACAUUGAGUACCUUUUAGAGUUUCCGAUACUCACCCCAAUCAUCAAGCCCUCUUUAGCAGCAGUGGAGACUUAAGUACCCUUGUAUAUUCAACCAUGAGCCUAGCAGACAUCGCGUUCAUUUGCUUUAAUAGUUAAGACAAAAAAUGUAAUUAAAAAUUCUUAUUUUUCACAAUUUCUUCAAUAACUUGUGUAGGUGAAAUCAAAGCAGAAAACAACAUAACUGCAGCCCGAGCUUCAAUUCCAACCAGAAUCCUUUCUGUCUUCACUCUGCUGUCUACACAAAUAAAUCCUGAUCCUACGGUGGUGGACUUUUUUUUGGUUUCUUUGUUUCAGCUGUCUAUCCAUAAAUAAGAAAUCUCGCUUAGGAUUUUCAGUUGAGAGUUCAUUGAUUUGUGCUUCGGCCAUGGUUUCGUUAAUUGUGUACAAAAAAUAAAUAAUAUUUGUGAUGCUUUCUGGUGUUGGGUUCAGUUGAAUGUAUUUUCUGUCUUUGUUCUGUUGCUUGCUCUGAAAUCCUAUUUCAAAGGCUGGGCAAGUUUGGCACUCGAUAUGCUUCGUUUACUUCCAGAAAAGAUUGAUUAUUGAUGAACUUCAUACUUGGCUGAAUAUCUUAGUAAACGUUCUUGUGAAGAAAUCCUAAUACCCACUGAGGCACUACAAUAAGGCAGAAAUACUAAUAUUGCUUUACAUGUGUUGAUUGAUUAACAGUUUUGUUCUCUGCUGCUCUUUCUUUAUCUGUUGCAGAAAAUUCCUUCAAUAUGAUUGAUAGUUGCUACUAAUUAUAGAAGCAUUCCUCCUUUGGCUCAUUUCAUGGAAUAUGAAAGACAGAUUACUGAGACAGAGCCACGCUUCUUUACCUUCCCAGAGAAAGUUGAAGUUUGGGCUGCGUACUUGGGAGUGGAAUGAAGAGCGGCAGCAAAAUGAUUACAAGGAUUGCCAUUUACAGGGGCAUUUUUGUGACUACUGAUGUGUCCCUCUAAUGGUUCAAUAAAUUGAAACCACGUCUAGUAAAAGGCUAGAAAAACGCCGUGUUAUAGUAAGCAUCGACUUUCAAUAAUAGAAUUUUGUGUGCAAGUGUGAAGUUCAUCAAUAAUCAAUCUUUAUAACUAUUGCCUACGGUAUAAAAAUAUUUAUAAAAGAGCAAGUAAUUGCAAUCCCUCGUUCAAAUUUAUAACAAAUCAACUAUAAAAAUAUUCAGAGCAAAAUUCAAGAUUAAAUUAUGUUCUAUAUUGGAUCACACGUUAAAAUAGUUAUCAAGAUAUGCAUGUAUAUAAUUAAAUAAAUGUAGAAAUUUAAUUUGGUUUGUUAGCAUUCCAUUAAGAAUAAAUUUAAACAAUUAACUAAUUAAAUCCUCGUUGAAUAAUUAUUAAGCUUCAUUUAAACUAAUAAAAUAUGUUUGUGAUAUGAUAUCUCAUAACAAAUUAACUAACGACUUUGAAAUUUAUGCUAUCUAUCUCAUGAAAUUUAUCAAACUCAUACUUGAUUCUUAGAUCAAGUUACAAAAAUCGUGUGAGGUGAAUCAGUAGAUUAAGGGCUAGCUCAAGUGAAGCUUUGAGGCAGCAGAAUCAACACAUGCCACAUUUUAAUAUUGUCAUUAUUAUUAGCAGUGUAUCAAAUUUGAAAAGUAAUUCCAGUUGUCUUUGUUUCAGCUGUGUACUCAUUAAGUAAGAGAUUUCAUUUCAGCAGAGAGUUGACUGUGUAUAAAAAUAAAGAAUGUUUGUGAUGCUUUCUAGUCUUGGAUUAAGUGGGAUUAAUGUAUUUUCUAUAAAAACUGAUCAAAAAUUUCCUCCCAUGGAUGCAUGCUAAUGCAAAUUAGCUGAACCACGUUGAAUCGAUUUGUCCUCUGUUGGUUCUUUCAAUUCUUUGAUUCAAUUUGAUCUUAAUUGCUUUAUAUCCAUUCAUCAUCAUCUUGUUUCAAUUCCAUUUUCAAUUGAGCUUCAAAUCAGUUCAUUCUUGGUAGCAUCUUGAUUGAUUGGAUUGUGAUAUUGGGCAGCAACUGAGGUAUCUCUGGUUUUAAGCACUCCAGUUGCUACAGUUAGGCACUCAAUCAAUAUGCUUUGUUCAUUUACAGAAGAGAUUUGAUUACUGAUGAACUUCAUGCUUGCCUGACUCUGAUCCCGUGUAGUGGGUUGAGAGGAUUACAUGGAGGUGCUGUUAAAGCUAAGGCAUAAGGCAGAGAAGCAAGCUAUGGAAGCCAAUUAGGUUGAAGACUGUCAAUAAACAAACAUAAUUCGAUUAGCAGUAGGUCGUUAAUACUUAAUAUUUAACGUGAGGAACAAGUUUUUCAGCCUCGCCUCAGAGUGAUAACUACUUCGACUUUGUCUGUUACUUGGAAACUUUGGUGCCUUCCAUGACAAUCAUUUUGUGGCAGCACAGUGAACGAUUCUGUUGCUUUUGCUUUCAAUGAACAGGGCUACCUUACCAGAUAGGGUUAGCAUUUUAUUAAUUGCAAGUGGUAGCUUAUUUAUUCAUUACUUUUGUCUUCUGUGAAUAUAAAACACUGACUAUGUAAUCAUAAUACUUUUUUAAUAAGGAGUAUGAUGAAAAUUAAAAACAAAUAAUGAUUUUGUAAUUAUUUAUUAUGCUCCAAGUCAAUAAAUAUCACAUCAACCCCCAAUAUUUUCUCUGCUACUACUUUCUUAUUGUACUCAUUAUCAAAAUUCUAUAAUAAACAUCAUUUAUGUGUAGGAGAAACUAUUGACUAAACUGACUUUCUUGCGCUACUGGAGUACUAAGAGAAAGAGUUGUGUAGGUCAACCUAAGAUCAAUUUCAUUCAUCAGACUAUUUUCAGAGAGGCUGAGAAGGGUGUUAGCUGAUGAAGAAGUCACGUUGCCUUGUUGAUGCCAAAAUCUGGAUAAGUUGGUCAGAUCUCAGAUUCCUGCAUCAUCAUUAAAUUUGUUUGAUGGGAAGCUGCUGAUUAGUUAGCACCAUGAGCAGAUUUUCUAUGAGCAGACAACCCAUGAGCAGAUAAUCCAUAAGCAGACGAUCCAUGAGCAGAGAACCUAUGAGCAGACAAUCCUUGAGCAGACGAUUCAUGAGCAUACAAACCAUGAGCAGACAACCCAUGAGAAGACAGUCCAUGAGCAGACAAUCCUUGAGCAGACGAUUCAUGAGCAUACAACUCAUGAGCAGACAAUCCAUGAGCAGACAACCCAUGAGCAGACAAUCCAUGAGCAGACGAUCCAUGAGCAGACGAUCCAUGAGCAGACAACCCAUGAGCAGACGAUCCAUGAGCAGAUAACCUGUGAGCCUGUGAACACAACCAACAGUCAAGAGGUGCCGGAUGUUUUUCCGGCGAGAACCCUCCGACACUCAAGUCAGCGAUUUGGGUCUUACUUGGAAAAACUCAUACCACAAUUCAUGUGGUUUAAUUAUGAUUGCUUUAAACAAAAAGCUUUUAAGUAAAUUUAAAGGAAAAGAAUUCGAAAUAAUCAAUCUUAAAGAAAUCACAGGCGAAAGAGAAAUUUCUCAGUUGUAGAGAGAGAAAAAGGUCCAAUGGGUUCAGUUACCCAAAGAGAGAGAGAGAGAGAGAGAGAGAGCUAGAAGAAUCCCCCUUUUUUCCUUCCCCUUCCUAGCGUUUUUAUAGGAAACUAUAGCGGUUUUCAUCCACUCUCCUAAAAUUAUUAAGAAAACUACUAAUUUUUAGCCCACUAAGAAUAUGGUCCCUAAUAUUUCGAAGAAAAUAUUUUGACUGAAUCGUGCUUUUUGGUAACUUCCUGGUCGAGGUGACCAAUAACAUCCUGGCCGAGGUGAUGUGCUCGAGGUCACCACAUAUUAUUCUGGUCGAGGUCACCACAUAUUAUUCUGGUCGAGGUCACCACAUAUUAUUCUGGUCGAGGUGACUAAUAAUAUCCUGGUCGAGGUGAUCUGGUCGAGGUCACCACAUAUUAUUCUGGUCGAGGUGACCAAUAACAUCCUGGUCGAGGUGAUCUGCUCGAGGUCACCACAUAUUAUUCUGGUCGAGGUGACCAAUAACAUCCUGGUCGAGGUGAUCUGCUCGAGGUCACCACAUAUUAUUCUGGUCGAGAUGACCAAUAAUAUCCUGGUCGAGGUGAUGUGCUCGAGGUCACCACAUAUUAUUCUGGUCGAGGUGACCAAUAAUAUCCUGGUCGAGGUGAUAUGCUCAAGGUGACCAAUAACAUCCUGGUCGAGGUGAUAUGCUCAAGGUCACCACAUAUUAUUCUGGUCGAGGUGACCAAUAAUAUCCUAGUCGAGGUGAUCUGCUCAAGGUGACCAAUAACAUCCUGGUCGAGAUGAUCUGCUCAACCAUUGCUCGCUUUUACUCUGGAGGAGAGCACGAUAAUGUAUGAGCAAACACCUUUAUCUUGGUCACCCUAUUUCAUUCCCUAAACACCCCUGAUGCUGCAAAACAACCUAUUCACAACCUUCUCGCCGAGAUUGAAAUCGUUACGUCUUGGCUGAGGGACUUUGAAUAUGAAACGACCUGGCUUCUGGUGGAAAAGAUAGGACACAGAGAAAUUGAAAACCAGAUCUGGCGACCGUUAUGGACGAAAUCAAUUGCUUUACGUAUGAAUCUGAGAAGGUCAUUGACACAUUCAUCAACAGCAUCACUCAACAGAAGAGUCAAAGCAGCUGCAGCAAGGACAUCUGUGAUGCUCUGCAAGGGCUCCAAAGCAGAAUCACUGAUAUUAAGCAACGAAUGCAACAACAUAAGCACAUGGAUUCCGAAAUCAUUCAUGGCAUCAAAACUUUUGAAGCUAAAGCCGGUAUAUCUUCAUCUUCUAAAAGUAGGGACACGGUGGGUCUAGAUGAUAGAAUGGAGGAGUUGUUAGAUCUAUUGAUCGAGGGACCACCUCAGCGUUCAAUGGUGGCCAUACUUGAUAGCAUUGGGUUGGACAAGACGGCUUUCGCCACAGAGGCUUACAACAGUAGUUAUGUGAAGCAUUAUUUUGAUUGUCACGCUUGGAUUACAGAACCUUACAGCAAUGAAUAUGAUGCUGACCAAAUAUUAGAUAUCGUUAUUAAGUUUCUGAUGCCUUCAUCUAGGUUGAGUGAAAUAAUGGAUAAAAAUUAUGAAAUGAAAAAAAUAAUUCUUCAUGAAUAUCUAAUGACCAAGCGGUAUUUAAUUGUGAUUGAUGAUGUAUGGAGCAUUGGUAUGUGCGGAUGUUAUUUAAGAGAUACUUCCUGAUAAUCAGCAUUGGUAUUAAUAACACUCACCGACAUUGAGAUUGUCACCUCAUUUCAGUUCGAAGACGGAGAGAACAUUCGGCUUGAUUUAGUGCCCACUGGAGGACCAUUGAGAGCUAUAUAUAAAGGAUGUCCAUUCCUCCUCUUAUAUCAUGGAAGCAUCUCAUUAGAAGAAAAUAUAGGGGAAGCAGUGCAGAUACCCCUUGUGCUUAGGUAUUUCGAAUAUUGCAUGUCACCUUUUUGCUUGAAACUUUGUUUUCUCUACUUAUCUGUGUUUCCUGCACACCUAGAGAUAUCCACCAGGCAGUUAUAUCAGUUGUGGAUAGCUGAAGGUUUCAUUCUAGACAAUAGUGAGGCAACUGCUGAGAGUUACUUAGAACAACUAAUCAAGGAAGGCUUUGCUGAAGCAAAGAAGAGAAAAGCCGGAGGCACUAUCAACACAUGCUCCAUUCCUGGUCGUUGGGGUCCCCUGUUGUUCUUAGUUCCUUCUCAGGUGGAAUUCAUCUUUUCCCCUUUCGUGGAUGGUAAAUCAGGAAAAAAAGCCUUAUUGUUCUUGACUUCUUGUGCUUACUUGAAAAAGAUGCCUGAACAGCUCUGGUGCAUAAAGAGCUUAAACAAUGUCAAGUGUUGGUGGCCUCAGCCGGUGCUGAGACAAAAGCUACGGGAAUUCGAGGAUAAGGAGCAGUAUGGCGUUCAGCUAUAUCCUUACGGAAUUUGAGUAGCCCCUAUUGAAUUUGAUGUAUGUUUCUCGCUUUACCCAAUUUGUUCAACUUUUGAUUAUUUAUCCAAUUUCAUAUACUUUUUUUCCCCUUCUCUUCAAUAUAAAAAUGGUUAUACAAAGUGUUUUCUUCUAAUUUGUCUCAGCAUUAAGUACCCUUUAGAGUUUUCGAUGCUCACCCCAAUCAUCAAUCCCUCUUUAGCAGCAGUGGAGACUUAUGUACUCUUCCAUAUUCAACCAUGAACCUAGCAGACAUCGGUGUUCAUUUGUUUUAGUAGUUAAGAAAAAAAAAUGUAAUUUAAAAUUCUUAUUUUUCACAAUUUCUCAAUGACUUGUGUAGGUGAAAUCAGAGCAGAAAACAUCAUGACUGCAGCCCGAGCUUUAAUUUUCAACAAGAAUCCUUUUCGUCUUCACUUCUGUUGUCUACACAAAUAAAUCCUGAUCCUACGGUGGUGGACAUUUUUAGGUUUCUUUGUUUCCGCUGUCUGUUCAUAAAUAAGAAGUUUCGUUUCAGAUUUUCAGUUGAGAGUUGAUUGAUUGGUGCUUCAGCCACGGUUGGCUAAUUGUGUACAAAAAAAUAAAUAAUAUUUGUGAUGCCUUUCUAAUCUUGGAUUUAGUGGAAUGUAUUGUCUGUCUUUGUUCUGUUGCUUGCUUUGAAAUCCUGUUUUAAAGGCAUGUUUGACACUCAAUAUGUUUGGUUUAUUUUUAGAAAAGAUUGAUUAUUCACGGACUUGAUACUUGGUUGACUCUCUUAGUAAAUGUUCUUGUAAAGAAAUCCUAAGAUUCUCUUAGGCCUUUUUCUUUUUUUUCCUAUGAUGAAUUGUGCUCACUACGGUAGGCAUAUCCACCUAGGCAGUAAAUAGAUUCUAGAAAUAUUCCUUCUUUGUCUCUUUUUUCUUUUCUUUCCCUUUUGUUUUUUUGAAAAUGGUUUAUUAUGAUGUUAAAGAGGUGUCUAGACAUUGAGUGGAAAAAGAAAAUACUACCGAAUGCUAGAGGCUUAUUUGAACUUGGUAAAACCAGCGUCAUAGAUGUGAUAUUUUUCUCAUUCCAAGGAAUAUGAAAAAUAUAUUACAACAUUGCACAAUUCACUAUUUUUUUGGCACCCUUAUGUCGCUGUUAGAACUCUUUAUCAUUUUUCGUUUCUUAAAAAAGAAUGUUAAAAAGAUCCCCAAAUUUAUGCGGGAUAUGUAUGUAGUUUUAAAAUGAAGAUAUAUUAAAUAUAAAAUUUUACAAAGGAUUUAGUACUUUCUCUAAAUCUCGUUGAAAAAAUAAGAUAGUAUCGUACAUGAUUAAUAGUGCAUAUAUAUUUGAGUAAUUUUACAUUUAUAACCUUGGGAUACAAAUUUUAUCUGUGAUAUACAUACAUGCAAGUCUCGCAAUAAAUUUAACACACCAGGCAUGAUUUUGCGGAGAAGUCUAUGUUGCGGAGAAGCCCAUGUCCUAAUUUUGCAUUUUUCCACAGCAUAAAUUAUUAAAUAAGUCUCGCAAUAAAUUUGACCUUUCCUUUCUUAAAAGUGGAUGUAUAAAACAAAUUGGUCUUGAUCGAUGCUUGACGAUGUCCUGUUCAUUUUUCUCUACUUUAUGCUUUUUACAACAUAUAGAAGAUAAGAGUAUUGUAAGAUUCUGCCUUGAUCUGUUCGAUCAAAAGAAAAAGCCAUUUUGGAGUUUUAUCAACAAUUUCCUUGUGUAGGCGGAGAUCCCGGAGUACUCCUAUGGUCGAUCUGUCACCCAACCUACUUAAGGCUUGGCCCCGUCCCGUUUGGAGAAUGACCCUUAUGGCAUGGCUUAGUUAGUUAUUCUCGCAGUUCAGAUAAGAUUCGGGCCCCCAUCCUGAUUUGUCUCUGGGCAUCCUUAGCCAAAUACAUUCUACUUUCGUUGUGGCAAUGUUAUGGUACGGUAAAGAUAAUGGAUGACAUUGAUGAAAGGCAUCCUUAAAUUCAAGUUGUCUACACCACAUUGUUUCCAUUCAGGGACUGGUCUUAGAAAUGAAGAUAGAAGGCCAUUUCUGCAUUGGCAGGUUACGGUUUUGAGAGUCAACGAUCUUGAUUCAGCUUCUUGACUGAAGAACUAGCUAAGCAAAGGGAGGUAUGAGAGUGUUGUGAAAAUUUUAAUAUACUCGCAAGCGCACGAAUCUAGAAAUAGAAUAGUGGUAACGAGGUCGAUCCCACAGGGAUUGUUAUAAAUUGGAAAGUCUAAUUUAAAUCUAAAAGUAAUAUUAAUUCUAACCUAGUUGAGCAAAUUGAGUUUUAAGAGAAAUUAAACUAAUUAAACUAAGAAAACAAUUAAAGUAAAUGAGAAUUCAAUGAGAUAAAAAUUACCAAGGUUUCAGAAUCCACCACUAUUCAACUAGUAAUUAUCUAAAUAUUCAUUAAUCCCCAAUUUUAGAGUAACAACUCGAAAUCAAUCUAUGUCAUCUCAUUGAUAUAACAAUUAAGCCCAAAUAAAAUUAAUCUUGUGUAGGUUCUUUUUCUGCUUAAUAAUAUGACAUCUAAGAAUCUCAUGUAAACAUAUUGAAUAACAAAGAGUCAAAGUUUCCCUAAGCACUCUAUGUAAACAAUUUAAUGAAAGACAUAAAAUCAAAGAUAAUCAUGUAUAAACUUUAAAGAUCCAAGCAUAGAUUUCAUCGAAUAUUAAUCCUAACAAUCAAUAAUGCAUGACAGAAUUGAUGAAAAGAUUUUAAUAACAUCCAAUUAAUUAUGUGAAAUAAAAACCAUAAUCAUUAAAGAAUAUAUAUAGGGAAUUAAUUAAAUAAAAAGAGAUAAUUAUUUCAUUGAAUAGGGUUUCAUCCUUAACCUCAGUGUAAGAAAAUUAGUUAGACAUACUUGAAUUGGAAGCAACAAAAUAAAUAAAUUCAGCCAUGGGGAAGCCGAAUUGCUGCAGAUUUUCUUCUCUAUCUUGAAUCCUUGCGUCUGCAGUUCUCUUCUUCCUCUCGUGGCCCUCCUCUCACAAAAGCCAAAGUUCAGCUUUUAUAUUGUAACACCCUCCAAAAUCCUCAAAUCAAAAGGAUUUAAAACAAGCCAAGCACAACCGACUUUGAGCCCAUGCACUUGGAGCCCACUUGGAAUUUUCAUUCUUUUUGUAAUGCCAUGCAAUUGCUUCUCACGUGCAGGCCACUUUAGCUUUAAAUUUCUUCUUUGUUUGCACCAGCAUGGAAAAUUCAAUUUAUUGGCUUUUUUUUCAGAUUGAAUUUCAUAUACAUUUACUUAACUGCUUCUACAAAUUGACUUGAUCUUCAAUGUUGUUCAGUUGUUAUUCUUUAUGCACUUUUUAUCCAUAAUCUCCAAUUAAUUCCCUAUUCAAUAAAACAAUUCAACUAAUUAAAAAUAACAAAUAAAUAUAACUAGUAUGCUCAUCAGGGAGCCAGCACAAAGCUUUGAAUUGAGAGUUUUAAAGCAUAUUUUCCUUUUCCCCUCUCUUUUAAUUAUUUCUUUGCAUGCUACAGGACUGAUUUCAGGGUGAAUAUGAGAGAGGAGGAGAUAUGGACAUCAAGUUCAGACUAUUUUCAGAGAGGCUGAGAAGCGUUUUAGCUGGUGAAGAAGUCACGUUGCCUGAUGCUGCAAAACAACCUAUUCAUAACCUUCAUGCCGAGAUUGAAAUUGUUACUUCUUGGCUGAGUGAAUUUGAAGACGACAUGUCCUGGCUUCUGCUGCAAAAAAAAAGGAAAAGAUGAAAUUGACAACCCAGAUCUGGCGACCGUUAUGGACGAAAUCAAUUGCUUUACCUGUGAAUUUGAGAAGGUGAUUGACACAUUCAUCAACAGCAUCACUCAACAGAAGAGUCAAAGCAGCUGUAGGAAGGACAUUUGUGAUGCUCUGCAAGGACUCCAAAGCAGAAUCACCGAGAUUAAUCAACGGGUUCAACAACUUAAGCACAUCGAUUCCGAAAUCAUUGAUGAGUUCAGAAGGGCUGAAGUUGAAUCCAGUUAUUUUCUUGCAUCUUCAUCUUCUAAGAAUCGGAACACGGUGGGUCUAGAUGAUAGAAUGGAGGAGUUGUUAGAUCUAUUGAUCGAGGGACCAAAUCAGCUUUCAGUGGUGGCCAUACUCGAUAGCAUUGGGUUGGACAAGACGGCUUUCACUGCAGAGGCUUACAACAGUAGUUAUGUGAAGCAUUAUUUUGAUCAUCUAGCUUGGAUUCCAGCGCCUUAUCACUAUGACGCUUACCAAAUAUUAGAUAUCGUUACUAUGUUUCUAUUGCCUUUUUCUAUGUUGAGUAAAAUAAAGGAUAAAGAUUAUGAAAUGAAAAAAAUUAAUCUUGGUGAAUAUCUAAUGACUAAGUGGUAUUUGAUUGUGCUUGAUGAUGUGUGGAGCACAAAUGUAUUGGAUGUUGUUCGGGAAAUACUUCUGGAUAAUCAGAAUGGAAGUAGAGUGCUAAUCACACUCACUCGAAUUAAGAUGGUCACCAGAUUUCAAUUUGAAAACGGAGAGAGCGUACGGCUUGAUUUAGUGCCUACUGGAGGACCAUUGAGAGUUACUUAUCAAGGAUGGCCUUUCCUCAUCUUAUAUCAUGGAAGCAUCUCAUUAGAAGAAAAUAUAAGGGAAGUAUUCGAGACACCCUUAGGGCUUCUAAUUGUAAUAUGUUGCAAGCUACCUUUUCACUUGAAACUUUGUUUUCUCUACUUAUCUGUGUUUCCCGCACACCUAGAGAUAUCCACCAGGCAGUU
This 281581-nucleotide long non-coding RNA is filed under the name Citrus x clementina. Its description in RNAcentral is "Citrus clementina (C. clementina) long non-coding RNA (CCLE_LNC006679)". The stretch from base 172364 to 172470 matches the Rfam family "Plant small nucleolar RNA R71". Lineage: Eukaryota; Viridiplantae; Streptophyta; Magnoliopsida; Sapindales; Rutaceae. The record is from RNAcentral.